CGCGGUGGGCACAGGCCCAGGGAGGCGGCUUCCCCAGGUCCAAGUCAGGCUGGAGUACUUACCUGGGGUUCGAGAUCAACAACGGCGGGGGGGUCGAGCGCGUCCGGGCCGUCGGGGAGGCGCUCCUCGCGACCUUUCCCAUGAAUCCGCAUGCCUACGCGAUCUACAUCAGGGCUCUGGCCGCUCUGUCCCGGCAUGUUGAAGCCAACGCCCUGGCACGCCGUGGCAUCAAGGAGCUGUCCGCCUUCUGUCGCGGGCAUGAUGAGUUCAUUUGGAGGUUUAUGGCUGGGUAUCUGAAGAGGCUCAGGGAGAGGCGGAGCACCGCGUGGGACGAGGAUAUGUUCAGUGAUAAGCUUCUUUUUUUGUUGAGAUAUGUUGAAUGGUUCUUUUGUAUGUUGAAUGGAAAAAAAUUAUAUGAGACCAGGUCUCACGGUUAGCAGGUGAGACCCGUCCUAAUAGAUGACAUGUGGCAUUCACAAAUCAUAAAGCAUCUAAUCUCUCUUCCUCCUGAUUUUAAGUGAGGGGUGGGGGAUGCUUUAUGAUUUGUGAAUGUCACGUGUCAUCCAUCAGGAUGGUUAGUCUUUUUUUAGGGUGAAUUAUUAAUAUAUAUGCACAAGUAAUAGAUUAUCGCCGUGUUUACUGUUCGUUGCUUUUUUUCUCCUUCCCGAUCUCAGAUCUCUAUUGACAGACCGAAGCUAACGGGGUCUAAGAAAUAUUUUUUUCCUUAACCUUUCACACAAUGAAACAUAACUCGAUUUGAUGCCAUGUGUUUAGUUGCCCAUGUUUUGAUCAAUAUUGGCAAGCAAACUUAACUGACGCUGUAUAAAGAGCAUAGGCAUGGCCAACCCAAGCAAGACUAAUGUUUGGGUCAUGAGAAAAAAACAAUAGCAUUCGUUUUGGUCAUCAACCGAACAUACGCUUUGCCAUCACUUGUUCACCUCUUCACCCCCACCAUAAGAAGAAAAAUGAAGUAGUACUUGUUUCCAGCAGAAGUUUUGGCGGCAAUUUGCCUAAAUUUACUACAUAAAUUUCAACAACGAUUAAAUAGCAUACAAAGCAGAAUUAUCACAACAUCAUAACGGCAUCAGACUGACAUAAUUAGUUUCCUGCAAGAUCAGACUAACAUAAUUGGCUCAAACAACCCAUGGAUCGUGGAUCCAUGUCCAGAGUUGACUAGCACAAUGUGCUGAGAACAAAUGGAACUGCUUUUUGGGAAUAUUAGAGAACUGAGUGGCAUUUUGGAAAGAGGUCAUAUUCUAGUGAUAUUUUUAGAGAAUAGCCAAAAUACAGUGGCAUUUUGGAAAGAGGUCACAAUGCAAUUUCCUGUAGUUCUUCACCCCACAUAUAUAUGGAAGGAAAACAGUAAUAGUGCAUAUGUGCAGCUGAUGUACACAACAAGAGUACAGUAUAUCGCAACGCGGCCAGCAACUCUCCCGUGACAUGUCAUAUGAUAUCUGUUACUACAGUCUACAGCUAUGGCUUCUAGUAGAUGAUAUCAUAAUGCCCUGGUCUAUACAGUAGUGUCACAGUAGGAACCGAGGAAUCUGGUGACUCGUAGAUGAUGUGGAUGUUAGGCUCCUCAAUCGGUGAAACGUCAAUGUUAACAACUCGGAGUGGCACCUGUAGGACAUUGGUGAGCGCAGUGAGAUUCACUUGUUGUGCAUCUUUCUUCACUGGGAGAACCUCCUCCAGGCAGUACUGCAGUUCAAAAACACGUAAGGCAUCUGACAGUGAGGAUUUCACAUCAUUUCUUUUACAUAAAAUUCCAGUUGCUGGUACAAGUAUUAUGAUGAAAUUUUGCUCCUACUAUGCAGUUCCAUCACACGGACAGAUCAUAACUAGCAGACAAGAAAGGCAAUACCAUUUGCUUCUAAUGUACUCCUACAUAUGACACUCAAUUAUGCAUAGAAGAUUACUGCACCAUCUAAGGAAAUACUCACCCCUAUUGCAUCAGGCAUUCCUUGACCAAGUUCGGUUAUGUAUGUUUCAACCUUAGUGCAUAUCUCAAUAGCUGUCACAAGUCAAAGAUACAAAAGUACUAAACACAAAACAAAAAUAGUUGGAGUCAGAAAAUUAGAGUAAGUUGGCAAGAUAACUAAGAAAAUUGUUGUAUAUUCUCACUGUUCGCAAACUUCUGCUCAUUUUGACUCUCCUGGAAAAGCCACUCUUGAUAGCCACUGCAACAAAAUUUAUAACAUAAGUACGCAACACAGUUUAUUGUUGCGACAAUGUUAAUGCAAACUCACCUUACUGACAGUUUUUGUUUUUGUUCCAUACAUUCCAGUAUGAAGCCCACAAAAGCCUGGACGAAUUACAAUAUAAUUAAUAUAUAACUUAAGUGCACUUGGCGGUUCAAAACUAAAAUAUUGGUGGAUGAAACAAUGCAGGAAGCCUUACAUCAUGAAGAUCUGAAUAUGAACCAGGCAAAUGAAGCCUUUGGAAUUUCUCCCACAUAGGUUCAAGUGCACCAAGUAAACGUAGCUCCUCCUCGUGAGAUACUUUCACAAGCUGCUCCUAUAGACCCAAAGGACAAAAUGUAAGCAUCACCAAGCACCAAGAACUUUAAGGUGCAGAACUGGAAGAAAUUUAGCAACAAGAUACUAGUGUACCAGGUAUGAGUAUAUGAAUGAUCUGUAAAAGCAACUCCCGUCUCCAGGUACUUUCCGAUAUUCAGAGUAAUUAGCCGAAAGCUUCUGCAGAAUCGCACACAAUAGAUGAGAAUAUAUAACAAACAAGUGAGGACACUAGUCAAGUAGAAAUAUAACAGCUCACAAGUCAUAUUACUUUUGCCUUAUCUUUCAUAAUUUCAUUUUCAAACUCAUGCGGUAGAGAUGAUAAAGGUUCCUGCACCGAAACAAGAUUUCAAUUAGUAAAACCAAUGUUAUUUCCCAAAUUGAAAUCUCUAGCCUCAAUGAUAAAAUCAGAGAAUAUCCUAUUAAAGUUAACCUUUUGAAGAAUUUUUUUGCAGCCAUUUUGUGAUGCCUGCAAAACCAUAGAAAACUGAAGGUGCAGAGAGGUUAAGUGUAACGCCCUCGAUGCGGCUAUAUCUCCCACAUGUCGAAGCACGACUUAGAGGCAUAACCGCAUUGAAAGCAAUGUCGCAAGUGAGGUAAUCUUCACACAACCCGUGUAAUACAUAAGGGAAAAAGAUACAUAGUUGGCUUACAAUCGCCACUUCACACAAUUACAUGAAUAAAGCAUUACAUCAAUCAGAUACAAUCAAGGUCCGACUACGGAACCAAAAUAAAAGAAGAACCCAAAUGCGACACGGUCCCCGAUCGACCCCAACUGGGCUCCACUACUGAUCCACUAGAACGAAAUAAAACAAAGAACAAGAUCUUCAUCGAGCUCCUCCUGAGCUUGGUUGCGUCAUCUGCACGGACUCAUCGGCACCUGCAAGCUGGUUUUGGAAGUAUCUGUGAGCCACGGGGACUCAGCAAUCUCGCACCCUCGCGAUCAAGACUAUUUAAGCUUAUAGGAAGGGUAAAAGGUAUGAGGUGGAGCUGCAGCAAGCGACUAGCAUAUAUGGUGGCUAAACAUACGCAAAUGAGAGCGAGAAGAGAAGGCAAAGCACGGUCGAACAACUAUGAUCAAGAAGUGAUCCUAGAACAACCUACGUCAAGCAUAACUCCAACACCGUGUUCACUUCCCGGACUCCGCCGGAAAGAGACCAUCACGGUAACACACGCGGUUAAUGCAUUUUAAUUAAGGUCAACUUCAGGUUCUCUACAACCAGACAUUAACAAAUUCCCAUCUGCCCAUAACCGUGGGCACGGCUUUCGAAAGUUCAAAUCCCUGCAGGGGUGUCCCAACUUAGCCCAUGACAAGCUCUCACGGUCAACGAAGGAAUAGACCUCCUCCCAAGACAUUCCGAUCAGACUCGGUAUCCCGGUUCUACAAGACAUCCUCGACAAUGGUAAAACAAGUCCAGCAAGACCACCCGAUGCGCCGACAUCCCGAUAGGAGCUGCACAUAUCUCGUUCUCAGGGCACACCGAAUAAGCUAAGCGUACGGGAGCCAACGUAACCCAAGUUGCCAAGGGACGGCCCCGCACGGUGCUCUGGGUUGGACCAACACUUAAACAAGCACUGGCCCGGGGGUGGGGGUUAAAAUAAAGAUGACCCUCGGGAUGCGCGACUCCCAAGGGAAAAAGGCUAGGUGGCGAAUGGUAAAACCAAGGUUGGGCCUUGCUAGAGGAGUUUUAUUCAAAGCGAACUGUCAAGGGGUUCCCAUUAUAACCCAACCGCGUAAGGAACGCAAAAUCCGGGAACAUAAAACCGAUAUGACGGAAACUAGGGCGGCAAGAGUGGAACAAAACACCAGGCAUAAGGCCGAGCCUUCCACCCUUUACCAAGUAUAUAGAUGCAUUAAUUAAAUAAGAGAUAUUGUGAUAUCCCAACAAGUAAACCUGUUCUAACAAGGAACAACAUCUCCAUGUUCCAACAAGGAACAAACUUCAAUCUUCACCUGCAACUAACAACGCUAUAAGAGGGGCUGAGCAAAGCGGUAACAUAGCCAAACAACGGUUUGCUAGGACAAGGUGGGUUAGAGGCUUGGUUCAACAAUAUGGGAGGCAUGAUAAGCAAGUGGUAGGUAUCGCGGCAUAGGCAUAGCAAAAGAGCGAGCAACUAGCAAGCAAAGAUAGAAGUGAUUUCGAGGGUAUGGUCAUCUUGCCUGAAAUCCCGCAAGAAAGAAGAACGAGUCCAUGAGGAAGACUAACGAGCGUAGACGAACGAAUCCUCACACACACGACGUUAUCGGAACCGACCCGAAGAAGCAACACCGGAAAGAAGCAAACAACAUAGUAAACAACCAACACAUCAACAUGGCAUGAUGCGCAAUCAAGUAUGAUGCAUGUCCGGUUUAAUGAAGCAUGGCAUGGCAAAGUGCACAAACAAUCCUACAAAUUAAGUGGAGCUCAAUAUGCAUCGGGGUGCAUAUUGCCAAAACACCACAUAACGUAUUUAGUUCGAUCUUGUUUAUGUACCCAACAAUAUUAACAUGGCAAGAGGGUGAAGCAAAAGCAAAACUACCUAUCUAGUCAAGUUUAAAUGAGGCCGGGAACAACAGACAACAAAUCUGGAAACUCCUCAUGAGCAUAUUUUGGUUAUGGUACUGUUCUGCCCUAAACCAUAUUUUAUAGUUGUUAAACAUGCAAAAUGAUGCCACCAUGAUAAACUAGGCAUUUUUCCACCCCAUUUACAUAUAAAGUUUAUUAAAUACCGAGUUACGGUUAUUUAGUUAUGAAACAAAACAUUUUAACAAGUUAUUUAAGCAAAUUUAAUCAAACAUCAGUUUAAACAUUUUAAACAUAGAUGAAAGUGGCAUAUUAUGGACCUACACAAAAUUCUAAGCAUUUUUCAUUUAUAAUUUAUUUAAUUCUGUUGCAUGGUCAAUUAGUUAUUGAAUGCAUGAACAUGAGGGGUUUUUCUGCAAAUCUGUCACCCUCAGGAUAAAUAGACAAAUCGUUCGCAGGAAAAAAAUAGUGACUCGGGCCGAAACUGAGAGGGGCUGGGGAGCUGCUCACAUCGGGCUUGACUGGGCCAGCUCGGAUCUGGAAGGAAGCGGGCCGGCUUGGGGCGGUAGCUGGUGGCCCAGGAGGCGAAGGAGCCGGGCAGGCCGCGGUCAACGCUCGAACGAGCGAGCCGCUGCUGCUCUUGUUUCGUUUCUGAAGAACAGAAACAACAGCAGGCCAUGGCGAUGCAGAAGACGGACGGCGCGGCAACGGGGCUCCGGCUAGCUGAGGAGUCCGGCAACGAAGGGGAUGGUCGGGACCCGACGGAUCCGAGGAGACGAGGUAGCCGGAGUUGGAGCUCCAUGGCGGCAGUUUCUCUGCAAAACGGCGGCAGUGCAACACAAAUCAGAGAGAGGGAGAUGAGAUGAGGGGACCGGAGGAAGGCGAGAAAGGGAACCAGGGCGGCGCUCAACUGAGACGGCGGCGGUGGAGAUGCCCGGGACCCUCCUGGUCCAGAACGAGCGAGGCAGGAGGACUCAGGCGCGCUGGCGACCUGCUAGUCGGGUGCUGGUCGCGGCAGAGGCUCGGGGCAGGGGAGGAGCACGGCGAAGUCCCUUCGGCGGCCAUGGCGCCUAGCGUGCUCCUUCCCAGGGCGUAGCUGCUCCUGCAGCAGAUGGGCAGAAAGCAAAGGGUUCAGAGAGGGAAACGAGAGGAGCAUGGGAAGGAGAAGAAGGGGGCGUCGGUGCUCAUCUCCGGCGAAGCUUGCCGGCGGUGACGUGGCACAAGGCGAAGACUCGGGCUCCUGCUGAGACAAGGGAGGAGGAAGGGCCUCGAUCCAAUCGGGAUCGAGCUCUGGCUGGCUGCGCGAAGGAGAGAGGAGAUCCAGGAGAGGAGUGGCGGUUGCGGGUUGGCUCGGGUGGAGUGGAUCGGGAAGGUGGAGGCUGGUUGGGUGGCUGAGGAAAUCGAGGAGGAUUUGGAAUGAGCGGCGGCGGCGAGUGAGGGGAUGGAUGGGACAGCCGUCCGAGAUUUUAGGGUUAGGUUGUUUAUAUAGGUAGGGGAAAUAGGGUAAGGGGGUAUUCGGUCCGUCCGAUCGUAAUCAGGCGGUCGAGAAUUAAUUGGUUAGGAAGUCCAAUUAACAAAACGGAGACGUUUUGUAGAUGUUUGGGGAUGAUCCGGACCCAACGACGACGACUGCCCGGGUCGGGUCCGGGGAAGUUCCGGACGCGCGCGUGAGGGAUUCGAAGCACUGUGCAGAGAGGGUUUCGGGGUCUGGCGGUUGUCAGCGGACUGUGCAGAAACUUUGGGCUGAGAGAAGAGAAGAGAGAGAGACCCGGCGACAGUUUCCGGAGACCGAAAACAUCCGACGUUAGACCGACUAUAAUGUCGAUAUAGUUAUCCGUUGGGCUAUCAAACGAACUCCGAAUGCGAUAAAACUUGGCAGGCGGCCUACCUACAACAUAACAACACCACAUGCCAACUUUCAACCCAUUCCGAGAACAUUUUUCGGCCACUUAAAAAUAAUAUUUCGGACGUGCCGCGGGCGCGUGCAAGUGUAUCUGGGCUCAGAACUGACAACGGAUGGCACUGGGGGAACCCGGACGGAUGCAGGUUUUGAAAACAUGAUGAUGCAAUACACAUGAUGACAUGAUAAGAUGCGACACGCAAGCAAAUGACAAGGCAACAACAACGAAACACCGGAAGACACCUGGCGCAACGGUCUCGGGGCGUUACAUUAAGAAAGGAAUGUUGAAGCAUAGUUAAUUAAACCAAGCAUUUGAAAAGAAACCCUUACAUCAUCACAAGCCUUGUGCUCGUCUCUCCAAGAAGCCCUCACAGCAUCAGAUGCCUCGUGACUCCAGAAAGGAGCUUCCAGAAUCUGAAAACAAAACAAACGUAAACUUUUGUUUUAUUUACAGAAGAAUUGUGAACAGUUUGCAGGAUGCCUAGUUUCAAUGUGAGUUGGAUUGUAGUCACUGUUUACAUUUGCGGCCUUGGCUGUAGGAGACCCAACACUUUUAUAAGAAAAGCGGAAACUUGAGAAAGCGAAGAACUGUAAAUAUUGGUGUGCUACAAACUUAUGUUUGAGCAAAGCGAAACUAUUCAUUAAUAACACACAACUCGACAAAUAGAAGUACACACAUUUCAAUAUGGAAUAUACAGGGGUGCAGAAGCAAGACAAUUUUUUUAAUAUUUUUCCACCUUAUGCCUGAAAGAGGCGAUCAUGUGGGACUUUAACAGCCCUAAGAUUUUACAAGCCUUGAAGUUGAAGAAAAGAAGACUGGUCAUGUAAAUGAAGAAGCACCAUUGACAUCCCCAAUGGACUAAGCAAGAAAUUACAGAAACCACCAAGCGUAGCUGAUCUUAUAAUAUCUGGUGUGGACUCACAUUUUGUUUUGACAUCUACGAGAUGGUGAAUUUUAUACAACCAACAAAAAAUUUCACCUUAUACCUAAAAGAGCCAAGCAUGCGGGACUUCAAGAGCACUAAGUAUUUCAAGCAUAGAAGAGGGUUCACGAAGAAAGUAAGCAAACCAUUGUAGAGUAGCUUAUCUGAUAACAGUAUCUGUUAUUGAUAACUAAGACUCGAUUGUAAACAUCGGCUUUGUAAAAAAUGCAACAACAAAAAAGUAGCCAUUGCAUAACUGGGCAACAAAUGUAAUAUUUAACAAAGAAAUUGGUGGUACGAUUCAUAUUAAGUUUAUAUGGAAUUCUAAAAAGUUUGGAUAAUAAAUAUCUGACAUCUAAAUUAGCAAGAUUUGUGACAAACAAAAUUCUCAGCUAGACCUUCACAGGUACAGACAUUUUCAUAGGGCCGGGGAAUUGCCCCCUUUUUGAAAAGAAAAGGGUGCAGACUAUUCAUGUUUCUGUUACUGCCUAUCUAUGCCAAUAUUCUAUUCUUCUACACUUGGCUAAUUUAUAAUGCUAAAAUUCAUAUAAAGACAAAAGAUAACAUGGACUGCUAAAUGUGAAAUCCAUAAGAAGUGACUAUGAACAAAUGCCAUUUAGCAUUAGUACAAUUGCUACACUUUAAAGACGACCCGCGCUAUGCAGUGGCAAAUCUAGCAGGACAUUGGAGGGUAGGCUUAAAACAUAAAUUUCCUAAGUCUAAUUAGCAAAUGCAGUGCAAUUGUUGCAUGUAAAGCAUCAGAAUAUAUUUGUCAAGCGGUAUGUUUAGCUUAAAUAUGAUUUUGAAGGAUAGGCUUAAGCCUAUUGGAGCCUCCCUAGUGGAAUCGCCAUUGGCACUAUGUAGACUUCCAAGAAAAAGGAUGCAGAGAUAGAAGUCAUGGGUUUGCUCGAGCAAAGCCAAAACUUUUCAUCGAUAACACAACUCCACACACAGAAGCACGCAAAUUUUAAUAUGGAUUUUUUUGUGGGAAAUUUCAAUAUGGAAUAUAAAGAGGCACAGAAGCAAGAUAUACUCCCUCCGCCCCACGAUAUAAGAUCGUUUUCCAAGCUAGGGAGUAAAUUUUAAUUUAUUUUCCAGCUUAUGUCUGAAAGAGGCAAUCAUAUAGGACUUUAACAGUGCUAUGAUUUUACAAGCCUUGCAGAAGACCGACCAUGUAAAUCAUUGGCAUCCCCAACAGAGUUAACAAGAAAGUAGGGAAAGCAUAAUGUUUGCAGGGUAUUAGACAAGUAUACGACGAUGCAGAAAAUCAAAAUUGAUGAAUCUUUCUAAGCAUGGAUACCUACAAGAACCUAAAUCCGUGAAUCUUUCCAAGCCAGUGCACUGUUAAAAUUGCAACCAUAAUCAAAGAUUCAAACACAUAAGUCCAAGAUCAAUCUUUCAUGGUCAAAACAUCCACAGAAAUGAUUCCCAAAUCGAGAACGUACUAGGUUUCUUGCAAAUUCCCAAAUCAAGAACGCAUUGGAUUUCUUGCAAUACCUGAUUAUACAUCCACUCAGAGGGUGGAUCCCUGUAGAGAUCCCUGUAGUUGGAGGCGUCCAGAGAGCUGGAGGUCGAGGCGCCGCCGCACGUACGGUCGCUGCCGAUCCAGCUGUCCGAGGAGAAGGAGGAGGCGGAGGAGGACGCUCCCAUGGUGCUGCUCGACGGUCCCGAGAGGAAGGAAGCGGCGGCGGGGUUCUUGUACCUGCCUGCGGGCUCGUCUUCGUCAUCAGAUCCCCAGGCGGAGGACGAGGCGGAGCCCUCGUUGGCGACGACCGAAGUCCCCGGGGGCUGACCGGACGGGCGAGUGCUGAGAGGGGAGCCGGGCCCGGAUUAGCGGUCGUCGGAUUCUUGAGGAGUCCUGGAGGGCUCAGCCCCAGCUCCGCCGCAAUUGGGAUCGUCGGCGUCGGGAGAGCCGCCGGAGCCGGCCAUUCUAUGCGGUUGGGGGAGGCGGGAAACGGAAAGGGCAAGGGGACGGGAAGGUAGGUGAACAGGAAGACAGCGCGAGAUUUUGCGAGGGUGGCAAGGGGAGGCCCUAUAUGACGCUCUCCCAACAGAGAGCCCCAACGCACCAACGGCUGGGCCGGCCCAUUUACAAAGGACUGUACCAACGGGGUCCGUUCUGUAGCAAAGAUUCACUGUAGCGUUUUGCGCUUGCUGUACCAGUGUACACUAAAAAACAAAGAGCUUGGUGUACCAGCGGUUUUCCAGAAAAAACGUUCGUUUUCUUGAAGUAACAUCGAAAUUUUUUAUUUGAUUUUUUAUGAAAAAAUAAAAUCAGCUUUAGAAAAAAUGAGAACAUUUUCAAAACAUCAACUUUUUUUAAGAAACAGGGAGAAUUUUUCAAAACAUAAACAUUUUUUGAAAUUCUUGAACGUUUUUCAAAAAAUGAGAUUAUUUUUUAUUUGUGAACAAAAUUUGAUACUGAAACCAAAUUUUGAAAUUCCAAACAAUGUUUUAAAGACACGAACAUUUUUUUAAAUUCCCAAACAUUUUUUUAGAAACACGAACAUAUUUUUAACUUGUGAAAGAAAAUGAAAACAGAACAUUUUUUGACAUCCGAACCUUUUUUUUUUAAAAAAACAACUUCUCUGCACCGUCACAUAGUCAAGCUAAUGUCAACCACGUUGAAUCAUCACCUCUGCUGGCCGGCUUGAAACUCGACAUCAUCAUGUCAACUAUUGGGGAUACACAUAACAAGUAGGCGCAUGAAAUGAUGAGGGCACCACGACCAUCGACAAGUCUCCAACAAUUAUAGGUCCAAUCACAAGAAGUCGCGCCAAACUAAUAAGUGACCAGGUGAACGCUAACUUAAGUUUACCUUAUAACCUUGAUGACACAACUAUGCUUUCAUCCCCAUUAUUGUUGGUUGAAGUUAGGUAUCACAUGGAAGAAAUCCAACAAAAUAUCACUACAGGAAUCAGACACUUUGCCGCCUGCCAUGGCUGACGGCAAAGGCAUGCCUGGCGAAUGGCAAAGGCCUUGGCCGUCAGCCAACAGACGGCAACAGAUCCAGCUGAAUAAGCUACGACAAAUGGCUCUUUGUUGUCGGCUGGCGGACGGCAAAGAUGAAAUAGUAUUUGCCUGGCGGACGGCAAACGGCGGACGGCAAAGAUGCAAAGAGCCUGGACGACACACGUGGCAAGUUAGGUCCGUUAGGGGGUUGCUGGCAGACAACAAAUAUGCAAAGGUCUUUACCGUCUGCCAGCAGACGGCAAAGCAACCAUAUAGGCCAGCCCAGUGCCCCAGGUUGCACAGGUAGCUGCCAUGUGGCAGCUUUGCCGUCUGCUGGAAGACGGCAAAGAGCCUCUAUAGCCCCUGUUUUUUUUGUUUUUUCUUAAAUUCAUUCAAUUUCACAGAAUUUUACAGAUAUAUACAUAUAUAUAGACACACACACACAAACACACACACAUUUGAAGAUAUAUAUAUAGAGAGAGAGAGAGAGACACACACACAAGCAUACCAACACAUAUCCAACACAUCCAACAACAAGUUUGCAACAACACAUAUCCAACAACAAGUUUGCAACAAGUUUCGGAGAACAUAAAAGAAGCACAAGGAGAAGAGUAGACUUCAUGAACACAAGCUCCUCAUGUAAAGCAAAUCUGUAAAUUAGGAAAGAUGAAAGUUAGAAGAAGAAGAAGAAGAAGAAGACUGACUAGAAGAAAAAGAAGAAAAAUAAGAAAAAGAAUUUAUCUUCUCUUUCUUAGUCUCCUCUCCUCUUCUUUAUCUUCUUCUUCUAACUAAGGUAGGAAAAAUGACAUUUUUUAGCUAAGCUAGGUAAAAAUGCUAAGUAUGUAGGUCAUUUUAGAGCUAAGCUAGUUAAAUAGGUCAUUUGGAGCUAACCUACUAAAAUGUAUCAUAUUGGAGCUAACCUAGAUAAACUUGGUCAUUUUUAAGUUAACUAAGCAUAUUAUGCCAUUUUUGACAUAAGUAAGCUAAUUAUAGGUCUUUAUUGAGCUAACCCAGGUAACUAAGCAUAUUAGAGCUAAUUUAGCAUUUUAGAGCUAACUUAGGUCAUUUUGGAGCUAACUUAGGUAAAAUUGAUCAUUUUGAAGCUAAUUAGGCUUAUUAUGUCAUUUUCAAGGAAAAUGAUCUAAUUAUAUGACAUAUAUGAUGUUAGCGAGAUUGUUAUGCCAUUUCAAACCUAAGUAAGCUAAUUAUGCCAUUUUUUACAUAUGUAAGCUAAGUGUAUGUCAUUAUUCAGAAAACUUAGCUAACUAAGCAUAUUAGAGCUAACUUAGGUCAUUUCGGAGGAAACAAAGCUAAGUAUAGAUCAUUUUGGAGCUAAGUAAGCUAAUUAUGUCAUUUUGGAGGAAGAUUAGCUAAGUCUAGGUCAUUAUGGUAAGCAUUUUGGAGGAAAUAAAGCUAAGUCUAUGUCUUUAUGCAUUUGGUAAGAAAAACACUAGAGAAAACUUACCGUCAUCACGGAGGUGGAGGACCGGUCGGGUUUGCGCCAGUGCCAGACGGAGAAGGACCGAUCGGGGUCGGGGUUACGCCAGUGCGAGACGGCGAAGGAUCGGUCGAUGCUUGCCGGGAGGCAUGCUGCACCAAAGACCAUUUGCAAUGUCUCGUUAGCAUGAUGCAAUUGAAAUGUGAAUACUAGUAAUUAAUGACCAUUCAAAUGAAACGCACCGUGUCCGCUAUAGCAAUCUGGGGCAUCAAUGAAGGGGUAUGACCAUUUUUCUCGCACACAGACUGCACAUUUUGUUUUCACGAGUCAGUCAUAUUACUUAGUAAUGAAACAAACAUUACGUGCAUGAUUUGGCUAAUAUGCAGGAGAAACUUACCAUGAGGAGCUCAUAUAAGACCCGGUGAGACGCGUCAUUCCGGUUCCUCUCAGCCUCCAACAGACUAGCUGUCCUCUCCUCCAGCUCUAUCUCCCUCUGCUUAGCCUGCCUGUUUGCCUCCGCCAGAAGCUCCUAGGCCCUAGCCUCGAUGGCGAGCUCCACUGGUCGUGGUCGAGGCGAUAUCUCAAGAAGAGACCUCGCAUGGAGCUUCUUGAUAUCCGGGAGACUUCUAGUACAACAUAUCAGUCCAUCCCCAAUGGCUACCGAGCCAUGUUUCCUCCCGUCACCAGAUAGAAUCACAAGCUCUAGAUCAAAAGGACUCUAGCUCGGGUUGAAGUCAUCCCCUUUCGUCGCCUUCCCAAAGUCUUUGUACCUCGCGAGCUUGUUGUGGGAGGAGAUGUUGGUGAAGCUCUCUCGAUGAUCGAGGUCAUCCUUAGAGAAUGCCUUGGCCUUCUUGAACGGGGCAGUAUGGGCCAUGGCAUAGAGGUCGUACAAUGGUGGCACGUCCUUCUUGUUGUGUUUCGCCUAAAAGAGAAGAACAACAUAUUAGUUAAGGGCUCAAGCUAGCACGAAGAAUGAAAUUGCAUGAAUCGUUAAGGGCUCAAAUGUGACGCCCCCGAUUCAAUCGUACACUAAUCAUACACGCAAACGUGUACGAUCAAGAUCAGGGACUCACGGGAAGAUAUCACAACACAACUCUACAAAUAAAAUAAGUCAUACAAGCAUCAUAUUACAAGCCAGGGGCCUCGAGGGCUCGAAUACAAGAGCUCGAUCAUAGACGAGUCAGCGGAAGCAACAAUAUCUGAGUACAGACAUAAGUUAAACAAGUCUGCCUUAAGAAGGCUAGCACAAACUGGGAUACGGAUCGAAAGAGGCGCAGGCCUCCUGCCUGGGAUCCUCCUAAACUACUCCUAGUCGUCGUCAGCGGGCUGCACGUAGUAGAAGGCACCUCCCGAGUAGUAGUAGUCGUCGUCGACGGUGGCGUCUGGCUCCUGGGCUCCAACGUCUAGUCGCAGCAAUCGAGCAUAGAAAGGAGGAAAAGGGGGAGCAAAGCAACCGUGAGUACUCAUCCAAAGUACUCGCAAGCAAGGAGCUACACUACAAAUGUAUGCAUUGAUAUCAAAUGGAAUAAGGGUAUCAUAUGUGGACUGAACUGCAGAAUGCCAGAAUAAGAGGGGGAUAGCUAGUCCUUUCGAAGACUACGCUUCUGGUAACCUCCAUAUUGCAGCAGGAGAAGAGAGUAGGUGGUAAGUUCACCAAGUAACAUCGCAUAGCAUAAUCCUAACCGAUGAUCUUCCCCUCGUCGCCCUGUGAGAGAGCGACCACCGGUUGUAUCUGACACUUGGAAGGGUGUGUUUUAUUAAGUAUCCGGUUCUAGUUGUCAUAAGGUCAAGGUACAACUCCAAGUCGUCCUGUUACCGAAGAUCACGGCUAUUCGAAUAGAUUAACUUCCCUGCAGGGGUGCACCACAUAACCCAACACGCUCGAUCCCAUUUGGCCGUACACACUUUUCUGGGUCAUGCCCGGCCUCGGAAGAUCAACACGUCACAGCCCUACCUAGGCACAAUAGAGAGGUCAGCACGCCGGUCUAAAUCCUAUGGCAUAGGGGUCUGGGCCCAUCGCCCAUUGCACACCUGCACAUUGCGAACGCGGACGGAAGCAGACCUAGCCUAGAAGGCAUUCCAGUCCAAUCCGGUGCACGCCGCUCAGUCGCUGAUGUCACGAAGGCUUCGGCUGAUACCACAACGUCAAGUGCCCAUAACUGUCCCCGCAUAGAUGGUUAGUGCAUAUAGGCCAGCGGCCAGACUCAGAUCAAAUACCAAGAUCUCGUUAAAUGUGUUAUCUUGAAAUAACCGCGAACGCCGACCAGGGCUAGGCCCACCUCUCUCCUAGGUGGUCUCAACCUGCCAUGUCGCUCCGCCACAAAGAUCCACUCGCGAGUACUCCUAUGAGCCGACCCGUCUUUUAGUCACAAUAGGUAUCAUGUAUAAAGUAUAGAGCAUAUACCCGUGAUCACCUCCCGAGUGAUCACAGCCCGAUAGUAUAGCAUGGCAGACGGACAAGAAUGUAGGGCCACUGAUGAUAAACUAGCACCCUAUACUAAGCAUUUAGGAUUGCAGGUAAGGUAUCAAUAGUUGUAGCAACAAUGACAGGCUAUGCAUCAGAAUAGGAUUAAGGGAAAGCAGUAACAGGCUACACUACUCUAAUGCAAGCAGUAUAGAGGAGAGUAGGCGAUAUUUGGUGAUCAAGGGGGGGGGGGCUUGCCUGGUUGCUCUGGCAAGAGAGAGGGGUCGUCAACAUCGUAGUCGUACUGGGUAGCAGCGGCGUCGGUCUCGGUGUCUAGCGAGAGAAGAGGGGGAAGAAACAAUAAAUAUUUAAGCAAACAGAUGCAUAGCGAUGCAUGACAUGAUAAGUAUCGGAACUAGGGGUGCCCUAACGCGGUAUGAGGUGAUACCGGCGAAGGGGGAAAACAUCCGGGAAAGUAUCCCCGGUGUUUUGCGUUUUCGGACAGACGAACCGGAGGGGGAAAGUUGCGUGUUUGCUAUGCUAGGGAUGCGUGGCGGACGAACGGGCUGCGUAUCCGGAUUUGUCUCGUCGUUCUGAGCAACUUUAUUGAGCCAGGGGCGGAGCGGCGCGUACGGUCGCGGGCAGAGGCGAGGACUCUGGCGGACGGCAGGGCAAGCAAUGUGGGAGGUCUACGCGGGCGCGGCGACGUCCCGGCCUCACGUAAGCGGGCACGCACAGGUUGUGGCCGGGAGCGGCCAGGACGAACCGAGCGCUGGCAGGGUCACGGCGAGCGACGCGUGGGUGUUGCAUCCAGUGAGACCGAGCACGGGGGGAGGGGGGCUUGCCACAGCGCGGGCGGGAGCGCGUGCGGGCGCUGGCGAAGCGGCAUGGCAGAGCAGAGGCGAGGCGACGCCAGCGGCCAUGGCGUCCGCGAGGUCGCGCGGUAGCAGUAGUGUAGUAAGGGGGCGGUGGAGACGAGCGCGGUGGCGGGGCUCACUAUGGGCGUAGGGAUCGUGGCAGCGAUGCUCGGGGAGGAAGCCGGGGACGUCGUCGGCAUGGAAGCAGUCCGGUGNNNNNNNNNNNNNNNNNNNNNNNNNNNNNNNNNNNNNNNNNNNNNNNNNNNNNNNNNNNNNNNNNNNNNNNNNNNNNNNNNNNNNNNNNNNNNNNNNNNNNNNNNNNNNNNNNNNNNNNNNNNNNNNNNNNNNNNNNNNNNNNNNNNNNNNNNNNNNNNNNNNNNNNNNNNNNNNNNNNNNNNNNNNNNNNNNNNNNNNNNNNNNNNNNNNNNNNNNNNNNNNNNNNNNNNNNNNNNNNNNNNNNNNNNNNNNNNNNNNNNNNNNNNNNNNNNNNNNNNNNNNNNNNNNNNNNNNNNNNNNNNNNNNNNNNNNNNNNNNNNNNNNNNNNNNNNNNNNNNNNNNNNNNNNUCCUUUUCUUUUAUUUCUUUUCCUUUUCUGUUUUAUUUAGUUUAGGGCAUUUAGGUAUUUUGUAAAAUUGUGUUUACUACACAAUAAAUCCCCGGGCAUUUAUUUGCACACCCUGAACAUUUUUGUUUUAAUUUUUGAAAACAUUUAUUGUUGACCUUAAUUUGAGUUUGAAUUUGACGUGGUGACGUGGCACCAUUAGCGUGGAAUUAUUGUAGCUUGAUUACCCGGGCAUUACAAAACUCCUCCACUACAAGAAAUCUCGUCCCGAGAUUUAGGAGGUAGAAGGAAACAGUGCGGGGUAUUCAUCACGCAGGCGGUCCUCGCGUUCCCAAGUGGCUUCGUCUUCAGAGUAAUUCGACCACUGGACUUUGAGGAACUUGAUCGCCUUCUGACGUGUGCGGCGUUCAACUUGGUCAAGAAUGCGGAUCGGAUGCUCUUUAUAGGAGAGGUCCUGUUGCAAUUCGAGCACUUCAUGAUCCACUGCUCGUAUCGGAUCCUUGAAGCAACGGUGGAGUUGUGACACAUGGAACACAUCGUGAACCUGGGAAAGGUUCGGCGGAAGCUCCAGUUGAUAUUCCACCUUUCCACGCUUUCGAGAAUAGUGAAGGGCCGAUAUAGCGAGGAUCUAGCUUGCCCUUGAUCCCGAAGCGGUGAGCACCCUUCAUUGGUGUAACUCAAAGAUAAGCCUUUUCACCAGGUUGAUAGAUCAUGUCUUGGUCAUACUGACUUUUCUGACGUGACUGAGCAGUCUUGAGAUUCUCGCAAAUAAUGCGAACUUGUUCUUCGGCCUGUUGGAUAAUAUCCGGACCGAAGAGUGGACGUUCCCCAGUUUCUGACUAGUUCAGAGGGGUUCGACACUUUCGUCCAUAUAGCACUUCAAAGGGGGACAUCUUCAGACUAGCUUGAUAGCUAUUAUUAUAAGAGAACUCGGCAUAUGGAAGAGAUUCCUCCCAUUUCUUGCCGAAGGAAAUUACACAAGCUCGAAGCAUGUCUUCGAGAACUUGGUUGACACGUUCAACCUAUCCUUGUGACUAAGGAUGAAACGCCGUACUGAACGACAGGUGAGUUCCCAUAGCUUCUUGGAAACUUGCCCAAAAUCUUGAAGUGAAUAAGCUACCACGGUCUGAACUGAUAACCAGUGGAAUACCGUGAAGUGAAACAAUUCUGGACAUGUAGAGAGUAGCAAGCUGACUAGCAGUGACUAUCUCUUUGACCGCCAUAAAAUGUGCAACUUUAGAAAGCCGGUCAAUGACGACAAGAAUAACAUCAUUACCUUUCUGUGAUUUGGGAAAUCCAGUGACGAAGUCCAUUUCAACAUGGUCCCAUUUCCAUUCAGGAAUAGAGAUAGGUUGCAGAGUUCCAGCAGGCCUUUGAUGCUCUGCUUUGAUACGGCAGCAAACGUCACACUCAGCAACAUAACGAGCAAUGUCCUACUUCAUAUUAGUGUUGGAAAUAUGCCCUAGAGGCAAUAAUAAAAUGGUUAUUAUUAUAUUUCCUUGUUCAUGAUAAUUGUCUAUUGUUCAUGCUAUAAUUGUGUUAUCCGGAAAUCGUAAUACAUGUGCGAAUACAUAGACCACAACACGUCCCUAGUGAGCCUCUAGUUGACUAGCUCAUUGAUCAAAAGAUAGUCAUGGUUUCCUGACUAUGGACAUUAGAUGUCAUUGAUAACGGGAUCACAUCAUUAGGAGAAUGAUGUGAUGGACAAGACCCAAUCCUAAGCAUAGCUCAAAGAUCGUGUAGUUCGUUUGCUAGAGCUUUUCCAAAUGUCAAGUAUCAUUUCCUUAGACCAUGAGAUUGUGCAACUCCCGGAUACCGUAGGAGUACUUUGGGUGUGCCAAACGUCACAACGUAACUAGGUGACUAUAAAGGUGCACUACGGGUAUCUCCAAAAGUGUCUGUUGGGUUGGCACGAAUCGAGACUGGGAUUUGUCACUCCGUAUGACGGAGAGGUAUCUCUGGGCCCACUCGGUAAUGCAUCAUCAUAAUGAGCUCAAUGUGACCAAGUGGUUGGUCACGGGAUCAUGCAUUACGGUAUGAGUAAAGUGACUUGCCGGUAACGAGAUUGAACGAGGUAUUGGGAUACCGACGAUCGAGUCUCGGGCAAGUAACGUACCGAUUGACAAAGGGAAUUGUAUACGGGAUUGAUUGAAUCCUCGACACCGUGGUUCAUCCGAUGAGAUCAUCGAGGAGCAUGUGGGAGCCAACAUGGGUAUCCAGAUCCCGCUGUUGGUUAUUGACCGGAGAGUCGUCUCGGUCAUGUCUGCGUGUCUCCCGAACCCGUAGGGUCUACACACUUAAGGUUCGGUGACGCUAGGGUUGUUGAGAUAUUAGUAUACGGUAACCCGAAAGUUGUUCGGAGUCCCGGAUGAGAUCCCGGACGUCACUAGGAGUUCCGGAAUGGUCCGGAGGUGAAGAUUUAUAUAUAGGAAGUCAAGUUUCGGCCAUCGGGAAAGUUUUGGGGGUAAUCGGUAUUGUACCGGGACCACCAGAAGGGUCCCGGGGGUCCACUGGGUGGGGCCACCUAUCCUGGAGGGCCCCAUGGGCUGAAGUGGGAGGGGAACCAGCCCCUAGUGGGCUGGUGCGCCCCCCUUGGGCCUCCCCCUGCGCCUAGGGUUGGAAACCCUAGGGGUGGGGGGCGCCCCACUUGGCUUGGGGGGCACUCCACCCCCCUUGGCCGCCGCCCCCCUUGGAGAUCCCAUCUCCUAGGGCCGGCGCCCCCUAGGGGUCCUAUAUAUAGUGGGGGGAGGGAGGGCAACUGCACCCUAGCCCCUGGCGCCUCCCUCUCCCUCCCGUGACACCUCUCCCUCUCGCUAAGCUUGGCGAAGCCCUGCCGAGAUCGUCGUUGCUUCCACCACCACGCCGUCGUGCUGCUGGAUCUCCAUCAACCUCUCCUUUCCCCUUGCUGGAUCAAGUUGGAGGAGACGUCUUCCCAACCAUACCUGUGCUGAACGCGGAGGUGCCGUCCAUUCGGCACUAGGUCAUCGGUGAUUUGGAUCACAACGAGUACGACUCCAUCAACCCCGUUCUCUUGAACGCUUCCGCUCGUGAUCUACAAGGGUAUGUAGAUGCACUCCCCUCUCCCUCGUUGCUAGAUGACUCCAUAGAUUGAUCUUGGUGAUGCGUAGAAAAUUUUAAAAUUCUGCUACGUUCCCCAAUAGUGGCAUCAUGAGCUAGGUCUAUGCGUAGUUUCUAUGCACGAGUAGAACACAAAGCAGUUGUGGGCGUCCAUAUUGUCAAUUUACUUGCCGUUACUAGUCUUAUCUUGAUUCGGCGGCAUCGUGGGAUGAAGCGGCCUGGACCGACCUUACACGUACGCUUAUGUGAGACUGGUUCCACCGACUGAUAUGCACUAGUUGAAUAAGGUGGCUAGCGGGUGUCUGUCUCUCCCACUUUAGUCAGAUCGGAUUCGAUGAAAAGGGUCCUUAUGAAGGGUAAAUAGAAAUUGGCAUAUCAUGUUGUGGUUUUGGCAUAGGUAAGAAACGUUCUUGCUAUAAAACUAUAGCAGCCACGUAAAAACUUGCAACAACAAUUAGAGGACGUCUAACUUGUUUUUGCAGCAUGUGCCGUCUGAUGUGAUAUGGCCAAAAGGAUGUGAUGAAUGAUAUAUGUGAUGUAUGAGAUUGAUCAUGUUCUUGUAAUAGGAAUCACGACUUGCAUGUCGAUGAGUAUGACAACCGGCAGGAGCCAUAGGAGUUUUCUUAAUUUAUUUAUGACCUGCGUGUCAACAUAAACGUCAUGUAAUUACUUUACUUUAUUGCUAAAGCGUUAGCCAUAGUAGUAGAAGUAAUAGAUGACGAGACAACUUCAAGAAGACAUGAUGAUGGAGAUCAUGAUGAUGGAGAUCAUGGUGUCAUGCCGAUGACAACAAUGAUCAUGGAGCCCCGAAGAUGGAGAUCAAAAGGAGCAAAUGAUAUUGGCCAUAUCAUGUCACUAUUUGAUUGCAUGUGAUGUUUAUCAUGUUUUACAUCUUAUUUGCUUAGAACGAUGGUAGCUUAAAUAAGAUGAUCCCUCGUAAUAAUUUCAAGAAAGUGUCCCCCCUAACUGUGCACCGUUGCGAAGGUUCGUUGUUUCGAAGCACCACGUGAUGAUCGGGUGUGAUAGAUUCUAACGUUCGAAUACAACGGGUGUAAGCCAGAUUUACACACGCAAUACACUUAGGUUAACUUGACGAGCCUAGCAUGUACAGGCAUGGCCUCGGAACACGGAAGACCGAAAGGUCGAGCAUGAGUCGUAUAGAAGAUACGAUCAACAUGAAGAUGUUCACCGAUGUUGACUAGUCCGUCUCACGUGAUGAUCGGACACGGCCUAGUUGACUUGGAUCAUGUUUCACUUAGAUGACUAGAGGGAUGUCUAUCUGAGUGGGAGUUCAUUGAAUAGUUUGAUUAGAUAAACUUAAUUAUCAUGAACUUAGUCUAAAAUCUUUACAAUAUGUCUUGUAGAUCAAAUGGCCCAUGUUAUCCUCAACUUCAACGCGUUCCUAGAGAAAACCAAGCUGAAAGAUGAUGGCAGCAACUAUACGGACUGGGUCCGGAACCUGAGGAUCAUCCUCAUAGCUGCCAAGAAAGAUUAUGUCCUAGAAGCACCGCUAGGUGACGCACCCAUCCCAGAGAACCAAGACGUUAUGAACGCUUGGCAGUCACGUGCUGAUGAUUACUCCCUCGUUCAGUGCGGCAUGCUUUACAGCUUAGAACCGGGGCUCCAAAAGCGUUUUGAGCAACAUGGAGCAUAUGAGAUGUUCGAAGAACUGAAAAUGGUUUUCCAAGCUCAUGCUCGGGUCGAGAGAUAUGAAGUCUCCGACAAGUUCUUCAGUUGUAAGAUGGAGGAAAAUAGUUUUGUCAGUGAGCACAUACUCAAAAUGUCUGGGUUGCAUAACCGCUUGACUCAGCUAGGAGUUAAUCUCCCGGAUGAUGCGGUCAUUGACAGAAUCCUUCAGUCACUUCCACCGAGCUACAAGAGCUUUGUGAUGAACUUCAAUAUGCAGGGGAUGGAAAAGACCAUUCCUGAGGUAUAUUCAAUGCUGAAAUCAGCGGAGGUGGAGAUCAAAAAGGAACAUCAAGUGUUGAUGGUUAAUAAAACCACUAAGUUUAAGAAAGGCAAGGGUAGUUGCCGUGCCCGGUAAGCAAGCUGCCGGGAAGAAGCCAAAGAAUGGACCCAAGCCCGAGACUAAGUGUUUUUAUUGCAAGGGAAGUGGUCACUAGAAGCGGAACUGCCCCAAAUACUUAGCGGACAAGAAGGCCGGCAACACUAAAGGUAUAUGUGAUAUACAUGUAAUUGAUGUGUACCUUAACAGUACUCGUAGUAGCUCCUGGGUAUUUGAUACUGGUGCGGUUGCUCACAUUUGUAACUCAAAGCAGGAGCUGCGGAAUAAGUGGAGACUGGUGAAGGACGAGGUGACGAUGCGCGUCGGGAAUGGUUCCAAGGUCGAUGUGAUCGCCGUUGGCACACUACCUCUACAUUUACCUACGGGAUUAGUUUUAAACCUCAAUAAUUGUUAUUUAGUGCCAGCUUUGAGCAUGAACAUUGUAUCAUGAUCUCGUUUAAUUUGAGAUGGCUAGUCAUUUAAAUCCGAGAAUAAUGGUUGUUCUAUUUAUAUGAGAGAUAUGUUUUAUGGUCAUGCUCCGCUGGUGAAUGGUUUAUUCUUAAUGAAUCUCGACCAUAAUGUUACACAUAUUCAUAGUGUGAAUACCAAAAGAUGUAAGGUUGAUAAUGAUAGUCCCACAUACUUGUGGCACCGCCGCCUUGGUCACAUAGGUGUCAAACGCAUGAAGAAGCUCCAUGCAGAUGGACUUUUGGAGUCUCUUGAUUAUGAAUCAUUUGACACAUGUGAACCAUGCCUCAUGGGUAAAAUGACCAAGACUCUGUUUUCAGGAACAAUGGAGCGAGCAACCAACUUAUUGGAAAUCAUACAUACUGAUGUGUGUGGUCCAAUGAGCGUUGAGGCUCGCGGUGGCUAUCAUUAUGUUCUCACCCUCACUAAUGACUUGAGUAGAUAUGGGUAUGUCUACUUAAUGAAACACAAGUCUGAGACCUUUGAAAAGUUCAAGGAAUUUCAGAGUGAGGUUGAGAAUCAACAUGACAGAAAAAUCAAGUUCUUGCAAUCAGAUCGUGGGGGAGAAUACUGGAGUCAUGAAUUUGGCACACACUUAAGGAAAUGUGGAAUAGUUUCACAACUCACGCCGCCUGGAACACCUCAGCGUAAUGGUGUGUCCGAACGUCGUAAUAGCACUCUAUUGGAUAUAGUGCGAUCUAUGAUGUCUCUUACCAAUCUACCGCUGUCAUUUUGGGGCUAUGCUUUAGAGACUGCCGCAUUCACUUUAAAUAGGGCUCCGUCAAAAUCCGUUGAGACGACACCGUAUGAAUUAUGGUUUGGGAAGAAACCUAAGCUAUCAUUUCUAAAAGUUUGGGGAAGCGAUGCUUAUGUCAAGAAACUUCAACCUGAAAAGCUCGAACCCAAAUCGGAAAAAUGUGUCUUCAUAGGAUACCCUAAAGAAACUAUUGGGUAUACCUUCUACCUCAGAUCCGAAGGCAAGAUCUUUGUUGCCAAGAAUGGAUCCUUUCUAGAGAAAGAGUUUCUCUCGAAAGAAGUAAGUGGGAGGAAAGUAGAACUUGAUGAAGUAUUGCCUCUUGAACCGGAGAGUGGCGCAGCUCAAGAAAAUGUUCCUGAGGUGCCUGCACCGACUAGAGAGGAAGUUAAUGAUGAUGAUCAUGAAACUUUAGAUCAAGUUGCUACUGAACUUCGUAGGUCCACAAGGACACGUUCCGCACCAAAGUGGUAUGGCAACCCUGUCCUGGAAAUCAUGUUGUUAGACAAUGGUGAACCUUCGAACUAUGAAGAAGCGAUGGCGGGCCCAGAUUCUGACAAAUGGUUGGAAGCCAUGAAAUCCGAGAUAGGAUCCAUGUAUGAAAACGAAGUAUGGACUUUGACUGACUUGCCCGAUGAUCGGUGAGCCAUAGAAAAUAAAUGGAUCUUUAAGAAGAAGACAGACGCGGAUGGUAAUGUAACCAUCUAUAAAGCUCGGCUUGUCGCUAAGGGUUAUCGACAAGUUCAAGGGGUUGACUAUGAUGAGACUUUCUCACCCGUAGCGAAGCUGAAGUCCGUCCGAAUCAUGUUAGCAAUUGCCGCAUUCUAUGAUUAUGAGAUAUGGCAAAUGGACGUCAAAACGGCAUUCCUUAAUGGUUUCCUUCAGGAAGAAAUGUAUAUGAUGCAGCCGGAAGGUUUUGUCGAUCCUAAGAAUGCUGACAAGGUGUGCAAGCUCCAAUGCUCGAUCUAUGGGCUGGUGCAAGCAUCUCGGAGUUGGAACAUUCGUUUUGAUGAGAUGAUCAAAGCGUUUGGGUUUACGCAGACUUAUGGAGAAGCCUGCAUUUACAAGAAAGUGAGUGGGAGCUCUGUAACAUUUCUCAUAUUGUAUGUGGAUGACAUAUUGUUGAUGGGAAAUGAUAUAGAAUUCUUGGAAAGCAUAAAGGCCUACUUGAACAAGUGUUUUUCAAUGAAGGAUCUUGGAGAAGCUGCUUACAUAUUAGGCAUCAAGAUCUAUAGAGAUAGAUCGAGGCGCCUCAUUGGUCUUUCACAGAGUACGUACCUUGACAAGAUAUUGAAGAAGUUCAAUAUGGAUCAGUCAAAGAAGGGGUUCUUGCUUGUAUUGCAAGGUACGAGAUUGAGCACGGCUCAAUGCCCGACCACGGCAGAAGAUAGAGAAAAGAUGAGUGUCGUCCCCUAUGCCUCGGCCAUAGGGUCUAUCAUGUAUGCUAUGAUGUGUACCAGACCUGAUGUAAACCUUGCCGUAAGUUUGGUAGGAAGGUACCAAAGUAAUCCCGGCAUGGAACACUGGACAACGGUCAAGAAUAUCCUGAAGUACCUGAAGAGGACUAAGGAUAUGUUUCUCAUUUAUGGAGGUGACGAAGAGCUCGUUGUAAAGGGUUACGUCGAUGCUAGCUUCGACACAGAUCUGGAUGACUCUAAGUCACAAACCGGAUACGUGUAUAUUUUGAAUGGUGGGGCAGUAAGCUGGUGCAGUUGCAAGCAAAGCAUUAUGGCGGGAUCUACAUGUGAAGCAGAGUACAUGGCAGCCUCGGAGGCAGCACAAGAAGCAAUCUGGGUGAAGGAGUUCAUUACCGACCUAGGAGUCAUACCGAAUGCGUCGGGCCCGAUGACUCUCUUCUGUGACAACACUGGAGCUAUUGCCCUUGCCAAGGAGCCCAGGUUUCACAGGAAGACCAGGCAUAUCAAGUGUCGCUUCAACUCCAUUCGUGAAAGUGUUCAAAAUGGAGACAUAGAUAUUUGUAAAGUACACACGGACCUGAAUAUGGCAGAUCCGUUGACUAAACCUCUCCCUAGAGCAAAACAUGAUCAACACCAGAACUGUAUGGGUGUUCGAUUCAUCACAAUGUAACUAGAUUAUUGACUCUAGUGCAAGUGGGAGACUGUUGGAAAUAUGCCCUAGAGGCAAUAAUAAAAUGGUUAUUAUUAUAUUUCCUUGUUCAUGAUAAUUGUCUAUUGUUCAUGCUAUAAUUGUGUUAUCCGAAAAUCGUAAUACAUGUGUGAAUACAUAGACCACAACACGUCCCUAGUGAGCCUCUAGUUGACUAGCUCGUUGAUCAAAAGAUAGUCAUGGUUUCCUGACUAUGGACAUUAGAUGUCAUUGAUAAUGGGAUCACAUCAUUAGGAGAAUGAUGUGAUGGACAAGACCCAAUCCUAAGCAUAGCUCAAAGAUCGUGUAGUUCGUUUGCUAGAGCUUUUCCAAAUGUCAAGUAUCAUUUCCUUAGACCAUGAGAUUGUGCAACUCCCGGAUACCGUAGGAGUGCUUUGGGUGUGCCAAACGUCACAACGUAACUGGGUGACUAUAAAGGUGCACUACGGGUAUCUCCGAAAGUGUCUGUUGGGUUGGCACGAAUCGAGACUGGGAUUUGUCACUCCGUAUGACGGAGAGGUAUCUCUGGGCCCACUCGGUAAUGCAUCAUCAUAAUGAGCUCAAUGUGAACAAGUGGUUGGUCACGGGAUCAUGCAUUAUGGUACAAGUAAAGUGACUUGCCGGUAACGAGAUUGAACGAGGUAUUGGGAUACCGACGAUCGAGUCUCGGGCAAGUAACGUACCGAUUGACAAAGGGAAUUGUAUACGAGAUUGAUUGAAUCCUCGACAUCGUGGUUCAUCCGAUGAGAUCAUCGAGGAGCAUGUGGGAGCCAACAUGGGUAUCCAGAUCCCGCUGUUGGUUAUUGACCGGAGAGUCGUCUCGGUCAUGUCUGCGUGUCUCCCGAACCCGUAGGGUCUACACACUUAAGGUUCGGUGACGCUAGGGUUGUUGAGAUAUUAGUAUACGGUAACCCGAAAGUUGUUCGGAGUCUUGGAUGAGAUCCUGGAUGUCACGAGGAGUUCUGGAAUGGUUCGGAGGUGAAGAUUUAUAUAUAGGAAGUCAAGUUUUGACCAUCGGGAAAGUUCUGGGGGUAAUCGGUAUUGUACCGGGACCACCGGAAGGGUCCCGGGGGUCCAUCGGGUGGGGCCACCUAUCCCGGAGGGCCCCAUGGGCUGGAGUGGGAGGGGAACCAGCCCCUAGUGGGCUGGUGCGCCCCCCUUGGGCCUCCCCCUGCGCCUAGGGUUGGAAACCCUAGGGGUGGGGGGCGCCCCACUUGGCUUGGGAGGCACUCCACCCCCUUUGGCCGCCGCCCCCCUUGGAGAUCCCAUCUCCUAGGUCCGGCGCCCCCCUAGGGGUCCUAUAUAUAGUGGGGGGAGGGAGGGCAGCUGCACCCUAGCCCCUGGUGCCUCCCUCUCCCUCCCGUGACACCUCUCCCUCUCGCUAAGCUUGGCGAAGCCCUGCCGAGAUCGCCGUUGCUUCCACCACCACACCGUCGUGCUACUGGAUCUCCAUCAACCUCUCCUUUCCCCUUGCUGGAUCAAGUUGGAGGAGACGUCUUCCCAACUAUACGUGUGUUGAACGCGGAGGUGCCGUCCGCUCGGCGCUAGGUCAUCGGUGAUUUGGAUCACGACGAGUACGACUCCAUCAACCCCGUUCUCUUGAACGCUUUUGCUCGUGAUCUACAAGGGUAUGUAGAUGCACUCCCUCUCCCUCGUUGCUAGAUGACUCCAUAGAUUGAUCUUGGUGAUGCGUAGAAAAUUUUAAAAUUCUGCUACGUUCCCCAUCAAUUAGACCACCAGAAUCUUUGACAAAUAUCCUGGUACAUCUUUGUACUACCAGGAUGGAUGGACAGAGGCGUUUCAUGAGCUUCUGUCAUAACCCUUUUAGUCUUAUCCAGGUUUUUCUUUGAACAUGGUACCACUAGGCGGCCUUUGAAGUACAAGGCGCCAUCAUCGGCGAUAGUGAAGAAUGAGGGCUUUCCUUCUGCUAGAUGGCGUUUAAUCUUAUGGAGUUCAGAGUCAUAACCUUGAAUAGUCUUUAUACCAGAUACGAGAUCUGGUACGAUAGCGAGGGUAUUUAGAGAACCCUUAGUAACAGCAAGAAGAUUCAUCUUUCGGAACUCUGGGGGAGGGGGAGCGAGUGCUCCAGGAGGAACAAUAUGAAGGUUCAUCUUUCUAAAUUCUUCGACAAGCGAGGGCUGAACUUUGUGAACCUGGAGGUGGUUGCAGUAAGACUUGUGGCUCAAGGCAUCAGCCAUUACAUUAGCCUUGUCAGGGGUAUAGGAUAUACCCACGUCAAAGUCUGCAACGGUCUCCAUCCAUCUCUGCUGACGGAGGUUCAGAUCUGGCUGAGUAAACAGAUACUUUAGACUUUGGUGGUCGGUGAAGAUCUCGCAAUGAUUACCGAGAAGGUAAUGUCGCCACUGCUUCAGUGCAUGAAUGACAGCAGCAAGCUCGAGGUCGUGAACUGGGUAGUUUUCUUUGUGAGGGCGUAGUUGACGAGAGGCAUAAGCAAUCACUCUGCGCUCUUGCAUUAGGACACAGCCUAAUCCUUGACGGGAACCAUCACAGUAAAUGACGAAGUCCUUCUUAGUAUCAGGUGGAGCAAGCACUGGGGCAGAAGUCAACUUGUGUUUGAGCGCCUGGAAACUUUCCUGACACUUGUCUGUCCAUUCGAACUUGACACCCUUAUGCAACAGAUUAGUCAGAGGCCUGGCAAUCUUGGAGAAGUUCUCGACGAAUCGACGACAAUAGCUGGCGAGACCGAGAAAACUUCGGACUUGCUUGACAUUCUUCGGAGGAGUCCAAUCGAGAAUAGCCUGAACUCGUUCAGGGUUGACGACAAUACCAUCCCUGGAGAUGACAUGCCCAAGAUAGGUUACUUCGGGGAGCCAGAAUUCACACUUGGAAUACUUAGCAUACGGUUGAUGCUCUCAAAGCUUUUCCAGCACAAGACGAAGAUGUUCAACAUGUUCUUCUUUGUUCUUGGAAAAUACAAGGAUAUCAUCCAGAUAAACCACGACGAACUUGUCGAGGUAAUCCAUGAAUAUAUAGUUCAUCAAACGAGAGAAGGUGGCUGGAGCAUUCGUUAAGCCGAAUGACAUGACGGUGUACUCGUAAGACCCAUACCGAGUCACGAAGGCGGUCUUUGGGAUAUCCUCUUCACGAACACGGAUCUGGUGGUAACCCAACCUCAAAUCGAGUUUGGAGAACACUGAUGAGCCAGCCAGUUGAUCAUAACGAUCAUUGAUCCGAGGAAGAUGAUAUUUAUUCUGAAUGGUAGCUUGGUUUAUAUGACGGUAGUCUUGGACUAAUCGGUUUGUCCCAUCCUUCUUCUUAACAAAGAGAGAAGGUUCUCCCCAAGGAGAGCAACUUGGGCGAAUGAAACCUUUGACAAGAGAUUUGUCGAUUUCCUCCUUAAGCUCAAUGAGUUCUUGUGGCGGCAUCUUGUAGGGUCGUUUGGCUAUAGGGGUGGUGCCGGGUUUCAAGUCGAUGAUGAAUUCAACAGCUCUAGCAGGGGGAAUCCCUGGAAGUUCUUUUGGGAAGACAUCUUGGAAUUCACGAACGACGGGAAUGUUUUCAAUGCCCUCGAGUGGUGCAGCGUUCAAUGCAUUCAAGGCAUAAAGACGUGCCUCGGCAUUCUGAACUAGAUGAGCUUGGUAAGCAAUUAUUUCAUCCGAAGGGUGUAGCAGAUGGACGACCUUAGAGGCGCAAACUAUAGAAGCAGUAUGCGCUUUCAACCAAUCCAUUCCCAGAAUGAGGUCGAUGCUACAGGACUUCAGUACGAUGGGAGAGGCAAGGAAUUCCAGUCCUUCAAUUUCAACGGGAACGUUGUGACUAACCAUAGAGGUUUGAUACUGGCCCGCAGGAGUGUGUACCACAAUCGCUGUGUUCAUCUCUUCGUAUUUAAUGCCAUGCAUGAAUGCAAACUCAGCUGAUAUGAAUGAAUGCGAUGCUCCUGUAUCAAAUAAAAUAGAUGCUGGUACUGAAUUUACGAGGAGUGUACCCAUCACGGUAGCAGGCUGGUCUAGAACUUCAUUGAGAUCAACGUGGUUGGCAUGAACACGACCAUAAGACUUGGCAUUGUUGUUGCGGGGCUGGUUGCUUCCACGGCCAGUUGCUGGGAGGGCCAGUUGAUUUUGGUUCUGGUUGCAUUCCCUAGCACGGUGCCCUGGUUGACCACACCUGAAGCACAAACCAUUAUUAGGAGUGGGAACAUGAGCUUGGGGUGGUGGAGCUGGAAGCCUUGGCUGCCUAGUUGGAGGAGUAGGCAGAUGAGGUGCAGCAUAGGACUGCCUUGGGGCAGGUGCAGUUGGCUGGUACAUGCUGUUGGGAACCCAUAUCUUACGACGGGCCCGAAGAUGAGCCCGUGUCAUGGUUGCGCCUGUGAGAGCUUUGGUAUUCCUGCAGACCAGUUUUGACAUUGAUGGCCUUGUUCACUAGGGUGGUGAAAUCAGCAAAGUCAUGCACUAGAAGUGCGAGUUUGAUAUCAGCUUGAAGGCCAUCAUGGAACUUCUCCUGUCUGCGUGCAUCAGUUGCAAUGUCUUCUUUAGCAUAGCGGGACAAGUCAAGAAACUCCCGCUGAUAAGCUUCAAUAGUUUUGUUGCCUUGGGUGAGGUUGCGGAACUCGCGCUUCUUACGGUCCAUGACUCCCUAAGGAAUGAAGCGAGCACGGAAAGCAGCUUGGAAGUCUGGCCAGGUGAUGAUUGUUCCAACCGGCAAGGUAUGCCUAUGGCUGUCCCACCAUUGAGCAGCGGGUCCUUUUAGGAAGAAGGAAGCAAAGGUGACAUAGCUGACAGGGGCUACAUCAGCAGACUCCAUCUCAUAGGUGAUGUCACGGAGCCAGUCAUCAGCAUCCAGAGGCUGAGUUGAGCUGCGGUACACGGUUGGGUUGAGGCGCAUGAAAUCCUGCAGAGUCACUUGGGUUGGCUGUUGGUUCAUAUUGGGGCGAGGAAACUGAGCCAUAAUAUUCUCCAUGAACUGGCGAUUCAGCUCAAACUGUUGCAUCAUCCCAGCCAUGUACUCAGGCGGGGGUGGGGGAGGGUUACCACGACCACGACCACCUGGUCUAACCAUCCUGCUAAUACAUAACAGGGGUAGUUCAGCAUUGAGAAUUUGCAAGGGCAAAAAUCAUUCAUGAUGAAACAUGCAUAAUGAAAGGAACAUGAUAGAUACCGCAUAGUAGUUGGCAUAUCUUACAAAAGUGAUCAUGCAUAGAGUUCGGCACACAUAGUUCGGUACACAGACUAAGAUCAUCAUAGGCGGCACGCAGGCUCGCGGCGAAUGCAUCCAACACUAACAAGCAAGCCUACAUCAGUCCCAGGAGGAACUGUGGAGGUAGGUGUAGCCUGACAGCUAGUAGUGACGCGAAGGGAAGACCUCCACGCGAGUAGCCUGGGGUCCAUGGAUACUCUGGUGUGGAACCCGAUGCACAGGUGGCAGGAGAGGACCAAGUGUGGGAGAGUAGCCUCCCACAUCUGGCCAGCCGACGCUCACGGUCCUGGCAGGGUAGAUCGCAGAACGCGACAGGUCACCAGAUCAGACAGAGGGGUGCAACAGCGUUAGAGCACGAUACAGGUGCUGACGGGUGGUGUACAACUGGUGGCGAAGAGCUCGGUUAGCUCUAUCCAGCCCAUCAGCAUGCAGAACCAGGUUUUGAUGGUAGAAGGGCUCUCGGGUGACAGUGGAGUAGGCGGCAGUGUAGUAUCCCUCCUCACCAACAUCGGAUGCGAUAGCAAUGUGCCUGAAGGGGGAGGUGUCCAACUCCUGAUACUCUCCACGAAGACGUGUCAGAGCAGCAUAAGCAGCAUCGUGGACCGCCAUGUCGAUAGUCACUCCAACACCGUGAGCAGUGUGCAUCACGGUAGUGGAGUCAUACUCCCGAGAGUAGAGGUGGACGAUGGCACGGUACUGCUCCUGGUUGAAGUCCUGGUACUCCUCAUAGACAGUGUACUCAGGGUGCCAGCGAUAACCCAGAUAGGUCAUCAUCUCAACCAACACAGCAGGUGAUCCUGAGGCACCAAUGGCCGUCGUGUGGCGCACGACCUGUCUCGUGGGUUCCAUCUGAAAACAAAGAUGUUUCAAAGGAGUCAACUGACAGUGUGGAUAAUGUUCAAUACACUACUCUAAAGAAUUGUUAGGGCUUAUCCAACUUUGGGGUGAACGUGGUCACGGGAUCCUAAUGUUAAAGUUAGUAAAAUCGUUUAACCCGAGAAGAAGAGAGUUCAGAGUCCCAGAGUCAGGAUCGAGGAGUAAAAGAUACUAAUACCACCCAGAUGGCAACGUGGGCUCGUAAGGCACACAACCAUGUUAGUAAAAGUUUUUGUAAUGUCUAGACUCAACUUCGGCCAAGGAGUGUGGAAGGGGGAUUCCUACAGGCAGUCGGCUCUAAUACCAACUUGUGACGCCCCCGAUUCAAUCGUACACUAAUCAUACACGCAAACGUGUACGAUCAAGAUCAGGGACUCACAGGAAGAUAUCACAACACAACUCUACAAAUAAAAUAAGUCAUACAAGCAUCAUAUUACAAGCCAGGGGCCUCGAGGGCUCGAAUACAAGAGCUCGAUCAUAGAUGAGUCAGCGGAAGCAACAAUAUCUGAGUACGGACAUAAGUUAAACAAGUCUGCCUUAAGAAGGCUAGCACAAACUGGGAUACGGAUCGAAAGAGGCGCAGGCCUCCUGCCUGGGAUCCUCCUAAACUACUCCUGGUCGUCGUCAGCGGGCUGCACGUAGUAGAAGGCACCUCCCGAGUAGUAGUAGUCGUUGUCGACGGUGGCGUCUGGCUCCUGGGCUCCAACGUCUGGUCGCAGCAAUCGAGCAUAGAAAGGGGGAAAAGGGGGAGCAAAGCAACCUGAGUACUCAUCCAAAGUACUCGCAAGCAAGGAGCUACACUACAAAUGUAUGCAUUGGUAUCAAAUGGAAUAAGGGUAUCAUAUGUGGACUGAACUGCAGAAUGCCGGAAUAAGAGGGGGAUAGCUAGUCCUUUCAAAGACUACGCUUCUGGUAACCUCCAUCUUGCAGCAGGAGAAGAGAGUAGGUGGUAAGUUCACCAAGUAACAUCGCAUAGCAUAAUCCUAACCGAUGAUCCUCCCAUCGACGCCCUGUGAGAGAGCGAUCACCGGUUGUAUCUGGCACUUGGAAGGGUGUGUUUUAUUAAGUAUCCGGUUCUAGUUGUCAUAAGGUCAAGGUACAACUCCAAGUCGUCCUGUUACCGAAGAUCACGGCUAUUCGAAUAGAUUAACUUCCCUACAGGGGUGCACCACAUAAGCCAACACGCUCGAUCCCAUUUGGCCAGACACACUUUUCUGGGUCAUGCCCGGCCUCGGAAGAUCAACACGUCACAGCCCUACCUAGGCACAACAGAGAGGUCAGCACGCCAGUCUAAAUCCUAUGGCGCAGGGGUCUGGGCCCAUCGCCCAUUGCACACCUGCAUGUCGCGAACGCGGCCGGAAGCAGACCUAGCCUAGCAGGCGUUCCACUCCAAUCCGGCGCGCGCCGCUCAGUUGCUGACGUCACGAAGGCUUCGGCUGAUACCACGACAUCGAGUGCCCAUAACUGUCCCUGCGUAGAUGGUUAGUGCGUAUAGGCCAAUGGCCAGACUUAGAUCAAAUACCAAGAUCUCGUUAAACGUGUUAUCUUGAAAUAAACGCGAACGCCAGGGCCAGGCCCACCUCUCUCCUAGGUGGUCUCAACCUGCCCUGUCGCUCCGCCACAAAGAUCCACUCGCGGGUACUCCUAUGAGCCGACCCGUCUUUUAGUCAUCACAGGUAUCAUGUAUAAAGUAUAGAGCAUAUACCCGUGAUCACCUCCCACGUGAUCACGGCCCGAUAGUAUAGCAUGGCAGACGGACAAGAAUGUAGGGCCACUGAUGAUAAACUAGCACCCUAUACUAAGCAUUUAGGAUUGCAGGUAAGGUAUCAACAGUUGUAGCAACAAUGACAGGCUAUGCAUCAGAAUAGGAUUAACGGAAAGCAGUAACAGGCUACACUACUCUAAUGCAAGCAGUAUAGAGGAGAGUAGGCGAUAUCUAUUGAUCAGGGGGGGCUUGCCUGGUUGCUCUGGCAAGAGAGAGGGGUCGUCAACACCGUAGUCGUACUGGGUAGCAGCGGCGUUGGUCUCGGUUUUUAGCGAGAGAAGAGGGGGAAGAAACAGUAAAUAUUUAAGCAAACAGAUGCAUAGCGAUGCAUGACAUGACAAGUAUCGGUGCUAGGGGUGCCCUAACGCGGUAUGAGGUGAUACCGGCGAAGGGGGAAAACAUCCGGGAAAGUAUCCCCGGUGUUUCGCGUUUUCGGACAAACGAACCGGAGGGGGAAAGUUGCGUGUUUGCUAUGCUAGGGAUGCAUGGCGGACGAAUGGGCUGCGUAUCCGGAUUCGUCUCGUCGUUCUGAGCAACUUUGAUGUACAAAGUUUUUCCAUCCGAGCUACAGAUUAUUUUAUAUUAAUUUUCAAAGUUUUAUUCAUUUUCUAAAUUUAAUUUAGGUUGAAAUAAUGUGAAUUGCUAGGUGCACCCAGCUCUAGGUACACAUAAGUGUACCAGAGGGGCUGACAUGUGGGUCCAAGGGUUCCCAGUUGACCAGUCAAACUUUGACUGGUCAAUAGGGGGUGGGGCCCCCUUGUCAUACACUGUUUUACUAACCUAACAGAUUAAAAAGACUAAUUAGGUUAUUAGGUUAACUAACAUAGGUUAAUUAAGUUAAUUAGCUAACUAAAUAGGAUUAAUUAAGUUAAUUACUUAAUUAAUUAAUUUUAUUAUUUAUUUUUUAAUUAUCAUUUUCGUUCUGGGGGCAUGGGGCCUGAAUGGCAGUGGCCCAUCUAGCCUAACGGGCGCUGAGCGCGUGGCUAAUGGGAAUGGCCCGAAUGGGCACAUGCCCGAGGGGCGCGGGGCACGCACACGGCGCACGCCGGUGGCCAGGGCCAGGGGAGGCGGUGGAGGGGCGGCCGCGGACCGGCUGGGCGGAGCGGGCGCAGGGGCGCGUGGCUGGAGGUGGUGGUGCCAGGGGGAGGCGCUCGACGGUGAGGCUAGGGGUGGAGCGGCGCGUGCGGUCGCGGGCAGAGGCGAGGACUCUGGCGGACGGCGGGGCGAGCGACGCGGGAGGUCUGCGUGGGCGCUGCGACGGCCCGGCCUCGCGUAAGCGGGCACGCACGGGUUGUGGCCGGGAGCGGCUAGGACGAACCGAGCGCUGGCGGGGUCACGGCGAGUGACGCGUGGGCGUUGCGUCCAGUGAGACCGAGCAGGGGGGGCUUGCCACGGCGCGGGCGGGAGCGCGUGCGGGCGCUGGCGAAGCGGCAUGGCAGAGCAAAGGCGGGGCGACGCUAGUGGCCACGGCGUCGGCGAGGUUGCACGGCAACAACAGUGUAGUAGGGGGGCGGCGGAGACGAGCGCGGCUGUGUGGCUCACUGUGGGCGUAGGGAUCGUGGCAGCGAUGUUUGGGGAGGAAGCCGGGGACGUCGUCGGCAUGGAAGCAGUCCGGUGGGGGAGGGGCCUGGUCGAGGCGGAGCGAUCCGGCGAGGUGGUCGCGAGGCCCAGCGGCGUCAGAGGCGGGGCGGUGUCGCACGUGCAGCGGUGGGGAUCGAUCCCGAUCCAAUCUAGAUCAGNNNNNNNNNNNNNNNNNNNNNNNNNNNNNNNNNNNNNNNNNNNNNNNNNNNNNNNNNNNNNNNNNNNNNNNNNNNNNNNNNNNNNNNNNNNNNNNNNNNNNNNNNNNNNNNNNNNNNNNNNNNNNNNNNNNNNNNNNNNNNNNNNNNNNNNNNNNNNNNNNNNNNNNNNNNNNNNNNNNNNNNNNNNNNNNNNNNNNNNNNNNNNNNNNNNNNNNNNNNNNNNNNNNNNNNNNNNNNNNNNNNNNNNNNNNNNNNNNNNNNNNNNNNNNNNNNNNNNNNNNNNNNNNNNNNNNNNNNNNNNNNNNNNNNNNNNNNNNNNNNNNNNNNNNNNNNNNNNNNNNNNNNNNNNNNNNNNNNNNNNNNNNNNNNNNNNNNNNNNNNNUUGUAUUUCCUUUUCUUUUAUUUCUUUUCCUUUUCUGUUUUAUUUAGUUUAGGGCAUUUAGGUAUUUUGUAAAAUUGUGUUUACUACACAAUAAAUCCCCUGGCAUUUAUUUGCACACCCCGAACAUUUUUGUUUUAAUUUUCGAAAACUUUUAUUGUUGACCUUAAUUUGAGUUUGAAUUUGACUCAGUUUUGACUCGGUUUCGGACUAGCGGUAGAUUAGCAAUAGUAACCAUGGUGACGUGGCACCAUUAGCAUGGAAUUACUAUAGCUUGAUUACCCGAGCGUUACAUCAAACCACAUACUGAUAACCCACAGGUAUAGGGGAUCGCAACAGUUUUCGAGGGUAGAGUAUUCAACCCAAAUUUAUUGAUUCGACACAAGGGGAGCCAAAGAAUAUUCUCAAGUAUUAACAGCUGAGUUGUCAAUUCAACCACACCUGGAAACUUAAUAUCUGUAUCAAAGUGUUUAGUAGCAAAGUAAUAUGAUAGUAGUGGUAACGGUAGCAAAAGGUAACGAUAGCAAAACUAAUAUUUUUGGUGUUUUGUAGUGAUUGUAACAAUAGCAACGGAAAAGUAAAUAAGCGAAGAACAAUAUAUGGAAAGCUCGUAGGCAAUGGAUCAGUGAUAGAGAAUUAUGCCGGAUGUGGUUCAUCACGUAACAGUCAUAACCUGGGGUGACACAGAACUAGCUCCAAUUCAUCAAUGUAAUGUAGGCAUGUAUUCCGAAUAUAGUCAUACGUGCUUAUGGAAAAGAACUUGCAUGACAUCUUUUGUCCUACCCUCCUGUGGCAGCGGGGUCCUAAUGGAAACUAAGGGAUAUUAAGGCCUCCUUUUAAUAGAGUACCAGACCAAAGCAUUAACACAUAGUGAAUACAUGAACUCCUCAAACUACGGUCAUCACCGGGAGUGGUCCCAAUUAUUGUCACUUCGGGGGUGCCGGAUCAUAACACAUAGUAGGUGACUAUAGACUUGCAAGAUAGGAUCAAGAACUCUCAUAUAUUGAUGAAAACAUAAUAGGUUCAGAUCUGAAAUCAUGGCACUCGGGCCCUAGUGACAAGCAUUAAGCAUAGCAAAGUCAUAGCAACAUCAAUCUCAGAACAUAGUGCAUACUAGGGAUCAAACCCUAACAAAACUAACUCAAUUACAUGAUAAAUCUCAUCCAACCCAUCACCAUCCAGCAAGCCUACGAUGGAAUUAAUCACGCACGGUGGUGAGCAUCAUGAAAUUGGUGAUGGAGUAAGGUUGAUGAGGACGAUGGCGACGGAUUCCCCUCUCCGGAGCCCCGAACGGACUCCAGAUCAGCCAUCCCGAGGGGUUUUAGGGCUUGGCGGCGGCUCCGUAUCGUAAAACGCAAUGAAUCCUUCUCUCUGAUUUUCCCUGAAAGCAAAUAUAUAGAGUUGGAGUUGAGGUCGGAGGAGCUCCAGGGGGCCCACGAGGUAGGGGGGCGCCCCCCCACCCUCGUGGCUAGGGUGUGGGCCCCCUGGUCUUCAUCUUUUGCAAGGAUUUUUUAUUAUUUCCAAAAAGACGUUCCGUGAAGUUUCAGGUCAUUCCAAGAACUUUUAUUUCUACACAUAAAUAACACCAUGGUAAUUCUGCUGAAAACAGCGCCAGUCCGGGUUAGUUCCAUUCAAAUCAUGCAAGUUAGAGUCCAAAACAAGGGCAAAAGUGUUUGGAAAAGUAGAUACGACGGAGACGUAUCAACUCCCUCAAGCUUAAACCUUUGCUUGUCCUCAAGCAAUUCAGUUGACAAACUGAAAGUGAUAAAGAAAAACUUUUACAAACUCUAUUUGCUCUUGUUGUUGUAAAUAUGUAAAGCCAGCAUUCAAGUUUUCAGCAAAGAUUAUGAACUAACCAUAUUCACAAUAACGCAUAGGUCUCAUGUUUACUCAUAUCAAUGGCGUAAUCAACUAGCGAGCAAUAAUAAUAAAUCUCGGAUGACAACACUUUCUCAAAACAAUCAUAAUAUGAUAUAAUAAGAUGGUAUCUCACUAGCCCUUUCUGAGACCGCAAAACAUAAAUGCAAAGCACCUUUAAAGAUCAAGGACUGACUAGACAUUGUAAUUCAUGGUAAAAGAGAUCCAGUCAAGUCAUACUCAAUGUAAACUAACAGUAAUGAAUGCAAAUGACAGAGGUGCUCUCCAACUGGUGCUUUUUAAUAAGAGGAUGAUGAUUCAACAUAAAAGUAAAUAGAUAGGCCCUUCGCAGAGGGAAGCAGGGAUUUGUAGAGGUGCCAGAGCUUGGUUUAGAGAUGAAUAAUAUUUUGAGCGGUAUACUUUCAUUGUCAACAUAACAACAAAGAGAUGGCAAUAUCUUCCAUGCUACACACAUUAUAGGCGGUUCCCAAAUAGGGUAAAGUUUAUACCCCCCCUCCACCAACAAGCAUCAAUCCAUGGCUUGCUCGAAACAACGAGUGCCUCCAACUAACAAAAGUCCCAGGGGGAGUUUUUUUGCAAUUAUUUUGAUUUAGUUUGCAUAAAGCAUGGGACUGGGCAUCCCGGUGACCAGCCAUUUUCUCAUGAGUGAGGAGCGGAGUCCACUCCUCUUGAGAAUAACCCGCCUAACAUGGAAGAUACGGACAGCCCUAGUUGAUACAUGAGCUAUUCGAGCAUACAAAACAGGAUAUUUAUUUGAAGGUUUAGAGUUUGGCACAUACAAAUUUACUUGGAACGGCAGGUAGAUACCGUAUAUAGGUAGGUAUGGUGGACUCAUAUGGAACAACUUUGGGGUUUAUGGGAUUGGAUGCACACGCAGUAUUCCCGCUUAGUACAGGUGAAGGCUAGCAAAAGACUGGGAAGCGACCAGCUAGAGAGCAAAAACAGUCAUGAACAUGCAUUAAAAUUAAUCAACACCGAAUGCAAGCAUGAGUAGGAUAUAAUGCACCAUGAACAUAAAUAUCGUAGAGGCUAUGUUGAUUUUGUUUCAACUACAUGCGUGAAUAUGUGCCAAGUCAAGCCACUCGAAUCGUUCAAAAGAGGAUACCAACCUAUCAUACCACAUGACAACCAUUUUAAUAGCAUGUUGGCACGCAAGGUAAACCAUUAUAAGCUCCUAGCUAAUUAAGCAUGACACAAGAAACUAUGAUCUCUAGUUGUGAUUGCAAACAUGUUUAUUCAUGAUAGGCUGAAUCAGGAACGAUGAACUAAUCAUAUUUACAAAAACAAGAGAGGUCGAGUUCAUACUAGCUUUUCUCAUCUCAGUCAGUCCAUCAUAUAUCAUCAUAAUUGCCUUUCACUUGCACGACCGAACGACGUGGAUAAUAAUAAUAGUGCGCGUGCAUUGGACGCUGGACUCUGCAAGCAUUCAAUAAAUAGGAGAAGACAAGGCAAUAUGGGCUCUUUUGUCAGAUCAACAAUAAUGCAUAUAAGAGCCACUUCAACAAUUUAAUCAUGGUCUUCUCCUAUCGACCCCCAAAGAAAAGAAAAGAAAUAAAACUAUUUACACGGGAAAGCUCCCAACAAGCAAAAGAAGAACAUGCAAUCUUUUUGGGUUUUCUUUUUAAUUACUACUACAAGCAUGGAAAUUAAAAGUAGCUAAAAGCUACAACUAAAUUUUUUGGUUUUUCUUAAGGCUUAUUAAACACACAAGAAGAAAGCAUAAAAAGGAAAAUAAACUAGCAUGGAUGAUACAAUGAAAAAGUAUGAGCACCAACAUCUAGCAAUGAGUGUGUGAACAUGAAUGUAAUGUCGGUGGGAAAUACGUACUCCCCCAAGCUUAGGCUUUUGGCCUAAGUUGGUCUAUGGCCACGGCUGGCCUGGCGGAUAUCCAUAAUAAUAGUUGGGGUCGUACUGCGAUGCAGCAGCUAUUGCCUCCUGAGCUGCAGCGUGGCGGUGAGCUGCCUCCGCCCUCCUCUCGUACUCAUCUGCCUCCUCUUUGGUAAUAAAAUGUCUUCCUUUUGCCUGAUAAUCAAAGAAGGCGGGAGAAGGGAGAGUAAUAUGGACAGCACGACAUCUGUCAAAGAUUAAGCGAUACUGGAGAGGUGAUUCAUUCCUCUCGACAAACUGGUGGUGAACCAUAGCAUUAAAGUCUAGGUAAGCAGGAGGCAAUUCAAUAUCAUCAUUACGUAUGGUUACACCAAGAAAAUCAGCUAAGUGGGUUGCAUAAAUUCCUCCAAAUAAAUCUCCAUUAAAUCUAUUAUGAUGCAACCUACAUGCAACAAUGGCUCCCAAAUUAUAAGAUUUGUCUCCUAACACAGCACUCCUAAGAAUAUUGAGGUCAGGGACACACAUAUGACAUGCUUCAUCUUUACCAUUUAUGCACCUACCUAUGAAGAGAGCAAAAUAAUGUAUAGCAGGAAAAUGAAUGCUCCCUAUGGUAGCUUGUGCUAUAUCUCUAGAUUCCCCCAUAGUUAUACUAGCAAGAAAAUUUCUAAAUUCAGAUUUACGGGGUUCACUAGCACUACCCCAUUGUGGAAGUUUGCAAGCAGCGGUAAAAUCCUCUAAGUCCAUAGUAUAAGAUUUUUCAUAAAGAUCAAACAGGACAGUUGGAGAAUUACGUGAAGAUGAAAAUUCAAACCUCCUCACAAAGGAACUAGUGAGAUAGUGGUACUAGCGGCAUUUUUCUGCCUCGAAGCUCACAAGAUCAGCAUUACGCAAAUAUGCGUUAAAUUAUUCCUUGAUUCCCGCUCGAUCCAUAAAGUUUUCUGAAGGCCAUUCACAGGGCCGCACUGGAGCGUCCCUUGGUGGCUCAUCGUCAGCAUCACGCAUUGCAAGUCUGGGUCCUUUCUUCCUUGAAGAACCACCUUGGUACAUUUUCCUAAGCAUAUUUCUUCCUCUGAAAAAUUUCUAAAAAUUUUAGUAACUUUAAACAAAAGUGAACCAAGCUUAAUAAUAUUGAUAGCAACUACUCCUACAAGUGCCUAGAGCCUAUAUCAUGCAUCAAAACUACUUUUGAGCAUAUAAAUUCGACAUGCAAGAUCAAGAACAGGGUCACCUAAGCAGCAAAAAAUUGCAAUGAAUAGAGCACUAGAACAAAAACUAAUUGGACCAAUGGAGGAGUCACAUACCAAGGAACAAUCUCCCCAAGCAGUUUUGUGAGAGGUGCUUUGAGCAAGGAGAUCGAAAAUCGCAGCAAAAUAAGCUAGAACUCAUGCUUGAGCUGGAUAUUGGUGUUUGUGAGAGGAAGAAGAAGUGUGUGGGUGCAGGAACAAGUGGAGGGGAGCCACCAUGGGCCCAUGAGGCAGGGGUGAUAUGUCUCCAACAUAUCUAUAAUUUUUUAUAGCUCCAUGCUAUAUUAUCUACUGUUUUGGACAUUACUGGGCUUUAUUAUCCACUUUUAUAUUAUUUUUGGGACUAACCUAUUAACCGGAGGCCCAGCCCAGAAUUGCUGUUUUUUUGCCUAUUUUAGGGUUUCGAAGAAAAGGAAUAUCAAACGGAGUCCAAACGGAAUGAAACCUUCGGGAACGUGAUUUUCUCACCGAACAUGAUCCAGGAGACUUGGACCCUACGUCAAGAAACAAAGGAGGAGGCCACGAGGUAGGGGGCGCGCCCUCCACCCUCGUGGGCCCCCUGUUGCUCCACCGACGUACUCCUUCCUCCUAUAUAUACCUACGUACCCCCAAACGAUCAGAUACGGAGCCAAAACCCGAAUUCCACCGCCGCAACUUUCUGUAUCCACGAGAUCCCAUCUUGGGGCCUGUUCUGGAGCUCCGCCGGAGGGGGCAUCCAUCACGGAGGGCUUCUACAUCAACACCAUAGCCCCUCCGAUGAAGUGUGAGUAGUUUACCUCAGACCUUCGGGUCCAUAGUUAUUAGCUAGAUGGCUUCUUCUCUCUUUUUGGAUCUCAAUACAAUGUUCUCCCCCUCUCUUGUGGAGAUCUAUUCGAUGUAAUCUUAUUUUUGCGGUGUGUUUGUUGAGACCGAUGAAUUGUGGGUUUAUGAUCAAGAUUAUCUAUGAACAAUAUUUGAAUCUUCUCUGAAUUCUUUUAUGUAUGAUUGGUUAUCUUUGCAAGUCUCUUCGAAUUAUCAGUUUGGUUUGGCCUACUAGAUUGAUCUUUCUUGCAACGGGAGAAGUGCUUAGCUUUGGGUUCAAUCUUGCGGUGUCCAUUCCCAGUGACAGUAGGGGCAGCAAGGCACAUAUUGUAUUGUUGCCAUCGAGGAUAACAAGAUGGUUUUUUUAUCAUAUUGCAUGAAUUUAUCCCUCUACAUCAUGUCAUCUUGCUUAAGGCAUUACUCUGUUUUCAUGAACUUAAUACUCUAGAUGCAUGCUGGAUAGCGGUCGAUGAGUGGAGUAAUAGUAGUAGAUGCAGGCAGGAGUCGGUCUACUUGUCUCGGACGUGAUGCCUAUAUACAUGAUCAUACCUAGAUAUUCUCAUAAUUAUGCUUAAUUUUGUCAAUUGCUCAACAGUAAUUCGUUCACCCACCAUAAAAUACUUAUGCUCUUGAGAGAAGCCACUAGUGAAACCUAUGGCCCCCGGGUCUAUCUUCAUCAUAUUAAUCUUCCAAUACUUAGUUAUUUCCUUUGCUUUUUCCUUUGCUUUUAUUUUACUUUGCAUCUUUAUCACAAAAAUACCAAAAAUAUUAUCUUAUCAUAUCUAUCAGAUCUCACUCUCGUAAGUGACUGUGAAGGAAUUGACAACCCCUUAUCGCGUUGGUUGCAAGGAGUUAUUUUCUUUGUGCAGGUACGAGGGACUCGCGCGUAGCCUCCUACUGGAUUGAUACCUCGGUUCUCAAAAACUGAGGGAAAUACUUACGCUACUUUGCUGCAUCACCCUUUCCUAUUCAAGGGAAAACCAACGCAGUGCUCAAGAGGUAGCAAGAAGGAUUUCUGGCGCCGCUGCCGGGGAGUCUAUGCAAAAGUCAAUAUACCAAGUACCCAUCACAAUCCUGAUCUCCUGCAUUACAUUAUUUGCCAUUUGCCUCUCAUUUUCCUCUCCCCCACUUCACCCUUGCCGUUUUUAUUCGCCCACUCUCUCUAUCCUCCCUCUCUUUCUCUAUUUGCCUCCUUUUGCCCGCUUGCUUUUUGUUUGUUUCUGUGUUGGAUUUCUUGCUUGUUAGGAUGGCUCUACCUAGAUUUGGUGAUCUUCACCUUAAAAGGUUAGAAGAGAUCGAAAGCAAUGUCAGGAGUUUUAUGGUUUUGUAAUUUGAGCAUAAUAAUUUCUUCAGAAAUGAGGUUAAUGAACUGAAAAGUUUUAUGAGUUUUAUAAAUAAAGAGCUCGAUGAUAUGUCUAAAGAAUUUGAUGGUUUAAGAUCCCAAAUUGCUCGUCUUGAUACUGAAAUUUGGGAUAAGCAAGCUACCUUAGUUAAUAGGAUGGCCGCUAAACCGGAUUUUUAUGAAAAUAAAGAUGAAGAACUAAAAGUUAUUGAUGUAUCCCCUAUUAAAUCUUUGUUUUGCAAUAUGAAUCUUAAUAAUGAUGGGACUGAACAUGAUCCACCUUUACCUAGAAGGCAUUCCAAAAAUUCAGAGUUUUUAGAUCUUGAUACUAAAUUUGAUGAAAGUGGGAUCGAAGAAAUUAAAACCCUAGAUAUUGCUAAACCCACUAUUUUGGAUUUCAAGGAAUUUAAUUAUGAAAAUUGCUCUUUGAUUGAUUGUAUUUCCUUGUUGCAAUCCAUGCUAAAUUCUCCUCAUGCUUAUAGUCAAAAUAAAGCGUUUACUAAACAUAUCGUUGAUGCCUUGAUGCAAUCUUAUGAAGAAAAACUUGAAUUGGAAGUUUCUAUCCCUAGAAAACUUUAUGAUGAGUGGGAACCAACUAUUAAAAUUAAGAUUAAAGAUCAUGAGUUCUAUGCUUUAUGUGAUUUGGGUGCUAGUGUUUCCACGGUUCCAAAGACUUUGUGUGAUUUUUUAGGUUUCCGUGAUUUUGAUGAUUGCUCUUUAAACUUGCACCCUGUGGAUUCCACUAUUAAGAAACCUAUGGGAAGAAUUAAUGCUGUUCUUAUUGUCGCAAAUAGGAAUUAUGUGCCUGUAGAUUUUAUUGUUCUUGACAUAGAUUUCAAUACUUCAUGUCCUAUUAUUCUUGGUAGACCUUUCCUUGGAACAAUUGGUGCAAUUAUUGAUAUGAAGGAAGGAAAUAUUAGAUUCCAAUUUCCUUUAAGGAAAGGCAUGGAACACUUUCCUAGAAAGAAAAUUAAAUUACCUUAUGAAUCUAUUAUGAGAGCCACUUAUGGAUUGCCUACCAAAGAUGGCAAUACCUAGAUCUAUCCUUGCUUUUUAUGCCUAGCUAGGGGCGUUAAGCGAUAGCGCUUGUUGGGAGGCAACCCAAUUUUGUUUUUAUUCCUUAAUUUUUGCUCCUGUUUAUUAAUAAAUAAUUUAUGUAGCCUCUGUUUAGGUUGUGUUUUUUGUGUUUAAUUAGUGUUUGUGCCAAAUAGAACCGUUGGGAUGACUUGGGGAAAGUCUUGAUAUCUUGCUGUAAAAAACAGAAACUUUAGUGCUCGCGAGAAUUGCUGCCAUUUUUAUUUUGAAAGUGAUAUUUAGUUAAUUCUUUUUGCAGAUUAUUAAUAGAUAAAUUCCUCACGUCCACCAAUUUAUUUUAGAAUUUUUGGGGUUCCAUAUCUUGCUCUAGCUACAGAUUACUACAGACUGUUCUGUUUUUGAUAGAUUCUGUUUUUCGUGUGUUGUUUGCUUAUUUUGAUGAAUCUAUGGCUAGUAAAAUAGUUUAUAAACAAUAGAGAAGUUGGAAUACAGUAGGUUUAACACCAAUAUAAAUAAAUAAUGAGUUCAUUACAGUACCUUAAAGUGGUCUUUUGUUUUCUUUCGCUAACGGAGCUCACGAGAUUUUCUACUUUAAGUUUUGUGUUGUGAAGUUUUCAAGUUUUGGGUAAAGAUUUGAUGGAUUAUGGAACAAGGAGUGGCAAGAGACUAAGCUUGGGGAUGCACAUGGAACCCCCAAGAUAAUCUAAGGACACCUAAAAGCCAAAGCUUGGGGAUGCCCCGGAAGGCAUCCCCUCUUUCGUCUACUUCUAUCGGUAACUUUACUUGGAGCUAUAUUUUUAUUCACCACAUGAUAUGUGUUUUGCUUGGAGCGUCUUGCAUGAUUUAAGUCUUUGCUUUUUAGUUUACCACAAUCAUCCUUUCUGUACACACCUUUUGAGAGAGCCAUACAUGAUUUGGAAUUUGUUAGAAUACUCUACGUGCUUCACUUAUAUCUUUUUGAGUUAUAUAGUUUUGCUAUAGUACUUCACUUAUAUCUUUUAGAGCACGGUGGUGGAUUUGUUUUAUAGAAACUAUUGAUCUCUCAUGCUUCACUUAGAUUAUUUUGAGAGUCUUAAAUAGCAUGGUAAUUUGCUUAAAUAAUCCUAAUAUGCUAGGUAUUCAAGAUUAGUAUUUUUUUUCUUAUGAGUGUUUUGAAUACUAAGAUAAGUUUGAUGCUUGAUGAUUGUUUUGAGAUAUGGAGGUAAUAAUAUCAAAGUUGUGCUAGUUGAGUAGUUGUGAAUUUGAGAAAUGCUUGUGUUGAAGUUUGCAAGUCCUGUAGCAUGCACGCAUGGUAAACGUUAUGUAACAAAUUUGAAACAUGAGGUGUUAUUUGAUUGUCCUCCUUAUGAGUGGCGGUCGGGGACGAGUGAUGGUCUUUUCCUACCAAUCUAUCCCCCUAGGAGCAUGCGCGUAGUGCUUGUUUUUUGAUGACUUGUAGAUUUUUGCAAUAAGUAUGUGAGUUCUUUAUGACUAAUGUUUAGUCCAUGGAUUAUACACACUCUCACCCUUCCAUCAUUGCUAGCCUCUUCGGUACCCUGCAUUGCCCUUUCUCACAUUGAGAGUUGGUGCAAACUUCGCCGGUGCAUCCAAACCCCGUGAUAUGAUACGCUCUUUCACACAUAAACCUCCUUAUAUCUUCCUCAAAACAGCCACCAUACCUACCUAUUAUGGCAUUUCCAUAGCCAUUCAGAGAUAUAUUGCCAUGCAACUUUCUACCAUUCCGUUUAUCAUGACCCAUUCAUCAUUGUCAUAUUGCUUAGCAUGAUCAUGUAGUUGACAUAGUAUUUGUGGCAAAGCCACCAUUCAUAAUUCUUUCAUACAUGUCACUCUUGGUUCAUUGCAUAUCCCGGUACACCGCCGGAGGCAUUCAUAUAGAGUCAUAUCUUGUUCUAAGUAUCGAGUUGUAAUUCUUGAGUUGUAAGUAAACAUAAGUGUGAUGACCAUCAUUCAUAGAGCAUUGUUCCAAAAAAAGGAAGGCCAAAAAAAGUCCAAAUAAAAAAAUAAAAGGGACAAUGCUACUAUCCUUUGCCACACUUGUGCUUCAAAGUAGCACCAUAAUCUUCAUGAUAGAGAGUCUUUUGUUUUGUCACUUCCAUAUACUGGUGAGAAUUUUUCAUUAUAGAACUUGGCUUGUAUAUUCCAACAAUGGGCCUCCUCAAGUGCCCUAGGUCUUCGUGAGCAAGCAAGUUGGAUGCACACCCACUUAGUUUCUUUUGUUGAGCUUUCAUACAUUUAUAGCUCUAGUGCAUCCGUUGCAUGGAAAUCCCUACUCCUUGCAUUAACAUCAAUCGAUGGGCAUCUCCAUAGCCCAUUGAUUAGCCUCGUUGACGUGAGACUUUCUCCUUUUUGUCUUCUCCACAUAACCCCCAUCAUAUUCUAUUCCACCCAUAGUGCUAUAUCCAUGGCUCGCGCUCAUAUAUUGCGUGAAAGUUUAUAGGUUUGAGAUUACUAAAUUAUGAAACAAUUGCUUGGCUUGUCAUCGGGGUUGUGCAUGAUGAGAGCAUUCUUGUGUGACGAAAAUGGAGCAUGACUAAACUAUAUGAUUUUGUAGGGAUGAACUUUCUUUGGCCAUGUUAUUUUGAGAAGACAUAAUUGCUUAGUUAGUAUGCUUGAAAUAUUAUUAUUUUUAUGUCAAUAUGAACUUUUAUCUUGAAUCUUUCGGAUCUGAAUAUUCAUACCACAAUUAAGAAGAAUUACAUUAAAAUUAUGCCAAGUAGCACUCCGCAUCAAAAAUUCUGUUUUUAUCAUUUAUCUAAUCGAGGACGAGCAGGAAUUAAGCUUGGGGAUGCUUGAUACGUCUCCAACGUAUCUAUAAUUUUUGAUUGCUCCAUGCUAUAUUAUCUACUGUUUUGGACAUUAUGGGGCUUUAUUAUCCACUUUUAUAUUAUUUUUGGGACUAACCUAUUAACCGGAGCCCCAGCCCAGAAUUGCUGUUUUUUUUGCCUAUUUUAGGGUUACGAAGAAAAGGAAUAUCAAAUGGAGUCCAAACGGAAUGAAACCUUCGGGAACGUGAUUUUCUCACCGAACAUGAUUCAGGAGACUUGGACCCUACGUCAAGAAACAAAGGAGGAGGCCAUGAGGUAGGGGGCCGCGCCUACCCCCAGGCGCGCCCUCCACCCUCGUGGGCCUCCCGUUGCUCCACCGACGUACUCCUUCCUCCUAUAUAUACCUACGUACCCCCAAACAAUCAGAUACGGAGCCUAAACCCUAAUUCCACCGCCGUAACUUUCUGUAUCCACAAGAUCCCAUCUUGGGGCCUGUUCCGGAGCUCCGCCGGAGGGGGCAUCCAUCACGGAGGGCUUCUACAUCAACACCAUAGCCCCUCCGAUGAAGUGUGAGUAGUUUACCUCAGACCUUCGGGUCCAGAGUUAUUAGCUAGAUGGCUUCUUCUCUCUUUUUGGAUCUCAAUACAAUGUUCUCCCCCUCUCUUGUGGAGAUCUAUUCGAUGUAAUCUUCUUUUUACGGUGUGUUUGUUGAGAUCGAUGAAUUGUGGGUUUAUGAUCAAGAUUAUCUAUGAACAAUAUUUGAAUCUUCUCUAAAUUCUUUUAUGUAUGAUUGGUUAUCUUUGCAAGUCUCUUCGAAUUAUCAAUUUGGUUUGGCCUACUAGAUUGAUCUUUCUUGCAACGGGGGAAGUGCUUAGCUUUGGGUUCAAUCUUGCGGUGUCCUUUCCCAGUGACAGUAGGGGCAGCAAGGCACGUAUUGUAUUGUUGCCAUCGAGGAUAACAAGAUGGGGUUUUUAUCAUAUUGCAUGAAUUUAUCCCUCUACAUCAUGUCAUCUUGCUUAAGGCGUUACUCUGUUUUCAUGAACUUAAUACUCUAGAUGCAUGCUGGAUAGUGGUCGAUGAGUGGAGUUAUAGUAGUAGAUGCAGGCAGGAGUCGGUCUACUUGUCUCGGACGUGAUGCCUAUAUACAUGAUCAUACCUAGAUAUUCUCAUAACUAUGCUCAAUUCUGUCAAUUGCUCAACAGUAAUUCGUUCACCCACCAUAAAAUACUUAUGCUCUUGAGAGAAGCCACUAGUGAAACCUAUGGCCCACGGGUCUAUCUUCAUCAUAUUAAUCUUCCAAUACUUAGUUAUUUCCUUUGCCUUUUCCUUUGCUUUUAUUUUACUUUGCAUCUUUAUCACAAAAAUACCAAAACUAUUAUCUUAUCAUAUCUAUCAGAUCUCACUCUCGUAAGUGACCGUGAAGGAAUUGACAACUCCUUAUCGCGUUGGUUGCAAGGAGUUAUUUGCUUUGUGCAGGUACGAGGGACUCGCGCGUAGCCUCCUACUGGAUUGAUACCUUGGUUCUCAAAAACUGAGGGAAAUACUUACGCUACUUUGCUGCAUCACCCUGUCCUCUUCAAGGGAAAACCAACGCAGUGCUCAAGAGGUAGCAGGGGGCGCCGCCCAGGGGGUAGGGCGCGCCCUCCACCCUCGUGGCCAGGUGCUUUCUCCUCCUGCUGUGUUCUCAGUGCCAGAUAUUCUCAAAUAUUCCAGAAAAAUCCUUUUUAAAUUUCAGGGCGUUCGGAGAACUUUUAUUUUCGGGGUAUUUUUAUAUUGCACGGAUAAAUCAGAUAACAGACGGAAAAUACUUAUUUUUAUUUUAUUGAAUAUAAAUAACAGAAAGUAAAAGGAGGGUACAGAGAGUUGUGCCUUCUAGUUUCAUCCAUCUCACGCUCAUCAAAAGGAAUCCACUAACAAGGUUGAUCAAGUCUUGUUAACGAACUCAUUCCGAAUAACAUGGAACUGGAGAAAUUUCGAAUAACACUAUGUUACCUCAACGGGGAUAUGCACAUCCCCAAUAAUAAGAAUAUCAUAUUUAUUUUUGACAGUAGGUAGAGGAAAUUCAAAACCUCCAAUAAUAAUCGAUGGGAUUUUCCAAUAGAGUUGAUACUAUGAACUUGAGGUUGUUUCCUCGAAAAGUGUACUGUAUGCUCAUUACAAUUAACAUGAAAAGUGACAUUGCCUUUGUUGCAAUCAAUAACAGCCCCUGCAAUAUUCAAAAAGGGUCUUCCAAGAAUAAUAGACAUACUAUCGUCCUCGGGAAUAUCAAGAAUAUCAAAGUCCGUUAAAAUAGUAACAACCAGAACAGGCACAUCCUCACAAAUAUUGACAAGCAUAGCAGUUGAUUUAUCAGCCAUUUGCAAAGAUAUUUCAGUAGGUGUCAACUUAUUCAAAUCAAGUCUAUGAUAUAAAGAGAGAGGCAUAACACUAACACCGGCUCCAAGAUCACAUAAAGGAGUUUUAACAUAGUUCCUUUUGAUGGAGCAUGGUAUAGUGGGUACUCCUGGAUCUCCAAGUUUCUUUGGUAUUCCACCUUUAAAAGUAUAAUUAGCAAGCAUGGUGGAAAUUUCAGCUUCCGGUAUCUUUCUUUUAUUUGUAACAAUAUCUUUCAUGUACUUAGCAUAAGGAUUCAUUCUAAGCAUAUCAGUUAAUCGCAUACGCAAAAAGAUAGGUCUAAUCAUUUCAGCAAAGCGCUCAAAAUGCUCAUCGUCCCUUUUCUUGGAUGGUUUGGGAGGAAAAUGCAUGGGUUUCUGAACCCAAGGCUCUCUUUCCUUUCCAUGUUUCCUAGCAACAAAGUCUUUCUUAUCAUAACGUUGAUUCUUCGAUUGUGGGUUAUCAAGAUCAACAACAGGUUCAAUUUCUAUAUCAUUAUCAUUACUAGGUUGAGCAUCAUCAUGAACAUUAUCAUUAACAUUAUCACUAGUUUCAGGUUCAUUACCAGAUUGUAUUUCAGCAUCAGAAAUAGAAAUAUCAUUUGGAUUCUUAGGUGUUUCAGCAAUAGGUUCACUAGAAGCAUGCAAAGUCCUAUCAUUUUUUUCUUCCUUUUAGAAGGACUAGGUGCAUCUAUAUUAUUUCUCUGAGAAUCUUGCUCAAUUCUCUUAGGGUGGACUUUAGGAUACAAAGGUUCCUGAGUCAUUCUACCAGUUCUAGUAGCCACUCUAACAAGAAAAUCAUUAUUCUUACUAUUCAAUUCAUUGAGCAAAUCAUUUUGAGCUUUAAGUACUUGUUCUACUUGAGUGGUAACCAUAGAAGCAUGUUUACUAAUAAGUUUAAGUUCACCUUUGACAUUAGCCAUAUAAUCACCCAAGUGUUCAAGCAUAUCAGCACUAUGUUUUAAUUCUCUACCAAAAUAAGCAUUGAAGUCUUCUUGCUUAACCAUAAAUUUAUCAAACUCAUCUAAGCAUGGGCUUGCAAACUUAGUAAAUGGGAUAUCAGCUUUAUCAUAUCUAUAGAGAGAAUUUACCUUUACUACCUGUGUCGGGUUAUCAAGACCAUGUAUUUCUUCAAUAUGAGAUGGAUUAAAAUUAUGCAUUUCUUUGACAGGCGGUAAAUUAAGACCAUGCAUUUCUUCAAUAGGAGGUAAAUUCUUAACAUCUUUAGCUUUAAUACCCUUUUCUUUUAUGGAUUUCUUUGCCUCUUGCAUAUCCUCAGGGCUGAGAAGUAGAACACCUCUCUUCUUCGGAGUUGGUUUAGGAAUAGGCUCAGGAGCUGGCUCAGGAAGUGUCCAAUUAUUUUCAUUUGUCAACAUAUUAUUCAAUAGAAUUUCAGCUUCAUCCAGUGUUCUUUCCCUGAAAACAGAACCAUCACAACUAUCUAGGUAAUCUCUGGAAGCAUCGGUUAGUCCAUUAUAAAAGAUAUCAAGUAUUUCAUUUUUCUUAAGAGGAUGAUCAGGCAAAGCAUUAAGUAAUUGGAGAAGCCUCCCCCAAGCUUGUGGGAGACUCUCUUCUUCAAUUUGCACAAAAUUAUAUAUAUCCCUCAAAGCAGCUUGUUUCUUAUGAGCAGGGAAAUAUUUAGCAGAGAAGUAAUAAAUCAUAUCCUGGGGACUAUGCACACAACCAGUAUCAAGAGAAUUAAACCAUAUCUUAGCAUCACCCUUUAAUGUGAACAGAAAUAUUUUAAGGAUAUAAAAGUAGCAAGAUUUCUCAUCAUUAGUGAACAGGGUGGCUAUAUCAUUUAAUUUAGUAAGAUGUGCCACAACAGUUUCAGAUUCAUAGCCAUGAAAAGGAUUAGAUUCAACCAAAGUAAUUAUAUCAGGAUCAAUAGAGAAUUCAUAAUCCUUAUCAGUAACAUAGAUAGGUGAAGUAGCAAAAGCAGGGUCGGGUUUCAUUCUAGCAUUAAGAGAUUGCUGCUUCCAUUUAGCUAAUAACCUCUUUAGAUCAUAUCUAUCAUUGCAAGCUAAAAUAGCUAGAGCAGCUUCUUUUUCCAAAACAUAACCCUCAGGAAUAAUAGGUGAUUCAUAUUUAUUAGGGGGAGAGUCUUCAUCAUCACUUUCGUUAAUAUUACCAGUUUCAAUAAUUUCAUUCUCUCUAACCCUAGCAAGUUGUUCAUCAAGAAAUUCACCAAGUGGCACAGUAGUAUCAAGCAUAGAAGUAGUUUCAUCAUAAGUAUCCUGCAUAGCAGAAGUGGCAUCAUCAAUAACAUGUGACAUAUCAGAAUGAAUAGCAGAAGCAGGUUUAGGUGUCGCAAGCUUACUCAAAACAGAAGGUGAAUCAAGUGCAGAGCUAGAUGGCAGUUCCUUACCCCCCCUCGUAGUUGAGGGAUAAAUCUUGGUUUUUGGAUCUCUCAAGUUCUUCAUAAUGAUAAGUAGAUAUAAAUCCCAAGUGACUCAAAGAAUAGAGCUAUGCUCCCCGGCAACGGCGCCAGAAAAUAGUCUUGAUAACCCACAAGUAUGGGGGAUCGCAACAGUUUUCGAGGGUAGAGUAUUCAAACCAAAUUUAUUGAUUCGACACAAGGGGAGCCAAAGAAUAUUCUCAAGUAUUAGCAGCUGAGUUGUCAAUUCAACCACACCUGGAAACUUAAUAUCUACAGCAAAGUGUUUAGUAGGAAAGUAAUAUGAUAGUAGUGGUAAUGGUAGCAAAAGGUAAUGAUAGCAAAAGUAAUAUUUUUGGUGUUUUGUAGUGAUUGUAACAAUAGCAACGGAAAAGUAAAUAAGCGAAGAACAAUAUAUGGAAAGCUCGUAGGCAAUGGAUCGGUGAUAGAGAAUUAUGCCGGAUGUGGUUCAUCAUGUAACAGUCAUAACCUAAGGUGACACAGAACUAGCUCCAAUUCAUCAAUGCAAUGUAGGCAUGUAUUCCGAAUAUAGCCAUACGUGCUUAUGGAAAAGAACUUGCAUGACAUAUUUUGUCCUACCCUCCCAUGGCAGCGGGGUCCUAAUGGAAACUAAGGGAUAUUAAGACCUCCUUUUAAUAGAUUACCGGACCAAAGCAUUAACACAUAGUGAAUACAUGAACUCCUCAAACUACGGUCAUCACCGGGAGUGGUCCCGAUUAUUGUCACUUUGGGGCUGCCGGAUCAUAACACAUAGUAGGUGACUAUAGACUUGCAAGAUAGGAUCAAGAACUCUCAUAUAUUGAUGAAAACAUAAUAGGUUCAGAUCUGAAAUCAUGGCACUCGGGCCCUAGUGACAAGCAUUAAGCAUAGCAAAGUCAUAGCAACAUCAAUCUCAGAACAUAGUGGAUACUAGGGAUCAAACCCUAACAAAACUAACUCGACUACAUGAUAAAUCUCAUCCAACCCAUCACCAUCCAGCAAGCCUACGAUGGAAUUACUCACGCACGACGGUGAGCAUCAUGAAAUUGGUGAUGGAGUAAGGUUGAUGAGGAUGAUGGUGACGGAUUCCCCUCUCCGGAGCCUCGAACGGACUCUAGAUCAGCCCUCCCGAGAGGUUUUAGGGCUUGGCGGUGGCUCCGUAUCGUAAAACGCAAUGAAUCCUUCUCUCUGAUUUUUUUCUUCCCGAAAGCAAAUAUAUAGAGUUGGAGUUGAGGUCGGAGGAGCUCCAGGGCCCCCCCUGGUCUUCAUCUUUUGCAAGAUUUUUUAUUAUUUCCAAGAAGACGUUCCGUGAAGUUUCAGGUCAUUCCGAGAACUUUUAUUUCUGCACAUAAAUAACACCAUAGUAAUUCUGCUGAAAACAUCGUCAGUCCGGGUUAGUUCCAUUCAAAUCAUGCAAGUUAGAGUCCAAAGGGCAAAAGUGUUUGAAAAAGUAGAUAGGACGGAGACGUAUCACAUACCCAGCGAUCCCCGUACUCAAACAGGUUUGAGCUCCCUCGAUGGUGUGGCACACCUCACAUUUGGGCACACUUAUCCCUAGCCUUAUUGUGUUCGGCUAGCCAUUGGGGAGAGCACCACUCAUCCACCAACGCCUCCCAACAGUCCAUCAUAUCCGCACACCAUCUCAGGGGCACCUAAGUUUGGCAAAGAGAAAUUUCAGCGCUACACCUACGAAUGAAAUCAAGGAAACUAAGUACAAGGCCUUAAGAAUAGGUAAUUACCUUCAUGUACUUCUCCUUACUCAGAUACUUGCCGCGGCACUUCUUCUUGGCCCUCCUACUGUUAGUCGAGGCGUAGUAGUCUCGAACAGCCUGCACCCUAGCCUCAUGUCGUAAGUUCUGAAGUAGGCGCUUGCACUCGGCUUCAAGAAUCCUAGACGCCUCCACCUUGUGUUCCUCAGAACACCUGUAGAAGGUAUGCAAUCGAACAAGACAACACCGAUUAGUACAAUCACUAGGUAAUGUUGAUUUUGAAGGAAAUAUGCCCUAGAGGCAAUAAUAAAGUUGUUAUUUAUUUCCUUAUAUCAUGAUAAAUGUUUAUUAUUCAUGCUAGAAUUGUAUUAACCGGAAACUUAGUACAUGUGUGAAUACAUAGAACAACACAGUGUCACUAGUUUGCCUCUACUUGACUAGCUCGUUGAAUCAAUGAUGGUUAUGUUUCCUAACCAUAGACAUGAUUUGUCAUUUGAUUAACAGGAUCACAUCAUUAGAGAAUGAUGUGAUCGACUUGACCCAUCCGUUAGCAUAGCAUGAUGAUCGUUUAGUUUGUUGCUAUUGCUUUCUUCAUAACUAUACAUGUUCCUAUGACUAUGAGAUCAUGCAACUCCCGAAUACCGGAGGAACACUUUGUGUGCUAUGAAACGUCACAACGUAACUUGGGGAUUAUACAGGUGCUCUACAGAUGUCUCCGAUGGUGUUUGUUGAGUUGGCAUGGAUCAAGAUUAGGAUUUGUCACUCCAAUUGUCGAAGAGGUAUCUCUGGGCCCUCUCGGUAAUGUACAUCACUAUAAGCCUUGCAAGCAAUGUAGCUAAUGAGUUUGUUAUGGGAUGUAGCAUUACAGAACGAGGAAAGAGACUUGUCGGUAAUGAGAUUGAACUAGGUAUUAGGAUACCGACGAUCGAAUCUCGGGCAAGUAACAUACCGAUGACAAAGGGAACAACAUAUACCAUUAUGCGAUUUGACCGAUAAAGAUCUUCGUAGAAUAUGUAGGAGCCAAUAUGAGCAUCCAGGUUCCGCUAUUGGUUAUUGACCAGAGACAUGUCUCGGUCAUGUCUACAUAGUUCUCGAACCCAUAGGGUCCGCGCUUAAAGUUUGGUGACAGUCAGUAUUACGAGUUUAUGUGUUUUGAUGUACCGAAGGUAGUUCGGAGUCCCGGAUUUGAUCACAGACAUGACGAGGAGUCUCGAAAUGGUCGAGACGUAAAGAUCGACAUAUUGGAAGCCUAUCUUUGGACAUCGGAAUGGUUCCGGAUGAAAUCAGGAGUAUACCGGAGCACCGGGAGGUUACCGGAACCCCCCGAGGGGUGUAUGGGCCUUAUUGGGCCUUAGUGGAAGAGAGGGAGAAGAAGCAAAGGAAGGGGGCACCCCCCAAGCCCAAUCCAAAUUGGGAGGGGGCCGGGCCCCCUUUCCUUCCUUCUUCCUCCUCCUUCCUUCUCUCCUAAAACCAAACAAGGGAAGGGGUGAAUCCUACUCCCGGUGGGAGUAGGACUCCCUUGGGCGCGCCUAGAGAGGCCGGCCCCUCCCCCUCCUCCACUCCUUUAUAUACGGGGAGGGAGGCACCCCAUAUGGACACACAAGUUGAUCACUGAUCUUUUACCGUGUGCGGUGCCCCGCUCCACCAUAAUCCACCUCGGUAAUAUCGUAGCGGUGCUUAGGCGAAGCCCUGUUUCGGUAGCAACAUCAUCACCGUCAUCACACCGUUAUGUUGACGAAGCUCUCCCUCGAAGCUCUACUAGAUCGUGAGUUCGCGGGACGUCACCGAGCCGAAUGUGUCAGAUUGCGGAGGUGCCGUACCUUCGGUGCUGGAUCGGUCGAUCGUGAAGACGUACGACUACAUCAACCACGUUGUCAUAAUGCUUCCGCUUAUGGUCUACGAGUGUACGUAGAUGAUACUCUCCCCUCUCGUUGCUAUGCAUCACCAUGAUCUUGCGUGUGUAUAGGAUUUUUUUUGAAAUUACUGCGUUCCCCAACAGUGGCAUCCGAGCUAGGUUUAUGCGUAGAUGUUAUAUGCACGAGUAGAACACAAAGGAGUUGUGGGCGUGGGUAUAUACUUAUUGCUUGCCGUCACUAGUUGAUUCUUGAUUCAGCGACAUUGUUGGAUGAAGCGGCCCAGAUCGACAUUACGCGUAUGCUUACGCGAGACUAGUUCUACCGACGUGCUUCACACACAGGUGGCUAGUGGGUGUCUGUUUCUCCAGCUUUAGUUGAAUUGGAUUCAACGAACAUGGUUCUUUCUGAAGAUCAAAAACCAAUCACUAUACCACGUUCUGGUUUUGAUGCGUAGGUAAGAACGGUUCUUGCUCAGCCCAUAGCAGCCACGUAAAACUUGCAACAACAAACUAGAGGACAUCUAACUUGUUUUUGCAGGGCAUGUUGUGAUGUGAUAUGGUCAAGACAUGAUGCUAAAUUUUAUUGUAUGAGAUGAUCAUGUUUUGUAACAUAGUUAUCGGCAACUGGCAGGAGCCAUAUGGUUGUCGCUUUAUUGUAUGAAAUGCAAUGCCAUGUAAUUGCUUUACUUUAUCACUAAGCGGUAGCGAUAGUCGUAGAAGCAAUAGUUGGCGAGAUGACAAUGAUGCUUCGAUGGAGAUCAAGGUGUCAAGCCGGUGACGAUGGUGAUCAUGACGGUGCUUUGGAGAUGGAGAUCAAAGUCACAAGAUGAUGAUGGCCAUAUCAUAUCACUUAUAUUGAUUGCAUGUGAUGUUUAUCCUUUAUGCAUCUUAUUUUUCUUAGUUCGGCGGUAGCAUUAUAAGAUGAUCUCUCACUAAAUUUCAAGGUAUAAGUGUUCUCCCUGAGUAUGCACCGUUGCUACAAUUUGUCGUGCCGAGACACCACGUGAUGAUCGGGUGUGAUAAGCUCUACAUUCACAUACAAUGGGUGCAAGCCAGUUUUGCACACGCGGAAUACUCGGGUUAAACUUGACAAGCCUAGCAUAUGCAGAUAUGGCCUCAGAACACUGGAGACCGAAAGGUCGAGCGUGAAUCAUAUAGUAGAUAUGAUCAACAUAGUGAUGUUCACCAUUGAAAACUACUCCAUCUCACGUGAUGAUCGGACAUGGUUUAGUUGAUAUGGAUCACGUGAUCACUUAGAUGAUUAGAGAGAUGUCUAUCUAAGUGGGAGUUCUUAAGUAAUUUGAUUAAUUGAACUUUAAUUUAUCAUGAACUUAGUACCUGAUAGUAUUUUGCAUGUCUAUGUUGUUCUAGAUAGAUGGCCCGUGCUGUUGUUCCGUUGAAUUUUAAUGCGUUCCUAGAGAAAGCUAAGUUGAAAGAUGACGGUAGCAACUACAUGGACUGGGUCUGUAACUUGAAGAUUAUCCUCAUUGCUGCAUAGAAGAAUUACGCCCUGGAAGCACCACUAGGUGACAAACCCGCUGCAGGAAUAACGCCAGAUGUUAUGAACACGUGGCAGAGCAAAGCUGUUUUCUACUCAAUAGUUCAGUGUGCCAUCCUUUACAGCUUAGAACCGGGACUUCAACAACGUUUUGAACGUCAUGGAGCAUAUGAGAUGUUUCAGGAGUUGAAGUUAAUAUUUCAAGCAAAUGCCCAGAUUGAGAGAUAUGAAGUCUCCAAUAAGUUCUACAGCUGCAAGAUGGAGGAGAAUAGUUCUGUCAGUGAACAUAUACUCAGAAUGUUUGGGUACCACAACCACUUGACUCAACUAGGAGUUAGUCUUACUGAUGAUAGUGUCAUUGACAGAGUUCUUCAAUCACUGCCACCAAGCUACAAGAGCUUCAUGAUGAACUAUAAUAUGCAAGGGAUGGAUAAGACGAUUCCCAAGCUCUUCGCAACACUAAAGGAUGUGGAGGUAGAAAUCAAGAAGGAGCAUCAAGUGUUGAUGGUCAACAAGACCACCAGUUUCAAUAAAAAGGGUAAAGGGAAGAAGGGGAACUUCAAGAAGAACAGCAAGCCAGUUGCUGCUCAAGUGAAUAAACCCAUGUCUAGACCUAAGCCUGAGACUGAGUGCUUCUACUGCAAAGGAACUGGUCACUGGAAGCGGAACUUCCCCAAGUAUUUGGCGGAGAAGAAGGAUGGCAAAGUGAAAGGUAUAUUUGAUAUACAUGUUAUUCAUGUGUACCUUACUAAUGCUCGCAGUAGUGCCUGGGUAUUUGAUACUGGUUCAGUUGCUAACAUUUGCAACUCGAAACAGGGGCUACGGAUUAAGUGAAGAUUGGCUAAGGACGAGGUGACGAUGCGCGUGGUAAAUGGUUUCAAAGUCGAUGUGAUCGCUGUCGGCACGCUGCCUCUACAUCUACCUUCGGGAUUAGUAUUAUACCUAAAUAAUUGUUAUUUGGUGCCAGCGUUCAGCAUGAACAUUAUAUCUGGAUCUUGUUUGAUGCGAGACGGUUAUUCAUUUAAAUCAGAUAAUAAUGGUUGUUCUAUUUAUAUGAGUAAUAUCUUUUAUGGUCAUGCACCCCUGAUGAGUGGUCUAUUUUUACUAAAUCUUGAUAGUAGUGAUACACAUGUUCAUAGUAUUCAAGCCAAAAGAUGCAGAGUUGAUAAUGAUAGUGCAAUUUAUUUGUGGCACUGCCGUUUAGGUCAUAUUUGUGUAAAGCGCAUGAAGAAACUCCAUUCCGAUGGACUUCUGGAAUCACUUGAUUAUGAAUCACUUGGUACUUGCGAACCAUGCCUCAUGGGCAAGAUGACUAAAACUCCAUUCUCUGGAACAAUGGAGCGAGCAACAGAGUUAUUGGAAAUCAUACAUACUCAUGUAUGUGGUCCAAUGAACAUUUAAGCUCGCGGCGGAUAUCGUUAUUUUCUCACCUUCACAUAUGAUUUGAGCAGAUAUGGGUAUAUCUACUUAAUGAAACAUAAGUCUGAAACAUUUGAAAAGUUCAAAGAAUUUCAAAGUGAAGUGGAAAAUCAUCGUAACAAGAAAAUCAAGUUUCUACGAUCUGAUCGUGGAGGCGAAUAUUUGAGUUAUGAGUUUGGACUUCAUGUGAAACAAUGCGGAAUAGUUUCCCAACUCAUGCCACCUGGAACACCACAGUGUAAUGGUGUGUCCGAACAUCGUAAUCGCACUUUACUAGAUAUGGUGCGAUCUAUGAUGUCUCUCACUGAUUUACCGUCGUUUUGGGGUUACGCUUUAGAGACAGCUACAUUCACGUUAAAUAGGGUACCAUCUAAAACCAUCAAGAUCACACCUUAUGAACUAUGGUUUGGCAAGAAACCCAAGUUGUCGUUUCUUAAAAUUUGGGGCUGCGAUGCUUAUGUGUAAAAGCUUCAACCUGAUAAGAUCGAAUCCAAUCGGAGAAAUGUGUCUUCAUAGGAUACCGAAAGGAGACUGUUGGGUAGACCUUCUAUCACAAAUCCGAAGGCAAGAUAUUCGUUGCUAAGAAUGGAUCCUUUCUAGAGAAGGAGUUUCUCUCGAAAGAAGUGAGUGGGAGGAAAGUAGAACUUGACGAGGUAAUUGUACCUUCUCCCUUAUUGGAAAGUAGUUCAUCACUGAAAUCAGUUCCAGUGAUUCCUACACCAGUAAGUGAGGAAGCUAAUGAUGAUGAUCAUGAAACUUCUGAUCAAGUUACUACCGAACCUCGUAGGUCAACCAGAGUAAGAUCCGCACCAGAGUGGUAUGGUAAUCCUAUUCUGGAAGUCAUGUUACUUGACCAUGACGAACCUACGAACUAUGAGGAAGCGAUGAUGAGCCCAGAUUCCGCAAAAUGGCUUGAAGCCAUGAAAUCUGAGAUGGGAUCCAUGUAUGAGAGCAAAGUAUGGACUUUGGUUGACUUGCCCGAUGAUCGGCAGGCCACAGAGAAUAAAUGGAUCUUCAAGAAGAAGACUGACGAUGACAGUACUAUUACUGUCUACAAAGCUCGACUUGUUGCGAAAGGUUUUCGACAAGUUCAAGGAUUUAACUACAAGACCUUCUCACCCGUAGCAAUGCUUAAGUCCGUCCGAAUCAUGUUAGCAAUUGCCGCAUUUUAUGAUUAUGAAAUUUGGCAAAUGGAUGUCAAAACUGCAUUCCUUAAUGGAUAUCUUAAAGAAGAGUCGUAUAUGAUGCAACCAGAAGGUUUUGUCGAUCCAAAGGGUGCUAACAAAGUGUGCAAGCUCUACCGAUCCAUUUAUGGACUGGUGCAAGCCUCUCGGAGUUGGAAUAUACGCUUUGAUAGUGUGAUCAAAGCAUAUGGUUUUAUACAGACUUUUGGAGAAGCCUAUAUUUACAAGAAAGUGAGUGGGAGCUCCGUAGCAUUUCUAAUAUUAUAUGUAGAUGACAUAUUGUUAAUCGGAAAUGAUACUGAAUUUCCAAAUAGCAUAAAAGGAUACUUGAAUAAGAAUUUUUCAAUGAAAGACCUCGGUGAAGCUGCUUAUAUAUUGGGCAUCAAGAUCUAUAGAGAUAGAUCAAGACGCUUAAUUGGACUUUCACAAAGCACAUACCUUGAUAAAGUUUUGAAGAAGUUCAAAAUGGAUCGGGCAAAGAAAGGGUUCUUGCCUGUAUUACAAGAUGUGAAGUUGAGUUAGACUCAAUGCCCGACCACUGCAGAAGAUAGAGAGAAAAUGAAAGGUGUUACCUAUGCUUCAGCCAUAGGCUCUAUCAUGUAUGCAAUGCUGUGUACCAGACUUGAUGUGUGCCUUGCUAUAAGUUUAGCAGGGAGGUACCAAAGUAAUCCAGGAGUGGAUCACUGGACAGCGGUUAAGAACAUCCUGAAAUACCUGAAAAGGACUAAGGAUAUGUUUCUUGUAUAUGGAGGUGACAAAGAGCUCGUCGUAAACAGUUACGUCGAUGCAAGCUUUGACACUGAUCCGGAUGACUCUAAGUCACAAACCAGAUACAUGUUUUUAUUAAAUGGUGGAGCUGUCAGUUGGUGCAGUUCCAAGCAGAGCGGCGUGGCGGGAUCUACAUGUGAAAGGAAUACAUAGCCGCUUCGAAAGCAGCAAAUGAAGGAGUCUGGAUGAAGGAGUUAAUAUCCGAUCUAGGUGUCAUACCUAGUGCAUCGGGUCCAAUGAAAAUCUUUUGUGAAAAUACUGGAGCAAUGCCUUGGCAAAGGAAUCCAGAUUUCACAAGAGAACCAAGCACAUCAAGAGACGCUUUAAUUCCAUCCGCGAUCAAGUCAAGGAGGGAGACAUAGAGAUUUGCAAGAUACAUACGGAUCUGAAUGUUGCAGACCCGUUGACUAAGCCUCUCUCACGAGCAAAACAUGAUCAGCACAAAGACUCCAUGGGUGUUAGAAUCAUUACAAUGCAAUCUAGAUUAUUGACUCUAGUGCAAGUGGGAGACUGAAGGAAAUAUGCCCUAGAGGCAAUAAUAAAUUUGUUAUUUAUUUCCUUAUAUCAUGAUAAAUGUUUAUUAUUCAUGCUAGAAUUAUAUUAACUGGAAACUUAGUACAUGUGUGAAUACAUAGACAAACAGAGUGUCACUAGUUUUCCUCUACUUGACUAGCUCGUUGAAUCAAUGAUGGUUAUGUUUCCUAACCAUAGACAUGAGUUGUCAUUUGAUUAACGGGAUCACAUCAUUAGAGAAUGAUGUGAUUGACUUGACCCAUCCGUUAGCGUAGCACGAUGAUCGUUUAGUUUGUUGCUAUUACUUUCUCCAUAACUAUACAUGUUCCUAUGACUAUGAGAUCAUGCAACUCCCGAAUACCGGAGGAACACUUUGUGUUCUACCAAACGUCACAACGUAACUGCGUGAUUAUAAAGGUGCUCUACAGGUGUCUCUGAUGGUGUUUGUUGAGUUGACAUGGAUGAAGAUUAGGAUUUGUCACUCCGAUUGUCGGAAAGGUAUCUCUGGGCCCUCUCGGUAAUGUACAUCACUAUAAGCCUUGCAAGCAAUAUAGCUAAUGAGUUAGUUAUGGGAUCUAGCAUUACGGAAUGAGUAAAGAGACAUGACAGUAACGAGAUUGAACUAGGUAUUGGGAUACCGACGAUCGAAUCUCGGGCAAGUAACAUACCGAUGACAAAGGGAACAACGUAUACCGUUAUGCGGUUUGAGCGAUAAAGAUCUUCGUAGAAUAUGUAGGAGCCAAUAUGAGAAUCCAGGUUCCGCUAUUGGCUAUUGACCGGAGACAUGUCUCGAUCAUGUCUAAAUAGUUCUCGAACCCGUAGGGUCUGCACGCUUGACGUUUGGUGACGAUCGGUAUUACGAGUUUAUGUGUUUCGAUGUACCGAAGGUAGUUUGGAGUCCCAGAUUUGAUCACGGACAUGACAAGGAGCCUCGAAAUGGUCGAGACGUAAAGAUCGAUAUAUUGGAAGCCUAUGUUUGGACAUUGAAAUGGUUCAGGGUGAAAUCGGGAGUAUGCCAGAGCACCAGGAGGUUACCAAACCCCCCCCCCGGGAGGUGUAUGGGCCUUAUUGGGCCCUAGUGGAAGAGAGGGAGAAGAAGCAAAGGAAGGGGGCGUGCUCUAGAGCCCAAUCCUAACUGGGAGGGGGGCCGGCCCCCCUUUCUUUCCUUCUUCCUCCUCCUUCCUUCUCUCCUUAAACCAAACAAGGGAAGGGGGAAUCCUACUCCCGGUGGGAGUAGGACUCCCUUGGGCGCGCCUAGAGAGGCCGGCCCCUCCCCCUCCUCCACUCCUUUAUAUAUGGGGAGGGGGCACCCCAUGGACACACAAGUUAAUCAUUGAUCUUUUAGCCAUGUGUGGUGCCCCCUCCACCAUAAUCCACCUCGGUAAUAUCGUAGCGGUGCUUAGGCAAAGCCCUAUUCCGGUAGCAACAUCAUCACCGUCAUCACACCGUCGUGUUGACGAAACUCUCCCUCUAAGCUCUUCUAGAUCGUGAGUUCGAGGGACGUCACCGAGUCAAACAUGUGCAGAUCGCGGAGGUGCCGUAUCUUCGGUGCUGGAUCGGUUGAUCGUGAAGACGUACGACUACAUUAACCGCGUAGUCAUAACGCUUCCGCUUAUGGUCUACGAGGGUACGUAGAUGACACUCUCCCCUCUCAUUGCUAUGCAUCACCAUGAUCUUGCAUGUGCGUAGGAGUUUUUUUGAAAUUACUGCGUUCCCCAAUAGAUUUUUAAUUCUAUAAAGGAGAAAUUACCCAAAACCGCCGCCUCACAAUGUCGGCCACCAUCUCGCACAAGACACCGUCGACCCUCCCCUCCGGCGGGGCCGAGGGAGCCACAUACAGCUCCCAGCUUAGUGCUAGCUGUGGAACCUGAACCUCACUGGGCAACGUGACUCACCUCGGGAAGUGGUGCCGGCAAAGCACACCAAGGACCUGGUUGGGCCUGCGGACACCAUCGGCGUGUAUCCAACCCCUGCAGUAUGACAAGGCCAACACAUUAGAUAUUAAUUUGAAGAAACAUGAAGGACAAAGGUUUAAAAAGACUAAAUGCACUUUCUUCUCCCCGUUAGGCUGAAUCAACCACCUUUGAUCACGGGUCACUGGCACAGCCGGGAGCUUCCUACCACCACACUGGUAGACCCUCUUGCCCUGCUCAACUAGCUCACCCUCGCUAAAACUAUCGUCAGACCAGGUCUCCUCGCCAUCAGCAUGGCCACUAGUCUCCGGAGUCACGUGGGACAAAGACUUCGGGGCCCGAGUCUCAUGGGACAAAGACUCUGUGCCCGAGUCUCGUGGGACGAAGGCUCAGCGACCCGAGGCUCGUGGACCGAAGUCCAAGACAGGUCCAAGUCUGACGGGUCCACCUGAGACAGAGCACUCCAGUAGUCCGGAGAAUCAGCUAGGGUGGCGGUGUGGGAGGCACAACAUCCUUCCUACCUCUCCCGCCGCCACGUCCACAUCUAGCUGCACCCCUCUUCGUCUUCCCCCGACCUCUCCCGACCGAAGAAGAAGCGCCCACCGGUGUGUGCAUGAUGUCUACCAGCGCUCUCCGAAGGUGCUGGGGUGGAAUAAUAGCACCCCUCCCAGCACAUGCCGAGGAAGAAGGAGGCUUGGAGCGCUCUCGACCCGCGCCCACCAUCUAUCAACACCUACAAUGACAAAGAGUAAACGAAAUUAGUACAACAUAAACAUAAUAAAAUAUUUGGUGGGUGAAAACAACACCUAAAAAAUCAACUAACUAAUUAACUAAGUAAGUAAGUAAUUAACCUAAAAAAUAACUAACUAACUAAUUAAAGGCUUUUUCUUAAGGCCAAAAGUGGUCUUUAAUAGGUUAAAAUUAUUUUAGUGUUUCAAAAAUAUUUGAGAAAAUUUAGGGAAGCUCAUUGGACAUAUAUUGUCCAUAUAUAAGAGUUUCAACACACGGUCAUGUUCAAAAUAUUGGUCAAAUCCAUCAAAAACCAUUUUCUAAUAUUUCAAGCUUUUGGAAUAUUUACAAAUGAAAUAUUCUCUAUAAAUUUCAAGAAAAUUCUAGCAUGUCAAAAAUGCGAUAUUUGGUUAUCUUGCCAAGUAUCAUCUCUUGGAGAACAAGAUGACAUCACCAGAACCCCUCAAAACCAUUUAUGUCUAUUGCCAAACAUUUCCAAAUGCUCUCAAACUAGGUGGUAAACCUUAGAUCUAUCUACUAUUUGACCCUGUUAAAUCUCAUGGCAAGGAGUUUUCAUUUACUUGCCGAAAACAUCAUCAAACACCUUCUGUAAUUUUACCAAAACCAUAGUUUUUACCCCUUCCACUAUUCUCCAUGAGCUCAAUUUUUUACCAUAGCUGACCCCGAUCAUCUUUUUUUGACUAUGGCAAUUAUGGAAUCUUGAAAGUGCAUGUGCUCACGUGCCAAUAGACACUUUUUGGCACCAUGUUUCAGUCUAUUGUCAUUCAGAUAUCUUGGAAGAUUAGGCCUCCCAUAGGGAGGAACUAGACUUUUCUAAUCAUACCAACUCUUCAGUUAAGCCAAGCAAGCCUAAAGCACUUGUUAGGGCAGUCUAAACUACUAGUAUUUGCAUAGACAAGCUAUAAAAGAGUUUAAAAAGUUCUAACUGAUUAGACCAAGAUAUUAGCCAUGUUCUCUAAUUAAUUAUAGGACAUUUAUUUCUUAUGAUGAUAUACUCAUUUUGGGUGUACUUCUGAUACCGUCGAAUGUUGUUUCGAGGAAACAAAUUAAAGUAAAGGGAUUCUUUCUUUGUGUGAAGUCAAAUUGAAAUAAGAAUGUUUUUUUCUUCAGAAAGAUAAAUAUCACAACAUUGUCAGGUCCCAACAAGCAGGAGCUAGGUGCUUAAGAUCGCCCUGCCACUAAUUAUUAGCCAUUAGCUAUAUUUGAGUGGAGUGAAAUUCCGUGUUAGUGGGAAGCACCCUUCGGGUCCCUCCAUUGUACCGCCUCACUUUUAUGGGUUUAAUCACCACCUCCCCUUUAUGCAAAAUUCUACCUUUCCCAGUUGCUACCUGUCCAUGCCCAUGGCCAAAUAAUUCUAGAAACCAUUAGCCAACUAAUUGACAAAUGAUGACUAAACCUGCCUUUUCUUUUUCUUUUCUGAUUUUCAAGAAACAAAAGAAAAGGGAUGCAUAUGCAUCCUAAUCCUAAUCAUUUACAUGGUUGUUUUCUAGGAGUAGUUAUUAGUAAAACUAAAACUAGAUAUGGUAAUUAUAUACUUCCAUUCUACUAGGACUAGGAGAGCAACCCAAUAACAAUUGUGUCCAUCCUAGCACACGUUUUCAAGAGUUGUUACUCGACACGACACUCCAAGUAGCAUGCAAGAAAAUUGCCCAGAAAAAUAAAGCCUUCUCUGAACCAAACUAUCUAUAUCAUCCAGUACAACAGGAAUUACAGAGGGACUCGUUAUUUUUAGUUUUUUCAUCACUGGUUAACCGAACUAACCUAAAUAACCUACAAACUAAUUAACCUAACUAACCUAACUAACCUAGUCUAAAGAUAACUAACCUAGAAAAUCAAACUAACCUAACUAACAGUACUAACUAACCUAAUUAGUAGCAGUAGAAAAAAAGAAACUAACAGUACUAACUGACCUAAUUACUAGCAGUAGAAAAAAAGAAAAAAAACAGGGUGGAGCUCACCGGAGUGGGUCGGCGGGGCACCGGGGCGGCGGGGUGUCGGGGCGGCUAGGGAGUCGGGACANNNNNNNNNNNNNNNNNNNNNNNNNNNNNNNNNNNNNNNNNNNNNNNNNNNNNNNNNNNNNNNNNNNNNNNNNNNNNNNNNNNNNNNNNNNNNNNNNNNNNNNNNNNNNNNNNNNNNNNNNNNNNNNNNNNNNNNNNNNNNNNNNNNNNNNNNNNNNNNNNNNNNNNNNNNNNNNNNNNNNNNNNNNNNNNNNNNNNNNNNNNNNNNNNNNNNNNNNNNNNNNNNNNNNNNNNNNNNNNNNNNNNNNNNNNNNNNNNNNNNNNNNNNNNNNNNNNNNNNNNNNNNNNNNNNNNNNNNNNNNNNNNNNNNNNNNNNNNNNNNNNNNNNNNNNNNNNNNNNNNNNNNNNNNNNNNNNNNNNNNNNNNNNNNNNNNNNNNNNNNNNNNNNNNNNNNNNNNNNNNNNNNNNNNNNNNNNNNNNNNNNNNNNNNNNNNNNNNNNNNNNNNNNNNNNNNNNNNNNNNNNNNNNNNNNNNNNNNNNNNNNNNNNNNNNNNNNNNNNNNNNNNNNNNNNNNNNNNNNNNNNNNNNNNNNNNNNNNNNNNNNNNNNNNNNNNNNNNNNNNNNNNNNNNNNNNNNNNNNNNNCGACGAGGGUGUUGGGGCGGCCGGGGGUCGGGAGCGUUGGGGGCGCGGGACGGUGGGGGGUCGCGGGCGUCGGGGUGGCGCGGGUGAGGUGAGGGAGAGAGAGAGGGCUGGGGCACGGGGCCGCCCGUUUUUUAGUUAGGUUUAAUUUCUUUGCCGUCUGCUAGCAGACGGUAAAGAGUGUAGAUAGUGGGGUGGGGCCGGGGGGAAACGACCAUUAGGUUGGCUAGCAGACGGCAAAGCUUCUAUGCCGUCUGCUAGCAGACGACAAAGAGCUGGCUGACGACAAACAUGCUCUUCGCCGUCAGCUUUCUGUAUGCUGAUGGCAAAGACCUCCUUUGUCGUCAGCUAGCAGACGUCAAAGAACUGGCUAACGGCAAAGAUCCUGAUUCCAGUAGUGUAUGAGCUCUUUAAGAAAACAAGUUUCAAGUGAAGCUAAUGUUGUCAGUUUUUACCUCUGAUGUUUCGUGGUGGCACACCCGUAUGGUGGAGAGACGGGGCCAUAGGGGUAAAUCAACAGAAGCUAAAUCAAAUUAUCUUUCCAAUGCAAAAAACUUCACAUCAUUUGGAGUUGUGAGUCAAAAGUACUAGUCAUUCUCGUGGAAGGUGUCUAGACUGUCAGGACUUCGUGAAUUUUCGAUGAGCUCUCCAACAACUCCCAAAGUUGACUGCUUAUUCCCCCAAGGAAGCCAUGCAAACAUGCUUACUUUUGAAACCAUUUUCACACCUAGCUAAGGGGGUUGUCCCUGCUAUAAGACCCCAUCUCCCCCAUCCUCUUAGGAACCUUUUGUCAAACCAUUCAGCUACAAGCUUAUGCAGCAAGACUGCUAGAGAGAUCUGAGAGAUCUUGCUACCUUUGCUCUUAUGAGUUCAUUCGGAUUCACGAGAAGGAGCCUUUGGUUCCCCCUAGUUCGUGCUCUACGGUUCCGGCCGUUUUGUGUGGAUUAGUCCCAGUUUGUGGUUCUGCGAUUGUUCAGAUAGCGGGUUGGAGUUCUUGUAGCUUCUGUCAGCCAUCCCCAACAUAUGGGUUGCAUCCAACCUUGACAGAUAUAAAGCUAGUUAUCCCGGCUGGUUGCAGCUAGUUAUCCCUCCCGAUUCGAUCCUACGACGUGAAGAUCAGGCCACCCUCGGUCCUGAACUCGUUCAUCGAGUUCCCACGUAUCAUCUGGCAUCAGAACCUUCGUUGACACGGUAGGAUCUAUUAUCCAAGUUUAUCUUGCUAUCAUCCCUUUAGAUAUAGUGUUUUUCAUGCUAUAUUUUCUGUCCUAGAAGUCCAAAGCCCCACAAAAAAUACAAGCCUUGUUGGUGUUGAGAUCUUGUUGUUGCAUACCUUGCAUGUUCUUCAUCUUUUAUAUCUGCACCAAGUUCAUCUUCAUAGUUGCUUUCAGAUUUGGUUGUUGUGCUUUGGUAAAAGAGAGAAAAAAGAGUGGCAAAAAAAUCAAAGAGAGAAAAAAAGAGUGGCAAAAAAAGUCAAGAGAGAAAAAGAAAGUGUUGUGUAAGAUCCAAAAGUUUCAGCUUGGUAGAAAAAUUUCAGAAGCUUGUGUGUUGUUCAAUCUUUGUGCAAAAGUGCAGUAGAUCUAUAUGCAUAUUUUCUUGGUUUGCAUCAACUUGACUUCAGCACAAGCCCCUUUUUGUUUACCCCACCAAGCUCCACCAAAAACCGAAGCUAUUUCUUUGAUCCCUGUCUUUCAAUCGUUUUAACACAUCCGGGAGAAGCACAAUCUGAUGUGAACUCAUAAGAACUUUGGUCAGUAAGAGGUCAGGUUGUGUGAUUCCACAAAAUUAUCCUAUUCCACUUUUGGCCUUACUAACAUGGUAGGAUCUAGAUCGAGUGUUCAUGGAGAAAACCAUGGGUAAGAAGAUGCCCCGGUCACAUGUACUGAUUUUCAGGAAUUGGAUUGAAACCUUGGAAGGAUGUUUCACGAGCGACCUCCAGCAGGUGGCGAUAGGGUUCAGCACCGACAACACCCUAUUAACCCACUUGAGGAAGUUGGGGAUGAGAAUUCCGUGCAUGUUGCUGUUGACGGUGUCUUGGAGGAUGAUAACAACAGCUAUGGUGGACAUGUGGUUGCUGCUUGUGAGCGUGGUGCUGCUGCUCAUGGAGGGCAGCGAGGAGGACAACUUCGAGGGCGAGGCCAUGCUCCUCGUGGGCACUACUAUGACCCUCAUAAGCGUGUUGUUUGUGGUCAUGGAGAUGAUUAUGAUGGUGUCCCAUACCGUCGUGCUGCUGAAGAUGGGCGUCAUGCAGAACAUCGUGACCGAGUUGGUCGAGAUGACAUAGCAAGAAUCAAGUUGCACGUCCCCAAGUUCACAGCAAGGGAAGACCCCGAUGCAUAUUUUGAUUGGGAAGAGCAGUGUGAUCAGAUUUUUCGUAUCCAUAACCUUGUUGAUCCGAAGAGAGUAAACCUUGCUUGUGUUGAGUUUUCUGGUUAUGCACUCACUUGGUGGAAUCAACUACAAGAAAAUCAGCUGCUGCUAGGCCAUGACCACAUUGACACUUGGGAAGAGAUGAAACAAGCCAUGAGGAGAAGGUUUGUUCCUUCACAAUAUCAAAGACAUCUCCGAAACAGACUGCAGCACCUCAGCCAAGGUACGUGCAUGGUGGAUGAGUACUAUAAAGAGAUGGAAUUACUGCUCGUUUGUGCUCGUAUUCAUGAGGAUGAAGAGUCAAAGAUGGUGAGAUUUCUACAUGGUCUCAACAAUGAAAUUUCCGAUUUUGUGAAGAUGUUUCCCUAUAACACUCUACAAGAUAUUCUGGAGAAAGCAAAGCGCACACAGAGGAAGGUGCAGCGGAGUGGUCAUGGACGGAUAUCUCAUAAGCACACCACUACACCAUGGUAAAGGUUGCUACCAAGUUCCUCUCAUGGUGGUUCUCAGUUUUAGCAUACUUCACACCCUACUGCCACCCGGCGAACAACGGCUUCAUUGGCAUCAUCACCGGCUCCUAAGAAUGUUGACAGGCGUGCUCCUUCUGAAGGAAAUAUGCCCUAGAGGCAAUAAUAAAGUUGUUAUUUUAUAUUUCCUUAUAUCAUGAUAAAUGUUUAUUAUUCAUGCUAGAGUUGUAUUAACCGGAAACUUGAUACAUGUGUGGAUACAUAGACAAAACACAGUGUCCCUAGUAAGCAUCUACUAGACUAGCUCGUUAAUCAAAGAUGCACUACUGCAGGUUGCUGCUAACGCGACACUACGAUCAGAGACCCUUCGACGAAACUGUGUGCGAUGCCAUAAUCGCAAAUGGUGGUGUAAAAUAACCGUCAAAAAGGUGCAAAACAUUUGCGAUGGAGGAUGCAUCAAACAUGAUUCAGAUUUUAGUUGCGUGUGCGAUGCAGGGCACAUGGUUCAGCUCAAUUAACUAUUUGCAAUAUACAACAUACGGUUCACUCGGAUGAACUGUUUGUGAUUAGGCAACACAAAAGAAACGGGCAGCCAGAUGAAGGUGUGUGCGAUAUACGGCAUGCGGUUCACUCGGAUGAACUAUUUGCGUUGAGACAAGAGAAUAGAAACGGUUCAAUAUAGCAAGAUGUGUGUGAUACGCGGCAAACAGGUCUGUCAUCAGAAAUAUGUGCGAAUACUGAUAAUAACACAAACGAUUGCUUCUAAUAAGACGUAUGUGAUAUACUUUGUCUACACAACAUCUAUUGGCCAUUGGGGGACGGGCGGUCAUCUGGAUACGCCAUAAGGGCGAAGAGGCAUCCUAUCAGCAAGGACUAGCUGUUCCACCAGUAGCUCAUGUAAGAAAACUCUCAAGUUAAGUGUGCUCAAGCUAGAGCGGCCAUUAGAUGGAUGACUGGAUGGGAAGUUGUGUUGAUGUUAAAUUAACUGAUAGGAUGGGUCAUAUCUGUCAAAUUAAAUGACUGAUACAACCCAUCCCAUGAGUUAAUUUAACCUUGAGGUCCUUGUUUUUUAUUUUUUAUUUUUAAACACAUGUUAAAGAAGGUCUACCGUAUUAAUUUUUGACAAUGUGCAAUACAUGGCAUAUCGUUGAUCCAUCCGACCUGUUUGUGAUGGAAUAGGCCGUGUGUGUUGUGGGCAAACGCUUGCUAGUAUUCAACCAUUUGAGAUUGAUGAAUUCAUCACCGACGAGUUCCCUAGUGUGGUCCAUGUUCAUCUGAUCAUCAUCUACUUCUUAUGCUAGCUCGGUGUUCCUUCUAUGCUAAGUUUCCAUUAAGUGAUGGCGUUUUAUGAACACGCCACCGCUUCCCGCCAUUUCCUCACCUAUUUCCUGCCACCCAACGAUAUUGCGCAUAGGCGGCGUGCGACGCAAGGAGGCGACAUGCGCAACCUAUAGCAUAUCCACCUUUUCCAAGCAUGCCAACCCACCAAAGCGCUGCCUCUGCCAUCAACCUCGUCGACGAGGAAAACAAGCAGGCGCCACGGCCCGUCGAGGCCGAGGUGCUCCCCGGCAACGCGAUGGACGAGUCGUGAUGCGCUUCAUCGCCAGGGUUGGCCGAACCUUUGGCGCAUGGUGCUUGAGCGCCGCAGAUCAAGAUUGGCAUGUUAACACCGACAGGCUGCAGCUCACCGCACAACAUGAUCGAUGGUGUGCCGCAGAUCAAGCUAGGCGCGUCCGCGCCGAUAGGCGGUGGCUCGCCGCACGGCGAGACCAUUGGAGCACCGCAGAGCGAGAGGCGCGGCGCGCCGCACAGCAGGAGCGGAUCCAUCAAUGCUUGCCUGCUGUAGACACGACGUCGUAGCUGGGUACACGUCCCGUCAAUGAUGGAAAUAUGCCCUAGAGGCAAUAAUAAUGUUAUUAUUUUAUUUCCUUAUAUCAUGAUAAAUGUUUAUUAUUCAUGCUAGAAUUGUAUUAUCCAGAAACAUAAUACUUGUGUGAAUACAUAGACAAACUAAACGUCACUAGUAUGCUUCUACUUGACAUGCUCGUUAUUCAAAGAUGGUUAUGUUUCCUAACCAUAGACAUGUGUUGUCAUUUGAUUAAUGGGAUCACAUUAUUAGGAGAAUGAUGUGAUUGACGUGACCCAUUCCAUUAGCUUAGCACCCGAUCGUUUAGUAUGUUGCUAUUGUUUUCUUCAUGACUUAUAGAUGUUCCUAUGACUAUGAGAUUAUGCAACUCCCGUUUGCUGGAGGAACACUUUGUGUGCUACCAAACGUCACAACGUAACUGGGUGAUUAUAAAGGAGCUCUACAGGUGUCUCCAAAGGUAAAUGUUGGGUUGGCAUAUUUCGAGAUUAGGAUUUGCCACUCCGAUUAUCGGAGAGGUAUCUCUGGGCCCUCUCGGUAAUGCACAUCACAUAAGCCUUGCAAGCAUUGCAACUAAUAAGUUAAUUGCGAGAUGAUGUAUUAUGAAACAAGUAAAGAGACUUGCCGGUAACGAGAUUGAACUAGGUAUUGAGAUACCGACGAUCGAAUCUCGGGCAAGUAACAUAACCGAUGACAAAGGGAACAACGUAUGUUGUUAUGCGGUCUGACCGAUAAAGAUCUUCGUAGAAUAUGUGGGAGCCAAUAUGAGCAUCCAGGUUCCGCUAUUGGUUAUUGACCGGAGACGUGUCUCGAUCAUGUCUACAUUGUUCUCGAACCCGUAGGGUCCGCACGCUUAAGGUUUCGAUGACAAUUAUAUUAUGAGUUUAUGAGUUUUGAUGUACCAAAGUUAGUUCGGAGUCCCGGAUGUGAUCACGGACAUGACGAGGAGUCUCGAAAUGGUCGAGACAUAAAGAUUGAUAUAUUGGACGGCUAUAUUCGGACACCGGAAGAGUUCCGGGUGAUUUCGGAGAAAANNNNNNNNNNNNNNNNNNNNNNNNNNNNNNNNNNNNNNNNNNNNNNNNNNNNNNNNNNNNNNNNNNNNNNNNNNNNNNNNNNNNNNNNNNNNNNNNNNNNNNNNNNNNNNNNNNNNNNNNNNNNNNNNNNNNNNNNNNNNNNNNNNNNNNNNNNNNNNNNNNNNNNNNNNNNNNNNNNNNNNNNNNNNNNNNNNNNNNNNNNNNNNNNNNNNNNNNNNNNNNNNNNNNNNNNNNNNNNNNNNNNNNNNNNNNNNNNNGGGCCUUAUGGGCCCUAGUGGAGAGAGAGAGGGGCAGCCAAGGUGGGCCGCGCGCCCCCUCCCCCUCUGGUCCAAAUUUGACUAGGAGAGGGGGGCGGCGCCCCCCUUUCCUUCUCCCUCUCUCCCUUCCUUUCCCCCUCCUAGUAGGAGUAGGAAAGAGGGGAGUCCUACUCCUACUAGGAGGAGGACUCCUCCUCCUUGGCGCGCCCUAGGGCCGGCCGGCCUCCUCCCCUUGCUCAUUUAUAUAUGGGGGCAGGGGGCACCCCUAGACACACAAGUUGAUCCACGUGAUCAUUUUCUUAGCCGUGUGCGGUGCCCCCUUCCACCAUACUCCUCGAUAAUACUGUAACGGUGCUUAGGCGAAGCCCUACGACGGUAGAACAUCAAGAUCGUCACCACGCCGUCGUGCUGACGGAACUCUUCCCCGACACUUUGCUGGAUCGAAGUCCGGGGAUCGUCAUCGAGCUGAUCGUGUGCUAAAACUCGGAGGUGCCGUAGUUUCGGUGCUUGAUCGGUCGGGCCAUGAAGACGUACGACUACAUCAACCACGUUGUCAUAACGCUUCCGCUGUCGGUCUAUGAGGGUACGUAGAUCACACUCUCCCCUCUCGUUGCUAUGCAUCACCAUGAUCUUGCGUGUGCGUAGGAUUUUUUUUGAAAUUACUAUGUUCCCUAACAGUCAGUACCCCCAUUCCUUGGUAGGAGUGGGCAGAGGCCCUCAGCGCCAUACUUGCACCAAAGGCCGGCCGCGCCGUACUUGCACCGGACGCCCGCCACGCCGUUCGCAUGGGUGCCACCGUUCGCCUUGUCCGCGGCCCGCUGGAUGCCAACACGCUGGUCCGUAGGCUCAACCGCCUCCUUGGCCCAGGUGUCCACCUGGGUGCAGUAGAGGAACAUGGCCGUCACAUCCUUGAGCUGGUGAUCUCCGAUGAAAUAGCCAACUUGGAGCUCGAGGUCGCGCUCCAGAUGUACCGCGAGCGUGUCGACCGCUUGGAUGAAUUCCUGCACGAGUUCAGGCAGAGCCAAGAGCUACUGUUGGCAAGGGCUGCUAGUCAUGGUCUCAUGGAUGCGUUUUAUUUUGAAAAGUUGUUUUGACGUGGAUAGCUAUGUAUUCACAACAAUCAUAGUAUUGCUCUAUUUCAAUGUGUGUACUCUGUUUUCCAUUCUUAUAUGUUCUGUUUCAAUGUGUGUAUAUAUGCUUUUCAUUCUGUAUAUGUGGAUCAUAACAGCUAGAUUCAAAUUAGUAUACAAAAACAGAUAGAAAAAUGGAAUUCAUAAUAUAUAUAUAUUAAUUGUUCAUUAGUUCAUCACAGAAUAUAUAUAUAUAAUAUCAUCACAUAUACGUGAUGAUACUUAACUACUAGGUACAAUGCAUAAAAUUGAAAACAAACAAUACUAAAACUAAUAAUCCCUCCUGGGGCUAGUAUUCCGGCAGCCCCUCGCCAGCAGCUCCCUAGUGCGCGGCGUCUUCCUAGUGCGGAGGCAGUACUCCACCUCCUUCGCCUCACAGCACUUGACGUACCGAUCUGCCUCUUGCUGGCGGACGCGCACGGCCGAUCUUGUCAUUUCGUUGGGCACCCACCAGAGCUCCUCGUAGGUGGCACGCUGGAGCUUAUCGGCCCACCUCCAUGCCGCGACGAGGCGCCCAACGCUAUGACCUUCCUCGCGAAGUACCCGUCUUCGUACACCUCCUCGGCAUGAUGACGCGCCCGCCCCCAAAGCUCCGCCGCCUCCUUUUUCCAGGCGGCAUCACGGGCCUCACAGCCUGCCUGAUACCUGGCUUCCUCCUCUGCCAUCUCCUUCUUGAAUGCCACUUGCCUGGCUUUCUCAGCCGACGGCAGCGACUUCCAUAGACAAAGAUUGUACUGGCCCCAAAACCAAUCCAAAGUUGGGGGUCCGGCGCAACCUCGUCAGGCGGCGCGUAGGGGUCCUCGUCGCUGCUAAUCGAGUGAGCGUCCUCAAGGGGCAGCAACUCCUUGUCAGCGUGUGGGCAGACCGGCGGCGCCAUGGUAGAGAUUUGUGUGAGAGAGAGAGGGCAAGCGAGGGGAGGAUGUAGAUGAGAAUGCAUGCGGGACGACAUGAGCAAGGUAGUAUUUAUUGGCGGCAGAAAUCUAGAUCGACGGGGACAGCACACACGCCGGUCGCCGGAAUUUACGAGUACUAUAGUUUGAAUUACACAUGAUUCCUGCAGCAAAAUCCGUGUGAUAGCUCACGGUUUCCAAUACAGAACCGUGUAUAAUUAAUGAUCCCCGCCACUCACCUACCAAACCUCGAGCCGUGAGAUAGAGUGCCAAUCGUGUGCGGGCUGGUUGUCUUGUCACAUCUUUACAUUUUCGUUUUUGAACACCAGAUAUUUACAUCGUCUGAUGCAUUUUUAACUUGCACACAAGUACACAAAAAUAUGAUUUUUCAAACCAUUAUGGUUAGGCGUUGCAUGUAGAUGUAGUUUAAAUUUUAAUUUCGGUCAUUAAAUGGUUAGAAAAUCACUUAAAUGUCUUUAAAAGGUGAAAUGACCCCUGAAAUUUUCCAAAUUUUCACAUGACAGUUGUAUUAGUGCACGUUAAGUGUAGAAAAAAAAAUUGAAGACCGUAAGAGGAAGCUAUCUCCCGUUCUUCAUCAAACAUGCAUUGUUCCCUCUUGGAACCACGAAUGUUCUAGUGAGUUGCUCCGGUUUGUGAGGGGUGUGUGUCCAAACUUUCGUCAAACAGGCCAAUUUAUUUACCACAUCAUCUUGGUGGCAUGACAUUAAAUCAAGCAAAGUUUCAUAAUUUUCUGAUCAUUUUUUAAUUUUUUGGAAUUAAAAAUGCCAUGGCACUCCAUGCAUGUGCCCAUGCCUUGAGACCAAUAUGUUUGAAAAUUCCUUCUAAUUUACUGCACAUGGAAUUAACUAGCACACAAGUACACAAAAAUAUGAUUUUUCAAACCGUUUUGGUUAGGUGUUGCAUGUAGAUGUAGUUCAAAUUUGAAUUACGGUCAUUAAAAUGGUUAGAAAAUCACUUAUAUAUCUUUAAAAGGUCAAUGAUAUCUCAAUUUUUCCAAAUUUUCACAUGACAGCUGUAUUAGUGCACGUUAAACAUAGAAAAAAAAUUGAAGGUCGUAAGAGGAAGCUAUCUCCCGUUCGUCAUCAAACAUGCACUGUUCCCUCUCGGGACCACGAACCUUCUAGUGAGUUGCUCCGGUUUGUGAGGGGUGUGUGUCCAAACUUUUGUCAAACAUGCCAAUUUUUUACAACAUCAUCUUGGUGGCAUGCCAUUAAAUCAAGCAAGGUUCAUGUUUUUUUGAUCAUUUUGUAUUUUUUUGGAAUUAAAAUGCCAUGACACUCAAUGCAUGUGCCCAUGCCCUGAGACCAAUAUGUUUGAAAAUUCCUUCUAAUUUACUGCACAUGGAAUUAACUCGCACACAAGUACACAAAAUAUGAUUUUUCAAUCCGUUUUGGUUAGGCGUUGCAUGUAGAUGUAGUUCAAAUAUGAAUUACGGUAAUUAAAUGGUUAGUAAAUCACUUAAAUGUCUUUAAAAGAUCAAAUGACCCCUGAAAUUUUCCAAAUUUUCACAUAACAGCUAUAUUAGUGCAUGUUAAACAUAGAAAAAAAUUGAAGGCCGUAAGAGGAAGCUAUCUCCCGUUCGUGAUCAAACAUGCAUUGUUCCCUUUCGGAACCACGAACCUUCUAGUGAGUUGCUCCGGUUUCUGAGGGGUGUGUGUCCAAACUUUCGUCAAACAUGCCAAUUUCUUUACCACAUCAUCUUGGUGGCAUGACACUAAAUCAAGCAAGGUUUCAUGUUUUUUUGAUCAUUUUUUUUAUUUUUUUAGAAUUAAAAUGCCAUGGCACUCCAUGCAUGUGCCCAUGCCUUGAGACCAAUAUGUUUGAAAAUUCCUUCUAAUUUACUGCACAUGGAAUUAACUCACACACAAGUACACAAAAAUAUGAUUUUUCAAACCGUUUUGGUUAGGCGUUGCAUGUAGAUGUAGUUCAAAUUUGCAUUACAGUCAUUAAAUGGUUAGAAAAUCACUUAAAUGUCUUUAAAAGGUCAAAUGACCCCUAGAAAUUUCCAAAAUUUCACAUUACAGUUGUAGUAGUGCACGCUAGACAUAGAAAAAAAUUGAAGGCCGUAAGAGGAACCUAUCUCCCGUUCGUCAUCAAACAUGCAUCGUUCCCUCUCGGAACCACGAGCCUUCUAGUGAGUUGCUCCGGUUUGUCAGGGGUGUGUGUCCAAACUUUCGUCAAACAUGCCAAUUUCUUUACCACAUCAUCUUGGUGAAGGAAAUAUGCCCUAGAGGCAAUAAUAAAGUUAUUAUUUAUUUCCUUAUAUCAUGAUAAAUGUUUAUUAUUCAUGCUAGAAUUGUAUUAACCGGAAACAUAAUACAUGUGUGAAUACAUAGACAAACUUAGUGUCACUAGUAUGCCUCUACUUGACUAGCUCGUUAAUCAAAGAUGGUUAUGUUUCCUGACCAUGAACAAAGUGUUGUUAUUUGAUUAACGAGGUCACAUCAUUAGUUGAAUGAUUUGAUUGACAUGACCCAUUCCAUUAGCUUAGCACCCGAUCGUUUAAUAUGUUGCUAUUGCUUUCUUCAUGACUUAUACAUGUUCCUAUAACUAUGAGAUUAUGCAACUCCCGUUUGCCGGAGGAACACUUUGGGUACUACCAAACGUCACAACGUAACUGGGUGAUUAUAAAGGAGUACUACAGGUGUCUCCAAAGGUACAUGUUGGGUUGGCGUAUUUUGAGAUUAGGAUUUGUCACUCCGAUUGUCGGAGAGGUAUCUCUGGGCCCUCUCGGUGAUGCACAUCACAUAAGCCUUGCAAGCAUUACAACUAAUAUAUUAGUUGUGAGAUGAUGUAUUACGGAACGAGUAAAGAGACUUGCCGGUAACGAGAUUGAACUAGGUAUUGGAUACCGACGAUCGAAUCUCGGGCAAGUAACAUACCGAUGACAAAGGGAACAACGUAUGUUGUUAUGCGGUCUGACCGAUAAAGAUCUUCGUAGAAUAUGUAGGAGCCAAUAUGGGCAUCCAGGUCCCGCUAUUGGUUAUUGACCGGAGACGUGUCUCGGUCAUGUCUACAUUGUUCUCGAACCCGUAGGGUCCGCACGCUUAAGGUAAUGAUGACAGUUAUAUUAUGAGUUUAUGCAUUUUGAUGUACCAAAGAUUGUUCGGAGUCCCGGAUGUGAUCACGGACAUGACGAGGAGUCUCGAAAUGGUCGAGACGUAAAGAUUGAUAUAUUGGAAGCCUAUGUUUGGAUAUCGGAAGUGUUCCGGAUGAAAUCGGGAUUUUACCGGAGUACCGGGAGGUUACCGGAACCCCCCGGGAGCUAUAUGGGCCUUAGUGGGCUUUAGUGGAAAGGAGUAAGGGGCAGCCCACGGUGUCUGUGCGCCUCCCCCCUUCCCCUAGUCCUAUUAGGACUAGGAGAGGUGGCCGGCCCCCUCUCUCUCUUUCCCCCCUCAAGGAAUCCUAUUCCAACUAGGAUUGGGGGGGGGGGAAUCCUACUCCCAGAGGGAGUAGGACUCUCCUGGCGCGCCCUCCCUUGGCCGGCCAGCCUCCCCCCUCUAGUCCUUUAUAUACAGAGGCAGGGCACCCCAAAGAACACACAAGUUGAUCCACGUGAUCUAUUCCUUAGCCGUGUGCGGCGCCCCCAGCCACCAUAGUCCUCGAUAAUACUGUAGCGGAGUUUAGGCGAAGCCCUGCUGCUGUAGUACAUCAAGAUCGUCACCAUGCCGUCGUGCUGACGGAACUCUUCCCUGACACUUUGCUGGAUCGGAGUCCGGGGAUCGUCAUCGAGCUGAACGUGUGCUCGAACUCGGAGGUGCCAUAGUUUCGGUACUUGAUCGGUUGGAUCAUGAAGACGUACGACUACUUCCUCUACGUUGUGUCAUCGCUUCCGCAGUCGGUCUGCGUGGGUACGUAGACAACACUCUCCCCUCUCGUUGCUAUGCAUCACAUGAUCUUGCGUGUGCGUAGGAAUUUUUUUGAAAUUACUACGAAACCCAACAGUGGUAUCAGAGCCAGGUUAUUUAUGUUGAUGUUAUAUGCAUGAGUAGAACACAAGUGAGUUGUGGGCGAUAUAAGUCAUACUGCCUACCAGCAUGUCAUACUUUGGUUCGGCGGCAUUGUUGGACGAGACGACCCGGACCAACAUUACGCGUACGCUUACGCGAGACCGGUUCCCCCGACGUGCUUUGCACAUAGGUGGCUUGCGGGCGACUGUCUCUCCAACUUUAGUUGAACCAAGUAUGGCUACGCCCGGUCCUUGCGAAGGUUAAAACGGAGUCUAUUUGACAAACUAUCAUUGUGGUUUUGAUGCGUAGGUGAGAUUGGUUCUUGCUUAAAGCCCGUAGCAGCCAUGUAAAACUUGCAACAACAAAGUAGAGGACGUCUAACUUGUUUUUGCAGGGCAUGUUGUGAUGUGAUAUGGUCAAGGCAUGAUGCUGAAUUUUAUUGUAUGAGAUGAUCAUGUUUUGUAACCGAGUUAUCGGCAACUGGCAGGAGCCAUAUGGUUGUCGCUUAUUGUAUGCAAUGCAAUCGCGAUGUAAUGCUUUACUUUAUUACUAAACGGUAGUGAUAGUCGUGGAAGCAUAAGAUUGGCGAGACGACAACGAUGCUACGAUGGAGAUCAAGGUGUCGCGCCGGUGACGAUGGUGAUCAUGACGGUGCUUCGGAGAUGGAGAUCACAAGCACAAGAUGAUGAUGGCCAUAUCAUAUCACUUAUAUUGAUUGCAUGUGAUGUUUAUCUUUUUUAUGCAUCUUAUCUUGCUUUGAUUGAUGGUAGCAUUAUAAGAUGAUCUCUCACUAAAUUAUCAAGAAGUGUUCUCCCUGAGUAUGCACCGUUGCCAAAGUUCGUCGUGCCCAGACACCACGUGAUGAUCGGGUGUGAUAAGCUCUACGUCCAUCUACAAUGGGUGCUAGACAGUUUUGCACACGCAGAAUACUCAGGUUAAACUUGACGAGCCUAGCAUAUGCAGAUAUGGCCUCGGGACACGGAGACCGAAAGGUUAAGCGUGAAUCAUAUAGUAGAUAUGAUCAACAUAACGAUGUUCACCAUUGAAAACUACUCCAUCUCACAUGAUGAUCGGUUAUGGUUUAGUUGAUUUGGAUCACGUGAUCACUUAGAGGAUUAGAGGGAUGUCUAUCUAAGUGGGAGUUCUUAAGUAAUUUGAUUAAUUGAACUUAAACUUAUCAUGAACUUAGUACCUGAUAGUAUCUUGCUUGUUUAUGUUGAUUGUAGAUAUAUGGCUCGUGCUGUUGUUCCGUUGAAUUUUAAUGCGUUCCUUGAGAAAGCAAAGUUGAAAGAUGAUGGUAGCAAUUAUACGGACUGGGUCCGUAACUUGAGGAUUAUCCUUAUUGCUGCUCAGAAUAAUUACGUCCUGGAAGCACCGCUAGGUGCCAGGCCUGCUGCUGGAGCAACACCAGAUGUUAUGAACGUCUGGCAGAGCAAAGCUGAUGACUACUCGAUAGUUCAGUGUGCCAUGCUUUACGGCUUAGAAUCGGGACUUCAACGACGUUUUGAACAUCAUGGAGCAUAUGAGAUGUUCCAGGAGUUAAAAUUAAUAUUUCAAGCAAAUGCCCGGAUUGAGAGAUAUGAAGUCUCCAAUAAGUUCUAUAGCUGCAAGAUGGAGGAGAAGAGUUCUGUCAGUGAGCAUAUACUCAAAAUGUCUGGGUAUAAUAAUCACUUGAUUCAAUUGGGAGUUAAUCUUCCGGAUGAUUGCGUCAUAGACAGAAUUCUCCAAUCACUGCCACCAAGCUACAAGAGCUUCAUGAUGAACUAUAAUAUGCAAGGGAUGAACAAAACUAUUCCCGAGCUCUUCACAAUGCUGAAAGCUGUGGAGGUAGAAAUCAAAAAGGAGCAUCAAGUGUUGAUGGUUAACAAGACCACUAGUUUCAAGAAAAAGGGCAAAGGGAAGAAGAAGGGGAACUUCAAGAAGAACAGCAAACAAGUUGCUGCUCAGGAGAAGAAACCCAAGUCUGGACCUAAGCCUGAAACUGAGUGCUUCUACUGCAAGCAGACUGGUCACUGGAAGCGGAACUGCCCCAAGUAUUUGGCGGAUAAGAAGGAUGGCAAGGUGAACAAAGGUAUGUGUGAUAUACAUGUUAUUGAUGUGUACCUUACUAGAGCUCGCAGUAGCACCUGGGUAUUUGAUACUGGUUCUGUUGCUAAUAUUUGCAACUCGAAACAGGGACUACGGAUUAAGCGAACACUGGCAAAGGACGAGGUGACGAUGCGCGUGGGAAACGGUUCCAAAGUCGAUGUGAUCGCGGUCGGCACGCUACCUCUACAUCUACCUUCGGGAUUAGUAUUAGACCUAAAUAAUUGUUAUUUGGUGCCAGCGUUGAGCAUGAACAUUAUAUCUGGAUCUUGUUUAAUGCGAGACGGUUAUUCAUUUAAAUCAGAGAAUAAUGGUUGUUCUAUUUAUAUGAGUAAUAUCUUUUAUGGUCAUGCACCCUUGAAGAGUGGUCUAUUCUUAUUGCAUCUCGAUAGUAGUAAUACACAUAUUCAUAAUGUUGAAACCAAAAGAUGCAGAGUUAAUAAUGAAAGUGCAACUUAUUUGUGGCACUGUCGUUUAGGUCAUAUCGGUGUAAAGCGCAUGAAGAAACUCCAUACUGAUGGACUUUUGGAACCACUUGAUUAUGAAUCACUUGGUACUUGCGAACCAUGCCUCAUGGGCAAGAUGACUAAAACACCGUUCUCCGGUACUAUGGAGAGAGCAACAGAUUUGUUGGAAAUCAUACAUACUGAUGUAUGUCGUCCGAUGAACAUUGAGGCUCGGGGCGGAUAUCGUUAUUUUCUCACCUUCACAGAUGAUUUAAGCAGAUAUGGGUAUAUGUACUUAAUGAAACAUAACUCUGAAACAUUUGCAAAGUUCAAAGAAUUUCAGAGUGAAGUUGAAAAUCAUCGUAACAAGAAAAUAAAGUUUCUACGAUCUGAUCGUGGAGGAGAAUAUUUGAGUUACGAGUUUGGUGUACAUUUGAAAAACUGUGGAAUAGUUUCGCAACUCACGCCACCCGGAACACCACAGCGUAAUGGUGUGUCCGAACGUCGUAAUGGUACUUUACUAGAUAUGGUGCGAUCUAUGAUGUCUCUUACAGAUUUACCGCUAUCAUUUUGGGGUUAUGCUUUAGAGACGGCCGCAUUCAUGUUAAAUAGGGCACCAUCAAAAUCCGUUGAGACGACACCUUAUGAACUAUGGUUUGGCAAGAAACCAAAGUUGUCAUUUCUUAAAGUUUGGGGCUGCGAUGCUUAUGUGAAAAAGCUUCAACCUGAUAAGCUCAAACCCAAAUCGGAGAAAUGUGUCUUCAUAGGAUACCCAAAGGAGACUGUUGGGUACACCUUCUAUCACAGAUCCGAAGGCAAGACAUUCGUUGCUAAAAAUGGAUCCUUUCUAGAGAAGGAGUUUCUCUCGAAAGAAGUGAGUGGGAGGAAAGUAGAACUUGCUGAGGUAACUGUACCUGCUCCCUUACUGGAAAGUAGUACAUCAUAGAAAACUGUUUCAGUGACACCUACACCAGUUAGUGAGGAAGCUAAUGAUAAUGAUCAUGAAACUUCAGAUCAAGAUACUACUGAACCUCGUAGAUCAACCAGAGUAAGAUCCGCACCAGAGUGGUACGGUAAUCCUGUUCUGGAAGUCAUGCUACUAGAUCAUGAUGAACCUACGAACUAUGAAGAAGCGAUGAUGAGCCCAGAUUCCGCAAAGUGUCUUGAAGCCAUGAAAUCUGAGAUGGGAUCCAUGUAUGAGAACAAAUUAUGGACUUUGGUUGACUUGCCCGAUGAUCGGCAAGCAAUUGAGAAUAAAUGGAUCUUCAAGAAGAAGACUGACGCUGAUGGUAAUGUUACUGUCUACAAAGCUCAACUUGUCGCGAAAGGUUUUCGACAAGUUCAAGGGGUUGACUAUGAUGAGACUUUCUCACCUGUGGCGAUGCUUAAGUCUGUCCGAAUCAUGUUAGCGAUUGCCGCAUUUUAUGUUUAUGAAUUUUGGCAGAUGGAUGUCAAAACUGCAUUCCUGAAUGGAUUUCUGGAAGAAGAGUUGUAUAUGAUGCAACCGGAAGGUUUUGUCGAUCCAAAGGGAGCUAACAAAGUGUGCAAGCUCCAACGAUCCAUUUAUGGACUAGUGCAAGCCUCUCGGAGUUGGAAUAAACGCUUUGAUAGUGUGAUCAAAGCAUUUGGUUUUAUACAGACUUUCAGAGAAGCCUGUAUUUACAAGAAAGUGAGUGGGAGCUCUGUAGCAUUUCUGAUAUUAUAUGUGGAUGACAUAUUACUAAUUGGAAAUGAUAUAGAAUUUCUGGAUAGCAUAAAGGGAUACUUGAAUAAGAGUUUUUCAAUGAAAGACCUCGGUGAAGCUGCUUACAUAUUAGGCAUUAAGAUCUAUAGAGAUAGAUCAAGACGCUUAAUUGGACUUUCACAAAGCACAUACCUUGACAAAGUUUUGAAGAAGUUCAAAAUGUAUCUAGCAAAGAAAGGGUUCUUGCCUGUGUUACAAGGUGUGAAGUUGAGUAAGACUCAAUGCCCGACCAUUGCAGAAGAUAGAGAGAAAAUGAAAGAUGUUCCCUAUGCUUCAACCAUAGGCUCUAUCAUGUAUGAAAUGUUGUGUACCAUACCUGAUGUGUGCCUUGCUAUAAGUUUAGCAGGGAGGUACCAAAGUAAUCCAGGAGUGGAUCACUGGACAGCGGUCAAGAACAUCCUGAAAUACCUGAAAAGGACUAAGGAUAUGUUUCUCGUAUAUGGAGGUGACAAAGAGCUCACCGUAAAAGGUUACGUUGAUGCAAGCUUUGACACUGAUCUGGACGAUUCUAAAUCGCAAACCGGAUACGUGUUUACAUUAAACGGUGGAGCUGUCAGUUGGUGCAGUUCUAAACAAAGCGUCGUAGCGGGAUCUACAUGUGAAGCGGAGUACAUAGCUGCUUCGGAAGCAGCGAACGAAGGAGUCUGGAUGAAGGAGUUCAUAUCCGAUCUAGGUGUCAUACCUAGUGCAUCGGGUCCAAUGAAAAUCCUUUGUGACAAUACUGGUGCGAUUGCCUUGGCAAAGGAAUCCAGAUUUCACAAAAGGACCAAGCACAUCAAGAGACGCUUCAACUCCAUCCGGGAUCUAGUCCAGGUGGGAGACAUGGAGAUUUGCAAGAUACAUACGGAUCUGAAUGUUGCAGACCCGUUGACUAAGCCUCUUCCACGAGCAAAACAUGAUCAGCACCAAGGCUCCAUGGGUGUUAGAAUCAUUACAGUGUAAUCUAGAUUAUUGACUCUAGUGCAAGUGGCAGACUGAAGGAAAUAUGCCCUAGAGGCAAUAAUAAAGUUAUUAUUUAUUUCCUUAUAUCAUGAUAAAUGUUUAUUAUUCAUGCUAGAAUUGUAUUAACCGAAAACAUAAUACAUGUGUGAAUACAUAGACAAACUUAGUGUCACUAGUAUGCCUCUACUUGACUAGCUCGUUAAUCAAAGAUGGUUAUGUUUCCUGACCAUGAACAAAGUGUUGUUAUUUGAUUAACAAGGUCACAUCAUUAGUUGAAUGAUCUGAUUGACAUGACCCAUUCCAUUAGCUUAGCACCCGAUCGUUUAGUAUGUUGCUAUUGCUUUCUUCAUGACUUAUACAUGUUCCUAUAACUAUGAGAUUAUGCAACUCCCGUUUGCCGGAGGAACACUUUGGGUACUACCAAACGUCACAACGUAACUGGGUGAUUAUAAAGGAGUACUACAGGUGUCUCCAAAGGUACAUGUUGGGUUGGCGUAUUUUGAGAUUAGGAUUUGUCACUCCGAUUGUCGGAGAGGUAUCUCUGGGCCCUCUCGGUGAUGCACAUCACAUAAGCCUUGCAAGCAUUACAACUAAUAUAUUAGUUGUGAGAUGAUGUAUUACGGAACGAGUAAAGAGACUUGCCGGUAACGAGAUUGAACUAGGUAUUGGAUACCGACGAUCGAAUCUCGGGCAAGUAACAUACCGAUGACAAAGGGAACAACGUAUGUUGUUAUGCGGUCUGACCGAUAAAGAUCUUCGUAGAAUAUGUAGGAGCCAAUACGGGCAUCCAGGUCCCGCUAUUGGUUAUUGACCGGAGACGUGUCUCGGUCAUGUCUACAUUGUUCUCGAACCCGUAGGGUCCGCACGCUUAAGGUAAUGAUGACAGUUAUAUUAUGAGUUUAUGCAUUUUGACGUACCGAAGAUUGUUCAGAGUCCCGGAUGUGAUCACGGACAUGAUGAGGAGUCUCGAAAUGGUCAAGACGUAAAGAUUGAUAUAUUGGAAGCCUAUGUUUGGAUAUCGGAAGUGUUCCGGAUGAAAUCGGGAUUUUACCGGAGUACCGGGAGGUUACCGGAACCCCCCGGGAGCUAUAUGGGCCUUAGUGGGCUUUAGUGGAAAGGAGAAAGGGGCAACCCAAGGUGGCUGUGCGCCUCCCCCCUUCCCCUAGUCCUAUUAGGACUAGGAGAGGUGGCCGGCCCCCUCUCUCUCUUUCCCCCCUCAAGGAAUCCUAUUCCAACUAGGAUUGGGGGGGGGGGGAAUCCUACUCCCAGAGGGAGUAGGACUCUCCUGGCGCGCCCUCCCUUGGCCGGCCAGCCUCCCCCCUCUAGUCCUUUAUAUACAGAGGCAGGGCACCCCAAAGAACACACAAGUUGAUCCACGUGAUCUAUUCCUUAGCCGUGUGCGGCGCCCCCAGCCACCAUAGUCCUCGAUAAUACUGUAGCGGAGUUUAGGUGAAGCCCUACUGCUGUAGUACAUCAAGAUCGUCACCACGCCGUCGUGCUGACGGAACUCUUCCCCGACACUUUGCUGGAUCGGAGUCCGGGGAUCGUCAUCGAGAUGAACAUGUGCUCGAACUCGGAGGUGCCGUAGUUUCGGUACUUGAUCGGUUGGAUCGUGAAGACAUACGACUACUUCCUCUACGUUGUGUCAUCGCUUCUGCAGUCGGUCUGUGUGGGUACAUAGACAACACUCUCCCCUCUCAUUGCUAUGCAUCACAUGAUCUUGCGUGUGCGUAGGAAAUUUUUUGAAAUUACUACGAAACCCAACACUUGGUGGCAUGAUAUUACAUCAACCAAGGUUUCAUGUGUUUCUAAUUUUUUUUUUAUUUUUUGGAAUUAAAAUGCCAUGUCAGUCCAUGCAUACGUAUGCAUGUGUCCAUGUCGUGAGACAAAUAUGUUUGAAAAUUCCUUUUAGUUUAUUGCAAAUGGAGUUAACUCGCACACAAGUACACAAAUAUGAUUUUUCAAACCGUUUUGGUUAGGCGUUGCAUGUAGAUGUAGUUCAAAUUUGAAUUAUGGUCAUUAAAUGGCUAGAAAAUCAAUUAAAUGUCUUUACAAGGUCAAAUGACCCCUAGAAUUUUCAGAAAUUUCACAUUACAGUUGUAGUAGUGCACGUUAGACAUUGAAAAAAAUAUUAAGGCCGUAAGAGGAAGCUAUCUCACGUUCGUCAUCAAACAUGCAUUGUUCCCUCUCGGAACCACGAGCCUUCUAGUGAGUUGCUUUGGUUUGUGAGGGGUGUGUGUCCAAAAUUUCGUCAAACAUGCCAAUUUUUUUACCACACCAUCUUGGUGGCAUGACAUUACAUCAACCAAGGUUUCAUGUGUUUAUGAUUUUUUUUGGAAAUAAAAUGCCAUGUCACUCCAUGCUUAAUUGUGUCAUAGCCGUUAGACCAAUAUGUCUAAAAAUUCCUUCCAAUUUACUGCACAUGGAAUUAAAUUGCACACAAGUACACGAAAUAUGAGUUUUCAAACCAUUAUGGUUAGCUGUUGCAUGUACAUGUAGUUCAAAUUUCAAUUACGAUCAUUAAAUGGCUAGAAAAUCACUUAACUGUCUUAAAAGGUCAAAUGACCCCUGAAAUUUUCCAAAAUUUGACAUGACAGUUGUAUUAGUACUACAAAAUUUCUCAUUAAUUUAAAACACCAUUUGUUGCCACUUUACUCCAAAUUCAUCUUUCACAGCUAAUAAAAAAUAUCUACAACAUCACACACAGUUGUUUUCUAGGAACAGUUUGCGAUGAAAAUAUCUGGCUCUAUUUAAGUCUCCCUCCUUAAGCUUCGCCGGCUCGUCUGCUCCAGUGUCGGCAACCCCCAAAUCCACGAAUCCCGAUCCCCAUUCCCGCACCCCUUACUUACAAAGAUGACACCGUGGAAACGCUUCAUGAAGGCCCAUACGAUGGCCGCGUCGCCUCCGAGCGCGGCUUCCUGCACCAAGAGCGCCGCCACCUAUGCCGAGAGUGUCGCCACAUCCGCAUUGAGCGCGGCCGCUUCCGCUGACGGGGCAGCUGUAGCAGCCGAGACGGUUGCAGCUGCUGUUGCGACGUCGGCAGCAAACACCGAGAGCGCUCGAGCUGCCAUCUGUGUCGCCGAUGUCGCCCUGGCCUAGGUCGAGGCCAUCCACGCCAUGAUCGAGGAUGCACACGCCAAGAUAUUCCAGGCCACCUCAGACUCCAGCAUGCAACCCACGUCUAAAAAGGCGGCGGUGGCCAUGGAGCACCUGCUUCCUCAUGAGGUCGUCGAGCGGGAGUUGGAGAUGCAGGAGGCGGUGGAGAUCGAGGAGCGCCAGGAGGAGGAGUUGCGUGUGGCCGAGGUCGAGGUAGAGAAGAGUAUGUCCGUCGAGGAAUCGGCGGCGGAGUACCAACACGAGCUCUGGCGCAACCACUACUACGAGUACUACAACCUUGAGGGUGGCACCGAGGACGAGGACGAGGACGUGGUCGACUUCAGUAGGGGCGGAUGCAGAGUCCACCAACGGCAGCAUGUCGCCAGGACAAGUCAUUGACGUCUCAUCUCACACUGGCGAUGCAUAGGCUGGCGCGUUGGUGGAUUUGUUAAAAUUAUGCGUACUUAGGCUUUGUUUUUAAUGCUGGUAUUUUGUUAGAGCAAUGUUUAGGUCAACUGGCUCUGUUUAAUUACUAAAAUUGCUCGAUUCAGUAAGUGUGGUCUGUCUGCUGUACGCUCUUUUGUGUGCCCAAAUUAGCAAGCGAUGUUAAAUUAUGCAAUGACGUACCUGAGGAAAUUUCCACCAAAAUUUGAAUUAUCAAACUCAUCCCAUGUGUGUAAAGAAGAAGAAUCAUUUGCGAUGCACACAAUAAUUCAAAGUGAAUGGUCUGGCGGCACCGCAAAGUUUCCCUCCACAUUUCCAAAAUUUGGGCUACCGCUAAAAUAUCUACCCCGCCCUGCUUCCCCCCUUCCCCACCCCCUUUUCUCCCUGACCACAAGUCACAUUUCCCCUGUUUCCUCCUUCCUUCCUUCCUUUCUAAGCUAUAGCCGCUUCCUCGCUCUCGCCGUCUUGCAUCCUAUCGCCGGGGUCGCCAUGGUCUUAUUCAAAGACCUCUCCAGCGGUUCCUCCUCUGGUGACGACUCCUUCACCACCCGGGUAUGCCUCUCUUCUCUCUCUCGGGCUAUGACUUGGAAUGAUGGAUUUUUACCCGGUGGUCGAUUUGAGUCAUUUCUUCCUCUAGUAGCUCCCUAGGACCAUCAGUGGCAACGAAUGGAGCGGGGUGGCUGAAGAUCUAUCUGCUCGUUGUCAUCAUCAAUCUCCAUGCAUGAAGCUAGUUGCGUUUGAUUCUGUGGACAGUGGGAGGAAGUUUCUGGCAUGUGCAGAGAAGGUUAGACUCUCUUUCGUUGUUACAAAUCAUUUUUUUGAUGUGAUUCAGACACUGUCACGGUCCUAACCCAUUCACACACCUUUAGCCAAACGCAUCCUAAGAGAGUGUCACAGUUUGUACCUAGUAUCUUAAAUUGUUGCCAUCUCAUCAGUAGUGCCAUUAGAAAAUUAUUUGGCACCGCUUCAGUAGUUUGUGCAACCAACUUUGGUCCACACAUCCGAGGAGCCAAGCAGUAAAAUACUGAAUCUUUAUGGCACGAAGGAACAGGGCAUCGGAGCAACUACGUGCUCCGGAGUCUGGGUCCCUAAUUUUUUUUCCGCUACAUCGGCUCGCCAGUGUAGGGCACCAGUGCGAGAUGUAGAAACAGUUGUCUUUACCCCAGUUUUGGCAUACAUAGUGGAUGGCCUUAGUGCUAUUAGUUCUAUGUUACUAAAUUUGUGCAUGUACACACCUGUUAGUAUCAAUUUGCUGUCAUCCAAACACUGUCGCUAUGCUGUUGCAGUUAUAUUUACCUUCCUCAUAAAAUGUUCAAUUUGUUAUUUAUUGUACAUGAGUAAGAACUUGUAGUGUCGUUGUACUUAAUUAUAGCUUCUGAUGUUCCAGAAUUUGGUUGUUGUCUCAGUACCAAUUAUUUCAUUUGCACAUUGAUCUUUUUGAGAAGAUAUGUCAUAAUUAACAUGUUUCUUCAGUUUUUCAAAAUAAGCAUUGGUGAUUUUCUAUGUUGCUAUAAACCCAUUUACCCUACAAUUGUUACUAAUCUAGUUUUAAAUAUUAUAGGAUGCACAGAAGUGUUCUUACUUGGAGUGGGUUGAUCAAGAGUGGCCACAGUCCUUGAAGAUGUGCCUAGUGAAGCUCUGGAGCAUUUAUGAGGAAGAGAACAGAAUUAGGCUUAGAGAAAAUGUUGUCAACGCUAAAGAAUAUUUGAAGAUGCGGGAUAAACGUUGAAGGUGGAGAAAUGAGCUCAAAUUUUUUAAAUCAGACUUUGCUAAGAUGGUGUUGGCGAAGGAGGAGGCACUUUCCCAGUUGGCCCGUGCAAAACAGGUUCUUACUGAACUGAAAGCAGAGGUGGAUAAGAUGAGCCUGGAUGAUCUCGAUUAGGGAAAUGAAUAUAUUGUUCUUAUGAAGUUGAACUAGCUAUAUGUUGUACUGUGCUAUUUUCAUGUAGCUACCGUACUGUGAUGUUAUAAUAUAUUUAUGUGUGUGAUAUGAAAUUGGCAAACAACGAUUCGAUAUGGAAUGUGAAUUUGGGUAAUACUGGAAUUACUAAUUGUAAACUAAUAAACUCGUUAAAUGUGUCAUGGACCUUUGCAAACGGUUCUAGUAGUAAAAGCGCUUGCGAUGGAUAGCCCAAUGCUACACAGUUUUCUUCAUCAAAUCGUGUGUGAUAUAGUUGAUAAAAGCAAACAGUUAACCAAGGCAGACUGUGUGUGAUAGUUACACCUUUCACACACGAGCCUACACAUAAAACUGUGUGGGAUGUACGUAUGAACGGAAACGUUUUCCCUGGAUUGACUGUGUGCGAUGUACAUAAGAACAGAAACAUAUUCCUUGGAUUGACUGUGUGUGAUAUACAUACGAAUGGAAAUGUUUUUCUGGGAUUCACCGUGUGGGAUGUAUAUACCUACGGAAAUGAUUUUCUAGGAUUACCGUGUGGGAUGUACAUACCUACAGAAAUGAUUGGGUUUCGAUGCCUCACCUAAUCACACACGACCCCAGCCUGUGUCCCAAGAGGACCUAUCCCUGACGGUUUCUGGAUCGUGUGGGAAGGACCCCCCUAUCGCCCACACUUACUUGGCGACGGUUCCAAAUGUCAUCGCGGAAAGGGGUUAAAAACCGUUUGUUUAGGACCGAUGCGCACCAGUGAUGGUUAAAUUUCCUAACCAUAGACAUGUGUUGUCAUUUGAUGAAAGAGAUCACAUCAUUAGGAUAUUAUGUGAUGGACAAGACCCAUCCGUUAGCUUAGCAUAAUGAUCGUUAAGUUUUAUUGCUAUUGCUUUCUUCAUGACUUAUACAUAUUCCUUUGACUAUGUGAUUAUGCAACUCUCGGAUACCGGAGGAAUACCUUGUGUGCUAUCAAACCUCACAACGUAACUGGGUGAUUAUAAAGAUGCUCUAUAGGUAUCUCCGAAGGUAUUUGUUGGGUUGGCAUAGAUCAAGAUUAUAAUUUGUCACUCCGAUUAUCGGAGAGGUAUCUCUGGGCCCUCUCGGUAAUGCACAUCAUAAUAAGCCUUGCAAGCAAUGUAACUAAUGAGUUAAUUAUGGGAUGAUGCAUUACGGAACGAGUAAAGAGACUUGCCGGUAACGAGAUUGAACUAGGUAUGAAGAUACCAAUGAUCGAAUCUCGGGCAAGUAACAUACCGAUGACAAAGGGAAUAACGUAUGUUGUCAUAACGGUUCGACCGAUAAAGAUCUUCGUAGAAUAUGUGGGAGCCAAUAUGAGCAUCCAGGUUCUACUAUUGGUUAUUAAUCGAAGAUGUGUCUCGGUCAUGUCUACAUAGUUAUCGAACCCAUAGGGUCCGCACGCUUAAUGUUCGAUGAUUAUUUGUAUUAUAUGAGUUAUGUGAUUUGGUGACCGAAUGUUGUUCGGAGUCCCGAAUGAGAUCACGGACAUGACGAGUCUCAAAAUGGUCGAGAGGUAAAGAUUCAUAUAUAGGAUGAUAGUAUUCAGACAUCGGAAGUGUUCCGGGGUACCGGGUACGUAUCGGGUCACCGGAAGGGGUUCCGGGCUACCCCCGGCAAACUAUAUGAGCCUUAUGGGCCAAGAGGAGAAACACACCAGCCACAAAAGGGGCUGGUGCACCCCCCCCCCAUAUGGGCUGGCCAAAUUGGAGAAGGAAAGGGGAAGGAGGAAAGGAAAAAGGGAAUAGGAUUCCCCCUUCCCCCUCUUCCCUUCCUACUCCGAAUAGGAAUUGGAAAGGGGGGAGGCCAAAUUGGAAGGUGCCCAGGUAGGAUUCCUCCUACUUGGGGCACCCCCUUGGCUGCCUCUCCUCCCCUCCAACCUAUAUAUAUGAGGGGGGCACCGUUAGAACGCACAACAAACAUUGUUAGUCAUGUGCGGUGCCCCCCUCCACAGUUUACGCCUCCAGUCAUAUUCACGUAGUGCUUAGGCGAAGCCCUACGCGGAACACUUCACCAUCACCGUCACCAUGCUAUCGUGCUGACGAAACUCUCCCUCGACACUUUGCUGGAUCAAGAGUUCGAGGGAUGUCAUUGAGCUGGACGUGUGCAAAACUCGGAGGUGUCAUACUUUCCGUGCUUGAUUGGUCAGUGUCGGUGUCAAAACCGGCCGAUCUUGGGUAGGGGGUCUCGAACUGUGCAUCUGAGGAUUGAAGAUAAUAGGAGGCAGGGGACAUGAUGUUUACCCAGGUUCGGGCCCUCGUAAUGGAGGUAAUACCCUACUUCCUGCUUGAUUGACUUUGAUGAGUAUACGGGUUACAAGAGUUGAUCUACCUCUAGAUCGUAAUGGCUAAACCCUAGAUGUCUAGCCUGUAUGAUUAUUAUUGCCUCUAUGGACUAAACCCUCCGAUUUAUAUAGACACCAGAGGGGUCAAGGGUUGUACAGAGUUGGUUUACAGAGAAAGGAAUCUUCACAUCCGAACGCUAAACUUGCCAUCCACGCAAAGGAGAGUCCCAUCCGAACACGGGGGAAGGCCUUCUAUCUUGUAUCUUCACAGCCCAUCAGUUCGGCCCAUGUCACAUAGCCCGGACGCCCGGGGACCCCCUAAUCCAAGACUCUCUUAGUAGCCCCUGACCAAGCUUCAAUGACAAUCUGUCCGGCGCGCAGAUUGUCUUUGGCAUUGCAAGGCGGGUUUCUCCUCCGAAUACUUCAAAGUAGCUGAUCAAAAGAACUAUAUCCAGCUCUAUAUAAUAGUUACAACCCUGAACCACAAGGACAAAAUACUUAAACAAAAAAAAACAAAACAAGCCUAUUGGCAGCUUUUCCGGUGAGACAUUAUGUCCUCGCCUUAUUAUUAUUUCGAACCGUUUUUCAGCCUCCUCCUUCGUGUUUCGAGGCACGGUAUUCAUUGGCACGUCUUUUCAAAGCAGAGAUCGUAUCCCCUUAUUGCGGGAUUCUCAUCAAUACGGGUUUGGGUAAUCCAACCAUGCCAUUUGCACGACCCCUUGGGAAUAGGCGAGUUUUAAGGCUCGUGGGGGGCACUCGAUAUUCACCGCCUUUAUAAGAGGAUAUGAAUCGAUCUUUUUACCCCACACCUUUCUCCUUCCUCAGCCCUUCUGAUAACCCACAAGUAUAGGGGAUCAAUUGUAGCCUCUUUCGAUAAGUAAGAGUGUCGAACCCAACGAGGAGCUAAAGGUAGAACAAAUAUUCCCUCAAGUUCUAUCGACCACCGAUACAACUCUACGCAUGCUUAGCGUUCGCUUUACCUAGAACAAGUAUGAAACUAGAAGUACUUUGUAGGUGUUUUUGGAUAGGUUUGCAAGAUAAUAAAGAGCACGUAAGUAAAAAGUAGGGGCUGCUUAGAUAAAGAAACAAUAAAGUUAGUAUAGCGAGUGUGGAAAAGUGGUUGUAGGAGUUGCGAAAUUGUCCCUAAGCAAUUGACUACUUUGCUAGACCGAUAGCAAGUUUUAUGUGGGAUAGGCCACUGCUAGCAUGUCAUCCCUGACUUGGAAUUCUAUGCACUUAUGAUUGGAACUAUUAGCAAGCGUCCGCAACUACUAACGUUCAUUAAGGUAAAACCCAACCAUAGCAUUAAGAUAUAUUGGUCCCCCUUCAAUCCCCUAUGCAUCAAUUUCUAUGCUAGGUUGAAGCUUCUGUCACUCUUCCCCUCCAAUACAUAGUCCUAUCAACAUACAACUAACCCUAUGGUGUGAUCCACACACGUGCUCAUAUGAUGGGCACCAAAGGACAGCAAAAUAACCACAAGCAAAUUAAAUCAAUCAUAGCAAUUCAUCAACCACCGAUAGGACAACGAAAAUCUACUCAGACAUCAUAGGAUGGCAACACAUCAUUGGAUAAUAAUAUGAAGCAUAAAGCACCAUGUUCAAGUAGAGGGUCCAGCGGGUUGCGGGAGAGUGGACCGCUGUAGAUAGAUGGGGGAAGGUGAUGGAGAUGGUGGUGAAGUUGGCGGAGGUGUUGGUGUAGAUCGCGGUGAUGAUGAUGGUGGCCACGGCAGCAUUCCGGCGCCACCGGAAGAGAAGGGGAGAGGGGGACCCUUCUUCUUCUUCCUUGACCUCCUCCCUAGAUGGGAGAAGGGUUUCCCCUUUGGUCCUUGGCCUCCAUGGCAUGGGAGGGGCGAGAGCCCCUAUGAGAUUGGAUCUGUCUCUCUGUCUCUCUCUGUUUCUGCGUUCUCAGAUUCUGCCCUUUCACCGUUUCUUUUAUAUACGGAGAUCCGUAACUCCAAUUGGGCUGAAACUUUAACACGAUCUCUAUCUGUAAAUUAGCUUUCUUGCGGAGAAAGAAGGGCUCCAACCGCCUUACGGGGAGGCCACAAGGGUCCAGGGCGCGCCCCUACCUCGUGGCCCCCUCGGGCAUCGUAUCGCGUCAAUUCUUCUUCCCAAAAAUCACAUAUAUUCCAAAAAAAUAUCCGUCAGUUUUAACCCGUUUGAACUCCGUUUGAUAUGGAUUUUCUGUGAAACAAAAAACAUGCAACAGACAGGAACUGGCACUGGGCACUGGAUCAGUAUGUUAAUCCCAAAAAUAGUAUAAAAAGUUGCCAAAAAUAUAUGAAAGUUGUAGAAUAUUGGCAUGGAACAAUAAAAAAUUAUAGAUACGAUGGAGACGUAUUAGCAUCCCCAAGCUUAAUUCCUGCUCGUCCUCGAGUAGGUAAAUGAUAAAAAAAUUAAUUUUUGAUGUGGAAUGCUACCUAGCAUAAUCUUGAUCAUGUAUCUAAUCAUGGCAUGAAUAUUAAGACACGAGUGAUUCAAAGCAAUAGUCUAUCAUUUGACAUUAAGACAAUAAUUCUUCAAGCCUACUAAUAAAGCAAUCAUGUCUUUUCAAAAUAACAAGGCCAAAGAAAGUUAUCCCUAUAAAAUCAUAUAGUCUGGCUAUGCUCCAUCUUCACCACACAAAAUAUUCAAAUCAUGCACAACCCCGAUGACAAGCCAAGCAAUUGGUUCAUGCUUUUUAACGCGCUUCAGCCUUUUCAACCCUCACACAAUACAUGAGCGUGAGCCAUGGACAUAGCACUAUAGGUGGAAUAGAAUAUGAUGAUGGAGGUUGCAUGGAGAAGACGAAAAGGAGAAAGUCUCACAUCGACACGGCUAAUCAACGGGCUAUGGAGAUGCCCAUCAAUUGAUGUCAAUGUGAGGAGUAGGGAUUGCCAUACAACGGAUGCACUAGAGCUAUAAGUAUAUGAAAGGUCAAACUGAAACUAAGUGGGUGUGCAUCCAACUUGCUUUCUCAUGAAGACCAAGGGCAUUUGAGGAAGCCCAUCGUUGGAAUAUACAAGCCAAGUUCUAUAAUGAAAAUUCCCACUAGUAUAUGAAAGUGAUAACUCAAGAGACUCUCUAUACGAAGAACACGGUGCUACUUUGAAGCACAAGUGUGGUAAAAGGAUAGUAACAUUGCCCCCUUCUUCUCUUUUUUUUGGCGGGCUUCUUUGGCCCCCUUUUUUUCUUUAGGCUUCUUUGACCUCUCUCUUUUGGCGGGCAAUGCUCUAAUAAUGAUGAUCAUCACACUUUUAUUUACUUACAACUCAAUAUUACAACUCGAUACUAGAACAAAUAUAUGACUCUAUAUGAAUGCCUCCGGCGAUGUACCGGGAUGUGCAAUGAUCUAGCGUAGCAAUGACAUCAAAAAACGGACAAGCCAUGGAAACAUCAUGCUAGCUGAUACGUCUCCAACGUAUCUAUAAUUUUUGAUCGUUCCAUGCUAUUAUAUUAUAUGUUUUGGAUGUUUAUGGGCUUUAUUAUGCACUUUUAUAUUAUUUUUGGGACUAACCUAUUAGCCUAGAGCCCAGUGCCGGUUUCUGUUUUUCCUUGUUUUACAGUAUCGCAGAAAAGGAAAAUCAAACGAAGUCCAAUUGACCUGAAACUUCACGGAACUUAUUUUUGGACCAGAAGAAGCCCACGGAGUAUCGAAGAUGGACGAGGAGAGUCCUGGGCUACCCACGAGGGUGGGGGGCAUGCCCACCCCCCUGGGCGCGCGCCCCUGCCUUGUGGACAGCCCGGAGGUCCACCGGCGUACUUCUUCCUCCUAUAUAUACCCAUAUAUCCUAAAAACUUUGAGGAGCACAAUAGAACGGGAGUUCCGCCGCCAGAAGCCUCCUUAGCCAUCGAAAACCAAUCUAGACCCGUUCCGGCACCCUGCCGAAGGGGGCAAUGCCUCUCCGGUGGCCAACUUCAUCAUCCCAGUGAUCUCCAUGACGAGGAGGGAGUAGUUCUCCCUCGGGGCUAAGGGUAUGUACCAGUAGCUAUGUGUUUGAUCUCUCUGUCUCUCUCUUUCUCUCUCUCGUGUUCUUGAGGUGGUACGAUCUUGAUGUAUCGUGGGCUUUGCUAUUAUAGUUGGGUCUUAUGAUGUUUCUCCCCCUCUACUCUCUUGUAAUGGAUUGAGUUUUCCCUUUGAAGUUAUCUUAUCGUGCUGAGUCUUUAAGGAUUUGAGAACACUUGAUGUAUGUAUUGUGUGGGAUACCCGUGGUGACAAUGGGGUAUUCUAUUGAUCCACUUGAUGUAUGUUUUGGUGAUCAACUUGCGGGUUCCGCCCAUGAACCUAUGCAUAGGGGUUGGCACACGUUUUCGUCUUGACUCUCCGGUAGAAUCUUUGGGGCACUCUUUGAGGUCCUAUGUGUUGGUUGAAUAGAAGAAUCUGAGAUUGUGUGAUGCGUAUCGUAUAAUCAUACUCACGGAUACUUGAGGUGACAUUGGAGUAUCUAGGUGACAUUAGGGUUUUGGUUGAUUUGUGUCUUAAGGUGUUAUUCUAGUACGAACUCUAGGGUUGUUUGUGACACUUAUAGGAAUAGCCCAACGGAUUGAUUGGAAAGAAUAACUUUGAGGUGGUUUCGAACCCUACCACAAUCUCUUCGUUUGUUCUCCGCUAUUGGUGACUUUGGAGUGACUCUUUGCUGCAUGUUGAGGGAUAGCUAUGUGAUCCAAUUAUGUUAUUAUUGUUGAUAGAACUUGCACUAGUGAAAGUAUGAACCCUAGGCCUUGUUUCAAUGCAUUGCAAUACCGUUUGUGCUCACUUUUAUCAUUAGUUACCUUGCUACUUUUAUAUUUUCAGAUUACAAAAACCUAUAUCUACCAUCCAUAUUGCACUUGUAUCACCAUCUCUUCGCCGAACUAGUGCACCUAUACAAUUUACCAUUGUAUUGGGUGUGUUGGGGACACAAGAGACUCUUUGUUAUUUGGUUGCAGGGUUGCUUGAGAGAGACCAUCUUCGUCCUAUGCCUCCUACGGAUUGAUAAACCUUAGGUCAUCCACUUGAGGGAAAUUUGCUACUGUCCUACAAACCUCUGCACUUGGAGGCCCAACAACAUCUACAAGAAGAAGGUUGUGUAGUAGACAUCAAGCUCUUUUCUGGCGCCGUUGCCGGGGAGGUUAGUGCUUGAAGGUAUAUCUUUAGAUCUUGCAAUCAAGUCUUUUACUUUCUUGUUUUAUCACUAGUAGUUUAUAAAAGAAAAUUAUAAAAAAAGGGAAUUGAGUUUACCUCAUACGCUUCAUCUUUUUAAUAUCUUUCGUGAGUAUGAUGGGAAGGAAGAUUGUGCCAAAGUGUUAGAAGAAGAAUGCAUUAAAAUGUUUGGCACUAAAUCUUUGAAUGAUGAGCAUGAUUGCAAUGUUGUUAGUAUGAACUCCUUGAAUAUCCAUAGUACUAAUGAUGAUUGCACUAGUUAUGAUGAAAAUGUCUCCUAUAAACAUGCCAAUUUUUUGUGGAGUGCAUUGGGUUUGCAAGAACACACCAAAUAGGGAAGAUAGAUAUUGCAAGAGGCAUAAUCAUUUAGAAACUAAAUGAUUGCAAGAAAGGCUAGAUGUUUGUGCUGAAAAUUUAAACUUUCUUAGCUAUACUUGUGAACUUUGCAAUGAACGUGAUCAUUUCAGUACCCAAUGCAAAUUGUUUCAUGAUCGUAUCGUGUCCAAAAAUUGUGAUGACUUGAUUUCUCUUGCACAUCAUAAUGAACUUAGUUUGCUCUUGGGUUAUGAAGAAAUGAAACGUAUAACUAAGGUUAUUCCAGAAUUUUCCCUUUAUAGAGUUCUUAAUUUUGAUCUAGAAGAAAUUUAUAUGUAUUAUGCGGUGAAUUGCAUUGAAAAUCCUUAUAUUGCCAAUUACAUAAAGAAAAGAAAACAGAUAGAAGAUGAAGAGAAUACUAAUGAAAGGGAAGAGACUUCCUCAUAUCCUCCUAUUAUUUCUUAUGAUGAAUCGGGUAACGAGGAGGAGCCCUCUAUUCAACCAAUCUCAUUAAUAAGGAGCUCCAAAAAGAGAAUUGAACCCACACAUGAUGUGGUGAAGAAGAAGAAAAUAAAAAGGAAGAGAGGUAAAAAGAUAUCUCUCCCAAAUAAUGCUGCUCCUAUUACUGUUGUGCCUCAUGAAAAUAUAACUGUGGAAGAUGAUGCACUUGAUGAUGAUCUCGUUAUGCCUAUUGCUUGUUGUGAUGAUUAUGAUUGGGAAGAUAAUGAUACUUCUUAUGAUCUUGAAAAUCUUUUUGGCACUUGCUUGAAAAAAUAUGAUAAUUGCUAUACUAUUGGUGCUAUCCAUACUAUUGACGAUGAGAGUGAUUAUGCUUAUGAUAUGAAAAGGCCCAAGCUUGGGGAUGCUAUGUUUGAUGAAGAUGAUGUUUUUGAGAAUAUAGUUGCUGCAAUUAAUGUUUUUCCCAAGCUUGGGGAUGCUACAUUUAAUGAAGAUGAUAUUUUUAGUCUCCCAAGUUUUGAUAUGAAAAUUUAUAAUGAUGAUAGCAUGCCUCCUACUUAUGAUGAUUAUUGUGAUGAUACUUAUGCUAUAAAAGUAGUGAUUAUAUUUAUAAAACUUGUCAUUAUUAUGGUUACCCCUUUUCUGAACAUUACUCUUUUAAUGUGGAAACAAUUUAUAGUAUUCGAGUUUCUUAUGAUACUCCUACUAUUCCGAAUGAGAAGAAUUUUGCUUAUGUGGAGAGUAAUAAAAUUUAUAUGCUUGUAGAUCAUUAAAAUAAUGCUUUAGGUGAUGGUUAUAUUGUUGAAUUCAUUCAUGAUUCUACUGAAAAUUAUUAUGAAGGAGGAAUAUAUGCUUGUAGGAAUUGCAAUAAUAUCAAGUUUCCUCUCUAUGUGCUUAAAGUUUUGAAGUUAUGCUUGAUUUACCUUCCUAUGCAAGUUGAUUCUUGUUUCCAUAAGUUGUUUGCUCAGAAAAUCCCUAUGCAUAUGAAGUUGGUUAGACUUAAAUGUGCUAGUCAUAUUCUUCAUGAUGCUCUCUUUAUGUUUCAAUUCUUAUCUUUUAUGUGAGCAUCAUUGAAAUCAUCAUGCCUAGCUAGGGGCGUUAAACGAUAGCGCUUGUUGGGAGGUAACCCAACUUUAUUUUUGUUCCUUGCUUUUUGCUCCUGUUUAGCAAUAAAUAAUUUAUCUAGCCUCUGUUAUGAUUGAGUUUUUAUGUUUAAUUAGUGUUUGUGCCAAGUAGAACCUUUGGGAAGACUUGGGGAAAGUCUUGUUGAUCAUGCUGUAAAAAACAGAAACUUUAGCGCUCACGAGAAUUGCUGCCAUUUUUAUUUGGAAAGUGAUAUUUAGUUAAUUAUUUUUGAAGAUGAUUAAUAGAUAAAUUACUCAGGUCCGUCAAUUUAUUUUAGAUUUUUUGGGGUUCCAUAAGUUUGCGUUAGCUACAGAUUACUACAGACUGUUCUGUUUUUGACAGAUUCUGUUUUUCGUGUGUUGUUUGCUUAUUUUGAUGAAUCUAUGGCUAGUAAAAGAGUUUAUAAACCAUAGAGAAGUUGGAAUAAAGUAGGUUUAAUACCAAUAUAAAUAAAUAAUGAGUUCAUUACAGUACCUUUAAGUGGUGUUUUCUUUUCUUUCGCUAACGGAGAUUACGAGUUUUCUGUUAAGUUUUGUGUUGUGAAGUUUUCAAGUUUUGGGUAAAGAUUCGAUGGACUAUGGAAUAAGGAGUGGCAAGAGCCUAAGCUUGGGGAAGCCCAAGGCACCCCAAGGUAAUAUUCAAGGAUUACCAAGAGCCUAAGCUUGGGGAUGCCCCGGAAGGCAUCCCCUCUUUCGUCUUUGUUCAUUGGUAACUUUACUUGGAGCUAUAUUUUUAUUUACCACAUGAUAUGUGUUUUGCUUGGAGCGUCAUUUUAUUUUAUUUAGUUUUGCUUGCUGUUUGCAUAAAAUACCAAGAUCUGAAAUUAUUAAAUCUUAGAGUCUUCACAUACUUCCAUAAUUAUUUGACUACUCAUUGAUCUUCAUUUAUAUCCUUCGGAGUAGUUUGUUGUUGCUCUAGUGCUUCACUUAUAUCUUUUUAGAGCACGGUGGUGGUUUUAUUUUAUAGAAAUAGAUGAACUCUCAUGCAUCACUUAUAUUAUUUUGAGAGUCCUAAAUAUCAUGGUAAUUUGCUUUGGUUAUGAAUUUAGUCCUAAUAUGAUAGGCAUCCAAGAGGGAUAUAUUAAAAACUUUCAUAUGAAGUGCAUUGAAUACUAAGAGAAGUUUGAUACUUGAUAAUUGUUUUGAGAUAUGGAGAUGGUGAUAUUAGAGUCAUGCUAGUUGAGUAGUUGUGAAUUUUAGAAAUACUUGUGUUGAAGUUUGUGAUUCCCGUAGCAUGCACGUAUGGUGAACCGUUAUGUGACGAAGUCGGAGCAUGAUUUAUUUAUUGAUUGUCUUCCUUAUGAGUGGUGGUCGGGGACGAGCGAUGGUCUUUUCCUACCAAUCUACCCCCCUAGGAGCAUGCGCGUAGUACUUUGUUUCGAUAGCUAAUAGAUUUUUGGAAUAAGUAUAUGAGUUCUUUAUGACUAAUGUUGAGUCCAUGGAUUAUACGCACUCUCACCCUUCCACCAUUGCUAGCCUCUCUAGUACCGCGCAACUUUCGCUGGUACCAUAAACCCACCAUAUACCUUCCUCAAAACAGCCACCAUACCUACCUAUUAUGGCAUUUCCAUAGCCAUCCCGAGAUAUAUUGCCAUGCAACUUUCCACCGUUCCAUUUAUUAUGACACGCUUCAUCAUUGUCAUAUUGCUUUGCAUGAUCAUGUAGUUGACAUCGUAUUUGUGGCAAAGCCACCGUUCAUAAUUCUUUCAUACAUGUCACUCAUGAGUCAUUGCACAUCCUGGUACACCACCGGAGGCAUUCAUAUAGAGUUAUAUCUUGUCUUAAGUAUCGAGUUGUAAUUCUUGAGUUGUAAGAAAAUAAAAGUGUGAUGAUCAUCAUUAUUAGAGCAUUGUCCCAGUGAGGAAAGGAUGAUGGAUACUAUGAUUCCCCCACAAGUCGGGAUGAUACUCCGGACGAAAAUAAAUAAAUAAAAGAGGCCAAAGAAGCACAAAUAAAAAAAAAGAGAAAAGAGGCCAUAAAAAGAGAAGGCCCAAAUAAAAAAAAUAAAAAAUGAGAGAAAAAGAGAGAAGGGGCAAUGCUACUAUCCUUUUACCACACUUGUGCUUCAAAGUAGCACCAUGAUCUUCAUGAUAGAGAGUCUCCUAUGUUGUCACUUUCUUAUACUAGUGGGAAUUUUACAUUAUAGAACUUGGCUUGUAUAUUCCAAUGAUGGGCUUCCUCAAAAUGCCCUAGCACUACAAAAAAAGACACAUCCAUGACAUUUUGGGCCGAACGAAAUUUUUUCUGUCAUACAUAUGACACUUCUAUGACGAUAAUUGUGACAAAACCCGGUAUCAUCAUAGAUGUGGUGGGCUCCUACUUCUAUGACAAAAAAUCAUGACAGAAAAUGGGCUUUUCAUCCUGGGCAGGCCGGAGACGCAGCUGCAUGACAUUCUUUGGGCCGUCCAUGAUGGAAAAAACCGUGAUAGAAGCGAGGGGGAGGAAAAUUUUGAGGAGUUCCCGAUUACGGUGGGAGGUCGGGGGCCGAGCGAUUCGCGUUUCUCUCGUACACGUACGCGCGUGUGUGCAAGGCGUUGGCUCUAACUGAACCCGAGCGAGGCAUUGGGCUCUAACUGAACCCGAGCGAUUGCACUGCAGGCUACGCAUUACUGAACCCGAGCGAUCGAUCGAUGGCUGUUAACUGAACCCGAUCGAGCGAUUCCUUCGCUAUUGCUGCUAACGGAAGCCGAUCGAUGUUGUCUCUGGGAUGAACAGUGAGCGUUGCGGGGGGGGGUGGAUGAACAGUGAGUGGUGGCGUUGCCUCUAGAUGAACAGGACCCCGUGGUGUGGAGGGCUGGAUGAACAGUAGACGGUGGAGGGGUGCCCGUGGAGGGGUGGUUGAACAGGACCCCGUGGUGUGGACGGCUGGAUGAAUAGUAGAAGGUGGAGGGGUGGUUGAACAGUAGCCGGUGGAGUAGCACGCGGUGGAGGAUGGAUGAACAGGAGCCCGUGGAGGCUGGAGGAGAUCGACGGUAGCCCGUGGAGGCUGGAGGAGGUCGACGGUGGAGAUGAACAGUAUCCCGUGGAGUCCCGUUUUGUGGUAUGCCACACCCCUCCCGAUGAACAGGACCUCCGUUUCAACCGUAGGAGGUCCGUUUCAUCCGUUUUGUGGUACGCCACACCCCUCCCGAUCAACAGGACCCCCGUUUCGACCAUAGGAGGUCCAUUUCAUCCGUUUUGCGGUACGCCACACCCCUCCCAAUCAACAGGACCCCUGUUUCGACCGUAGGAGGUCCGUUUCCUCUGUUUUGCGGUACGCCAGACCCUCCCGAUCAACAGGACCCCGUUCAGGCCUUGUUUCCAUCGCAUGUUCCAUCCAAGCCCUCCUGAUGAACACGACCACGCAUUCCGUUCUGACCCAGCCGGUUGGCUCCCACGCGUUCCGUUGCCUCCCGAUGAACACGACGCAUUCGGUUGCCUCCCGAUGAACAUGAUGCAUUCCGUUGCCUCCCCAUGAACACGAUGCAUUCCGUUGCCUCCCCAUGAUCACGACGACGACGCUGUUUCUCUGUUCCGACCCAGCCAUGUACACGAGCCUUGGCCGUACGUAUGCGCGAGUAGGUGUUCGAGACCCCACCCGUAUGUACAAAUACGUGGCCGUAUUUUAUUUCUUGCACCCUGGCCGUUGUACGUACAUAUACAUGCUACGUGCGUGCCUCUACUACGACACGUACGCGCCUCUAGUACGACACGUGCAUGCCUCUACAUCCACCAGUAUAUAUGUACGUACACGUUCGCGACCAGAAUGACAACGCUACGUACACUUCGACCAGGUGGGUCCCGACUGUCAGGCACUUCCUUACGUGCGAAGAUGAAGCUGGUGGGUCCUAGCAGUCAGGGGGGCGGAUUGUUUUUUUUGCCUGGACACACUUCAUUGCGUGCGAAGAUGUAGCUGGUGGGUCCCAGCAGUCAGGGGGGCGAAUCAUUCUUUUGCCCGGACGCACUUCCUUGCAUGCGAAGAUGUAGCUGGUGGGUCCCAGCAGUCAGGGGGAAAUGUUUUUUUCAUGAAAUACGGUGGCCCAUCCGGUGGGUCCCCGCUGUCAGGUGGUGGAAUCAUUAUUUUGCGCGUAAUAAGGAGGCACUUCCUUGCUGCGGCCGUGGACCCAGCUGUCAGCCUCUCCAUGUAUAGUCCACGUCCGAUGGAAGUCAUUCCUUGACCACAUUGACCACGCCGCACCGAGAGCACCACGGCGGUGGACGAUGGCGAGGACUAGGAAGGGGACGACUCGGAGCCGGGGAAGACACAGCAGUGGAUGCCCACGCGAAGAGGAGUGCGAGGGUUCACUGGAUCGGCUGCGGUGUGAGGCUGCUGUCGUUGCAGAAUAACAGGGGGUGUGGGUGAGUAGAGGGAUGGCCUGGCCAGCGGUGGGAGUAGUAGGGGCGGUGAGGCCUCCGCGGCAUCACUGCCGGCCACGGGAGACAGGAGCACGCGACACGACCGGCGGUGGUUUGGGUAGCUGGAGCAAGAAGACCAGAGGUUGAAGAAGCACUACGGACGUUGGAUGAACAUCAUAUGGUAACAGUGUUGGGGAACGUUGCAGAAAAUUAAAAAUUUUCCUACGGUUUCACCAAGAUCCAUCUAUGAGUUCAUCUAAGCAACAAGUCAAGGGAGAGAGUUUGCAUCUACAUACCACUUGUAGAUUGCGUGCGGAAGCUUGCAAGGUGAUGAUGUAGUCGUACUCGACGUGAUUCGAAUCACCGAUGACCAAGUGCUGAACGGACAGCACCUCCGCGUUCAACACACGUACGGGACGGGAGACGUCUCCUCCUUCUUGAUCCAGCAAGGGGAAGGAGAGGUUGAGGAAGACAGCUCCACCGGCAGCACGACGGCGUGGUGAUGGUGGAGAGGCAGUACUCCGACAGGGCUUCGCCAAGCACACAACGGAGGAGGAGAGGUGUUGGGGAGGGGAGGGCUGCGCCUUGGAGGGUGGUGCAGCUGCCCACCCCUCACCCCUCUAUUUAUAGGGGGAAGGGAGAAGGGGGCCGGCCCCCUAGAACCCAUCUAGGGGGGGUGCGGCGGCCUAGGGGAGAGGGGAGAGGGUGGCUUGCCCCCCAAGCCAAGGGGGGCGCCCCCUCUAGGGUUCCCCCUCAACCCUAGGCGCAUGGGCCCAAGGGAGGGGGGUGCGGCCAGCCCACCAGGGGCUGGCUCCCUGCCCCACGCAGCCCAUGUGCCCCCCCGGGAGGGGUGGCCCCUCCCGGUGGACCCCCAGAACCCUUCCGGUGGCCCCGGUACAAUACCGGUAUGACCCCGAAACUUCCCGGUGUCCGUUUGACAACUUCCCAUAUAUAAAUCUUUACCUCCGGACCCUUCCGGAUCUCCUAGUGACGUCCAGGAUCCCAUCCGGGACUCCGAAAAACAUUCGGUGGUCACAUACUAGUCUUCCUAAUAACCCUAGCGUCACCGAACCUUAAGUGUGUAGACCCUACGGGUUCGGGAGACAUGCAGACAUGACCGAGACGCUCUCAGUCAAUAACCAACAGCGGGAUCUGGAUACCCAUGAUGGCUCCCACAUGCUCCUCGAUGUUGUCAUCGGAUGAACCACGAUGUCGAGGAUUCGAUCAAACCCUGUAUGCAAUUCCCUUUGUCAAUCGGUACGUUACUUGCCCGAGACUCGAUCGUCGGUAUCUCAAUACCUUGUUCAGUCUCGUUACCGGCAAGUCACUUUACUCGUACCGUAAUGCAUGAUCCCGUGUCCAACACCUUGGUCACAUUGAGCUCACUAUGAUGAUGCAUUACCGAGUGGGCCCAGAGAUACCUCUCCGUCAUACGGAGUGACAAAUCCCAGUCUCGAUCCGUGUCAACCCAACAGCUACUUUCGGAGAUACUUGUAAUGCACCUUUAUAGUCACCCAGUUAUGUUGUGACGUUUGAUACACCCAAGGCACUCUUACGGUAUCCGAGAGUUACACGAUCUCAUGGUCGAAGGAAGAGAUACUUGACACUUGCAAAGCUCUAGCAAAACGAACUGCACGAUCUUUUAUGCUAUGCUUAGGAUUGGGUCUUGUCCAUCACAUCAUUCUCCUAAUGAUGUGAUCCCGUUAUCAACGACAUCCAAUGUCCAUAGUCAGGAAACCAUGACUAUCUGUUGAUCACAACGAGCUGGUCAACUAGAGGCUCACCAGGGACAUAUUGUGGUCUAAGUAUUCACACGUGUAUUACGAUUUCCGGAUAAUACAGUUAUAGCAUGAAUAAAAGACAUUUAUCAUGAACAUUGAAAUAUAAUAAUACUUUUAUUAUUGCCUCUAGGGCAUAUUUCCAACAGUCUCCCACUUGCACUAGAGUCACCAAUCUAGUUACAUUGUGAUGAAUCGAACACCCAUAGAGUUCUGGUGUUGAUCAUGUUUUGCACGCGAGAGAGGUUUAGUCAGCGGAUCUGCGACAUUCAGAUCCGUGUGCACUUUGCAAAUCUCUAUGUCUCCAUCUUGAACAUUUUCACGGAUGGAGUUGAAACGACGCUUGAUGUGCCUGGUCUUCUUGUGAAACCUGGGCUCCUUGGCGAGGGCAAUAGCUCCAGUGUUGUCACAGAAGAGUUUGAUCGGCCCCGACGCAUUGGGUAUGACUCCUAGGUCGGUGAUGAACUCCUUCACCCAAAUCGCUUCAUGCGCUGCCUCCGAGGCUGCCAUGUACUCCGCUUCACACGUAGAUCCCGCCAUGACGCUCUGCUUGCAGCUGCACCAGCUUACUGCUCCACCAUUCAACAUAUACACGUAUCCGGUUUGUGACUUAGAGUCAUCCAGAUCUGAGUCGAAGCUAGUGUCGACGUGACCCUUUACGACGAGCUCUUCGUCUCUUCCAUAAACGAGAAACAUGUCCUUCGUCCUUUUCAGGUACUUCAGGAUAUUCUUGACCACUGUCCAGUGUUCCUUGCCGGGAUUACUUUGGUAUCUUGCUACCAAACUUACGGCAAGGUUUACAUCGGGUCUGGUACACAGCAUGGCAUACAUAAUAGAUCCUAUGGUUGAAGCAUAGGGGAUGACACUCAUCUCUUCUUUAUCUUUUGCCGUGGUCGGUGACUGAGCCGAGCUCAAUCUCACACCUUGUAACAUAGGCAAGAACCCCUUCUUGGACUGAUCCAUUUUGAACCUCUUCAAAAUCUUAUCAAGGUAUGUGCUUUGUGAAAGACCUAUGAGGCGUCUCGAUCUAUCUCUAUAGAUUUUGAUGCCUAAUAUAUAAGCAGCUUCUCCAAGGUCCUUCAUUGAAAAACACUUAUUCAAGUAGGCCUUAAUGUUGUCCAGAAAUUCUAUAUUAUUUCCCAUCAAGAGUAUGUCAUCUACAUAUAAUAUGAGAAAUGCUACAGAGCUCCCACUCACUUUCUUGUAAACGCAGGCUUCUCCAUAAGUCUGCAUAAACCCAAACGCUUUGAUCAUCUCAUCAAAGUGAAUGUUCCAACUCCGAGAUGCUUGCACCAGUCCAUAAAUGGACCGCUGGAGCUUGCAUACUUUGUUAGCGUUCCGAGGAUCGACAAAACCUUCCGGCUGCAUCAUAUACAGUUCUUCCUUAAGAUGCCCGUUAAGGAAUGCCGUUUUGACGUCCAUUUGCCAUAUCUCAUAAUCAUAGUAUGCGGCAAUUGCUAACAUGAUUCGGACGGACUUCAGCUUUGCUACGGGAGAGAAAGUCUCGUCGUAGUCAAUCCCUUGAACUUGUCGAUAACCCUUAGCGACAAGCCGAGCCUUAUAGAUUGUAACAUUACCAUCCGCGUCCGUCUUCUUCUUAAAGAUCCAUUUGUUUUCUAUCGCUCGCCGAUCAUCGGGCAAGUCUGUCAAAGUCCAUACUUUGUUUUCGUACAUGGAUUCUAUCUCGGAUUUCAUGGCUUCAAGCCAUUUGUUGGAAUCCGGGCCCGCCAUUGCUUCUUCAUAGUUCGAAGGUUCAUUGUUGUCUAACAACAUGAUUUCCAGGACAGGGUUGCCGUACCACUCUGGUGCGGAACAUGUCCUUGUGGACCUACGAAGUUCAGCAGUAACUUGAUCCGAAGUACCUUGAUCAUCAUCAUUGUUUUCCUCUUCAGUUGGUGUGGGCAUCACAUGAAUGGUUUCCUGCGCUGCGCCACUUUCCCGCUCAAGAGGUUGUACUUCAUCGAGUUCUACUUUCCUCCCACUUACUUCUUUCGAGAGAAACUCUUUUUCCAGAAAGCAUCCGUUCUUGGCAACAAAGAUCUUGCCUUCGGAUCUUAAGUAGAAGGUAUACCCGACAGUUUCCUUAGGGUAUCCUAUGAAUACGCAUUUUUCCGACUUGGGUUCGAGCUUUUCAGGUUGAAGUUUCUUGACAUAAGCAUCGCAUCCCCAAACUUUUAGAAACGACAGCUUAGGUUUCUUUCCAAACCAUAAUUCAUACGGUGUCGUCUCAAUGGAUUUAGACGGUGCCCUAUUUAAAGUGAAUGUAGCUGUCUCUAGAGCGUAUCCCCAAAAUGACAGCGGUAAAUCGGUAAGAGACAUCAUAGACCGCACCAUAUCCAAUAGGGUGCGAUUAUGACGUUCGGACACACCGUUUCGCUGAGGUGUUCCAGGCGGCGUGAGCUGUGAAACGAUUCCACAUUUCCUUAAGUGUGUACCAAAUUCGUGACUUAAGUAUUCUCCUCCACGAUCUGAUCGUAAGAAUUUUAUCUUUCGGUCACGUUGAUUCUCUACCUCAUUCUGAAAUUCCUUGAACUUUUCAAAGGUCUCAGACUUGUGUUUCAUUAAGUAGACAUACCCAUAUCUACUCAAGUCAUCAGUGAGAGUGAGAACAUAACGAUAUCCUCCGCGAGCCUCAACGCUCAUUGGACCGCACACAUCGGUAUGUAUGAUUUCCAACAAGUUGGUUGCUCGCUCCAUUGUUCCGGAGAACGGAGUCUUGGUCAUUUUGCCCAAAAGGCAUGGUUCGCACGUGUCAAACGAUUCAUAAUCAAGAGACUCUAAAAGUCCAUCGGCAUGGAGUUUCUUCAUGCGCUUGACACCAAUGUGACCAAGGCGGCAGUGCCACAACUAUGUGGGACUAUCGUUAUCAACUUUAAAUCUUUUGGCAUCUACACUAUGAACAUGUGUAAUAUUACGCUCGAGAUUCAUUAAGAAUAAACCAUUGACCAUCGGAGCAUGACCAUAAAACAUAUCUCUCAUAUAAAUCGAACAACCAUUAUUCUCAGACUUAAAUGAGUAGCCAUCUCGUAUUAAACGAGAUCCAGAUACAAUGUUCAUGCUCAAACUUGGCACCAAAUAACAAUUAUUAAGGUUCAAAACUAAUCCCGUAGGUAAAUGUAGAGGCAGCGUGCCGACGGUGAUCACAUCAACUCUGGAACCAUUCCCGACGCGCAUCGUCACCUCGUCCUUCGCCAGUCUCCGUUUAUUCCGCAGCUCCUGCUGUGAGUUACAAAUAUGAGCAACGGCACCGGUAUCAAAUACCCAGGAGUUACUACGAGUACUGGUAAGGUACACAUCAAUCACAUGUAUAUCAAAUAUACCUUUGGUGUUGCCGGCCUUCUUAUCCGCUAAGUAUUUGGGGCAGUUCUGCUUCCAGUGACCUUUCCACUUGCAAUAAAAGCACUCAGUCUCAGGCUUGGGUCCAUUCUUUGACUUCUUCCCGGUAACUGGCUUACCAGGCGCGGCAACCUCCUUGCCGUCCUUCUUGAAGUUCGUCUUACCCUUGCCCUUCUUGAACUUAGUGGUCUUAUUGACCAUCAACACUUGAUGUUCUUUCUUGAUUUCAGCCUCUGCUGACUUCAGCAUCGAGAACACUUCAGGAAUGGUCUUUUCCAUCCCCUGCAUGUUGUAGUUCAUCACAAAGCUCUUGUAGCUUGGUGGGAGUGACUGGAGGAUUCUGUCAAUGACCGCCUCAUCUGGGAGGUUAAUGUUCAGCUGGGUCAUACGGUUGUGCAACCCAGACAUCUUCAGGAUGUGCUCACUGACAGAACUGUUUUCCUCCAUCUUACAACUGUAGAACUUGUCGGAGACAUCAUAUCUCUCGACCCGGGCAUGAGCUUGAAAAACUAGUUUCAGCUCUUCGAACAUCUCAUAUGCUCCGUGGUGCUCAAAACGCUUUUGGAGCCCCGGUUCUAAGCUGUAAAGCAUGCCGCACUGAACGAGGGAGUAAUCAUCAGCACGAGACUGCCAAGCAUUCAUAAUGUCUUGGUUCUCUGGGACGGGAGCGUCACCUAGCGGUCCUUCUAGGACAUAUUGUUUCCUGGCAGCUAUGAGGAUGAUCCUCAGGUUCCGGACCCAGUCCGUAUAGUUGCUGCCAUCAUCUUUCAACUUGGUUUUCUCUAGGAACGCGUUGAAGUUCAUGUUGACAUUAGCGUUGGCCAUUGAUCUACAAGACAUAUUUGCAAAGGUUUUAGACUAAGUUCAUGAUAAUAAAGUUCUAAUCAAAUUAUGAACUCCCACUUAGAUUAGACAUCCCUCUAGUCAUCUAAGUGUUACACGAUCCGAGUCGACUAGCCCGUGUCCGAUCAUCACGUGAGACGGACUAGUCAUCGUCGGUGAACAUUAUCAUGUCGAUCGUAUCUUCCAUACGAUUCGUGCUCGACCUUUCGGUCUCCGUGUUCCGAGGCCAUGUCUGCACAUGCUAGGCUCGUCAAGUUAACCCUAAGUGUUUUCGCUGUGUAAAACUGUCUUACACCCGUUGUAUGUGAACGUAAGAAUCCAUCACACCCGAUCAUCACGUGGUGCUUAGAAGCGACGAACUGUAGCAACGAUGCACAGUUAGGGGAGAACACUUCUUGAAAUUUUAUAAGGGAUCAUCUUAUUUACUACCGUCGUCCUAAGUAAACAAGAUGCAUAAUACAUAAUAAACAUCACAUGCAAUUAUAUAGUUGUGACAUGAUAUGGCCAAUAUCAUAUAGCUCCAUUGAUCUUCAUCUUCGGGGCUCCAUGAUCAUCUUGUCACCGGCUUGACACCAUGAUCUUCAUCAUCAUGUCUUCAUGAAGUUGUCACGCCAACGACUACUUCUACUUCUAUGACUAACGUUUAGCAAUAAAGUAAAGUAGUUUACAUGGCGUUAUUCAAUGACACGCAGGUCAUACAAAAAAUAAUGACAACUCCUAUGGCUCCUGCCGGUUGUCAUACUCAUCGACAUGCAAGUCGUGAAUCCUAUUACAAAGAACAUGAUCUCAUACAUCACAAUUCAUCAUUCAUCACAACUUCUGGCCAUAUCACAUCACAUGAUCAAUCGCUGCAAAAACAAGUUAGACGUCCUCUAAUUGUUGUUGCAUCUUUUACGUGGCUGCAAUUGGGCUCUAGCAAGAACGUUUUCUUACCUACGAAUCACCACAACGUGAUUUUGUCAACUUCUAUUUACCCUUCAUAAGGGCCCUGUUCAUCGAUUCCGCUCCAACUAAAGUGGGAGAGACAGACACCCGCCAGCCACCUUAUGCAACUAGUGCAUGUCAGUCGGUGGAACCAGUCUCACGUAAGCGUACGUGUAAGGUUGGUCCGGGCCGCUUCAUCCCACAAUACCGUUGAGCAAGAAAAGACUAGUAGAGGCAAGUAAGAUGACAAAAUCCACGCCCACAACAAAAUUGUGUUCUACUCGUGCAAAGAGAACUACGCAUAGACCUAGCUGAUGAUGCCACUGUUGGGGAACGUUGCAGAAAAUUAAAAUUUUUCCUACGGUUUCACCAAGAUCCAUCUAUGAGUUCAUCUAAGCAACGAGUCAAGGGAGAGAGUUUGCAUCUACAUACCACUUGUAGAUCGCGUGCGGAAGCUUGCAAGGUGAUGAUGUAGUCGUACUCGACGUGAUUCGAAUCACCGAUGACCAAGUGCUGAACGGACAUCACCUCCGCGUUCAACACACGUACGGGACGGGAGACGUCUCCUCCUUCUUGAUCCAGCAAGGGGAAGGAGAGGUUGAGGAAGACAGCUCCAUCGGCAGCACGACGGCGUGGUGAUGGUGGAGAGGCAGUACUCCGACAGGGCUUCGCCAAGCACACAACGGAGGAGGAGAGGUGUUGGGGAGGGGAGGGCUGUGCCUUGGAGGGUGGUGCGGCUGCCCUCCCCUCACCCCUCUAUUUAUAGGGGGAAGGGAGAAGGGGGCCGGCCCCCUAGAACCCAUCUAGGGGGGGUGCGGCGGCCUAGGGGAGAGGGGAGAGGGUGGCUUGCCCCCAAAGCCAAGGGGGGCGCCCCCUCUAGGGUUCCCCCUCAACCCUAGGCGCAUGGGCCCAAGGGAGGGGGGUGCGGCCAGCCCACCAGGGGCUGGCUCCCUGCCCCACGCAGCCCAUGUGGCCCCCCGGGAGGGGUGGCCCCUCCCGGUGGACCCCCGGAACCCUUCCGGUGGCCCGGUACAAUACCGGUAUGACCCCGAAACUUCCCGGUGUCCGUUUGACAACUUCCCAUAUAUAAAUCUUUACCUCCGGACCCUUCCGGAUCUCCUCGUGACGUCCAGGAUCCCAUCCGGGACUCCGAACAACAUUCGGUAGUCACAUACUAGUCUUCCUAAUAACCUUAGCGUCACCGAACCUUAAGUGUGUAGACCCUACGGGUUCGGGAGACAUGCAGACAUGACCGAGACGCUCUCAGUCAAUAACCAACAGCGGGAUCUGGAUACCCAUGAUGGCUCCCACAUGCUCCUCGAUGUUGUCAUCGGAUGAACCACGAUGUCGAGGAUUCGAUCAAACCCUGUAUGCAAUUCCCUUUGUCAAUCGGUACGUUACUUGCCCGAGACUCGAUCGUCGGUAUCUCAAUACCUUGUUCAGUCUCGUUACCGGCAAGUCACUUUACUCGUAUCGUAAUGCAUGAUCCCGUGUCCAACACCUUGGUCACAUUGAGCUCACUAUGAUGAUGCAUUACCGAGUGGGCCCAGAGAUACCUCUCCGUCAUACGGAGUGACAAAUCCCAGUCUCGAUCCGUGUCAACCCAACAGCUACUUUCGGAGAUACCUGUAAUGCACCUUUAUAGUCACCCAGUUACGUUGUGACGUUUGAUACACCCAAGGCACUCUUACGGUAUCCGGGAGUUACACGAUCUCAUGGUCGAAGGAAGAGAUACUUGACACUUGCAAAGCUCUAGCAAAACGAACUACACGAUCUUUUAUGCUAUGCUUAGGAUUGGGUCUUGUCCAUCACAUCAUUCUCCUAAUGAUGUGAUCCCGUUAUCAACGACAUCCAAUGUCCAUAGUCAGGAAACCAUGACUAUCUGUUGAUCACAACGAGCUGGUCAACUAGAGGCUCACCAGGGACAUAUUGUGGUCUAAGUAUUCACACGUGUAUUACGAUUUCCGGAUAAUACAGUUAUAGCAUGAAUAAAAGACAUUUAUCAUGAACAUUGAAAUAUAAUAAUACUUUUAUUAUUGCCUCUAGGGCAUAUUUCCAACAAACAGGAGCUAGAAUCGUUCAUAUUGACUAAGUUGACAAAGCCCUCCGUCCCCGUCAACAUGGUAGGCCCACAAGUCAGCCUCCCACUAUGCUGGGUUCCAGCUGGGAGGGGGAAUAUUCAUUUUUUGUGCGUAAUAAGGAGGCACUUCCUUGCGUGCGAAGAUAGCUGGUGGGUCCGACAUGUCAGCGGGGGGCACAUUAUUUUUGCGAAAUACAGAGGCCCUUCCGGUGGGUCCCAGAUGUCAGGUGGAGGAAUCAUUAUUUUGCGCGUAAUAAGGAGGCAUUUCCUUGUGUGCGGCCAUGGACCCAGCUAUCAGCCUCUCCACGCACAGUCUACUUCCGAUGGUGUCGUUCGUUGACCACGUUGAUCACGCCGCGCCGAGCUCAUCCAAGGUGGUGGACGACGGCGAGGCCCCGGACAGCAAUGAGCCGGAGAUGGGAAGACGCGGGAGUAGAGUCGUAGACAGAGAGGUCUAUGAGGGUUAACUGGUUCUAGUGCGGUGUGGUUCAGCAGUCGAUGGAGAAGAACAGGAGGUGUGGAGGGGUGGAGGGAUGGCCUGGCCAACGGUGGAGUAGCGCUUCAUAGCGAAGCGUGCUAAGUAGAGCUGCUAGCAGCAGGAGGCUGGAGGUGGUCUCGGCAGCGCUGGAGGAAGAAGACGAGAGAUUGAAGAUGGAUGCCGGUCGUUGGAUGUAAAUCCAAUGGCUAACAUGUCAGAAUCAUUUGUUGACUAAAUUGACAACUUGCGUUGGCUUCGACCUAUUGGCCCACAUUUCAGCCUCCAAAAAUGUGGCACGUAUUCAACCAAUUUUUCAGAAUUUACAGUCUUUUUUUGCACGAUAGAAUUUACAGUAAAUUUGAUCUUCUUUUUUUGAAUUAGAGCCAUUAGCUAGGCUGGGUGAACAAAUAAUGUAGCGUCCAUGCGGCCCAUUUAUUUUAUUUCCUAAAAAAUUACAAGCCAUUUGCACUUUCUCAAAAUACACGAUUUUGCUGGGCUGAUUCUAAUUAUAAUGUUGGGUUGGGCCAGCAAUGUUAUCAAAAAUAAAAAGGGGCUGAGCAUUUUGUUAUAAAUAUAUUUAAAUAAUAAGUGAUAUUAUUACAUUCGUCCUUAAAUCUUACCAAGCUUUUGUACACAAUCACUAGGAUUUUCGUGCCAAAAUAAUCCAGGAUUUUAUUUGUUAAGAAAUUAUUUUUAUAAGUUAAUAAGAUGUGGGAUAUUGUUUUCUUACAUAUGCAUGUAUCUGUUAAAUAUAUGAUGAAAAUAAAAAAUAAUAUAUAAUAACAUAUAAAAUAUAUUGUUUAGAAAAACAGGGAGCAUCUCCCCAGUUCCAUUGCUGAGAACGAAACCACAACAUAUUCUGAUACAGCAGCUCAAAGAGCAGUUCGAAAGCAAAGGUAGAAAAGCUACAAACUAGGGGGUGGAUGAACAAGUUCUCUAAAUAACACAAAUCACCCGAGCGGUGCCAAAGGUAGAGCAGAUAGAGCACUCAAAUGACACAAGGAGGGUCCAACGAAGCCUUCAUGGUCUUCAGCCAAGGGGCCGUGUCAGCCUGCGGCGACCAGUAAGCAAGCGGAGACACCGGGCUGGAAGGCAUAGCAUGGUGGAUGUCCCCCUUUUUCGGCGCUAGGUGCCCAUCAUCUUCAUCAGAGAUCUUGAGACGAGCCCACGGGUCCAGCCCCAGAGCAGGUCGAGCCUUGUUCAGCCACAAGUGAUCGCCAAUGGUUUCUGGAGGGAUCUUAUUAGGGUUUCCAUGAAGCUCAUCAACUUGUCCUUGUCCGAUCCGGAGGAGAGAAUCGCCCAGUUCCUCACCAUGUUCCUGAUCAACCUCAAGACCUGCGGAAUGGAAAUCGUUACUGAAAAUCAUAGCAUUUCUAUAUUUCCAGAGGCACCAAAGGACAGAUGAGCUAACAUUAUUUAAAACUGAGCACUUUUUGGUAGCAAUCCAGAAUCUGCCCAUUUAGGGAACUUGAAGAAGGAGAGGAGAUACACUGGAAUGCUAGCCAAACAAGCUUGUAUGAGGAUCAAUCUACCUUUGUAAGAGAGAAGUUUGCCCCUCCACCCAGCAAUCCUUUUAAUGAUUUUAUCCAGAAGGGGUUGGGUAUCCUCUCUCCUCAGUUUAUCAUAGUGGAGAGGGAUACCUAGGUACUUAAUGGGGAAGUUACCUUUAUUACAGACUAGAAUAGAGAGGAAGUCAGCUAACUCCUGAUCAUCCAUGUUGAUAGGGAUGAGUUCACUUUUAGAGUAGUUGAUUCUCAUGCCUAAGACUUGUUCAAAACAGGUUAGAACAGUUUUCAGAUUGCUAGCAUGUGUGGAGUCAUUGUCUAAGAAAAGGAUGGUAUCAUCUACAUAUUGAAGGCAGAUGAUGCCACCAGGGAAGACCUCAGGACCGAGCCCUGCAAUCAGACUAUGAUCAGUAGCUUUGCUCAGCAUUUUAGUGAGAACAUCCACUACUAAAUUAAAAAAAAGUGGGGAGAUGGGGUCACCUUGCCUAAGGCCUUUACCAGCAAGAAAAAAAUCACUUCCAUAGUUAUUUAACUUGACCCCAACGGACCCCCCAUAAGUAAGUUGCUGGAUCCAACUAGUCCAUUUACCCCCAAAACCUCUAAGCUCCAGGAGUUCCAUAAGGAAAUCAAGGUCAACUUUAUCGAAGGAAGUCUAAACUAGAACUACCAUCUAGAGAAAAAUUCUCACAAACAGAGCCUUCAGAUCUGUUUUGGUGAGGGUAAAUAAAGGAAGAGCAUUCAAUGCCAUCAUUAAGAGAAGUAACAUCUACACCAAUCUUAGCAGCAAUGGCAUCGAAGGAAGGAUCAUUAAAGUUGGAGAAGGAAGUGUGUUUCAUACCCUGGGGUUUUUGCACUUCCAGGUUCUGAACCUCUUUGAGCUGUUGAGCCUUUUCAAUAAUGGUUCUCUUGUCACCAGCUACCCUAGCACUGGUUCUGGUGGCUUGAACAGGACCCCAUUUGGGAAGGUGCUUCUCCUUAGGAAGGGCAGGGAAGUCAGAGUUGUAUUUUGAGUCCAAAUUGUCUGGGAGUUCAGUUGUUUCAACAAGUGCCUCUUGAUCCUCUUGUAGAUCUACAGAACCUUGUAAUUCCAUCAGAUCAUCAUCUUCCAGGAGCUCCAUUUCCCUGAGGAUGUUGAAUCCAUCAGUUUCAUCAAGCACAGAAUUCAAGAUCUUUUCCUGGAUGCUGAGUUGAGGAGUGUAUGGAGAAUUAGGGAGGUGUGUCUUGAGGACUUGAGUGGGUGUAGUUUCUCCAAGCAUCUGAUUGUGGCCAAAAGACUGUCCUCUGAUGUUAGGGGCCCCAGAAUUGGCAGCAGACCCUUUAUCUGAUUCAGAUCUAGAGCUCCUGUUGGAUUCGGCAUCUUUAGUAAGAUUGGUACCAGUUUCAGCUGCAGAGACAUAUGUACCAGCAGAGAGGUUGGUGGAAGUGUCAGUUUCAGUGGGGGUUAAGGACUCCACCUCAAUGAGUAGCCUGUAGAUUUUGUUCCCAACUCCAAAAAGCCUUUCAGCAGGAAUUUUGGAGGGAUCUUUACAUAAGAUUUUGCUCCUAACAGUUUCAUAGAAUGACUUGAAAUUAUGCUGCCAAUCCACAUCCAGUAAGACCCCCAGAGUGGAAGUGAUUUGAUCAAGCAUAGUCCAGUCACACCACUUGGGGGUUCAAUUUCCUGAUCUUGAUCCAAGUUUCCUGGAGGUCCUCUUCAGCCUCAAUCCUGCCUUUCCAGACUUCAACAUUGACUACAACAUUGUCUUUUUUGAGAACAAAACAGGGGUAUCCAUCAACUUGAACUACAUCUAUUUCAGGAGGGAAUUUGACCAAGAAUGUCCACUCAUCUAUGGCAUUGAUUGGCCAGGGCCAGUUGGUUUUGUAAAUGUCUGCAAACGCAGUGGCAAGUUCCUGCUUGGUUACUUCACCAGCUUCUACCAGAAAAAUCCCCACAUUCUUCAGGGAGCCACGAUACUGAGCAUUUUCAUCAGGUGUGUCUAUGUGGUAGAACCCUAAUCCUGGAGCAGCACUUCCAACAUAUCUAGCAGAACUGUGGGUUUUCCUUCUGACAUGGCAAUUCUCAACUUCAUGGGUAACCAUUUUGCAGAUAAAACAACUCUUGGGCUUGACACAUUUAUCCAAAUGAUACCCUGGUUCCCCACAGUUGUAGCAGAUCACCUCAGAGUAUGCCAUAAGGCCCGAAGCAGGGGCAGGAGCAGUUUUCUGGAUGUCCCGUCUCUUCUUUUGUUGAUUCUUGCCUUGAGAUUUCCCACUGAUCUGAGAGUCAGAACCACCAGCAGAUUGAUCUUGGGCAAUUACAGGAGCCUGGCCAGAUUGUGCCCCCAUUUGGGGCGGAGGUGGGCCGUACCACUUCCCAACCGAUGCUCCCCCCCAUUAUGAUAGGGGAAAUUCAUCAGAGUUCCUGGUUCCUUCUCAUCCUACAGCCAGAUGUUGUCUCUCAGGAAGCAGAAAGAACCACUAGAUAGCUCAAUUGAAGCAGAUUGCAAGCCUAAUUUCAAUCUUCUGCAGGUUUGGGGGACACGUAAGGUAGGGGAUCCACCUGCUCCGGCUCCGGUGGCGUGAUGGUGGGCAUGAGUCCAGUCAAGCAUUCCCACCUUGCAGCAUGGCGUGGAUCUCCUGAAUUCACUUCUCCUUUCUCCCAUCGAAUGAACGCAAUCGGCGGCUCCCUGGGGUGGGGCAUCCUGUGCUUCUCCGAGAAAUCUCCUUCGAAGUAGAUCCGCAAGGCUAGAUUCAACAAAUCUCAAUCCACAUGAUCCUUACACAUCCGAGCAUACCUGCGCGAGUGAGAGAACAGAUUCGGUCCCUCCUCGGCUUCCUCCCUCGCAGCUUCCUCCUCUGCUUCCCUCCAUUCGCGUGUGCACUGGGUCCAGGAGAGAGCGUCGUCGUGGAUCUGUAUCUCCCGCUCCCUCCAUCUCCUCCCUCGAGUCUCCCGCAGCACCGCCGGCGCGACGGAGUUGAGCGGCUGGAGCAUCCGCAGGAAGGCUUUGUAGACAUGUGGGAGAUGCAUCUUGUACAUCUGCCUGUCUUCCAGCCAUUCCCCCGUGGAUAUGGUCGGUGACUCCAUGGGGCGCGCGAGCAGACUUGCUGACGGGGGAGGCGUGCCCGGAGUUAGGAGGCAGGGGGUGGCGGCGAGAUCUAUGGCGGUGGCGAGGGUGGAGGUAGUGGCGGGGGCGGCGGCGAGGGUGGAGGUGGUGGCGGGGGCGAAGGGGAUCGCGAGAGCGGUCAUUUAUUUGCCAAUUAUGUGAACUAAACAGUCAACAUAUAAAAUAAUUUAAAUAUAUAUAAUAUAGUUAGAAGGGAAACAUAAGUUGGACCUGGCGUUCUUAUUCUUAUAUAGAAAAAUAGAACAGACCUCUGCGUUUUCUUAAAAAAAUACAUAAAUUGGGCUGCCAAAAAUAAAACCUGGGAUGGGAGGUCCAUUGGCCGGUCGAUACAUGACGGCCCUAAGAAAAUACAAACAGGCCUAUGGACCUCCCAUCCGAGGUGGUGGGCUGCGCAUGUUAAAAAUGAAAGCCUAGACGGGGCAGCCCAAAACCACGUCCAACACUUGCCAAAACUCCGUCCCUCGUUUUCUCUGUGUUUCGCACACUCGACAUUGUGUGGCCAUUUUGACUGUGCAUCAUAUGAAGAUGUGAUAUGCAUGAAUGUUGAUCAGCAUGAUGUUAACUGGCUGGUAGUUCCAUUUUCGACCAUGAAUAAAACAUCCAACAUGAUGUUAACCCUGUUUGAAAAGGCCGUGUUAAUAUAAAUGCUCUGCCUCUGAAAGUUGCAGUUUCUUAUCUGAAACUGAACUUGCAGUUUCUUAUCUGAAACUGAACUUGCAGUUUCUUAUCUGAAAUUGAAACUUGCAGUUUCUUCUCUGAGAAUCACAUUGUCUGCACUUUUAUACUCCUAUGAAACUACAUUUAAGUGCUAAAAAUAGAUAUCUAGAAUUCAUAAAAUACUUCAUAUACUCAAUACUGCAAAUCUGAAAUUCAAAAGACAUUCAUAUCUAGUACUCUCAAAAUACACAACACAAAACACAAUUCACAACCUGCAAAUACCGAUAACCCUAAGCUCCUCCUAACAAUUCACAACCUUCCCGACUAUUGGGCUGGGGGGGCAGCCCCCUCCUAUUCCUUGGUGGAAGACAGCCGCCCCAUGAGACGAUGUGAACGGCGAGGGAGACGAUGGCGGGGAAGUGUCGUCGGGCCAACUGCUUUUCUCCUCUUGCAGUUGGGUUCGGUCGACGAAGACUCCACCGGCUCGCUCUGGCAGGACACCCACAAACUGCACCCUGUAGAUGCUCAAUCCUUCAAUCUCUGGUGGAUGCUCCAUCUGGGAUCGAUACUCCCACCACCGCUCCCUCACGGUCAGAUUCGGUGAAUCUGUUUGCUCCAUGGCCCAGAGGAGCAGCUCUAUGUACUCCGGGGUGACUCUGCGCGGGAGUAUCGCCGCCUUGUCGCUCUGUUGCAGAUAUUUGGCCAUGGAUGUCGCCGUCGCCGCUAGUUGGUCCUUGUUGUCAAACCAAGACUGUAUCUCCAACAUCCUAGCUAGCUUCACAGGGUCGCCGUCUGCGAUCCUCACGUAUCGGUUGUACUCCUCCAUCGAUCUACUUCUCCACAGCACCUUCACUCGCCGGCGGUGGUUUUUGAAUGGAAGAGGAGAGGAGCAGCGUUGGUUUUGGAUUAGAAUGGGAGAGGAGCGACGCUGGUUUUGGACUGGAACAGGAGAGGAGGGGCGGUGGUUUUGAAAUGGAAGAGGAGAGGAGCGGCGCUGCAUUUAGAUUAGAACAGGAGAGGAGAGGCGGUGGUUUAAGAGGAGAAGAGUGGAAGAGCGGCGCUGGUCUUGGAAGUAUUUUUUUGUUGUUUUGCGUAUUUUGGGUCAAAGUUUGACCACGUACUGUAUUUGACAAGAAAAAUGUGAACGCAUGUCACAAAAAAUUGUAUCGUUUGGUUCGUAUCUGAAUGUACUUUCAAAUUAUAUUAUUUUUGCAAUGUAUAACAUAUAUUUUAUGUGCGAAAAUCAUGGUCAAUUAUGACCCAGAAUAAAAGGGAGACUAGUUAAUGCGGGGUCGCUUUCUUAAUUGAAGGGUAAAUUGUUUUUGAUUUUGAUCUAGUCGCAGAGCGCCGGCCCUCUAGUCCAAUUCUAAAUCGCUACCGCACGCUCCUCUCCCUCUUCUCCAUUGCAAAACCACCUCCUCUCCUCUCCAUCAUCUCCAUUCCAAAACCAGCGUCUCGCCUCUCCCUCUUCUGAUCUUCUCCAUUGCAAAACCACCUCCUCUCCUCUCUAUCAUCUCCAUUCCAAAACCACCAUCUCACCUCUCAAUCUUCUCUAUUGCAAGACCACCAUCUCUCCUCCAUUUUCUAGACGCUUUGCUCCAUGGCACGGGCGCAAUCCAUGGAUACAAAAUUAGUAUACUGUAUACUAUUUAAAAGUCGAGGGCGGGGCUUUUCCUAUGCGGUAGGCGGCGGGGCAGUUCCGCCUAGUCGGUUCGACAGAGACACGAGAAGACGAGGGAGUAGGCUGCUACAAACAUAGGGAUGUGUGAUUUAACAGCGAGUUACUGCUGGACAGGUGGGGCCCUGUGAUUUGACUUGCCAUUAUCAUUUUAACUGCGGCGCUACGACCGGCGUGAGUCUCCCGAUUCCUGACCACCUCCAUACAGGUGCCUCUCCCAAUGCUCCACCAUGUAGUAGAGGCUGGCUAUUGCAUGAGAGCCCACUUCUCCACUUUUUCCUUGCCUCUCUUUCCUCCACAUAUGCAAAAAUGCCAUGUAAAGCGCACUAUUGUACUUACUUUUACUUGCUCCUACAGGUGCUUAAGCUUGCCACAUAGGCAUAAAGUCUGAUGUGGCAAGUUAAUCAAGAAGAGAGAGACUAGUUUGGUGACCCAAGGAAGAAACAGUGCUAAGCACGUGUACCUAGGUGAAAAGACAAUUUUGAGUCUAUAGCUAAUUAAAUGAAGAAAACUUAGCAACACCAUUUCAUUGGAAGAGGUCACUCCUUGGCAAAUGCAACAAAUACUAGUACUCCCUGUGUCCCAUAAUAUAAGAACGUUUUUGGCACUACACUAGUGUCAAAAACAUUCUUAUAUUACGGGGCGGAGGGAGUACGAAGAAAGAGAUAGAGAGGAGUAAAAAAGUACACUUAUAGCCAACCUUGUUGUAGUAUGAGUGACUAAGUGAUGACUAUGUAUGACAUGCCAACAUCAGAUAGCCUAACACACCGUGUUAAAUAUCCAAGGGCAUGACCGCGCGAGCGACGCGAUGGUCGUGGUAGGCGCACCAUGAUACGGGCUGCUGGCAGCCCUUGGAUCUGAGAUCAAACGGUCGCAUGCUAAGUUGCUAAAAAUUUGCAGAAUAACCCUCCAGUAUAGGAUAUUCACCCAUAGGUCUAGAAUCACGCCAUGCAACCGUUCGAUCUCAGAUCUAAGGGCUCUCGGAAGCCCAUGUCAUGGGAGAAUGGAAAGCCACUGAUGACCCACAAGUAUAGGGGAUCUAUCGUAGUCCUUUCAAUAAGUAAGAGUGUCGAACCCAACGAGGAGCAGAAGGAAAUGAUAAGCGGUUUUCAGCAAGGUAUUCUCUGCAAGUACUGAAAUAAGUGGUAACAGAUAGUUUUGUGACAAGAUAAAUUGUAACGAGCAACAAGUAGCAAAAGUAAAUAAAGUGCAGCAAGGUGGCCCAAUCCUUUUUGUAGCAAAGGACAAGCCGGAACAAACUCUUAUAAUAGGAAAAGCGCUCCCGAGGACACAUGGGAAUAUCGUCAAGCUAGUUUUCAUCAUGUUCAUAUGAUUCACGUUCGAUACUUUGAUAAUUUGAUAUGUGGGUGGACCGGUGCUUGGGUGCUGUUCUUACUUGAACAAGUAUCCCACUUAUGAUUAACCUCUAUUGCAAGCAUCCGCAACUACAACAAAAGUAUUAAGGUAAACCUAACCAUAGCAUGAAACAUAUGGAUCCCAAUCAGCCCCUUACGAAGCAACACAUAAACUAGGGUUUAAGCUUCUAUCACUCUAGCAACCCAUCAUCUACUUAUUACUUCCCAAUGCCUUCCUCUAGGCCCAAAUAAUGGUGAAGUGUUAUGUAGUCGACGUUCACAUAACACCACUAGAGGCUAGACAACAUACAUCUUAGCAAAAUAUCAAACGAAUACCAAAUUCACAUGGCUACUAAUAGAAAGACUUCUCCCUUGUCCUCAGGAACAAAUGUAAUUACUCACAAAGCAUAUUCAUGUUCAUAAUCAGAGGGGUAAUAAUAUGCAUAUAGGAUCUGAACAUAUGAUCUUCCACCAAAUAAACCAACUAGCAUCAACUACAAGGAGUAAUCAACACUACUAGCAACCUACUAGCACCAAUCCCGGACUUUGAGACAAGAAUUGGAUACAAGAGAUGAACUAGGGUUUGGAGAUGAGAUGGUGCUGGUGAAGAUGUUGAUGGAGAUUGCCCUCUCCCGAUGAGAGGAGCAUUGGUGAUGACGAUGGUGAUCAUUUCCCCCUCCCGGAGGGAAGUAUCCCUAGCAGAACAGCUCUGCUGGAGCUCUAGAUUGGUUCCGCCAAGGUUCCGCCUCAUGGCGGCGGAGUCUCGUCCCGAAAAGUUCCCUCUUAUUUUUUUUCUCAUUGAAAGACUUCAUAUAGCAGAAGAUGGACGUCGGAGAGCCACCAGGGGGCCCACGAGGUAGGGGGCGCACCCUAGGGGGGCGCCCCCACCCUCGUGAGCAGGGUGUGGGCCCCCUGGCCUUCAUCUUUGGCGAGGAUUUUUCUUUAUUUAUUUUAAGAUGUUCCGUGGAGUUUCAGGACUUUUGGAGUUGCGCAGAAUAGGUCUCUAAUAUUUGCUCCUUUUCCAGCCCAGAAUUCUAGCUGCCGGCAUUCUCCCUCCUUAUGUAAUCCUUGUAAAAUAAGAGAGAAUAGCCAUAAGUAUUGUGACAUAAAGUGAAAUAACAGUCCAUAAUGCGAUAAAUAUCGAUAUAAAAGCAUGAUGCAAAAUGGACGUAUCAACUCCCCCAAGCUUAGACCUUGCUUGUCCUCAUGUUUAGAGGUAGAGGCGUCGAUAAAAAUAAAAUACGGACAUGAAGACAUCAUGAUUAUUCUCAUAAUAGCAACAUAUAUAGAUUUUGUCAUAUGAUUACUUAUGUUCAAGUGAUGAUCUAUUCACAAUGCAAAAUUAUAAAUCAUAAACCUUAUUGGGCUCCGAAAAACCAUAAUCUCAAUCAUUGAAGCAAUUGCAAUUUAUCAUAACAUCGGAAAGAGUCUAUGUCAGAGCUAAAAAGAAAGUCCACAUACUCAACUCUCAUUUAGUCCUCCAUAAUUGCUAACACUCACGCAAUACUUGUGGUUACGGAGUUUUAAUCGGACACAGAGAAAGAUAUGGGCUUAUAGUUUUGCCCCACAACCUUUUACCUCAAGGGUAAUGUCAACAAUAAUGGUUCAUGCUCCCCUACAUCCAAUUAGAUAUAUAUAUCAUGUUCUUUCCAACAUGCUGAGCUUGCCAAAGGAUAAAAUGAAAAAGAAAAGGUGAAGAUCACCAUGACUCUUGCAUAAGGUAGAAGAUAAUAAUAAAGGAUAGGCCCUUCGCAGAGGGAAGCAGAGGUUGCCAUGCGCUUUUAUGGUUGGAUGCAUAAAAUCUCAAUGUGAAAGAACGUCACUUUAUAUUGCCCCUUGUGAUAUGAACCUUUAUUAUGCAGUCCGUCGCUUUUAUUACUUCCACAUCACAAGAUCGUAUAAAGCUUAUUUCUCCCACACCAAUCAAUCAUACAUAUUUAGAGCAAUUUUUAUUGCUUUGCACCGAUGACAACUUACUUCAAGGAUCUUACUCAAUCCAUAGGUAGAUAUGGUGGACUCUCAUGGCAAAACUGGUUUAAGGGUAUUUGGAAGCACAAGUAGUAUUUCUACUUGGUACUGAGAAUUUGGCUAGCAUGAGGGGGAAAGGCAAGCUCAACAAGUUAGAGGAUCCAUGACAACAUACUUUAUCUUAGAUAUAAGAAAAACAUAACUCAUUACGUUGUCUUCCUUGUCCAGCAUCAACUCUUUAGCAUGUCAUAUUUUAAUGAGUGCUCCCAAUCAUAAAAGAUGUCAAUGAUAAUAUACCUAUAUGUGAAACCUCUCUUUCCUUAUUACUUCCUAUUAAUUGCAACAAUGACCAAAGCUAUGUCUGCCAACUCCCAACAACUUUUAAUCAUCAUACUCUUUCUAUGUGAAGUCAUUACUCUCAAUAAGAUCAAUAUGAACUUUGUGUUUCUUUUUAUUCUUUUCUUCGUUCUUUUAUUCACCCAAGAUCAUGGCGAAAUAAUCAAGCCCUUGACUCAACACUAAUCUUUAUUAUAUAUAGCUCACCGACUAGAUUACAUAGAGAGAUCAAAAAGCAAAACUCAAAACUUGAUCAUGCCAUAAACUUUAUUCUACUAGAUCAAGAUACUACUAAUAGGAUCGAACUAAGAAAAAACGGUAAAGAUAGGAGUUGUGAUUCUGAUACGAUACCAGGGCACCUCCCCCAAGCUUGGCAGUUGCCAAGGGGAGUGCCCAUACCCAUGUGAUUAUAUCUCCUUUGUCGGUGAAGAAGGUGGAUGUGUUGUAGAUGAUGCGGGCCUUGCGUCCAUCUUCCAAGGCAUAGGUUCUCCAUCAUAGAAGGAUGAUCGAGUCUCCGGGAUCCUCAAAUCUGCAGCCAAACUCAUCCUUUUGAAUCUAUAUUCAUACUCGUAGUUUUGGUUUUGCAGGUCAUAGAUUUGGGCUUGGAGGUGCUCGAUCUUCUCAUGAAGCUUGAAGAUAGUCUCCCCGAUGUUGUCAGCAUCCAACUUGUGGUUGCUAGUGAACUCUGUGAUCAUCAUGUGGUUAGAGUUGAGUCCACGUUCCACCAUCCCUUGGCACUUGAAAACUUGUUGCUCCACUGCUUCGAGCCUCGUCUCCAUGCUUCCGGUCCCCUUUGGUCCCUCUUCAUCGCGGAUGUGCAGCAACCCAUCAUGCAACUCAAUGGUUUGAGGGUGUCGCAGCACCUCCACGAGGUAAGGGUUGAUGACCUUCUCGAAGAACUUGUCCUUGGAGGCUCUUGGGGCCGUCAUGAUAACCUAGAUCUGUCAGAAAAACAUCUCGAAACAAGAACAGAGGAGGUUUGCGUGAUACGGGAGUCAAAACCUUCGAGAGAAUAUAUAAUGAAUUUUUACCGACCAAAAUACGUAAUGUGCAAGAAAACGGAGUCCGGAAGGCACACGAGGUGCUCACGAGGUAGGGGCGCGCCCAGGGGGUAGGGCGUGCCCACCACCCUCGUGUCCUUCCCGGACUGCUACUUAUUUUUCUAUUUUCCUAAAUAUUCCAAAAUGGAGAAAUAUUGCCUUAAAAAUUGUUUUGGAGUCGGUUUACUUACCGUACCACAUACCUAUUCCUUUUCAGGGUCUGAAACGUUCCGGAAAUUGUCCCUUAUGUAUUCCUCCGGGGUUACGGUUUCAAUAAUAUUGGUUUCAACAUUUAUGGGAUUACCUGAGAUAUAAUGUUUAAUUCUUUGACCGUUUACCACCUUCGGAUUUGUGCCUUCAAAGUUGUUGAUUUUUAUGGCACCAAAACGAUAGACCUCCUCGAUAACGUCGGGGCCUUCCCAUUUAGAGAGAAGUUUUCCUGUAAAAAAUCUUAAACAAGAGUUGUAUAGCAAUACAUAAUCACCUACAUUAAACUCACACUUUUGUAUCCUUUUGUCAUGCCAUCUUUUAACUUUUUCUUUAAACAACUUGGCAUUUUCAUAAGCUUGGGUUCUCCAUUCAUCAAGUGAGCUAAUAUCAAAUAACCUCUUCUCACCGGCAAGUUUAAAAUCAUAGUUGAGCUCUUUAAUAGCCCAAUACGCCUUAUGUUCUAGUUCGAGAGGUAAGUGACAUGCUUUUCCAUAAACCAUUUUAUACGGAGACAUACCCAUAGGAUUUUUGUAUGCAUUUCUAUAAGCCCAUAAUGCAUCAUCAAGUUUCUUGGACCAAUUCUUUCUAGACCUAUUAAUAGUCUUUUGCAAAAUUAAUUUGAGCUCUCUAUUGCUCGACUCUACUUGACCACUAGACUGAGGGUGAUAAGGAGAUGCAAUUCUAUGAUUAACAUCAUAUUUAGCAAGCAUUUUAUGGAAAAGCACCAUGAAUAAAGUGUGAACCACCAUCAGUCAUUAAAUAUCUAGGGACUCCAAACCUCAGAAAAAUAACUUCUUUAAGCAUUUUAAUAUAAGUGUUAUGAUCAGCACUACUAGUUGGAAUAGCUUCUACCCACUUAGUAACAUAAUCAACAGCAACUAAAAUAUGUGUGUAUCCAUUAGAGGCAGGAAAAGGUCCCAUAUAAUCAACGCCCCAAACAUCAAACGGUUCAAUAACAAGAGAAUAAUUCAUAGGCAUUUCUUGAUGUCUACUAAUAUUACCAAUUCUUUGACAUUCAACACAAGACAAGACAAACUUACGGGCAUCCUUGAAGAGAGUAGGCCAAUAAAAACCAGAUUGCAAUACCUUAUGUGCAGUUCUAUCUCCAGCGUGGUGUCCUCCAUAAGCCUCGGAAUGACACUUGCGUAGGAUCUGUUCCUGUUCAUGCUCAGGUACACAACAUCUAAUAACACCAUCUACUCCUUCUUUAUAAAGAUGUGGGUCAUCCCAAAAGUAAUGUCUUAAAUCAUAUAAAGCAUUUUUCUUUUGCUGGUAUGUGAAGCUAGGUGGUAUAAACUUAGCAACAAUAUAAUUAGCAUAAUUAGCAUACCAUGGAGUACUACGAGAAGUACUUAUAACAUUUAAUUGUUCAUCAGGAAAGCUAUCAUUAAUAGGUAGUGGGUCAUCAAGAACAUUCUCUAACCUAGACAAGUUGUCUACAAUGGGGUUCUUAGCUCCUUUCUAUCAACAAUAUGCAAAUCAAAUUCUUGUAGCAAGAGAACCCAUCUAAUAAGUCUAGGUUUAGCAUCUUUCUUUUCCAUAAGGUAUUUAAUAGCAGCAUGAUCAGUGUGAAUAGUUACUUUAGAAUCAACAAUAUAAGUUCUGAACUUAUCACAAGCAAAUACAACUGCUAAAAGCUCUUUUUCAGUAGUAGCAUAAUUUCUUUGAGCAUUGUCUAGAGUCUUACUAGCAUAAUAAAUAACAUUUAAUUUCUUAUCAACUCUUUGCCCUAGAACAACACCUACAGCAUAAUCACUAGCAUCACACAUAAUUUCAAAGGGUAAAUUCCAAUCAGGUGGCUGAACAAUAGGUGCAGAGACUAAUGCUUUCUUAAGUAUUUCAAAUGCUUCUACACAAUCAUCAUCAAAGACAAAUGGUAUAUCUUUUUGUAAUAAAUUAGUCAGAGGCCGAGAAAUUUUUGAGAAGUCCUUAAUGAACCUCCUGUAAAAUCCGGUGUGACCAAGGAAACUUCUUAUACCUUUGAUGUCCUUGGGACAUGGCAUCUUUUCAAUAGCAUCGACCUUGGCUUUAUCAACUUCAAUACCUCUUUCAAAAACUUUGUACCCCAAGACAAUACCUUCAUUAACCAUAAAGUGGCACUUUUCCCAAUUCAAGACAAUAUUAGUUUCUUCACAUCUCUGCAAAACUCGAUCAAGAUUGCUCAAGCAAUCGUCAAAAGAGGAACCAUAGAUGGAAAAAUCGUCCAAGAAAACCUCACAAAUCUUUUCACAAAAGUCAGAGAAUAUAGCCAUCAUGCAUCUUUGAAAGGUAGCAGGAGCAUUACAUAAACCAAAAGGCAUACAUCUAUAAGCAAAAGUACCAAAAGGGCAUGUAAAAGUAGUCUUUGAAUGAUCUCUAGUCGACACAGGUAUUUGAGAGAAACCAGAAUAACCAUCUAGAAAGCAAUAGUGUGUAUGUUUGCAUAAUAUUUCUAGCAUUUGAUCAAUAAAAGGUAAGGGGUAAUGAUCUUUCUUAGUAGCUUUAUUUAAUUUGCGGAAAUCAAUUACCAUCCUAUAACCUGUGAUAAUUCUUUGUGGAAUCAAUUCAUCUUUAUCAUUAGGAACAACAGUAAUACCUCCCUUCUUAGGGACACAAUGGAAAAGACUUACCCACUGACUAUCAGCAACGGGAUAAAUCAUACCUGCCUCCAGAAGCUUGAGUAUUUCUUUUCUUACCACUUCUUUCAUUUUAGGAUUCAGACGUCGUUGAGGAUCACGAACUGGUUUGGCAUCUGCUUCCAAAUUUAUUUUAUGUUGACAUAGAGUGGGACUAAUGCCCUUAAGAUCAUCAAGAGUAUAUCCAAUAGCAGCACGAUGCUUCCUCAGAGUUUUCAAUAAUCUUUCUUCUUCAUGCUCUAAAAGGUUAGCACUAAUAAUAACAUGAUAUAUCUUCUUUUCAUCAAGAUAAGCAUAUUUAAGAUUAUCAGGCAAUGGUUUAAGCUCAAACACGGGAUCACCCUUGGGUGGAGGAGGAUCCCCUAAAAUUUCAACAGGAAAAUUGUGUUGCAGAAUAGGUUCCUGUUUAAAGAAUACUUCAUCUAUUUCCCUUCUUUCAUUCAUGAAUAUAUCAUUUUCAUGGUCUAGCAAAUAGUGUUCUAAAGGAUCACUAGGAGGUACGGCAAUAGAAGCAAGACCAAUAAUCUCAUCCUUACUAGGUAAUUCUUCCUCACGAUGUUGUUUACUAAAUUUAGAGAAAUUAAACUCAUGAACCAUAUCAUCCAAGCCAAUAGUAACAACAUUCUUUUCGCAAUCUAUCCUAGCAUUAACAAUGUUCAAGAAGGGUCUACCAAAUAUAAUGGGACAAAAGCUAUCUUGCGGAGAAGUAAGAACAAGAAAAUCAACAGUAUAUUUAGUUUUCCCACACAAGACUUCAACAUAUCUAACAAUUCCAAUUGGUGAAAUAGUAUCUCUAUUGGCAAGUUUAAUUGUGACAUCAAUACCUUCUAACUCAGCAGGUGCAAUUUCAUUCUUAAUUUCUUCAUAUAAAGUAUGCGGUAUAACACUAGCACUCGCACCCAUAUUACAUAAGCCAUGAUAACAAUGAUCUCCUAUUUUAACAGAAAUAACAGGCACGCCUACCACAUGUCUAUGUUUAUAUUUAGCACAAGGUUUAGCGAUUCUAGUAGUUUCACCUUCAAACUAAAUAACAUGCCCAUCAAUAUUAUCAGACAAGAGAUCUUUAACAAUAGAAAUAUUAGGUUCUACUUUAACUUGCUCAGGAGGUGUAUAAGUUCUAAUAUUGCUUUUUACGAACAACAGUUGAAGCUUUAGCAUGAUCCUUUAUUCUAACAGGGAAAGGUGGUUUCUCAGCAUAAGAAGUAGGAACAAUAGGAUCAUUAUAAGUGAUAGUCUUUUCUUCAACUUUAAUAGGUGCAGCUACUUUUACUUCUGUGGGAGGAUGAUUUUUAAACCACUUCUCCUUAGGGAGAUCAACAUAUGUAGAAAAAGAUUCACAGAAAGAAGCUACUAUCUCAGAGUCAAGUCCAUUUAGUGCUAAACUUACGAAAAAUAUCAGUAUCCAUAAAAGAUUUAACACAAUCAAACUUAGGUGUCAUACCUGACUCCUUACCUUCAUCGAGGUCCCAAUCUUCAGAGUUGCGUUUAAUUCUAUCCAAUAAAUUCCAUCUGAAUUCAAUUGUCUUCAUCAUAAAAGAGCCAGCAUAAGAAGUAUCGAGCAUGGUUGAUUAUUAUGAGAAAGCCGAGCAUAAAAACUUUGCAUAAUUAUUUCUCUCGAGAGCUCAUGAUUGGGGCAUGAAUAUAACAUUGAUUUAAGCCUCCCCCAAGCUUGAGCGAUGCUUUCUCCUUCGCGAGGCCAGAAAUUAUAUAUAUAAUUGCGAUCAUGAUGAACAAGAUGCAUAGGGUAAUACUUUUGAUGGAAUUCCAAUUUCAAUCUUUUAUAGUUCCAUGAUUUCAUAUCAUCACAUAGCCUAUACCAUAUCAAUGCGUCUCCCUUCAAAGAUAAAGGGAAGACCUUCUUCUUAGCAACAUCAUCGGGUAUACCUACGAGCUUAAAUAAUCCACAAACUUCAUCCACAUAUAUUAAGUGCUCAUCAGGAUGCUUUGUUCCAUCUCCUGUAAAAGGGUUAGCUAGCAGUUUUUCCAUCAUACCCGAAGGAAAUUCAAAAGGAGUUUUAUUUUCAAUAGGUUCAGUAGGUUGAGGAGAAACUCUUUGCUCUACUGGAUGGGGUGAAGAUACCCCGAACAAGCCCCUCCGAGAAUUACUUUCCAUACUAACAAGUGACAGUAAAUUUCAGCACACUAUAUAAAUUUUUCCUUACCAAAUUCCACCUACCAAAGGCGCUACACUCCCUGGCAACGGCGCCAGAAAAGAGUCUUGAUGACCCACAAGUAUAGGGGAUCUAUCGUAGUCCUUUCGAUAAGUAAGAGUGUCGAACCCAACGAGGAGCAGAAGGAAAUGAUAAGCGGUUUUCAGCAAGGUAUUCUCUGCAAGUACUGAAAUAAGUGGUAACAGAUAGUUUUGUGACAAGAUAAAUUGUAACGAGCAACAAGUAGCAAAAGUAAAUAAAGUGCAGCAAGGUGGCCCAAUCCUUUUUGUAGCAAAGGACAAGCCGGAACAAACUCUUAUAAUAGGAAAAGCGCUCCCGAGGACACAUGGGAAUAUCGUCAAGCUAGUUUUCAUCACGUUCGUAUGAUUUGCGUCCGAUACUUUGAUAAUUUGAUAUGUGGGUGGACCGGUGCUUGGGUGUUGUUCUUACUUGAACAAGCAUCCCACUUAUUAUUAACCUCUAUUGCAAGCAUCUGCAACUACAACAAAAGUAUUAAGGUAAACCUAACCAUAGCAUGAAACAUAUGGAUCCAAAUCAGCCCCUUACGAAGCAACGCAUAAACUAGGGUUUAAGCUUCUGUCACUCUAGCAACCCAUCAUCUACUUAUUACUUCCCAAUGCCUUCCUCUAGGCCCAAAUAAUGGUGAAGUGUUAUGUAGUCGACGUUCACAUAACACCACUAGAGGCUAGACAACAUGCAUCUUAUCAAAAUAUCAAACAAAUACCAAAUUCACAUGACUACUAAUAGCAAGACUUCUCCCUUGUCCUCAGGAACAAACAUAAUUACUCACAAAUCAUAUUCAUGUUCAUAAUCAGAGGGGUAAUAAUAUGCAUAUAGGAUCUGAACAUAUGAUCUUCCACCAAAUAAACCAACUAGCAUCAACUACAAGGAGUAAUCAACACUACUAGCAACCUACUAGCACCAAUCCCGGACUUUGAGACAAGAAUUGGAUACAAGAGAUGAACUAGGGUUUGGAGAUGAGAUGGUGCCGGUGAAGAUGUUGGUGGAGAUUGCCCUCUCCCGAUGAGAGGAGCGUUGGUGAUGACGAUGGUGAUCAUUUCCCCCUCCCGGAGGGAAGUAUCCCCGACAGAACAGCUCUGCCAGAGCUCUAGAUUGGUUCCGCCAAGGUUCCGCCUCGUGGCGGCGGAGUCUCGUCCCGAAAAGUUCCCUCUUAUUUUUUUCUCAUCGAAAGACUUCAUAUAGCAGAAGAUGGACGUCGGAGAGCCACUAGGGGGCCCACGAGGUAGGGGGCGCACCCUGGGGGGGGGCACACCCUCGUGAGCAGGGUGUGGGCCCCCUGUCCUUCAUCUUUGGUGAAGAUUUUUCUUUAUUUAUUUUAAAAUGUUCUAUGGAGUUUCAGGACUUUUGGAGUUGCGCAAAAUAGGUCUCUAAUAUUUGCUCCUUUUCCAGCCCAGAAUUCCAGCUGCCGGCAUUCUCCCUCCUUAUGUAAUCCUUGUAAAAUAAGAGAGAAUAGCCAUAAGUAUUGUGACAUAAAGUGAAAUAACAGUCCAUAAUGCAAUAAAUAUCGAUAUAAAAGCAUGAUGCAAAAUGGACAUAUCAGCCACUACCCUGCCGUUCGCACACUGACAGUUCGCUCCUACUCAUCCCCGCACGUCCUUCAAUACUACGGCGCUUUGCUCCUAGUCGUCCCGCCCAUUCACAUUACGGCAGUUCCACUAAUCCUAACACUCCUCCCAAAUCCAUGGCGUCCUAAAUCUCCACGAUUGGCGGUGAGUACAAGGUUAGAACCAUCACCGGCGAUGAGUUCGACGUCAUCUACACCCGUUCUUCCGUGAUGGUGAAAGGAUGCCUUUCUCGCUUCAGACGCAUGUUCGAAAACUCAGAUGAUGAGUGGGUCGCUGGGCUAGAUGUUGAGUGCACCACAGUCCUGGGACCAGAGAAGGAUCUAAAGGACGAAGAGAGGAAGAAGCCCGUCGUGAUCCAGGUUUGCGUACAUAACGUUUGCUUGGUCUACCACAUAUGCCAUGCCGGCAUUGAGUGUCAGGAUUUUAAGAACUUCCUCAAGGACAAAACCGUGAAAUUCGUUACUGUUGACUUUAAGAACGACAGGGAUGUCCUGCAUCGGAUAGGUCUCAUUGUAGGCAACCCCUUCGACCUCUAGAAGAAUCGGCUGGUGUCCUCUCGUCAGCCUUCAAUGCUGACCCUGGCAGGAGCCAUGGUUCAUCCUUCAUACGGUAAACUGGAGAAACCUUCAUACACGUUUCAUUGUCAUGCAUGGCAGCGGAAUGUACUAGAUAUAGACCACAUCCACUAUGCUACAAUGGAUGGCUACCUUUGCUUCAAUAUCUACAAGGGUUGGACGAAGAGCAACAGCCAAGUGUGCGGUUCAAGCAAAGAAGUAUCGUCCAAGAGGAAGAGGGACAAGGACGAAGUCGAGGACGUGGACGAGGACUCCGAGUAAGGUGGCAGUGUCGUUGCUCAUGGUGGUUCUAAUGCAGUGUCUACCGGAAUAGUUGCAAAGUUUAAUUUCAGGUGUGCUUAAUUUAAUUUGAGGGGUGUGUUGUGCUGAGCCCCCAGCAGAACUAUGUUAUGUUUCUUCUCGUUACUUUAACUCUUCAGUACGUACAUACUAGUAUUUCUUACAUUUCAUCUUUUAGUUGGUAUAGUACUACCACUCAUUUCUUCACAUUAUAUACAUACAAUAUAUAUGGCCAACAUCAUAUAGCCAGCAGUUUAGUUGUCAAAGAAUUUUAGGGUGCUUAGUUUUGUCAAAGAAUUCCAGGAUGCUUAGAGGGUGCUUGGAUCCAAGGGACUUAUUUUAGUCUGACUAAAAAUAGUCUCUUUAAGAGGCUAAAGUUCCAAGCACCCCUGACUAAAGAGGGGCUAAAACUAGUCUUGAGACUAUUUUUUUAGUCAGGAGUACCCCUAAUAAAAUGUGGAUUAGUCCUCUCUCUACUCAUUUAACUCCUCUCCUUUAACACAGGCGAGUUAUGGAUUGGAGGGUUUGGAGGAUAAUAAAUACUCAUUAACUUGAUUUUAGCCUUUUUAGUAUUUGGAUCCAAGCAUGGGUGAGGCUAGCAUGUUUUAGACCCACUACUUUUAGUCAUGGGACUAAAACGUAUCCAAGCACCCUCUUAGUUUUAUUUGAGGGGUGGGUUGUGUUGGACACCAUUAUUGUGACUAGCCUUUUAAUAGUACUAUAUGCAUAAUUUGGCGACAAGCACUCUCUAUAUGUACCACCUUUUUUUAAUUUCAAGUUUUGCUCCAUGGCGCAAUCCAUCGAUACUACUGUUGUACAAAAGUAUACAUUUUUUAAAAGGCUAGAGGGCGGGGCAGUCUAGCUUGGUCGGUUUCACGAUAGGCUAGGGCCUUUGUGAUUUGACGGCUCAUUACUACUGGAAGGCGGGGCCUUGUGAUUUGACUUCUCAUAUAAAUGCGCCGAUGACCUGAUCGAGGAGGAGCAAAGAAUCGUGCGGUAUACUCAAGUUUUCCACUGGAGUAGUACUGCGACGGAGGAGCACGAAACACGGCAGCCCAGUGCCAUAUGGCGAUAAAAAUGAUCUAAUUUGCUAGUCAUCUCAUUGUUAGCAUUGUUCUAUUCAUUCCCUAAAAAAACCAUUGUUCUAUUCAUGCCUCGCAGAGAACGUGACACGUGCGGCGAAACACCCAAAGCAAAAGAUGAAACACAGGAGCAAAAGAAGAAGGAAGAUUAUCACCCCAAAUGAUCUAAUUCGCCACGGAGUCGUAACUGCUUCUUCAUAUCCUACACGACCUCCAUCUCCUUGCGCGUCUCCUCUGCCAUCUUCUUCAUUCUGUCCAUGACGCAGGAUUUCUCGACACGAGCCUUCAUCAUCUGUUCCACGGCCGCAUUACGUACCUUGACAGCAGCCGGGUGCUCGAUGCGGAGCUUCACCAACUCCUCCAUUUGUUCCAUGACGAGGGCCUGCAACAUCUUCAUCGAGGAACUACUAUUCUCAUGCAGCUUCUUCCAGCCGGCGUUCUUCUCCUUCAACAGGUCGAUCUCUUGGCAGAGCUUCGCCUUGUCCUCCUGAAGUCGCAGGAUUUCGCCGGUCGCCUUCUUCUCCGAGGCAAUGCUCUUCUUCAGCAGCAUCACCAAGCCGGCGGUCAACUCCCCCUGCUGAUUGAGCUCAGCGGGCAUGUCAUCGAGGCUCUCCUUCAGCAACUCCAUCAAGCCUUGGAUGAACUCCUUCUGAUUAUUGAGGUGCUUAUUGAGCUGGUCGGGAAUGCCGUCGAGGGAUAAUGACUCCAGCUCCGCCGGCUCGGCAUGUUCGCCUCUGCAGCUAGGGCACUCCUAGGAGCCAUCGCCUGCCCGUGAGAGAUCUUUCGAGGUCUCUGCGUGGCGGCGAGCCCUCUCUUUUUUUCGCAGCCUUGGUUGCCGCUCCCUUGUUACGAGUAGUUCUCGACCUAGAGCUCUGCUCACCGGCCAUGGCAACGAUGGAUGAAGAAGAAGCACUUAUGAGGAGGAAAGGUAGAGUAAUUUUUGGUUAGGUAGUUCCCCUUUUUAUAACCUAAGUACUAGCACUAGUGCUAAUACCUGCAUAGUGGGAACACGUUCAGGUUUGGUACGUACUAGUAGGUGUGAGCAGGCUUUCGAAUGUGAUGGGAACAAGGUAAAGAUUAAUUGAUGGUUUUGAUUUCGAGGCCCGAAACGUCUCCCCAUGAGUUUAGCGGAACAUAAUUUUCAAGUACUACACUGCUCAAAUGCGUAAAUAUUAUGUUACUGUCAAAAAUUGGCACAAAAUACGAAGGAGACCAAUGGAAGUACUACUAGCAACCCACGAUUUAACUACUCGCAUGCGCGCAGUGGAGUAAUAAUGUCUUUCUUCCGCCCUCACGUCCACUCAAUUUGCAUGCGUUGUAUUAAUUGACCAUCAAUGAAGUGAACGACUUUACACGCGUCAAAUUAUCACAUGGGGUGGAUCUUGGUACAAAAUUGCACCCGCCUGUGUACCCGUGUGUGCAUGCGAGGGAAUGAGUGCGUGCGUGGCAUGCGUGCACAUCUUUGCUUCGUGCAUGUACCGCCAGUAUAGCUCAGGGAGGACGAGUACAUUCUUCUGGAACCAGCAGCACGUCACUGUGAUCAAUCCACGCAAGGAGGUCACGACAACGCCUCCACAUGCGCCAUGUGGCUUCAUGAACUGUAAGAGAGACACUGUGUAACGUGCCAUUGGUAUUCUAAUUUACGUGUUUUGCACAUACUCGAAGUACUCGUAAGGUACACGUGCAUUGCACGCAUCAGAUUUUGCAAUCAAAUUAUGAAUAAAUACCACACUAUAGCAUGUAAGCUCUGAGUCAUAUAUGCCUGAUGUAGCCCUUCGUUUAAUUCUUAUAGUUCAUCUCAUUCAAAAUCAAUUAGUUUUUAUAAAAAAGCUAAGAACGCGGGAAUAGGAAAAACAUGGGAUUAUAGUGGAAUGUCGUCUUGAAUCCUACAGGAUUGUACGAGUGUUUGAUUGUGCAUACAAAAAACGCAGAAUUCUUUCAAAGAGGUUUGAGUGGAUGGGAUGUUUCCUAUGAAAUCUAGUGCAAAUGAAUCAUAUGGAAAAAUUCCUAUGGUUUACAAUCCUACGAAUCAAACAACCAAGAUAGGAAAAAUUCCUAAUGAUUAGAAUCCUCCAAAAUUCCUUUGAGAAUCCUUUGAAUCAAAGAAGCCCUUAAUCUAUUUUAUGAUUCAUGGAAUUGUGCGUUGUAAAGCAUAAAGUAAAAACAAAUAAUGGCAAUUCAACUAGAAAAAAAGUUUGGGCAGUUAUGAUACAGAAGAUUCUAGAACAAAAGAGAACCAUUGUUGUUUUGAGGUUUGUGCAUUAUGCUUAAACUCAACCAUGGAGUCUGCUAGAUUGUACAUGUGGCAAAAUCUGGUGGGGGGCUAGAAGAUGGUGCGAGGGGUCGACUGGAGGGAGACUAUGAAGGAAUGCACAAGUGCGAGAUCGAUAUUUAGAGAGGGGGGGCGAACACGUGCGCUGUUGCGCGCAGUGGCGGAGCCAUGAAAAAUAAAUGAGCUAGGGGGGCAAGCAUUGCUAAUCCUUUACGAGGAGGGUCAAUUCAUGAAUUUAAACCAAUUUUAGCAGCAAUUGUCUAAUGAUCACAUUCUUAUUAGCCUCGAUAUAUAGUGAUGUUAGGGGGGAGGGGGCAGGGCCCUUACUGCCCCCUUCUUCGCCAUUGUGCACGCGUCUGAGAGAUGAAGCGAAAGGCAUGGAUGAUGAGAGGGGGACGUUGGAUAUAUAUUUAAUGUGGGUGUAUUAGCUAUAUAUGCUAAUCCUAUAUAGUGAGGUAUAGAUUGUUCGAUGUGGACGUGUGAAAGAGGGUGAGACCUCACUGGAUAUAUUGAUUGAUCGGUUUGUGUGGAAAACUAUGAAAGACCUAGCUAUAUACACACAUACAUAGAGGAACAUCGAUCGUUGCGCAUGCACGCGUGAGAGUGAUGUCUACUACACAACCUUCUUCUUGUAGACGUUGUUGGGCCUCCAAGUGCAGAGGUUUGUAGGACAGUAGCAAAUUUCCCUCAAGUGGAUGACCUAAGGUUUAUCAAUCCGUAGGAGGCGUAGGAUGAAGAUGGUCUCUCUCAAGCAACCCUGCAACCAAAUAACAAAGAGUCUCUUGUGUCCCCAACACACCCAAUACAAUGGUAAAUUGUAUAGGUGCACUAGUUCGGCGAAGAGAUAGUGAAACAAGUGGUAUAUGGAUAGUAGAUAAAGGUAUUUGUAAUCUGAAAUAAUAAAAACAGCAAGGUAGCAAGUGAUAAAAGUGAGCAUAAGCGGUAUUGCAAUGAUAGGAAAUAAGGCCUAGGGUUCAUACUUCCGCUAGUGCAAGUUCCCUCAACAAUACUAACAUAAUUAGAUCCCAUAACUAUCCCUCAACAUGCAACAAAGAGUCACUCCAAAGUCACUAAUAGCGGAGAACGAAUGAAGAGAUUAUGGUAGGGUACGAAACCACCUCAAAGUUAUUCUUUCCAAUCAAUCUGUUGGGCUAUUCCUAUAAAUGUCACAAACAACCCUAGAGUUCGUACUAGAAUAACACCUUAAGACACAAAUCAACCAAAACCCUAAUGUCACCUAGAUACUCCAAUGUCACCUCAAGUAUCCGUGGGUAUGAUUAUAUGAUAUGCAUCACACAAUCUCAGAUUCAUCUAUUCAACCAACACAAAGGACCUCAAAGAGUGCCCCAAAGUUCUACCGAAGAAUCACGACGAAAACGUGUGCCAACCCCUAUGCAUAGGUUCAUGGGCGGAACCCGCAAGUUGAUCACCAAAACAUACAUCAAGUGAAUCACGUGAUAUACCAUUGUCACCACAGAUAUCCACGGCAAGACAUACAUCAAGUGUUCUCAAAUCUUUAAAGACUCAAUCUGAUAAGAUAACUUCAAAGGGGAAACUCAAUUCAUUACAAGAGAGAAGAGGGGGAGGAGAAACAUAAGAUCCAACUAUAAUAGCAAAGCUCGUGAUACAUCAAGAUCGUGCCAAAUCAAGAACACGAGAGAGAGAGAGAGAGAGAGAGAGAGAGAUCAAACACAUAGCUACUGGUACAUACCCUCAGCCCCGAGGGAGAACUACCCCCUCCUCAUCAUGGAGAGCACUGGGAUGAUGAAGAUGGCCACCGGAGAGGGAUUGCCCCCUCCGGCAGGGUGCCGAAACGGGUCUAGAUUGGCUUUCGGUGGCUACGGAGGCUUCUGGCGGCGGAACUCCCGAUAUAUUGUGCUCUCAGAUGUUUUUAGGGUAUAUGGAGAUAUAUAGGCGGAAGAAGUACGUCAGGGGGCGCCCCCCUGCCUCGUGACCUCCUCGCAGAUCCCCCGACAUGCACUCCAAGUCUUCUGGGCUUCUUUCCUUCCAAAAAUGAGUUCCGUGAAGUUUCAGGUCAAUUGGAAUCCGUUUGAUUUUCCUUUUCUUUGAAACCCUAAAAUAGGGUAAAAACAGAAACUGGCACUAGGCUCUGGGUUAAUAGAUUAGUCCCAAAAAUGAUAUAAAAGUGUAUAAUAAAGCCCAUAAACAUUCAAAACAGUAGAUAAUAUAGCAUGGAUCAAUCAGAAAUUAAAGAUACGUUGGAGACGUAUCAGCAUCCCCAAGCUUAAUUCCUGCUCGUCCUCGAGUAGCUAAAUGAUAAAAACAGAAAUUUUGAUGUGGAAUGCUACCUAACAUAUUUAUCCAUGUAAUUCUCUUUAUUGUGGCAAGAAUAUUCAGAUCCAUAAGAUUCAAGACAAAAGUUUAAUAUUGACAUGAAAAUAAUAAUACUUCAAGCAUACUAACUAAGCAAUUAUGUCUUCUCAAAAUAACAUGGCCAAAGAAAGUUAUCCCUACAAAAUCAUAUAGUCUGGCUAUGCUCCAUCUUCACCACACAACGUAUUUUAAUCAUGCACAACCCCGAUGACAAGCCAAGCAAUUGUUUCAUACUUUUGAUGUUCUCAAACUUUUUCAAUCUUCACGCAAUAGAUGAGCGUGAGCCAUGGACAUAGCACUAUAGGUGGAAUAGGAUGGUGGUUGUGGAGAAGACAAAAGGAGAAGAUAGUCUAACAUCAACUAGGCGUAUCAAUGGGCUAUGGAGAUGCCCAUCAAUAGAUAUCAAUGUGAGUGAGUAGGGAUUGCCAUGCAACGGAUGCACCAGAGCUAUAAGUAUAUGAAAGCUCAACAAAAGAAACUAGUGGGUGUGCAUCCAACUUGCUUGCUCACGAAGACCUAGGGAAUUUUGAGGAAGCCCAUCAUUGGACUAUACAAGCCAAGUUCUAUAAUGAAAGAUUCCCACUAGUAUAUGAAAGUGACAACAUAGGAGACUCUCUAUCAUGAAGAUCAUGGUGAUACUUUGAAGCACAAGUGUGGUAAAAGGAUAGUAGCAUUGUCCCUUCUCUCUUUUUCUCUCAUUUUUUUAUUUAUAUAUAUUUUUUUAUUUGGGCCUUCUCUUUUUUUAUGGCCUCUUUUCUCUUUUUUUAUUUGGGCUUCUUUGGCCUCUUUGAUUUAUUUAUUUAUUUAUUUAUUUUCGUCCGGAGUCUCAUCCCGACUUGUGGGGGAAUCAUGGUCUCCAUCAUCCUUUCCUCACUGGGACAAUGCUCUAAUAAUGAUGAUCAUCACACUUUUAUUUACUUACAACUCAAGAAUUACAACUCGAUACUUAGAACAAGAUAUGACUCUAUAUGAAUGCCUCCGGCGGUGUACCGGGAUAUGCAAUGACUCAUGAGUGACAUGUAUGAAAGAAUUAUGAAUGGUGGCUUUGCCACAAAUACGAUGUCAACUACAUGAUCAUGCUAAGCAAUAUGACAAUGAUGGAGUGUGUCAUAAACGGAACGGUGGAAAGUUGCAUGGCAAUAUAUCUCGGAAUGGCUAUGGAAAUGCCAUAAUAGGUAGGUAUGGUGGCUGUUUUGAGGAAGGUAUAUGGUGGGUUUAUGGUACCGGCGAAAGUUGCGCGGUACUAGAGAGGCUAGCAAGGGUGGAAGGGUGAGAGUGCGUAUAAUCCAUGGACUCAAUAUUAUUCAUGAGGAACUCACAUACUUAUUGCAAAAAUCUAUUAGUUAUCGAAACAAAGUACUACGCGCAUGCUCCUAGGGGGAUAGAUUGGUAGGAAAAGACCAUCGCUCGUCCCCGACAGCCACUCAUAAGGAAGGCAAUCAAUAAAUAAAUCAUGCUCCGACUUCAUCACAUAACGGUUCACCAUACGUGCAUGCUACGGGAAUCACAAACUUGAACACAAGUAUUUCUCAAAUUCACAACUACUCAACUAGCAUGACUCUAAUAUUACCAUCCUCAUAUCUCAAAACAAUCAUCAAGUAUCAAACUUCUCAUAGUAUUCAAAACACUCAUAAGAGAAUUUUAUUAUUCUUGCAUACCAAGCAUAUUAAGAUUUUAAGCAAAUUACCAUGCUAUUUAAGACUCUCAAAAUAAUCUAAGUGAAGCAUGAGAGUUCAUCUAUUUCUUGAAAAUAAAACUACCACCAUGCUCUAAAAGAUAUAAGUGAAGCACUAGAGCAACAACAAACUACUCCGAAAGAUAUAAGUGAAGAUCAAUGAGUAGUUUAAUAAUUAUGCAACUAUACAAAGACUCUCUCUCAUUUAAUAAUUUCAGAUAUUGAUAAUUUAUUUAAACAGCAAGAAAAGCAAAAUAAAAUGACAUUCUAAGAAUGGCAAACAUCAUGUGAAGUAGCGAAAACUUAGGAUCAACCGAAACUAACCGAUAGUUGUUGAAGAAGAAAGGUGGGAUGCCAACCGGGGCAUCCCCAAGCUUAGACGCUUGAGAAUUAUGGAAAUAUUAUCUUGGGGUGCCUUGGGCAUCCCCAAGCUUGAGCUUUUGUGUCUCCUUAAUUCCUCUCAUAUCACGGUCUCCCUAAAUCUCAAAAGCUUCAUCCACACAAAACUCAACAAGGACUCGUGAGAUAAGUUAGUAUAAACCAUUGCCAAAACCUUAUCAUACUCUACUGUAGCAAAUCAAUAAAAUUAUUGUUCAACAUUGCAUACUAAAUGCCUCUGCAUAUUUAAUAGUCCUAUCCUCAAAUAGAAUUAUUAAAGAAGCAAACAUAUGCAAACAAUGCAAACAUAACAACAAUCUGCCUAAAUAGGAUAGUCUGUAAAGAAUGCAGCAACAUCCAUACUUCCCUAGCUCCAAAAAUUAUGAAAGAAAAUUCCCACUGUAGUAAAUUUAUCAGAGCUUAAUAUGCAGAAGGUUUCAACAUUUUAUCACAUUUUGACUUUUCUAGGGAAUUAUUGCAACAGCGGUAAACUUUCUGUUUUCAAACAACAACAUGUGGACUUCUGAAAUAGGCAUAGUAAAGGCUAUAAAUGCCACUUUUAUUGAAAUAAAAGAUGCAAAACAUUGUUCUAAAUAACAGCAAGCAAAUACUAACAAAAUAAAUUGACGCUCCAAGCAAAACACAUAUCAUGUGGUAAAUAAAAAUAUAGCUCCAAGUAAAGUUACCGAUGAACGAAGACGAAAGAGGGGAUGCCUUCCGGGGCAUCCCCAAGCUUAGGCUCUUAGCUAUCCUUUAAUAUUACCUUGGGGUGCCUUGUGCAUCCCCAAGCUUAGGCUCUUGCCACUCCUUAUUCCAUAGUACAUCGAAUCUUUACCCAAAACUUGAAAACUUCACAACACAAAACUUAACAGAAAACUUGUAAGCUCCGUCGGUAUAAGAAAAUAAAUCACCACUUCAAGGUACUGUAAUGAACUCAUUCUUUAUUUAUAUUGGUGUUAAACCUACUGUAUUAUAACUUCUCUAUGGUUUAUAAACUAUUUUACUAGCCAUAGAUUCAUCAAAAUAAGCAAACAACACAUGAAAAAUAGAAUCUGUCAAAAACAGAACAGUCUGUAGUAAUCUGAAUCAAACGUAUACUUAUGGAACUCAUAAAUUUCUCAAACAAAUUUCUGGACCUGAGGAAUUUAUAUAUUAAUCAUAUUCAAAAAGAAUUAACUAAAUAGCACUCUCCAAAUAAAAAUGGCAGCAAUUCUCGUGAGCGCUAAAGUUUCUGUUUUUUACAGCAUGAUCAACAAGACUUUCCCCAAGUCUUCCCAAAGGUUCUACUUGGCACAAACACUAAUUAAAAGCAUAAAACCACAUCUAAACAGAGGCUAGAUGAAUUAUUUAUUACUAAACAGGAACAAAAAGCAAGUAACUAAAAUAAAAUUGGGUUGCCUCCCAACAAGCUCUAUCGUUUAAUGCCCCCAGCUAGGCAUGAUGAUUUCAAUGAUGCUCAUAUAAAAGAUAAGAAUUGUAACAUAAAAAGAGCAUCAUGAAGAAUAUGACUAGCACAUUUAAGUCUAACAUACUUCCGAUGCAUAGGGAUUUUGUGAGCAACCAACUUGUGGGAACAAGAAUCAACUUGCAUAGGAAGGUAAAACAAGCAUAACUUCAAAACUUUAUGCACAUAGAGAGGAAACUUGAUAUUAUUGCAAUUCCUACAAGCAUAUAUUCCCCCCUCAUAGUAAUUUUCAGUAGCAUCAUGAAUGAAUUCAAAAAUAUAACCAACACCUAAAUCAUUCUUUUCAUGAUCUACAAGCAUAGAAAUUUUACUACUCUCCACACAAGCAAAAUUCUUCUCAUGAAUAAUAGUGGGAGCAAACUCAACAAAAUAAUUAUCAUGUGAGGCAUAAUCCAAUUGAGAACUAAAAUCAUCAUGAGAAGUUUCAUGGAUAUCAUUAUUCUUUAUAGCAUACAAGUCGUCACAAUAAUCAUCAUAGAUAGCAACUUUGUUCUCAUAAUCAAUUGGGACCUCUUCCGAAAUAGUGGAUUCAUCACAAAAUAAAGUCAUGACCUCUCCAAACCCACUUUCAUCAAUAUAAUCAUCAUAAAUAGGAUGCAUGCUAUCAUCAUAAUAAAUUAGCACAUCAAAACUUGGGGGACUAAAAAUAUCAUAUUCAUCAAACAUAGCAUCCCCAAGCUUGUGGCUUUGCAUAUCAUUAGCAUCAUAGAUAUUCAAGGAAUUCAUACUAACAACAUUGCAAUCAUGCUCAUCAUUCAAAUAUUUAGUGCCAAACAAUUUAAUGCAUUCUUCUUCUAACACUUAGGCACAAUUUUCCUUUCCAUCAUACUCACGAAAGAUAUCAAAAAGACAAACUCAAUUCCAUUUUUUUGGUAGUUUUCUUUUAUAAACUAGACUAGUGAUAAAAAAAGAAACUAAAAGACUCGAUUGCAAGAUCUAAAGAUAUACCUUCAAGCACUCACCUCCCCGGCAACGGCGCCAAAAAAGAGCUUGAUCUCUACUACACAACCUUCUUCUUGUAGACGUUGUUGGGCCUCCAAGUGCAGAGGUUUGUAGGACAGUAGAAAAUUUCCCUCAAGUGGAUGACCUAAGGUUUAUCAAUCCGUAGGAGGCGUAGGAUGAAGAUGGUCUCUCUCAAGCAACCCUGCAACCAAAUAACAAAGAGUCUCUUGUGUCCCCAACACACCCAAUACAAUGGUAAAUUGUAUAGGUGCACUAGUUCGGCGAAGAGAUAGUGAAACAAGUGGUAUAUGGAUAGUAGAUAAAGGUAUUUGUAAUCUGAAAUAAUAAAAAUAGCAAGGUAGCAAGUGAUAAAAGUGAGCGUAAACCGUGUUGCAAUGAUAGGAAAUAAGGCCUAUGGUUCAUACUUUCACUAGUGCAAGUUCCCUCAACAAUACUAACAUAAUUAGAUCACAUAACUAUCCCUCAACAUGCAACAAAGAGUCACUCCAAACUCACUAAUAGCGGAGAGCGAACGAAGAGAUUAUGGUAGGGUACGAAACCACCUCAAAGUUAUUCUUUCCAAUCAAUCCGUUGGGCUAUUCCUAUAAAUGUCACAAACAGCCCUAGAGUUCGUACUAGAAUAACACCUUAAGACAUAAAUCAACCAAAACCCUAAUGUCACCUAGAUACUCCAAUGUCAGCUCAAGUAUCCGUGGAUAUGAUUGUAUGAUAUGCAUCACACAAUCUCAGAUUCAUCUAUUCAACCAACACAAAGGACCUCAAAGAGUGCCCCAAAGUUCUACCGGAGAAUCACGAUGAAAACGUGUGCCAACCCCUAUGCAUAGGUUCAUGGGCGGAACCCGCAAGUUGAUCACCAAAACAUACAUCAAGUGAAUCACGUGAUAUCCCAUUGUCACCACAGAUAUCCACGUCAAGACAUACAUCAAGUGUUCUCAAAUCUUUAAAGACUCAAUCCGAUAAGAUAACUUCAAAGGGGAAACUCAAUUCAUUACAAGAGAGAAGAGGGGGAGGAGAAACAUAAGAUCCAACUAUAAUAGCAAAGCUCGCGAUACAUCAAGAUCAUGCCAAAUCAAGAACAUGAGAGAGAGAGAGAGAUCAAACACAUAGCUACUGGUACAUACCCUCAGCCCCGAGGGAGAACUACUCCCUCCUCAUCAUGGAGAGCACCAGGAUGAUGAAGAUGGCCAUUGGAGAGGGAUUGCCCCCUCCGGCAGGGUGCCGGAACGGGUCUAGAUUGGCUUUCGGUGGCUACGGAGGCUUCUGGCAGCGGAACUCCCGAUCUAUUGUGCUCUCGGAUGUUUUUAGGGUAUAUGGAGAUAUAUAGGCGGAAGAAGUACGUCAGGGGGGCCACGAGGGGCUCACGAGGGUGGAGGGCACGCCCAGGUGGGUGGGCGCGCCCCCUGCCUCGUGACCUCCUCGCAGAUCCCCCGACGUGCACUCCAAGUCUUUUGGGCUUCUUUCCUUCCAAAAAUGAGUUCAGUGAAGUUUCAGGUCAAUUGGACUCCGUUUGAUUUUCCUUUUCUUUGAAACCCUAAAACAGGGUAAAAAUAGAAACUGGCACUGGGCUCUGGGUUAAUAGGUUAGUCCCAAAAAUGAUAUAAAAGUGUAUAAUAAAGCCCAUAAACAUUCGAAACAGUAGAUAAUAUAGCAUGGAGCAAUCAAAAAUUAUAGAUGCGUUGGAGACGUAUCAGAGAGAUAAAGAAUGCCCGAUAUGAUGGAGAGGGGGAUGUGUGUGGGUGUGUGCCUUCAAUGGAGACCGACCUGAAGAAAAAGAUUGCAAGCGUGCGAUGGAUAAUGCCGACUGGUAGUGUGUGUGCAUGCAUGCACGAGAGAAAGUUAGUGGUACAAUUAUAAAGAGAAGACCACUGUAUGGGUGUAAAAGAAUAGGUGAGGUAAUAAUCAAUGUAAAGUUGAAUUCAAAUAUUUGAAUAAGAGAUCCUGAUGUUUGAAACCCAUGCAUGCAUGAAUAUAAUGGAGAUCUGCGCGGUGUGGUUUGGAAACGAGCAUGUUGUAAUGUAUACGCAUUGAACAAGGUCAGACUGAUUUGAAUUUGAGAUACUGAUGGUAGACAUCAUUUGGCCACGUCACAUCCAUGAAUGGACCCACUAUUCUAAUUGGAGAUGAUGGGCGGAUUUCGCAUCACAUAUCUAUAUCUAUACCCCUAUAUAUAUUAUUGUGUGCGGGUAAAUUUAACUUUGAAAGAUGGUCGUUGGAUGAGGCGAAUCCGAUGGUCCAAAGAUGGCAAAUUUGAGCACUACUAGCCGUUGGAUAUCAUCUAGAUUCCACCAGAUUUCGCCACAUGUAUAAUCUAGAAGACUCCAUGGUUGAACUUAAGCAUAAUGCACAAACAUCAAAACACAAGCACUUCUUAUUUGUUCUAGAAUCUUCCGUAUCAGAAUUGCCCAAAUGUUUUUUCUACAUGAUUUGCCAUUAUUUGUUUUUACUUUAUGUCUUACGAUGCACAAUUCCAUGAAUCUUAAAAUAGAUUAGCUUUCUUAUAAAAACUAGAUGAUUUUGAAUGAGAUGAACAAUAAGAAUUAAACGAGCAUCUACAUCAUGCAUAUAUGACUCAAAGAUUGCAUGCUAUAAUGUGGUAUUUAUUCAUAAUUUGGUUGCCAAAUCUCAUGCGUGCAAUGCACGUGUACCUUACUCUAGUCUAAAUGGUGUUUGUGUGUGUGUGUGUUGUGCGUGUUGAGGUGCAAAUUGUCUUUUUUGGGUACACGUUAAGCUUGUUCUUCCGAAAUUUCAAGCCGUGCCUUGUUAUGCUGAAAAUUCAAGCUAGCGUCUCUGUCUAUCGUGCUGCAAAACUCCCGCCUCUUCAACCCGCGUCUUGUUAGCCCGAAAUAUUUAAGAUAUAUCUUUGUCUCGUUGUGCUCCAACAACUCCCUCCAUCUCAACCCGCGCCUUGCUAUUCCGAAAUUACAACGCGCGCAAAAACUCCCACCUCCUGUGAAAUCCCGACACGCGAAAUGCCCGUGGUACCCUUGAACCGAAAGAAUCGCCUCAAAUUGGUGGGGGUACUUCCGUAACUUACCCCACAUUUCGGACAAGCGCGUCUCUAAGCCAUGGUUCCCCACUGCCAUCCCAUCCGCCCACCCAUUCGUACACCGAGGCCGCGAAAACCCGUGAUGAAACCCCACACCCUGCUCCGUUCGCCACCCAGCCGGAGCCUCUUCCCCGACGAUGUCGUUCACAGCAACACCUCGACGUCCCUCAUCCACCGUACCGGAUGAGGAUCCGUCGUCGAUCUCAUCGUCCCGCCGGUUCAGCACCCGUCCCCCACCUCCAAGGAGCUGCCCCGACGUUCCCCUCCUCUUUCAUGCCACCUCCAUUCCCACACCGCCGUCUUCACCUACACCAUCGGAAGAGCAUCAUCAUCACCAUUUCCUCAGAUGAAGCUACGGCCGAAUCGGUGCCACCAAAGAGGUUGUACACUAAUCACCGCAUUUUCUUCUUGAUUCGAUCUCACGGUGCUGCCAGCGCUCGGUCCCGAGCCGACACGGCACGACUCCAUCCACGCCGGCGUCGCCGGCCACUUCCUCCACGGCGUCGCUCCCUCAGCGGCGACGUCCACAUCAGUAGGAGCUGCUGCUACUUUAGCUCUUGCUCGUGCUGCUGCUCUGCUCUUGCUCUCGGUCCCCUGCCUGGUCUGCUCUUGCUAUUGNNNNNNNNNNNNNNNNNNNNNNNNNNNNNNNNNNNNNNNNNNNNNNNNNNNNNNNNNNNNNNNNNNNNNNNNNNNNNNNNNNNNNNNNNNNNNNNNNNNNNNNNNNNNNNNNNNNNNNNNNNNNNNNNNNNNNNNNNNNNNNNNNNNNNNNNNNNNNNNNNNNNNNNNNNNNNNNNNNNNNNNNNNNNNNNNNNNNNNNNNNNNNNNNNNNNNNNNNNNNNNNNNNNNNNNNNNNNNNNNNNNNNNNNNNNNNNNNNNNNNNNNNNNNNNNNNNNNNNNNNNNNNNNNNNNNNNNNNNNNNNNNNNNNNNNNNNNNGGGCUCGCCAGAGAGGUACCCUACUAUCUAUCUUAGGGUUCAGGAUGGGGGCGGUGGUCGCCGCCGGUGGCAGGGCGGUGGCCAGGGGAUCACCGAAGAAAAAGCUCGGCAUGGGGGGGGGCUAGAGGGAUGGCCGGGGCGGCGGCGGACCGGCGGUGGGGAGUAUUUUCGGGGCGGGCGGGGCGGCGCACCGCUGGCCGCGGGCGGCAAGGGGCUGCUGUUUGGCCGGUGGUGGCUGGCAGCUCAGGGGGGGUGGAGGUUGAAGAUGAACCGCAGGCCCUUGAUUUCGUAUCCAACGGCUGCAAAAUCGACUGACUAGAGAAGAAAAAGUCAGUCGACCGACGUGUAGCCUCACCUUGCUAGUGUGUUCAGUUUCGACAGCAAAAUUCAGUUUCGACAGUUAAGUUCAGUUUUGACAGUUAAGUUCAGUUUCGAUAGUUAAAUUCAGUUUCGAUAGUUAAGUUCAGAGAUGAGCGGCUGAUGUAUUUUACAUCUAGCACUUUGUGGUUAUGUAUUUUACGUCAUGUAUUGGAGAUGCUAUUAGAAUUCCACUUAGGUUAACGUUGUUCGUUGUCUCUCUUGUCCUGCUUCAGCCUCGGCGUCGUACAACUCACCGGAGCUGCUCCAACGACGAAACCCACCAUCACAGCGGAGCAGUACCUCGAGCUCCAUCUCCAGACGCCUAAGAUCUUCUUCCCCUCCUCCGACAGCCAAGUCAGCCGGAGCAUCCUCACCGGCCAACCCAAUCACGCUGAGAUCGACAUGGCUUCGCCAAAGAGGUUGUACACUUGUUGCAUCUCUUUUUUACUCUACAUGUUAUAUAUAUUAUCCACUGAGCACUCGUAGUAACGGGAAAUACAAUUAUUUUAUCCUACUAUAUGACAAGCAGUGAGGUACCAGGCAACUUAGCUAUCCAUGAUGGACUCUCUAGAACGCCAUCAUUAUUUAUCUCUGCGCGUUUGAGUUGUGCAUUUGUCGAUGGGCCUGGGAGUUGAGCUAGUAUGGAAGUGGCCUGGGUCCAAAGUAAUAGAAGUAGCACAAAAACAUUUUUUUAGUGUAGGAUUUUCCUUGCUCAAGCAUGCCUACUAGAAUCGCCAGUGCUUGAAAGGAAAAGUGAAUGAAAAACAUCGGAAUUGGAAAGUUUCCUAUGGUACUACUUUUCAUGAAUUUUGUGCAAAGGAAUGGAGCAAAGGAAAACUGUAGGAUUUGUUCCUUUAGUGUAUCCUUGAAAUAAAAACCAUAGGAAUUCUAAUUUUCACUUCUCCUCCUUUUCAUAUUCCUAUUCAUCAAGCACAAGACUAAGAGAUAGUAGCAUAAUAGCAUUAUAACCGUACAUUUUCUUGUGGUUUGACUUAAUCUCACCAUGCUUUUUUGCAUCCUGUGAUCUUCCAAUUGUUGUGAAUCAAACACCCAGAUUGGAAGAAAUCCUGUGUUUUUAAAUUCUCUGUUUUGCAUGUGCAUUCCUAUCCUAUUCCUGUCUAUUUCCUAUCCCUGCAUUGUUAGAAUCCUCAAAUUCAAACAAGCCCUUACUCAAUUACUUCUGUUACAGAUAUGUGUCAAAGAAAACCUUGUGUGGUUUGUCCCGCUCCUGCGGCGCUAUGUUCCACCCCAGCUCAGCUGCUCCAACGAUGGAAGGGUUCACCACAGCAGGGAUCCGCUCUCCAGACUGUCUUUCACCGCCUCAGAUCUUCUUCCCCGUCAUCGGCAGCCACGGCAACUGCAUUACCAUCAUCAACUAAGCAGAUGACCUUGAGGACUACAUGGGUCCGCAAGAGAGGUCGCACUCUUCCGUGUCUGCUUACGUUAUGCAUCGCUUAAUAUGAUGACAUGCUACAUUAUCGUCAUGUUCACCUAUUAGACUCCGAGUCAGGUCCAAACUAAUGCUGAAACUUGAGUUUUUAAAUGGUUGUGGGGUACAUAUUGGGGCAGCAAUUAGUACUAUCUUUCUACUAUCUGGUUAAUCUCCGGUGUCUACUAUGAGUUUCAUGUUGGGUGCAAACAAACAUUAAAGGAGCCAUUAUCUGUAUUUUUUAACUAAAGCUAUUAUCUGCCUGCUAUCAUUGGUUUUGGGUCUAUCCACAGUUUGCUACCAUCACUCUGGAUUUGUGCAUGCACUCCUUACAUAAUCUCACUAUGUUUUAUUCCUAUGCAUGCCAGUUAUUGUACACAAUGGAAUUGAUCAUGUAGAGCAAAAGAGACGAGCCUUGCGUGGAAAUAAAAUUUCAUGCAGACGUCGUUCCAUGGUGGGCGCAAAGGCAGCCCCCCUCCACCCAUUUCAGAUCGUAAUCAAGAGGAAGAUAACUGUUCUGAGGGGGAUUCAAAAGGAGAAGACCACUCCUAUUUACCCCAUAAGGUCUUCGCUCUAACUUGGCAUGCUGAUGUUGGUAAUAUCAUGCAUAUGGUACCUUGCAUUGCUUACUGUAUACAUUAAAGAUGUCAUCUGCUUAGUUUAAACAUGCUUUGUGUCAAUGCCAUCUGUUUAGUUUCUUUAUCGUAUAUGUGAAUCAUGCAAUGCCAUCUUGUCUAGCCAGGCAUCAUAUAUGUGAAUUUUGCAAUGCCACCCUGGUUAGCCAGUCAUCUUAUAUGUGCAUUAUAUCAUGCCAUCAUUUUUUUAUUAUGUGUUAAAUUUGUCAACAAUUUUAGUACAUUCAAUUACUCUUCCUGUGCAUCAGCCAUUUGGCACAGUCAUGGAAAAAUCUGGAGUGGAAACAAGGUCUUCAGAGCAGACAAUGCUAUCUGACAAAGCGCAUGUCUUGCUGGUUACCGAUAGCUCCUUAGAGGAGGAUUCAGAGACAGAUGACCAGUCAUAUCCCCCUCCCCGAGGUGCAUGACCUAACUUGGCAGGGUUAUGUUGCUCAUAUCGUGCGUAUGGUAUCUUGCAUUGCUAUGUCAUUUGCUUAGUUUAGACAUGCUUUGUGUGAAUGCCACCUGUUUAGUGUCUAAUUACCAUAUAUGUGAAUUAUGCAAUGCCAUCUUGUUGUAAGACAUUAUAUAUGUGAAUUAUGCAAUGUUAUCUUGUUGCAAGGCACUAUGUAUGUGAAUUAUGCAAUGCCAUGCUGUUUAGGCAAGCGUCAUAUAUGUGAAUUAUAUCAUGUCGUCCCUUUUUUGUAUUUCUCAUUGCUUUUGUCGACAAUGUUGUAUAUUCAACUGCUCUUCCUGUGCAUCAGCCAUUUGAAUUGGUGAUGGAGAAAUCUGGAGUGAAAACAAGGUCUUCAGAGCAGACAAUGCUACCUGCUGAAGCAGAUAUCUUACUAGUUACAGAUAGCUCUUCAGAGGAGGAUUCAGAGGCAGAUGACCAGUCCUAUUAUCCCCCUGAGGUGUAUGCUCAAACUUGGCAGGGUUGUAUUACUCAUAUAAUGCAUAUGUUGUAUUGCAAUGCUUAGUUUUUACAUCAUAUACACAAUAUUGAAUGCCAUCUCCUUAGUUGACACAUCAUAUAUGUGAUUGCCCUCUGCUCACUUCCUUAGUAUAUAAAUCAUAUAUUUGAAUUAUGUCAUGCCAUGAUGUUUACAUAGAUAGCAUGUAUCUGAAUUAUGGCAUGCCAACCCAUUUUCUAAAGACAUAAUAUAGUUAUAUCAUCUCAUCCUGUUUACAUAGUCAUCAUAUUUUAAAUUAUGUCAUUAUAUCCGUGAAUUAUAUCAUGCCAUCAUGUUUCCAUCGACGACAUGUUUGUGAUUUAUGGCACGCCAACCACUUUAAUAGACACAUCGUAUAGUUAUAUCAUGUCAUCCUAUUUACAUAGUUAUCAUAUUUUGAAGUAUGUCAUUCUAUCAUGUUUAGUUAGCCAUCAUACAUGUGAAAUUGUGUCAUGCUAUCCUGUUUAAUUAGCCAUCAUAUAUGUGAAAUCAUGUCCUGCUAUUCUGUUUGCUUAGACAACAUAAAUGUGAAUUAUUUCAUGCCCUGUUUUCUUCCCUACUAUCCAUUGCACCUGUCUAUGUUACAGUGUCUGUACAUUCAAUUACUUUUCUUGUUUAUCAGCCAUUUCAAUUGGAGGGAGUGAUGGCAGUAUCUGUGGGAGUAAAAACACGGCCUUCAGAAAAGAUCGUGCUACCUGUCGAUGCAGAUAGAACCAUGGUUGUACUUGCCCAAGAACCAGCCCCACCACACAUAACCCACAAUCAUGCAGAUUGUACCCCUACCCAGUUGGACAGAGAACCAGCUACACCCCUUCUAACCCCAACCCCAGCAAAUAGACACCCAGUUCUCGUUAACACAACACCGUCUCCACCACAGAGCACCCAAACACGAGCAGUUAGUAAGGCAACUGCAGUUCCCAAAUCACGAGGACCACCACUCCGAACCCGAAGUCAACGCUUAAAGCAGAAUAAGAAUUUUUCUCAGGUCAGGUUCCGUAGCUAUGGUUCAUAUUACUUUGCUCUUGCAUCACUGUAUUUACUGAUACCAACUAAUUUCAAAUUUGAAGGAUGCAAUUUAAACUCCAAUGGCGCAAUAGGUAUGUUUUAAACCUAUUUCUUCAACGUGUUUGGCUGUUUGCUGUUGUAACUUGCUCUAUGUUGAUUUCAGUUUCAAUUGAAUAAAUAGUUAUGUUCUCAUGCCAUGCUUUGUAGUUUCCCACACUUAUAUUCUGUCUAUGCUGCUUUGUCUUAAAUAGAUAUGAUUCGAACUGUAUCUAUCUUGAUUUGGCAACAUAAACUAGAAUGAUAUAGACCAUACAGUGACCAUACUACAUAGAUAUAUGUUUGUUUCAUGCUGUUAUCCUGUCCACCUUACUACUGAACUAGUUUACCAAAAUGAGUUUCAUAUACUACAUUGUAAACCUGAGAUGUGUUUGUUUGUUUCUCUUUUAGAACGCGGAUAAAAUAUUGGACAAGAGUAGCCUGUUAUGCAAUGGUGAAGGAAGUAAUGCAGAUAAGGUUCAAGAUAGUGAGACAUCCCUGGUGGUCUCCAAGAAAGCUGGUAAAAACUAUACUGAAGACACUGAGACAACCCCAAAGUCAUGUCUUGAUGUAGUGUUUGAGUUACUGGCUACCACUGCUGGCACCAGCUCUUCGAACUCGUUGCCUGAAUCAGUUCGGCUUCUUGAGUCUCAACUUCAAGUUGAAAGACAUCAAUCAGAUGUUAUGCGAUAGGAAGCUGAAGGACUAAGGAAGUCCCUGCAGAAUUCAGAUGCAUACUUUCUGGUGCAACAGCAAGCACUGGAGGACUUAAGCGCCAAACAAGAGAAAGUUAAUAAGCUUGCUAAGCAUCUUGCCAGCAUUAUGGGUACCCAGGACAUUGUUUCUUGAGCUCUUCUGAAGUGGUUUCAGUUCUGGACUUGUUUUGCUGCGGCGUUUAUAUGCUGCUGUGUUCCCUAUAUUUGCACUGGUGGUGAACUUUGAUGCCCAGUGGAUGUAAUAUGUGUAAUAGCCGUGAUAGCCUAGUGUAAGUUGCUUGCUUAUUUAUUUCCUUGUUGUCUUGUUUAUUUGUUUGCUUGUAGUCAGUGCAGUUCUUUUUCUGCGGUUUGCUAGUGGCUGCAAUAACCUAUUUUUUAAAACUAGGCCACAAUAACCAUGGGCUAAUAUUUACUGUAGUGACACUAGGCCUCCUAUGGGCCGUAGAAACAAUGGGCCUUCUACGGGCCGUAUGAACAGUGGGCCUUCUAUGGGCCAUAGAAACAAUAGGCCUUCUACGGGCCGUAGAAACAAUGGGCCUUCUACGGGCCGUAUCAUCAAUGGGCCUUAUACGGGCCAUAUGAUCGAUUGGCCAAACAUGGGCCAAACAGACCGCAUUCUGGCCGUAAACGGGCUAGAGUUGGAAUCGUCCGUUCAUGGGCCGACCAUAACGGGCCAUCGUUAAUAGGUCAUAUUUGACGACGCUAUGAAAACGGCCCAACGUAUUAACGGACCACAAACGGGGCGACUGUAACCACAGGCUGAAUUUGGUCCACAAGCAGAAAAUGACAGUAACGGGCUGUAAGUAAAAGAAUCCUGGAAAAUAGCCCAAGAAUAAAUGGGCUCUGAGAAGGCCGAAAGAUAACAUGGGCUGGAAACGUCCCAACGGAAUAAUGGGCCGUUAAUGGGUAUAAAGUGAUACACUAUUCUUUACGGGACAGUUUCACCACGGGCCGUUAAUGGGUGUAAAGUGAUACACUAUUCAUUACGGGCCAGUUUCACCACAGGCCGUUAAUAGGCCAAGAGUUACAUAGGGCCACAUAUGGGUCGAAGGACGUCAUGGGCCAUACAUGGGCCUGAAGUGAAAACGGGCUAGAAUCAUAUUGGAUGGCCCAGAUGACGCUACUGGGCCUAAUUCGAAUAGGGCGUAACGGGCUUUGGGUUAGCGGGCUGUAAAUGGGCUAUAUGCGAACAAGCCGUUAACAUGCUUUCCAUGGGCCGGCCCGCCACCUUUUGACCAAGUCAAACGGGCCGGCCUUUUCACAGGAAUGGGCCUCUGUUGGGCCAUGCCACGUGUCGACGUAUCAUAGGCACAUUCUGUCCAAUGAGUGGAUGACAUCUGUCCCAGCGAUGAGCCGACACGUGUUUCCUCCAGCCAAUGAUGAUUUUACACGUGGAAAAUCCCCAUUGGUCGGGGAUGUUAACGGGUUAUCGGAUCCAAAACCCGACCCAAUACCUUAACGGCGUUCCAUUACGAUGGAUGACACGUGUUGGUCACCCUUGACGAAAGCACUUCUGUGACGCGCGAUUUAUCGUCAUGGAAGUGGACACUUCCGUGAUGAUAAUUUUGGUAAUGUCAUGGAACACUUCUACGACAACACAGGUAUGACUAUCUUGAUUCUGUCAUAAAUUUGUCAUGGAUGUACAUGCAUGACAGAAAACGGGACCUAUUGUGACAAACAUGUAUCAUCACGGAAGUGUAUUUUUUUAUAGUGUAGGUGUUCGUGAGCAAGCGAGUUGGAUGCACACCCACUUAGUUUCUUUUUGAGCUUUCAUAUACUUAUAGCUCUAGUGCAUCCGUUGCAUGGCAAUCCCUACUCACUCACAUUGAUAUCUAUUGAUGGGCAUCUCCAUAGCAUGUUAAUACACCUAGUUGAUGUGAGACUAUCUUCUCCUUUUUGCCUUCUCCACAACCACCAUUCUAUUCCACCUAUAGUGAUAUGUCGAUGGCUCACGCUCAUGUAUUGCGUGAAGAUUGAAAAAGUUUGAGAACAUCAAAAGUAUGAAACAAUUGCUUGGCUUGUCAUCGGGGUUGUGCAUGAUUAAAAUACGUUGUGUGGUGAAGAUGGAGCAUAGCCAGACUAUAUGAUUUUGUAGGGAUAACUUUCUUUGGCCAUGUUAUUUUGAGAAGACAUAAUUGCUUAGUUAGUAUGCUUGAAGUAUUAUUAUUUUCAUGUCAAUAUUAAACUUUUGUCUUGAAUCUUAUGGAUCUGAAUAUUCUUGCCACAAUAAAGAGAAUUACAUGGAUAAAUAUGUUAGGUAGCAUUCCACAUCAAAAAUUCUGUUUUUAUCAUUUACCUACUCGAGGACGAGCAGGAAUUAAGCUUGCGGAUGUUGAUACGUCUCCAAAUUAUCUAUAAUUUUUGAUUGUUCCAUGCUAUUAUAUUAUCUAUUUUGGAUGUUUAUGGGCUUUAUUAUGCACUUUUAUAUUAUUUUUGGGACUAAACUAUUAACCUAGAGCCUAGUGCCAGUUUCUGUUUUUUCCUUGUUUUAGAUUAUCGCAGAAAAGGAAAAUCAAACGGAGUCCAAUUGACCUGAAACUUCACGGGACUUAUUUUUGGACCAGAAGAAGCCCAUGGAGUAUCGGAGAUGUACGAGGAGAGUCCCAGGCUGCCCACGAGGGUGGGGAGCGCGCCCACCCUCCUGGGCACGCCCCCUGCCUCGUGGACAGCCCGGAGGUCCACCUACGUACUUCUUCCUCCCAUAUAUACCCAUAUACCCUAAAAACUUCGAGGAGCACAAUAGAUCGGGAGUUCCGCCGCCAGAAGCCUCCGUAGCCACCGAAAACCAAUCUAGACCCGUUCCGGCACCCUGCCGGAGGGGGCGAUCCCUCUCCGGUGGCCAUCUUCAUCAUCCUGGUCCUCUCCAUGACGAGGAGGGAGUAGUUCUCCCUCGGGGCUGAGGGUAUGUACCAGUAGCUAUGUGUUUGAUCUCUCUCUCUCUCUCAUGUUCUUGAGGUGGUACAAUCUUGAUGUAUCGCGAGCUUUGCUAUUAUAGUUGGAUCUUAUGAUGUUUCUUCCCCUCCACUCUCUUGUAAUGGAUUGAGUUUUCCCUUUGAAGUUAUCUUAUCGGAUUGAGUCUUUAAGGAUUUGAGAACACUUGAUGUAUGUCUUGCGUGGGAUACCCGUGGUGACAAUGGGGUAUUCUAUUGAUCCACUUGAUGUAUGUUUUGGUGAUCAACUUGCGGGUUCCGCCCAUGAACCUAUGCAUAGGGGCUGGCAUACGUUUUUGUCUUGACUCUCCGGUAUAAUAUUUGGGGCACUCUUUGAGGUCCUAUGUGUUGGUUGAAUAGAUGAAUCUGAGAUUGUGUGAUGCAUAUCGUAUAAUCAUACCCACGGAUACUUGAGGUGACAUUGGAGUAUCUAGGUGACAUUAGGGUUUUGGUUGAUUUGUGUCUUAAGGUGUUAUUCUAGUACGAACUCUAGUGCUGUUUGUGACACUUAUAGGAAUAGCCCAACAGAUGGAUUGGAAAGAAUAACUUUGAGGUGGUUUCGUACCCUACCAUGAUCUCUUCGUUUGUUCUCUGCUAUUAGUGACUUUGGAGUGACUCUUUGUUGCAUGUUGAGGGAUAGCUAUGUGAUCCAAUUAUGUUAUUAUUGUUGAGAGAACUUGCACUAGUGAAAGUAUGAACCCUGGGCCUUGUUUCAACGCAUUGCAAUACCGUUUGUGCUCACUUUUAUCAUUAGUUACCUUGCUGUUUUUAUAUUUUCAGAUUACAAAAACCUAUAUCUACCAUCCAUAUUGCACUUGUAUCACCAUCUCUUCGCCGAACUAGUGCACCUAUACAAUUUACCAUUGUAUUGGGUGUGUUGGGGACACAAGAGACUCUUUGUUAUUUGGUUGCAGGGUUGCUUGAGAGAGACCAUCUUCAUCCUACGCCUCCUACGGAUUGAUAAACCUUAGGUCAUCCACUUGAGGGAAAUUUGCUACUGUCCUACAAACCUCUGCACUUGGAGGCCCAACAACGUCUACAAGAAGAAGGUUGUGUAGUAGACAUCACUAGCUAUCUUAUGAUCAUGCAAAGCAAUAUGACAAUGAAUGCUCAAGUCAUGUAGAUGAUGAUGAUGGAAGUUGCAUAUGGCAAUAUAUCUCGAAAUGGCUAUGGAAAUGCCAUGAUAGGUAGGUAUGGUGGUUGUUUUGAGGAAUAUAUAAUGAGGCUUAUGUGUGAUAGAGCGUAUCGUAUCAGGGGAUUUGGAUGCACCGGCAAAGUUUGCACCCACUCUCGAGGUGAGAAAGGGCAAUGCACGGUACCGAAGAGGCUAGCAAUGAUAGAAGGGUGAAAGUGUGUAUAAUCCAUGGAUUCAACAUUAGUCAUAAAGAACUCACAUAUUUAUUGCAAAAGUUUAUUAGCCCUCGAAGCAAAGUACUACUACGCAUGCCCCUAGGGGGAUAUAUUGGUAGGAAAAGACCAUCGCUCGUCCCCGACCGCCACUCAUAAGGAAGACAAUCAAUAAAUACCUCAUGCUCCGACUUCGUUACAUAACGGUUCACCAUACGUGCAUGCUACGGGAAUCACAAACCUCAACACAAGUAUUUCUACUAAUCCACAACUACCCACUAGCAUGACACUAAUAUCACCAUAUUUAUAUCGCAAAACUAUUGCAAGGAAUCAAACAUAUCAUAUUCAGUGAUCUACAAGUUUUAUGUAGGAUUUUAUGACUAGCCAUGUGAAUGACCAGUUCCUGUCAUCUCUCUAAAUAGAUAUAAGUGAAGCGAGAGAUUUUAAUUCUUUCUACAAAAUAUAUGCCCAUGCUCUAACAAAUAUAAGUGAAGCAAAAUAGCAUUCUACAAAUGGCGGUUUUCUAUGUAAAGAGAAACAGGCAAUCCAAACUUCAAAUGAUAUAAGUGAAGCACAUGAAGCAUUCUAUAAAGCCAUACUCAAAAGAUAUCAGUGAAGUCCAUAGAGAAUUCUAUAAAUAAACCAAGGACUAUCUCAUACCAGCAUGGUGCAUAAAAGAAAAAUGAAAACUAAAUGCAAAAGAUGCUCCAAGAUUGCACAUAUCGCAUGAACAAAACGAAUCCGAAAACAUACCGAUACUUGUUGAAGAAAGAGGGGAUGCCUUCCGGGGCAUCCACAAGCUUAGAUGCUUGAGUCUCCUUGAAUAUUUACUUGGGGUGCCUUGGGAAUCCCCAAUAUUGAGCUCUUGCCUCUCCUUCUUCUCCUCACAUCGAGACCUUCUCGAUCAUCGAACACUUCAUCCACACAGAACUUCAACAGAAAACUCGGUAAGAUCCGUUAGUAUAAUAAAGCAAAUCACUACUCUAAGUAUUGUUGCAAACCAAUUCAUAUUUUGUUUUUGCAUUAUAUCUAAUGUAAUAUAACUUUUCAUGGCUUAAUCCACUGAUAGAAAUUGAUAGUUUCAUCAAAACAAGCAAACUAUGCAUCAAAAACAGAAUCUGUCUAAAACAGAACAGUCUGUAAUAAUCUGAACAUUCGCCGUACCUCUGGUACUCCAGAAAUUCUACCAAAAUUAGUAAAAAUAAACAAUUUGUAUAUAAAGACAGUGCAAAAUGUUUCAGAACCGUUUGACAUUCUAGUAAAAAAAUGUAAAAUCACGCACUACAGCCAAAGUUUCUGUCCUGCAUCGUACAAACCAACAAACAUCUAAAACAUCCUAAAGGCAAACCUUGGGACAUUAUUUUUAUUUUUAAACCUUAUAAAAGAACACAACAGAAAUAAAUGACUCUCUAAAACUUCCGAGUUGUCUCCCUGGCAGCGCUUUCUUUAAAGCCAUUAAGCAAGGCAUAUAGUGCUCAAGUAAUGGAUCCACCCGGAUCCCAAGGUAUAUCAAAGCCAAUUUUAAUUAACAAUGAUUUGGCAUUUAGUAGUGAGCACAAAGUAACAUAAAUCAUGCAACAACGAAGUCUAACUCUCUUCCUAUGCAUCGGCAUGUCAUAAAAGAACAAUUCAUGCACACAAAGUAAAGGCCAAUGCAUAGUAUAAACAGUUUCUUGCAAUUUUAUCGUAUUGGAAACAUAGAGAGGUGGAGAUAUAGUUCCUCUCUCAUGAUAAUUGCAAGUAGGAGCGGCAAGCACAUGCAUAUUAUAUUCAUCAAAAUCAUCAUGUGCAACGGUAAAAGGCAACCCAUCAAUAUAAUCCUUAAUAAGGGCAAACUUCUCCGAUAUAGUGUAGUCGGGAGAAUUCAAAAAGAUAAUAGGACUAUCAUGCGUGGGUGCAAUAGCAACAAUUUCAUGUUUAACAUAAGGAACUAUAACAAGUUCAUCUCCAUAAGCAUAAUUCAUAUUGGCAUCUUGGCCACAAGCAUAGCAAGCAUCAUCAAAAAGGGAUAUUUCAAGAGAAUCAACAGGAUCAUAACAAUCAUCAUAGCAAUCAUCCUUCGGUAAGCACGAAGGAAAAUUAAACAAUGUAUGAGUUGAAGAGUUACUCUCAUUAGAAGGUGGGCACGGGUAGCUAAUCCGCUCUUCCUCCUUUUUCUUCUUCGCUCUCCUCCUCAUCUUUUUCAUCCAAUGAGCUCACAGUUUCAUCAAUUUCUUCUUACAUAGACUCCUGCAAGAUAUUAGUCUCUUCUUGGACAGUGGAGACUUUGUCAAUAAAUGCAUAAAUAUUGGAAUUGAAUUCAUAACUGGCAUAGCAAUAUUUAAGGACAGCUAAAUUUUCAGGUCUAUAAACAACAUCAUAAAGAUUUUCAAACUCUUUGAACAUAGAUUCAAUUUCAUAAGCACCCAUAAAAGCAAUGAACUCUUCUGUUUGUUCCACAUCAUAGUAAUCAUAUAUACCAUUAGCAUAAGAAUCUAAGGUUUUAUUAUCAUUAAAUUUGCAUGAAAAGGGAAGGUGUGGAGCCUUCAUCCUAGAGCAACAAGUAUAAUCAUAUCUCAAGCACACUUGCUGAGCAUACCAUUUCAACAUAUAAAUUUGAUCCCAUAAUAGUUUCCCUUUUUGAGUCAAGCGAUAAUCCCUAAAGUAUUCACGUUGGUCCAACGUGUCUCCCAUUACAUAAUUGAAUGAGGUUUUCCCAGGAUUAUCAAAGUGGUACAAAAUAUUUUUCACAUAAUGAUCAUCAAGGGUUUUAGGAGGUUCCCCAUCUCCAUGAGCAGCAAUUACACCUAAUUUUUUUGGUAUUUUAUUUUCCAUAUCCAUAACUAAAUAUAGAGAACAACUUAGAACAGCAAAUAAAAAUUACUUAGUGAUAAAGCAAACAAGCACACACGAGAAUAUUCACCCCACGUUAUUGCUCCCCAGCAACGGCGCCAGAAAAAGGUCUUGAUAACCCACAAGUAUAGGGGAUCAAUUGUAGCCUCUUUCGAUAAGUAAGAGUGUAGAAACCAACGAGAAGCUAAAGGUAGAACAAAUAUUCCCUCAAGUUCUAUCGACCACCGGUACAACUCUACGCACGCUUAGCGUUCGCUUUACCUAGAACAAGUAUAAAACUAGAAGUACUUCGUAGGUGUUUUUGGAUAGGUUUGCAAGAUAAUAAAGAGCACGUAAAUAAAAAGUAAGGGCUGUUUAGAUAAAGAAACAAUAAAGUUAGUAUAGCGAGUGUGGAAAAGUGGUGGUAGGAGUUGCGAAAUUGUCCCUAAGCAAUUGACUACUUUACUAGACCGGUAGCAAGUUUUAUGUGGGAGAGGCCACUGCUAGCAUGUCAUCCCUGACUUGGAAUUCUAUGCACUUAUGAUUGGAACUAUUAGCAAGCGUCCGCAACUACUAACGUUCAUUGAGGUAAAACCCAACCAUAGCAUUAAGAUAUAUUGGCCCCCCUUCAAUCCCGUAUGCAUCAAUUUCUAUGCUAGGUUGAAGCUUCUGUCACUCUUCCCCUCCAAUACAUAGUCCUAUAAACAUACAACUAACCCUAUGGUGUGAUCCACGUGCGCGCUCAUAUGAUGGGCACCAAAGGACAGCAAAAUAACCACAAGCAAAUUAAAUCAAUCAUAGCAAUUCAUCAACCACCGACAGGACAACGAAAAUCUACUCAGAUAUCAUAGGAUGGCAACACAUCAUUGGAUAAAAAUAUGAAGCAUAAAGCACCAUGUUCAAGUAGAGGGUACAGCGGGUUGCAGGAGAGUGGACCGCUGUAGAUAGAUGGGGGAAGGUGAUGGAGAUGAUGGUGAAGAUGGCGGAAGUGUUGGUGUAGAUCACGGUGAUGAUGAUGGUGGCCACGGCAGCGUUCCGGCACCACCGGAAGAGAAGGGGAGAGGGGGACCCUUCUUCUUCUUCAUUGACCUCCUCCCUAGAUGGGAGAAGGGUUUCCCCUCUAGUCCUUGGCCUCCAUGGCAUGGGAGGGGCGAGAGCCCCUCCGAGAUUGGAUCUGUCUCUCUGUCUCUCUCUGUUUCUGCGUUCUCAGAUUCUGCCCUUUCACCGUUUCUUUUAUAUACGGAGAUCUGUAACUCCGAUUGGGCUGAAAUUUUAACAUGGUCUCUAUCCGGAAAUUAGCUUUCUUGCGGCGAAAGAAGGGCUCCAACCGCCUUACGGGGAGGCCACAAGGGUCCAGGGCCCGCCCCUGCCUCGUGGCCCCCUGGGGCAUCGUAUCGCGUUGAUUCUUCUUCCCAAAAAUCACAUAUAUUCCAAAAAAAUCUCCGUCAGUUUUUAUCCUGUUUGAACUCCGUUUGAUCUGGAUUUUUUGUGAAACAAAAAACAUGCAACAAACAGGAACUGGCACUGGGCACUGGAUCAAUAUGUUAGUCCCAAAAAUAGUAUAAAAAGUUGCAAAAAUAUAUGAAAGUUGUAGAAUAUUGGCAUGGAACAAUCAAUAAUUGUAGAUACGAUGGAGACGUAUCACCUUCCGUCUCCGAGCUCCAACGCCUAGGUCUCGAUCUUUUCUAUCGCCACCAAACACUCUAGCCAUGUCCGGAUCUGGAGCACAGGGCAAGUGGAUGGCUUCCUCCGUCAUAGAGGAGAACGUCAAGGAACUCCGGGAAGUGGGGUACUUGGCCGUGGAUAUAGCCCACGAGCUCCCUACCCAAAAGAAGAUCAUUCCCACCCCGGAGCCUAAUGAGAGGAUAGUGUUCAUCCCCCAUUUCCUUCGAGGACUAGGGUUUCCCCUUCAUCCUUUCAUCCGCGGCCUCAUGUUUUAUUGCGGGCUUGAUUUCCACGAUCUAGCCCCAAAUUCAUUCCUCAACAUUUCAGCGUUCAUCGUCGUAUGCGAGGCAUUCCUCCACAUCCCCCCCACUUCGGCCUAUGGCUCAAGGUCUUCAAUGUGAAGCCAAAAGUGGUUGAUGGUCAACACGCGGAGUGUGGCGGCGCCAUGGUGAGCAAGCUCCCCAACGUCACCUGGCCCAAGGGGACCUUCGUGGAGACCGUGAAGGGAUGGCAACAAGAGUGGUUCUACCUCACAGAACCCUGCGAUGCCACAUGGGCCGCCACUCCUCAGUUCAAAUUCGGGCCUCCAAUGCAGCUUGCAUCAUGGAUUAACAAGGGCCUGGACUGGGCAUCGUCCGACAAGGUGAUGACGCUGUAGAAGCACGUCAAGGGCAUGAUAGAGAAGAACACCAGUCUUGCCAACGUGAUCCAGGUGAUGCUUUUUCGCCGGAUUCUCCCUUGCCAAUGCUGGACUCUCUACAUGUGGGAGUUCGAUCCGGCCAGUCCUCGGACCCUGCAGCGGUUCUUCGGCACGACGCACGAAGACAUAUGGAAGCUGGUCUUCAAGGCCCAUAAGUCGUGGCCGGAAAUGACCGAAGAUCCCGGCCUCGACUGUGCUCAUUCGUCCACUCCUGUAAGUUUUCUAAGAACUUUAAUAAUUUGUAAAUCCAAGGAACAUACUGAGCUUUCCAUUCUUCCCACAAGGCGGGUAUAAGAAGGCGGAGCGGAUCCAAUGUCUGGCCCCUCUACCAGAAGACCUAGCCAUUCCUCUGUUAAUGAGGAUGCUGGUUCCGGUGCCGUAUCAGGCACCGGAGAAGAAGGCCAAGGAGGCCAGAGAUGGCAUCCGCCAUAAGGGUGCUUCGGACGUUGUGUCCAAAGAUAUUGAAGCUCUCUCCUCCCAUGACAAAGAUGAAGAGAAGGAGGAACAUAGCAAUUCUCCCUUUAAGGGGGGAAAGAAGAAAAGGGUGGCCUUCGUGGACCUAGAGGUGGAGGCGUCCAAGAAGGGGAAAGUCUCCCUGUCGGACGAUUCUAAAUCGGAUGCCGACGCCAUCCCCGAGUGGCAUCCCAAGCCGAAGCCCCUGGCCGAAUCGUACGUAUCCACUAACACUGUACAUAUAUAUAUGGUUUUAUGCCUUGUGGUUCUAACACAUUGAAUUAUGUGUUGUAGUCUGGCCCAUGAUAUCCCCCAACGAUCAUCGUCUUCUGGGGGUUCGCUGGGUCUGAACAAGAUGGAGAGCGAGACGCCUCCACCGGCCUCUCCGCCCACUGCUAGCGACACGUAGGAUGGGGGGCCCGCUGCUACCUCUUGAGCAUGUGUUGUUUUUCCCUUGAAGAGGAAAGGGUGAUGCAGCAAAGCAGCGUAAGUAUUCCCCUCAGUUUUUGAGAACCAAGGUAUCAAUCCAGUAGGAGACCACGCGCGAGUCACCUCGUGCCUACACAAACAAAUAAGAACCUCGCAACCAACGCGAUAAAGGGGUUGUAAAUCCCUUCACGGCCACUUGCAAGAGUGAGAUCUGAUAGAGAUAAUGAUAAUAAGAUAAAUAUUUUUGGUAUUUUUAUGAUAUAGAUUGAAAGUAAAGAUUGCAAAAUAAAAUAGAUUGGAAACUUGUAUGAUGGAAAAUAGACCCAGGGGCCAUAGGUUUCACUAGGGGCUUCUCUCAAGAUCGCAUAAGUAUUUCGGUGGGUGAACAAAUUACUGUCGAGCAAUUGAUAGAAAAGAGAAUAAUUAUGAGAAUAUAUAGGUAUGAUCACGUAUAUAGGCAUCACGUCCAUGACAAGUAGACCGACUCCUGCCUACAUCUACUACUAUUACUCCACGCAUCGACCGCUAUCCAGCAUGCAUCUAGAGUAUUAAGUUCAUAAGAACAGAGUAACGCCUUAAGCAAGAUGACAUGAUGUAGAGGGAUAAACUCAUGCAAUAUGAUAUAAACCCCAUCUUUUUAUCCUCGAUGGUAACAAUACAAUACAUGUCAUUUCCCUUUCUGUCACUGGGAUCGAGCACCACAAGAUUGAACCCAAAGCUAAGCACUUCUCCCAUUGCAAGAAAGAUCAAUCUAGUAGGCCAAACCAAACUGAAAAUUCGAAGAGACUUGCAAAGAUAACCAAUCAUACAUAAAAGAAUUCAGAGAAGAUUCAAAUAUUGUUCAUAGAUAAUCUUGAUCGUAAACUCACAAUUCAUCAGGUCUCGACAAACACACCACAAAAGAAGAUUACAUCGAAUAGAUCUCCAAGAGAAUCGAGGAGAACUUUGUAUUGAGAUCCAAAGAGGGAGAAGAAGCCAUCUAGCUAAUAACUAUGGACCCGAAGGUCUGAGGUAAACUACUCACACAUCAUCGGAGAGGCUAUGGUGUUGAUGUAGAAGCCCUCCGUGAUCAAUGCCCCCUCCGGCGGAGCGCAGGGAAAGGCCCGAAGAUGGGAUCUCACGGGUACAGAAGGUUGCGGUGGUGGAAUUAGGUUUUCGUGGUGCUCCUUGAUGUUUUUAGGGUACGUAGGUAUAUAUAGGAGGAAGAAGUAGGUUGGUGGAGCAACGAGGGGCCCACGAGGGUGGAGGGCGCGCCCCCUGCCUCGUGGCCUCCUUGUUGAUUGCUUGAUGUCCACUCCAAGUCCUCUGGAUCACGUUUGUUCCAAAAAUCACGCUCCCGAAGGUUUCAUUCCGUUUGGACUCCAUUUGAUAUUAUUUUUCUGUGAAACACUGAAAUAGGCAAAAACAACAACAAUUUGGGUUGGGCCUCCGGUUAAUAGGUUAGUCCCAAAAAUAAUAUAAAAGUGUAUAAAUAAGCCCAUUAAACAUCCAAAAUAGAAUAUAUAAUAGCAUGGAACAAUCAAAAAUUAUAGAACGUUGGAGACGUAUCAAGCACCCCCAAGCUUAAUUCCUGCUCGUCCUCGAGUAGUUAAAUGAUAAAAACAGAAUUUUUGAUGUGGAAUGCUUUCUAACAUAUUUCUCAAUGUAAUUUUCUUUACUGAGGCAUGAAUGUUCAGAUCCGAAAGAUUCAAGAUAAAAGUUUAAUAUUGACAUAAAAAUAAUAAUCCUUCAAGCAUACUAAAUAAGCAAUCAUGUCUUCUCAAAAUAACAUGGCCAAAGAAAGUUCAUCCCUACAAAAUCAUAUAGUUUGGUCAUGCUCCAUUUUCGUCACACAAGAAUGCUCUCAUCAUGCACAACCCCGAUGACAAGCCAAGCAAUUGUUUCAUACUUUAGUAAUCUCAAACUUUUUUCAACUUUCACGCAAUACAUGAGCGUGAGCCAUGGAUAUAACACUAUGGGUGGAAUAGAAUAUAAUGAAGGGGGCUAUGUGGAGAAGACAAAAAGGAGAAAGUCUCACAUUGACGCGGCUAAUCAAUGGGCUAGGGAGAUGCCCAUCAAUUGAUGUCAAUGCAAGGAGUAGGGAUUGCCAUGCAACAGAUGCACUAGAUCUAUAAAUGUAUGAAUGCUCAACAAAAGAAACUAAGUGGGUGUGCAUCCAACUUGCUUGCUCACGAAGACCUAGGGCACUUGAGGAGGCCCAUUGUUGGAAUAUACAAUCCAAGUUCUAUAAUGAAAAAUUCCCACUAGUAUAUGAAAAUGACAAAAACAAGAGACUCUCUAUCAUAAAGAUCAUGGUGCUACUUUGAAGCACAAGUGUGGAAAAAAGGAUAGUAGCAUUGCCCCUUUUUAUUUUUUAUUUUUUUGGGCCUCCUUUUUUUAUUUGGCCUUUCUCUUUUUAUUUUUUUGGGACAAUGCUCAAUUAAUGAUGAUCAUCACACUUGUAUUUAUUUACAACUCAAUGAUUACAAAUUGAUACUAGAACAAGAUAUGACUCUAUAUGAAUGCCUCCGGUGGUGUAUCGAGAUGUGCAAUGACUCCUGAGUGACAUGUAUGAAAGAAUUAUGAACGGUGGCUUUGCCACAAAUACGAUGUCAACUACAUGAUCAUGCAACUCAAUAUAACAAUGAUGAUGCGUGUCAUAAUAAACGGAACGGUGGAAAGUUGCAUGGCAAUAUAUCUCGGAAUGGCUAUGGAAAUGCCAUAAUAGGUAGGUAUGGUGGCUAUUUUGAGGAAGAUAUAAGGAGGUUUAUGUGUGAUAGAGAGUAUCAUAUCACAAGGUUUGGAUGCACCGGCGAAGUUUGCACCAACGCUCAAGGUGAGAAAGGGAAAUGCACGGUGUCGAAGAGGCUAGCAAUGAUGGAGGGGGUGAGAGUGCAUAUAAUCCAUGGACUCAACAUUAGUCAUAAAGAACUCACAUACUUACUGCAAAAAUCUACAAGUCAUCAAAAACCAAGUAUUACAUGCAUGCUCCUAGGGGGAUAGAUUGGUAGGAAAAGACCAUCCCUCGUCCCCGACCGCCGCUCAUAAGGAAGACAAUCAAAUAACACCUCAUGUUUCAAAUUUGUUACACAAUGUUUACCAUACGUGAAUCCUACGGGACUUGCAAACUUCAACACAAGUAUUUCUCAAAUUCACAACUACUCAACUAGCACAACUUUAAUAUCACUAUCUCCAUAUCUCAAAACAAUCAUCAAGUAUCAAACUUCUCUUAGUAUUCAAUGCACUUAUAUGAAAGUUUUUAUUAUGCCUAAAAUAAAAUUGCCAUGUUGUUCUAAAGAACUAUCAAAAUAAUAUAAGUGAAGCAUGAGAGAUCAAUUAUUUCUAUAAAAUUAAACCACCACCAUGCUCUAAAAGAUAUAAGUGAAGCACUAGAGCAAAAACUAUUUAGCUCAAAAGAUAUAAGUGAAGCACAUAGAGUAUUCUAAUAAAUUCCGAUUCAUGUGUGUCUCUCUCAAAAGGUGUGUACAUCAAGGAUGAUUGUGGUAAACUAAAAAGCAAAGACUCAAAUCAUACAAAACACUCCAAGCAAAACACAUAUCAUGUGGUGAAUAAAAAUAUAGUUCCAAGUAAAGUUACCGAUGAAUGAAGACAAAAAAGGGGAUGCCUUUCGGGGCAUCCCCAAGCUUAGGCUUUUUGGUGUCCUUGGAUUUUACCUUGGGGUGCCUUGGGCAUCCCCAAUAUUAGGCUCUUGCCACUCCUUGUUCCAUAAUCCAUCAAAUCCUUACCCAAAACUUGAAAACUUCACAACACAAAACUUAACAGAAAAUCUCGUGAGCUCCGUUAGCGAAAGAAAACAAAACACCACUUCAAGGUACUGUAGUGAACUCAUUCUUUAUUUAUAUUGGUGUUAAACCUACUGUAUUCCAACUUCUCUAUGGUUUAUAAACUCCACUACUAGCCAUAGAUUCAUCAAAAUAAGCAAACAACACACGAAAAACAGAAUCUGUCAAAAACAGAACAGUCUGUAGUAAUAAGUAACUAACGCAAACUUCUGGAACCCCAAAAAUUCUAAAAUAAAUUUCUGGAUGUGAGGAAUUUAUCUAUUAAUCAUCUUCAAAAAGAAUUAACUAAAUAGCACUCUCCAAUAAAAAUGGCAGCAAUUCUCGCGAGGGCUAAAGUUUCUGUUUUUUACAGCAAGAUCAAAAAGACUUUCCCCAAGUCUUCCCAACGGUUCUACUUGGCACAAACACUGAUUAAACACAAAAAACACAACCAAAACAAAGGCUAGAUAAAUUAUUUACUACUAAACAGGAGCAAAAAGCAAGGAAUAAAAAUAAAAUUGGGUUGCCUCCCAACAAGCGCUAUCGUUUAACGCCCCUAGCUAGGCAUAAAAGCAAAGAUAGAUCUAGGUAUUGCCAUGAUAAUGAUAAGGUAAAUCACGAAAACUCAUCUCAUACUCCCUACAUUCAGCAGCAAGUUUUCUUUGUGGCAAGAAAAAGUAAUCAAAAGGGCUAAAUUUAAUGGGACAAAAGUCCCCAAGAUCAAGCUCAGGAGGUAUUGGUUCCUCCUUUGACCCCUCAUAUUGCAUAACCAAUUCAUCAAUAUAAGCAUUCUUUUGGCAAAAAGUCAUGAGUCUUUUUUCAAGGGAAAACCAACCCAUUAUUCUGGAUAGCAAAAUUAUCAUUAAAUUCAGAGAUCCUAUCAACAAGGACAUCGGUAGGAACCUUUUUUCUAAGGUUUUCAUUAAAAGCAACAUGAUCUAAGGAUCGUAAACGCAUAAUGUCUUCUUGAUAAAAAAAGGAUUGCUUCUAUGGGAGGACGGACGACAUCCACCCUAUAAUGCGCAAAAAUUUCAUUGGCCUCUUUUAUUAUAAAUCUGAACUCAUGAGCUAAAAAGAUGGUCGCUGCUCGCUUAACAGAAGAAUGCUCACUAUUAGAAAAUUCUAGGAAAAUCCUUUAUAUGGAAGGAUGCAUACGUAAAAAUUGUGUUUCAAGUUCAACUAUGAGCAAAGAUAUAGCAUCCGCGAGACUACUAGUUUUAUGAAGAAUAGACCCGCUCAUGGUGGGCAAAGCACCGGCACAAGUAAAGAAAUCUUGAAUAACUCCCUUUCCCAAUAAUAUUACCGCUGCCAAUCCGAAACCUUUUAGUGUGUAAAAUAGUAGGAUUUUCAAGAGAAUCAUCAAUAGCAUCAAAGUUUUCCAUAUUAUUAUCCUUAUCAAUGAUAACCUCCCCAGUUUCAAACAUGAGGGCAACAAAUUGCAAAAAUAAGGAGCACACGGAAGGCAGGAAGGGAAAAAGAGGGCGAAAGGAAAAGAGGGCGAAUAAAACGGCAAGGGUGAAGUGGGGGGGGGAGGAAAAUGAGAGGCAAAUGGCAAAUAAUGUAAUGCGAAGGAUAAGAGUUGUGAUGGGUACUUGGUAUGUCUUGACUUGGCAUAUAUCUCCCCGGCAACGGCGCCAGAAAUCCUUCUUGCUACCUCUUGAUCAUGCGUUGGUUUUCCCUUGAAGAGGAAAGGGUGAUGCAGCAAAGCAUCGUAAGUAUUUUCCUCGGUUUUUUAGAACCAAGGUAUCAAUCCAGUAGGAGACCAUGUGCGAGUCACCUCGUACCUACACAAACAAAUAAGAACCUCGCAACCAACGCGAUAAAGGGGUUGUCAAUCCCUUCACGGCCACUUGCAAGUGUGAGAUCUGAUAGAGAUAAUGAUAAUAAGAUAAAUAUUUUUGAUAUUUUUAUGAUAUAGAUUGAAAGUAAAGAUUGCAAAAUAAAAUAGAUAGGAAACUUGUAUGAUGGAAAAUAGACACGGGGGCCAUAGGUUUCACUAGUGGCUUCUCUCAAGAUAGCAUAAGUAUUACGGUGGGUGAACAAAUUACUGUCGAGCAAUUGAUAGAAAAGUGAAUAAUUAUGAGAAUAUCCAGGUAUGAUCAUGUAUAUAGGCAUCACAUCUGUGACAAGUAGACCGACUCCUACCUGCAUCUACUACUAUUACUCCACACAUCGACCGCUAUCCAGCAUGCAUCUAGAGUAUUAAGUUCAUAAUAACGGAGUAACGCCAUAAGCAAGAUGACAUGAUGUAGAGGGAUAAACUCAUGCAAUAUGAUAUAAACCCCAUCUUUUUAUCCUCGAUGGCAACAAUACAAUAUGUGUCGUUUCCCUUUCUGUCACUGGGAUUGAGCACCGCAAGAUUGAACCCAAAGCUAAGCACUUCUCCCAUUGCAAGAAAGAUCAAUCUAGUAGGCCAAAUCAAACUGAAAAUUCAAAGAGACUUGCAAACAUAACCAAUCACACAUAAAAUAAUUCGUACAAGAUUCAAAUAUUGUUCAUAGAUAAUCUUGAUCAUGAACCCACAAUUCGUCGGAUCUCGACAAACACACCGCAAAAGAAGAUUACAUCGAAUAGAUCUCCAAAAGAAUCAAGGAGAACUUUGUAUUGAGAUCCAAAGAGAGAGAAUAAGCCAUCUAGCUAAUAACUAUGGACCCGAAGGUCUGAGGUUAACUACUCACACAUCAUUGGAGAGGCUGUGGUGUUGAUGUAGAAGCCCUCUGUGAUCAAUGCCCCCUCCAGCGGAGCGCCGAAAAAGGCCCCAAGAUGGGAUCUCACGGGUACAGAAGGUUGCGGCGGUGGAAUUAGGUUUUCGUGGUGCUCCUCGAUGUUUUUAGGGUACGUAGGUAUAUAUAGGAGGAAGAAGUAGGUCGGUGGAGCCAUGAGGGGGCCACGAGGGUGGAGGGCGCUCCCAGGGGGUAGGCACACCCCCUGCCUCACGGCAUCCUUGUUGAUUGCUUGACGUCCACUCCAAGUCCUCUGGAUCAUGUUUGUUCCAAAAAUCACGCUCCCGAAAAUUUCAUUCCAUUUGGACUCCGUUUGAUAUUCUUUUUCUGCGAAACACUGAAAUAGGCAAAAAUACAACAAUUUGGGUUGGGCCUCCGGUUAAUAGGUUAGUCCUAAAAAUAAUAUAAAAGUGUAUAAAUAAGCCCAUUAAACAUCCAAAACAGAAUAUAUAAUAGCAUGGAACAAUCAAAAAUUAUAGAUACGUUGGAGACGUAUCACCCGCCCACGUGCGUCUUCUUCCUCCUUUUUGUCUUCUCUGGUCCCUCGUCUCCGCCUCUCCUAUCUCUGCCUCCUUCUCAGGCCCCGCUGCCAUGGUCAACUGGCACCGCCCGAAGGCCUCCCAGGACGCCGUCGCCACAGGAAUCGACCGAUCUUGCCGCCCUUGGCCAGAUCCGCUUCUGAUUCACGCCACCGGAGCUCUGCCUCGGAGCUGCAACCAUCCAUGAUGGAGACUACACCCCUCGGCGCAAUUUUGCUGGAACCGACAGACGCCGAGGUUACAACCAUGGUGAUUUUUUGCUACAACCAACGAGCCUCGGUGCUACAACCUCUCGACGCAAAAUUGCUGGAACCAGUGGACGUCGAGGUUGCGACCAUGGAAUUUUUUUGCUACAACCGACGAGCAUCGGUGCAACAACCGGCAUCUCUUUUUUCUACAAACAGUCAUGGCGAGACGACAGACGAUGAUUUUUUGUUACAACCGUUGUUGAUUUUGCUACUACCGGCGAUCAUUUUUGCUACAUCGAUGACGGCGGAUGACACGGUCGCUGGCAUGGCGUGCUACAACUAGGCAAGAGGAGCUGCAACCAUGGCCACAAGAGCUGGAAUCGCAGUCCAGCAGAGUUGCAACGGCGGUCCGAUAGAGCUGCAUCUUUUGCUUCAACCGGUAGCAGGAAAGCUACAACCGGCAUUCAUUUUUGCUACAACCACGACAAUGAAGUGUGGCCGGCGGGGAUGACGCAUGAUUUUUUUUGCUGCAACUAGGCACCGGUGAGGGUCACCGUCGAUGACGGCGAGGGUCGCGGUGACGAUGACGCACAUUUUUUUGGUGCAACAGGCAACCAUGGAAGCUUCCACUAGCGUGGGAUUUUUUGCUGCAAGCAUGGGCGGGCUCCUGGAACUACGGUUUUCAAGAACGAGGAUAGUGAGCGACGGCGAGCUAGCGAGGUCAUCGGCGUUGGGGGUGUUCGGGUGGGGGGAGGCGGUUCUAUAGCAUGCACUGUUCGUGCGGAUCUGGUGCGCUAGCGGGUGGGAAACGAAGGAAGAGAUCGAGCGAGGGAGGAACAAGAUGACUAAGAGCAGACCUGACGGUCUGCUGUAGCUGUAUCAGACGGCUGCGGGCCGACCGGCCAAAAUUUGGGCCGGUGCGCUGGCGCAGAUUAGUCCUAAAUUUCCCUUCCUGGUUUGCUCCCGGUUUGCAGAAAAAAUGAUGCACGGACCGCAGAACAGAUCGAUAUAAAACUUCAUUGGAUCUCAAAAUAUGUCCGAACGCACGACACAAAUGAUUGCGGACAGUUUGAGAGUCGGGCGUUGGAACCCUAGUACUAGUAAUUUUCUUUUCUUAUUACCGAACAAACCCUCAUAAAAAAGAACCUCAUACUAUGUCGUAUGAGUGUAAGACACUAGCAUCUGACCCGACAAAGGACGUGGAAAUAAAAUCCGAGUCGCACGUGGCCCCUCGAACCCGACCUGAUUUGGAAUUGGACGCCGCCUGCCGAUGGAAACCAUCAACAUAUAAAUAGCAAUGACAUGCCAUACAAAAAAUAGCACAAACAAGGGUCGACAGCCAAUCGACUAGACGAGACGCACCAAACCAAUGGCUGAUCAAACGAUCACAACAAUGUCCGGUGAGGUGAAGCAAGCGGAAUUCGAGGUUGGCACAGCGGCGGACCCGGGGAACGGCGAGCUGUGGCUGCGCUUCGUCAACUUCGAGAUGGAGGAGGGCGGCGGAAUCGAGGCCGCCCUCGCGGUCUACGAGCGACUUCUUGCCGCACUUCCCGAUGGAGAGACAUACAUGUGGGACUGGUUCUGGACGGAGCGCGAGUUCGGCGAUGUCGACAGCCAGCGGCGCGUGCUCUAGCGGUGGGCGCGUGGGCACAACCGUCGGGGAGGCGCUCCUCGCGACCUUUCCCAUGAAUCCGCAUGCGUACGCGAUGUACAUCAGGCUCUGUCCGCUCUGUUCCGACAUGUUGAAGCCAACGCCCUGGCAUGCCGUGGCAUCAAGGAGUUGUCCUCCUUCUGUCGCGAGCAUGAUGAGUUCAUUUGGAGGUUUAUGGUCGUGUAUCUGAAGAGACUUAGGGAGAGGCGGAGCACCGUGUGGGACGAAAAUAUGUUCAACGAUUAGCUGUUUUUUAUUGAGAUAUGUUGAAUGAUUAGUCUUUUUAGGAAACUCUUGAAUGAUUAGCUGUUAUGAAUAUAUAUAUAUAGGACAAAUGUUUCCUACAAGCAGUGGUAGUUACCACCACUUGCGUUUUGUAUGUUGUAUGUAGUAUCCGUCGAAACCGAAAGUAUGUAUGUGUAGUAUGUAGUAUAUAACAAUGAUUAUGUAGUAUAUAUACUAAUUUUUAGGUAAUAUGUAUCAUUUUUUGAGUAUGCUCUUUUUUACAUACAAAUAUGUACGUAUUUCACAAAUAUAACAAAAACUAUGGGCUCAUAUGCAAUUUUUUCAUGUAACUUGCUUUGAAAUAGCUUAGAUAUAGUAUAUGAACAUAUUUAAAAUAAUAAAAUAAUAUAUAUAGUAUCAUAUGGUAGUAUAUGAGACAUGUGGGGUAACUACCACCGGGUGGUAGGAUGGAUUUUCCCUAUAUAUAUAUAUAUAUAUAUAUAUAUAUAUAUAUAUAUAUAUAUAUAUAUAUAUAUAUAUAUAUAUAUNNNNNNNNNNNNNNNNNNNNNNNNNNNNNNNNNNNNNNNNNNNNNNNNNNNNNNNNNNNNNNNNNNNNNNNNNNNNNNNNNNNNNNNNNNNNNNNNNNNNNNNNNNNNNNNNNNNNNNNNNNNNNNNNNNNNNNNNNNNNNNNNNNNNNNNNNNNNNNNNNNNNNNNNNNNNNNNNNNNNNNNNNNNNNNNNNNNNNNNNNNNNNNNNNNNNNNNNNNNNNNNNNNNNNNNNNNNNNNNNNNNNNNNNNNNNNNNNNNNNNNNNNNNNNNNNNNNNNNNNNNNNNNNNNNNNNNNNNNNNNNNNNNNNNNNNNNNNNNNNNNNNNNNNNNNNNNNNNNNNNNNNNNNNNNNNNNNNNNNNNNNNNNNNNNNNNNNNNNNNNNNNNNNNNNNNNNNNNNNNNNNNNNNNNNNNNNNNNNNNNNNNNNNNNNNNNNNNNNNNNNNNNNNNNNNNNNNNNNNNNNNNNNNNNNNNNNNNNNNNNNNNAAGAGGUCAUAUGCUAGUGAUAUUUUUAGAGAAUAUCGAAAAAAUGGUACCAAUGCAUAUGUGCAACUGAUGUAACAUUUUUUCACCACACAUAUACAAGUUAGGAAAACAGUAAUAGUGCAUAUGUGCAGUUGGUGUACACAACAAGAGUUAUUUACAUGUAUAGAGUAUAUCGCAAUGCGGCCAACAACUCUCCCGCGACAUGUCAUAUGAUAUCUGUCACUACAAUCUACAGCUAUGACUUCUCGUAGAUGAUAUCAUAAUGCCUGGUCUAUAUAGUAGUGUCACAGUAGGAACCGAGGAAUCCGGUGACUCGUAGAUGAUGUGGAUGUUAGGCUCCUCAAUCGAUGAAACGUCAAUGUUAACAACUCGGAGUGGCACUUUGAUAACCGACAAGUAUAGGGGAUCGCAACAGUUUUUGAGGGUAAAGUAUUCAACCCAAAUUUAUUGAUUCGACACAAGGGGAGUCAAAGAAUACUCUCAAGUAUUAGCAGCUGAGUUGUCAAUUCAACCACACCUGGAAACUUAAUAUCUGCAGCAAAGUAUUUAGUAGCAAAGUAAUAUAAUAGUAGUGGUAACGGUAAUAAAUGGUAACGGUAGUAAAAUUAAUGUUUUUGGUAUUUUGUAGUGAUGAUAGCAAUAGCAACGGGAAAGUAAAUAAGCGAAGAACAAUAUAUGGAAAGCUCGUAGGCAAUAGAUCAGUGAUGGAGAAUUAUGCCGGGUGCGGUUCAUCAUGUAACACUCAUAACCUAGGGUGACACAGAACUAGCUUCAGUUCAUCAAUGUAAUGUAGGCAUGUAUUCUAAAUAUAGUCAUACGUGCUUAUGGAAAAGAACUUGCAUGGCAUCUUUUGUCCUACCCUCCUGUGGCAGCGGGGUCCUUACAGAAACUAAGGGAUAUUAAGGCCUCCUUUUAAUAGAGAACUGGAACAAAGCAUUAACACAUAGUGAAUACAUGAACUCCUCAAACUAUGGUCAUCACCGGUAAGUAUCCCGAUUAUUGUCACUUCGGGGUUAACGGAUCAUAACACAUAAUAGGUGACUAUAGACUUGCAAGAUAGGAUCAAGAACACUCAUAUAUUGAUGAAAACAUAAUAGUUUCAGAUCUGAAAUCAUGGCACUCGGGCCCUAGUGACAAGCAUUAAGCAUAGCAAAGUCAUAGCAACAUCAAUCUCAGAACAUAGUGGACACUAGGGAUCAAACCCUAACAAAACUAACUCGAUUACAUGAUAGAUCUCAUCCAACCCAUCACCAUCCAGUGAGCCUACGAUGGAAUUACUCACGCACGGUGGUGAGCAUCAUGAAAUUGGUGAUGGAGGAUGGUUGAUGAUGACGAUGGCGACGGAUUCCCCUCUCCGGAGCCCCGAACGGACUCCAGAUCAGCCCUCCCGAGAGGUUUUAGGGUUUGGCGGCAUCUUCGUAUCAUAAAACGCGAUGAUUUCUUCUCUUUGAUUUUUUCUCCCUGAAACUCAAUAUAUGGAGGUGGAGUUGGAGUCGGAGAGGCAACAGGGGCCCAUGAGGUAGGGGGGCGCGCCCCCACCCUUGUGGAGAGACGGUGGGCCCCCCUGGCCUUCAUCUUUGGCAGAUAUUUUCUUAUUUUCUGAAAAGUGGCUCCGUGAAGUUUCAGGUCAUUCUGAGAACGUUUGCUCCUGCACAUAAAUAACACCAUGGUAAUUCUGCUGAAAACAACAUCAGUCCGGGUUAGUUCCAUUCAAAUCAUGCAAGUUAGAGUCCAAAACAAGGGCAAAAGUGUUUGGAAAAGUAGAUACUUUGGAGACGUAUCAACUCCCCCAAGUUUAAACCUUUGCUUGUCCUCAAGCAAUUCAGUUGACAAACUGAAAGUCUUAAAGAAAAACUUUUACAAACUCUGUUUGCUCUUGUUGUUGUAAAUAUGUAAAGCUAGCAUUCAAGUUUUCAGCAAAUAUUAUAACUAACCACAUUUGCAAUAACGCAUAGGUCUCAAGUUUACUCAUAACAAUAGCAUAAUCAACUAGCGAGCCAUAAUAAUAAAUCUCGGAUGACAACACUUCCUCAAAACAAUCAUAAUAUGAUAUAACAAGAUGGUAUCUCGCUAGCCCUUUCUGAGACCGCAAAACAUAAAUGCAGAGCACCUUUAAAGACCAAGGACUGACUAGACAUUGUAAUUCAUGGUAAAAGAGAUCCAGUCAAGUCAUACUCAAUGUAAGUUAACAGUAAUGAAUGCAAAUGACAGCGGUGCUCUCCAACUGGUGCUUUUUAAUAAGAAGAUGAUGACUCAGCAUAAAAGUAAAUAGAUAGGCCCUUCACAGAGGGAAGCGGGGAUUUGUAGAGGUGCUAGUGCUCGGUUUUGAAACAGAGGUGAAUAAUAUUUUGAGCGGUAUACUUUCAUUGUCAACAUAACAACCAAGAGAUGGCGAUAUCUUCCAUGCUACACACAUUAUAGGCGGUUCCCAACAGAAUGGUAAAGUUUAUACUCCCCCUUCCACCAAUAAGCAUCAAUCCAUGGCUUGCUCGAAACAACGAGUGCCUCCAACUAACAGGAGUCCCAGGGGGAGUUUUGUUUGCAAUUAUUUUGAUUUAGUUUGCAUAAAACAUGGGACUGGGCAUCCCGGUGACCAGCCAUUUAUCUCGUGAGUGAGGAGCGGAGUCCACUCCUCUUGAGAAUAACCCACCUAACAUGGAAGAUACAGACAUCCCUAGUUGAUACAUGAGCUAUUCGAGCAUACAAAACAGGAUAUUUAUUUGAAGGUUUAGAGUUGGCACAUAAAAAUUUACUUGGAACGGCAGGUAGAUACCGUAUAUAGGUAGGUAUAGUGGACUCAUGUGUAAUAACUUUGGGGUUUAAGGGAUUGGAUGCACAAGCAGUAUUCCCGCUUAGUACAGGUGAAGGAUAGCAAAAGACUGGGAAGCGACCAGCUAGAGAGCGACAACAGUCAUGAACAUGCAUGAAAAUUAAUCAACACCAAAUGCAAGCAUGAGUAGGACACGACCCUAUCAUGCGUGAACAUGCACCUAGUCAAGUCACUUAAAUCAUUCAGAGGAGGAUACGACCCUAUCAUACCACAUCAUAACCAUUUUAAUAGCAUGUUGGCACGCAAGGUAAACCAUUAUAACUCACAGCUAAUCAAGCAUGGCAUAAGAAACUAUGAUAUCUAAUUGUCAUUGCAAACAUGUUUAUUCAUAAUAGGCUGAAUCAGGAACGAUGAACUAAUCAUAUUUACAAAAACAAAAGAGGUCGAGUUCAUACCAGCUUUUCUCAUCUCAGUCAGUCCAUUAUAAUUGCCUUUCACUUGCACGACCGAACGAUGUGAAUAAUAAUAAUAGUACACGUGCAUUGGACUAAGCUGGAAUCUGCAGGCAUUCAAUAAACAAGAGAAGACAAGGCAAUAUGGGCUCUUUUGUCAGAUGAACAAUAGUGCAUAUAAGAGCCACUUCAACAAUUUAAUUAUGGUCUUCUCCUAUCGACCCCCAAAGAAAAGAAAUAAAACUAUUUACACGGGAAAGCUCCCAACAAGCAAAAAGAAGAACAUGAAAUCUUUUUGGGUUUCUUUUUAAUUACUACUACAAGCAUGGAAAUUAAACUGAUUAAAAGCUACAACUAAUAUUUUUAUUAAACACACAAGAAGAAAGCAUAGAAAGGAAAGUAAACUAGCAUGGAUGAUACAAUGAAAAAGUAUGAGCACUGACAUCUAGCAAUGAGUGUGUGAACAUAAAUGUAAUGUCGGUGGGAAAUAUGUACUCCCCCAAGCUUAGGCUUUUGGCCUAAGUUGGUCUAUGGCCAUGGCUGGCCUGGCGGAUAUCCAUAAUAAUAGUUGGGGUCGUACUGCGAUGAAGAAGAGGAAGACUCCGCUUGCCACUGGCUGACAAUCAUCUCCGGAUCCCACUGAUAAUUAGACUGUUGUGAAGGAUCAAUUUGUGGUUCCGGCUCUGGCCCCUAAGCUAGUGCAGGGUUCCGGUAGGCGUGCAUAGCCUUCAACGGAACAAGGUACGUGCCUACAGAUAAAUCAAACAAAGAAGGAGCAGGCAGGGUAAUAGUCUCAUGAUGAUGUUUAUUAAAGAACAAUUGAUAUUUAAGCUCUCCUUCCCUAUUCUUAACAAUAAAAUCAUGUGCCACCAUACUUUUAUAAUCUAGAUAAACAUGAGGCAGCACCUUUUCUUCCUUCUCAGCAUGCCUAAUAGGUAUGUUAAAAUAUGCAGCUAGGCAUGAAGCAUAGAUGCCUCCAAAGAUGGGGCCCUUUGUAUGGUUCAGACUUAGCCGUUUAGCAAUAAUGACGCCCAUACUAAAAGUGUUAUCACUGCAUAAACCUUGGAGCAAAAUAAUAAUAUCAGGGAUACUAAGGUUUCCACAGUUUCCGCGACCAAUUAAGCAACGACUAGAAAAUAAUGCAAAGUAACGUAAAACAGGAAAAUGUAUGCCAGUGAUUCAUGCAUCAGAAACCUUCCUUGUUUCCCUACAGUGAUAGUAUCAAUAAAUCCCUCCACAUCAUCACGAUGUGGUUCUUCUGUCUUGCCCUUAAAAGGGACUAAACAAAUCCGACAAAAAUCAUAAAGUGACAUCUCCUUAUGCUCAUCAUAUAAAUGAAACUCCACCGUAGGUGGUGAGUUCUUAGAAUGAAAAUGAAAGUUUUGCACAAAAGUAUUUGUGAGUAAGAGAUACUGAUCACAUUGGUCAUGGAGGAAAGUGGUGAGGCCUGCAUUUUUAGCCAAUUCAUGAAAAUCUUCAUAAAUCUCGGCUGCUCUCAAGAAAUCACCGGAAGGCCAUUCACACGCCCGAAUCUCCGCGGUGCGAGGCAGAUUAUACUUAGGCUUCAGUGCCUUUUCCUUCGAGCUUUGGCUCGAUGAGCCCCUCAAAAGUCUCCUCAUCAUUUUCUGAAAAAUUCUGAAAUUUUUAGUAACUUCAAAAUAAAAGUAAACCGAACUCAAUAAUAUUGAUAGCAACUACUCCUACAAGUGCCUAGAGCCUAUAUCAUGCAUCAAAACUACUUGGAACCAUAUAAAUUUGACAUGCAAGCUCAAGAACAGGGUCACCUAAGCAGCAAAAAUUUGCAAUGAAUAAAGCACUAGAACAAAAACUAAUUGGACAAAUGGAGGAGUCACAUACCAAGGAACAAUCUCCCCAAGCAGUUUUGUGAGAGGUGCUUUGAGCAAGGAGAUCGAAAAUGCCAGCAAAACGAGCUUGGACUCGGGUUUGAGCUGGUUAUUCGUGUUUGGGGGAGGAAGAAGGAGUGUAUGGGUGAAAGGAUAAGUGGAGGGGGGCCAUCGUGGGCCCACGAGGCAGGGGGCGCGCCUAGGGGGGUAGGGCGCGCCCUCCACCCUCGUGGGCAGGUGGUUGACCCCCCUGCUGUGUUCUUUGUGCCAAAUAUUCUCAAAUAUUCUGGAAAAAUCAUAUUUAAAUUUUAGGUCAUUUGGAGAACUUUUAUUUUCGAGGUAUUUUUAUAUUGCACGGAUAAUCAGAUAACAGACAGAAAAAUAUUUAUUUUAUUUUAUUUAAUAUAAAUAAUAGAAAGUAAAAGUGGGGUACAGAAGUUUGUGCCUUCUAGUUUCAUCCAUCUCAUGAUCAUCAAAAGGAAUCCACUAACAAGGCUGAUCAAGUCUUGUUAACGAACUCAUUCCGGAUAACAUGGAACCGGAGAAAUUUCGAAUAAUACUAUGUUACCUCAAUGGGGAUAUGCACAUCCCCAAUAAUAAGAAUAUCAUAUUUCUUCUUGACAGUAGGAAGAGAAAAUUCAAAACCUCCAAAUAUAAUUGAUGAAAUUUUUCCAAUAGAAUUGAUACUGUGAACUUGAGGUUGUUUCCUCGGAAAGUGUACUGUAUGCUCAUUACCAUUAACAUGAAAAGUGACAUUGCCUUUAGUGCAAUCAAUAACAGCCCCUGCAGUAUUCAAAAAGGGUCUUCCAAGAAUAAUAGACAUACUAUCGUCCUCGGGAAUAUCAAGAAUAACAAAGUCUGUUAAAAUAGUAACGUUUGCAACUACAACAGGCACAUCCUCACAAAUACCGACAGGUAUAGCAGUUUAUUUAUCAGCCAUUUGCAAAGAUAUUUCAGUAGGUGUCAACUUAUUCAAAUCAAGUCUAUGAUAUAAAGAGGCAUAACACUAACACCGGCUCCAAGAUCACAUAAAGCAGUUUUAACAUAGUUUCUUUUAAUGGAGCAUGGUACAGUUUGUUGGAAAUAUGCCCUAGAGGCAAUAAUAAAAGUAUUAUUAUAUUUCAUUGUUCAUGAUAAUUGUCUUGUAUUCAUGCUAUAACUGUAUUAUCCGGAAAUCGUAAUACACGUGUGAAUACUUAGACCACACUAUGUCCCUGGUAAGCCUCUAGUUGACCAGCCCGUUGUGAUCAACAGAUAGUCAUGGUUUCCUGACUAUGGACAUUGGAUGUCAUUGAUAACGGGAUCACAUCAUUAGGAGAAUGAUGUGAUGGACAAGACCCAAUCCUAAGCAUAGCAUAAAAGAUCGUGUAGUUCGUUUUGCUAGAGCUUUGCAAGUGUCAAGUAUCUCUUCCUUCGACCAUGAGAUCGUGUAACUCCCGGAUACCGUAAGAAUGCCUUGGGUGUGCCAAACGUCACAACGUAACUGGGUGACUAUAAAGGUGCAUUACAGGUAUCUCCGAAAGUAGCUGUUGGGUUGAUACGGAUCGAGACUGGGAUUUGUCACUCCGUAUGACGGAGAGGUAUCUCUGGGCCCACUCGGUAAUGCAUCAUCAUAAUGAGCUCAAAGUGACCAAGGUGUUGGACACGGGAUCAUGCAUUACGGUACGAGUAAAGUGACUUGCCGGUAACGAGACUGAACAAGGUAUUGGGAUACCGACGAUCAAGUCUCGGGCAAGUAACGUACCGAUUGGCAAAGGGAAUUGUAUACAGGGUUUGAUCGAAUCCUCGACAUAGUGGUUCAUCCGAUGACAACAUCGAGGAGCAUGUGGGAGCCAUCAUGGGUAUCCAGAUCCCGCUGAUGGUUAUUGACUAAGAGAGUCUCGAUCAUGUCUACAUGUCUCCCGAACCCGUAGGGUCUACACACUUAAGGUUCAGUCACGCUAGGGUUGUAGGGAUAUGUAUAUGCAGUAACCCGUAUGUUGUUCGGAGUCCCGGAUGAGAUCCCGGACGUCACGAGGAGUUCCGGAAUGGUCCGGAGGUAAAGAUUUAUAUAUGGGAAGUCCUGUUUCGGGCAUCGGGACAAGUUUCGGGGUUAUCGGUAUUGUACCGGGACCACCGGGUGGGGCCACCCAUCCCCGGGGGCCACAUGGGCUGUAGGGGGUGCGCCUUGGCCUACAUGGGCCAAGGGCACCAGCCCCACAAGGCCCAUGCGCCUAGGGUUUCCAAGGGGGAGGAGUCCUACUAGUGGAAGGCACCUCCUAGGUGCCUUGGGGGGGAGGGAAUCCCCCCUUGGCCGCCGCACCCCCUAGGAGAUUUGAUCUCCUAGGGCCGGCCACCCCCCCUUGGCACCCCUAUAUAUAGUGGGGGGAGAGGAGGGACUUCAUACCUUGUGCCCUGGCCUUUGGUUGCCUCCUUCUCCCUCCCCAACACCUCCUCCAACUCCAUAGCGCUUAGCGAAGCUCUGCCGGAGUACUGCAGCUCCACCAACACCACGCCGUCGUGCUGCUGCUGGUGCCAUCUCCCUCAACCUCUCCUCCCUUCCUUGCUGGAUCAAGAAGGAGGAGACGUGGCUGUUUCCGUACGUGUGUUGAACGCGGAGGUGCCGUCCGUUCGGCGCAGGUCAUCGGUGAUUUGGAUCACGUCGAGUACGACUACAUCAUCACCUUGCAAGCUUCCACACGCGAUCUACAAGUGGUAUGUAGAUGCAAACUCUCUCCCUAGACUCGUUUCUUAGAUGAACUCAUAGAUGGAUCUUGGUGAAACCGUAGGAAAAAUUUUAAUUUUCUGCAACGUUCCCCAACAGUGGUAUCAGAGCUAGGUCUAUGCGUAGUUCUCUUUGCACGAGUAGAACACAACUUUGUUGUGGGCGUGGAUUUUGUCAUCUUACUUGCCUCUACUAGUCUUUUCUUGCUUCGACGGUAUUGUGGGAUGAAGCGGCCCGGACCAACCUUACACGUACGCUUACGUGAGACCGGUUCCACCGACUGACAUGCACUAGUUGCAUAAGGUGGCUGGCGGGUGUCUGUCUCUCCCACUUUAGUUGGAGCGGAAUCGAUGAACAGGGCCCUUAUGAAGGGUAAAUAGAAGUUGACAAAAUCACGUUGUGGUGAUUCGUAGGUAAGAAAACGUUCUUGCUAGAACCCAAUUGCAGCCACGUAAAAGAUGCAAACAACAAUUAGAGGACGUCUAACUUGUUUUUGCAGCGAUUGAUCAUGUGAUGUGAUAUGGCCAGAAGUUGUGAUGAAUGAUGAAUUGUGAUGUAUGAGAUCAUGUUCUUUGUAAUAGGAUUCACGACUUGCAUGUCGAUGAGUAUGACAACCGGCAGGAGCCAUAGGAGUUGUCAUUAUUUUUUGUAUGACCUGCGUGUCAUUGAAUAACGUCAUGUAAACUACUUUACUUUAUUGCUAAACGUUAGUCAUAGAAGUAGAAGUAGUCGUUGGCGUGACAACUUCAUGAAGACACGAUGAUGGAGAUCAUGAUGAUGGAGAUCAUGGUGUCAAGCCGGUGACAAGAUGAUCAUGGAGCCCCGAAGAUGAAGAUCAAUGGAGCUAUAUGAUAUUGGCCAUAUCAUGUCACAACUAUAUAAUUGCAUGUGAUGUUUAUUAUGUAUUAUGCAUCUUGUUUACUUAGAACGACGGUAGUAAAUAAGAUGAUCCCUUAUAAAAUUUCAAGAAGUGUUCUCCCCUAACUGUGCACCGUUGCUACAGUUCGUCGUUUCUAAGCACCACAUGAUGAUCGGGUGUGAUGGAUUCUUACGUUCACAUACAACGGGUGUAAGACAGUUUUACACAGCGAAAACACUUAGGGUUAACUUGACGAGCCUAGCAUGUACAGACAUGGCCUCGGAACACGGAGACCGAAAGGUCGAACACGAGUCGUAUGGAAGAUACGAUCAACAUGAAAAUGUUCACCGACGAUGACUAGUCCGUCUCACGUGAUGAUCGGACACGGGCUAGUCGACUCGGAUCGUGUAACACUUAGAUGACUAAAGGGAUGUCUAAUCUAAGUGGGAGUUCAUAAUUUGAUUAGAACUUUAUUAUCAUGAACAUAGUCUAAAACCUUUGCAAAUAUGUCUUGUAGAUCAAUGGCUAACGCUAAUGUCAACAUGAACUUCAACGCGUUCCUAGAGAAAACCAAGCUGAAAGAUGAUGGCAGCAACUAUACGGACUGGGUCCGGAACCUGAGGAUCAUCCUCAUAGCUGCCAGGAAACAAUAUGUCCUAGAAGGACCGCUAGGUGACGCUCCCGUCCCAGAGAACCAAGACAUUAUGAAUGCUUGGCAAACUCGCGCUGAUGAUUACUCCCUCGUUCAGUGCGGCAUGCUUUACAGCUUAGAACCGGGGCUCCAAAAGCGUUUUGAGCAUCACGGAGCAUAUGAGAUGUUCGAAGAGCUGAAACUAGUUUUUCAAGCUCAUGCCCGGGUCGAGAGAUAUGAUGUCUCCGACAAGUUCUACAGUUGUAAGAUGGAGGAAAACAGUUCUGUCAGUGAGCACAUCCUGAAGAUGUCUGGGUUGCACAACCGUAUGACCCAGCUAAACAUUAACCUCCCAGAUGAGGCGGUCAUUGACAGAAUCCUCCAGUCGCUUCCACCAAGCUACAAGAGCUUUGUGAUGAACUACAACAUGCAAGGAAUGGAAAAGACCAUUCCUGAAUUGUUCUCGAUGCUGAAGUCAGCAGAGGCUGAAAUCAAGAAAGAACAUCAAGUGUUGAUGGUCAAUAAAACCACUAAGUUCAAGAAGGGCAAGGGUAAGAAGAACUUCAAGAAGGACGGCAAAGAUGUUGCCGCGCCUGGUAAGCCAGUUACCGGGAAGAAGUCAAAGAAUGGACCCAAGCCUGAGACUGAGUGCUUUUAUUGCAAGGGGAAGGGUCACUGGAAGCGGAACUGCCCCAAAUACUUAGCGGAUAAGAAGGCCGGCAACACCAAAGGUAUAUUUGAUAUACAUGUGAUUGAUGUGUACCUUACCAGUAAUCGUAGUAACUCCUGGGUAUUUGAUACCGGUGCCGUUGCUCAUAUUUGUAACUCACAGCAGGAGCUGCAGAAUAAACGGAGACUGGCAAAGGACGAGGUGACGAUGCGCGUCGGGAAUGGUUCCAAAGUCGAUGUGAUCGCCGUCGGCACGCUGCCUCUACAUUUACCUACGGGAUUAGUUUUGAACCUCAAUAAUUGUUAUUUAGUGCCAAGUUUGAGCAUGAACAUUGUAUCUGGAUCUCGUUUAAUACGAGAUGGCUACUCAUUUAAGUCUGAGAAUAAUGGUUGUUCGAUUUAUAUGAGAGAUAUGUUUUAUGGUCAUGCUCCGAUGGUCAAUGGUUUAUUCUUAAUGAAUCUCGAGCGUAAUAUUACACAUGUUCAUAGUGUAGAUGCCAAAAGAUUUAAAGUUGAUAACGAUAGUCCCACAUACUUGUGGCACUGCCGCCUUGGUCACAUUGGUGUCAAGCGCAUGAAGAAGCUCCAUGCUGAUGGACUUUUAGAGUCUCUUGAUUAUGAAUCGUUUGACACGUGCGAACCAUGCCUCUUAGGUAAAAUGACCAAGACUCCGUUCUCCGAAACAAUGGAGCGAGCAGCCAACUUGUUGGAAAUCAUACAUACCGAUGUGUGCGGUCCAAUGAGCGUUGAGGCUCGCGGAGGAUAUCGUUAUGUUCUCACUCUCACAGACGACUUGAGUAGAUAUGGGUAUGUCUACUUAAUGAAACACAAGUCUGAGACCUUUGAAAAGUUCAAGGAAUUUCAGAAUGAGGUGGAGAAUCAACGUGACCGAAAGAUAAAAUUCUUACGAUCAGAUCGUGGAGGAGAAUACUUAAGUCACGAAUUUGGUACACACUUAAAGAAAUGUGGAAUCGUUUCACAGCUCACGCCGCCUGGAACACCUCAGCGAAACGGUGUGUCCGAACGUCGUAAUCGCACUCUAUUGGAUAUGGUGCGGUCUAUGAUGUCUCUUACCGAUUUACCGCUAUCAUUUUGGGGAUACGCUCUAGAGACAGCUACAUUCACUUUAAAUAGGGCACCGUCUAAAUCCAUUGAGACGACACCGUAUGAAUUAUGGUUUGGAAAGAAACCUAAGCUGUCGUUUCUAAAAGUUUGGGGAUGCGAAGCUUAUGUCAAGAAACUUCAACCUGAAAAGCUCGAACCAAAGUCGGAAAAAUGCGUAUUCAUAGGAUACCCUAAGGAAACUAUAGGGUAUACCUUCUACUUAAGAUCCGAAGGCAAGAUCUUUGUUGCCAAGAACGGAUGCUUUCUGGAGAAAGAGUUUCUCUCGAAAGAAGUAAGUGGGAGGAAAGUAGAACUCGAUGAAGUACUACCUCUUGAGCGGGAUAGUGACGCAGCACAGGAAACCAUUCCUGUGAUGCCCACACCAACUGAAGAGGAAAACCAUGAUGAUGAUCAAGGUACUUCGGAUCAAGUUACUGCUGAACUUCGUAGGUCCACAAGGACACGUUCCGCACCAGAGUGGUACGGCAACCCUGUCCUGGAAAUCAUGUUGUUAGACAACAAUGAACCUUCGAACUAUGAAGAAGCAAUGACGGGCCCGGAUUCCAACAAAUGGCUUGAAGCCAUGAAAUCCGAGAUAGAAUCCAUGUAUGAAAACAAAGUAUGGACUUUGACAGACUUGCCCGAUGAUCGGCGAGCGAUAAAAAACAAAUGGAUCUUUAAGAAGAAGACGGACGCGGAUGGUAAUGUUACCAUCUAUAAAGCUCGACUUGUCGCUAAGGGUUAUCGACAGGUUCAAGGGAUUGACUACGACGAGACAUUCUCUUCCGUAGCGAAGCUAAAGUCCGUCCGAAUCAUGUUAGCAAUUGCCGCAUACUAUGAUUAUGAGAUAUGGCAGAUGGACGUCAAAACAGCAUUCCUUAACGGGCAUCUUAAGGAAGAACUGUAUAUGAUGCAGCCGGAAGGUUUUGUCGAUCCUUAGAACACUAACAAAGUAUGCAAGCUCCAGCGAUCCAUUUAUGGACUGGUGCAAGCAUCUCGGAGUUGGAACAUUCGCUUUGAUGAGAUGAUCAAAGCGUUUGGGUUUAUGCAGACUUAUGGAGAAGCCUGCGUUUACAAGAAAGUGAGUGGGAGCUCUGUAGCAUUUCUCAUAUUAUAUGUAGAUGACAUACUCCUGAUGGGAAAUAAUAUAGAAUUUCUGGACAGCAUUAAGGCCUACUUGAAUAAGUGUUUUUCAAUGAAGGACCUUGGAGAAGCUGCUUAUAUAUUAGGCAUCAAGAUCUAUAGAGAUAGAUCGAGACGCCUCAUAGGUCUUUCACAAAGUACAUACCUUGAUAAGAUUUUGAAGAGAUUCAGAAUGGAUCAGUCCAAGAAGGGGUUCUUGCCUAUGUUACAAGGUAUGAGACUAAGCUCAGCUCAGUCACCGACCACGGCAAAAGAUAAAGAAGAGAUGAGUGUCAUCCCCUAUGCUUCAGCCAUAGGAUCUAUUAUGUAUGCCAUGCUGUGUACCAUACCCGAUGUAAACCUUGCCGUAAGUUUGGUAGCAAGAUACCAAAGUAAUCCCGGCAAGGAACACUGGACAGCGGUCAAGAAUAUCCUGAAGUACCUGAAAAGGACAAAGGACAUGUUUCUCGUUUAUGGAGGAGACGAAGAGCUCGUCGUAAAGGGUUACGUCGACGCUAGCUUCGACUCAGAUCUGGAUGACUCUAAGUCACAAACCGGAUACGUGUAUAUGUUGAAUGGUGGAGCAGUAAGCUGGUGCAGCUGCAAGCAGAGCGUCGUGGCGGGAUCUACGUGUGAAGCGGAGUACAUGGCAGCCUCGGAGGCAGCACAUGAAGCGAUUUGGGUGAAGGAGUUCAUCACCGACCUAGGAGUCAUACCCAAUGCGUCGGGGCCAAUCAAACUCUUCUGUGACAACACUGGAGCUAUUGCCCUCGCAAAGGAGCCCAGGUUUCACAAGAAGACCAGGCACAUCAAGCGUCGUUUCAACUCCAUCCGUGAAAAUGUUCAAGAUGGAGACAUAGAGAUUUGCAAAGUGCACACGGAUCUGAAUGUCGCAGAUCCGCUGACUAAACCUCUCUCGCGUGCAAAACAUGAUCAACACCAGAACUCUAUGGGUGUUCGAUUCAUCACAAUGUAACUAGAUUAGUGACUCUAGUGCAAGUGGGAGACUGUUGGAAAUAUGCCCUAGAGGCAAUAAUAAAAGUAUUAUUAUAUUUCAUUGUUCAUGAUAAUUGUCUUGUAUUCAUGCUAUAACUGUAUUAUCCGGAAAUCGUAAUACACGUGUGAAUACUUAGACCACACAAUGUCCCUGGUAAGCCUCUAGUUGACCAGCCCGUUGUGAUCAACAGAUAGUCAUGGUUUCCUGACUAUGGACAUUGGAUGUCAUUGAUAACGGGAUCACAUCAUUAGGAGAAUGAUGUGAUGGACAAGACCCAAUCCUAAGCAUAGCAUAAAAGAUCGUGUAGUUCGUUUUGCUAGAGCUUUGCAAGUGUCAAGUAUCUCUUCCUUCGACCAUGAGAUCGUGUAACUCCCGGAUACCGUAAGAAUGCCUUGGGUGUGCCAAACGUCACAACGUAACUGGGUGACUAUAAAGGUGCAUUACAGGUAUCUCCGAAAGUAGCUGUUGGGUUGAUACGGAUCGAGACUGGGAUUUGUCACUCCGUAUGACGGAGAGGUAUCUCUGGGCCCACUCGGUAAUGCAUCAUCAUAAUGAGCUCAAAGUGACCAAGGUGUUGGACACGGGAUCAUGCAUUACGGUACGAGUAAAGUGACUUGCCGGUAACGAGACUGAACAAGGUAUUGGGAUACCGACGAUCAAGUCUCGGGCAAGUAACGUACCGAUUGGCAAAGGGAAUUGUAUACAGGGUUUGAUCGAAUCCUCGACAUAGUGGUUCAUCCGAUGACAACAUCGAGGAGCAUGUGGGAGCCAUCAUGGGUAUCCAGAUCCCGCUGAUGGUUAUUGACUAAGAGAGUCUCGGUCAUGUCUACAUGUCUCCCGAACCCGUAGGGUCUACACACUUAAGGUUCAGUCACGCUAGGGUUGUAGGGAUAUGUAUAUGCAGUAACCCGAAUGUUGUUCGGAGUCCCGGAUGAGAUCCCGGACGUCACGAGGAGUUCCGGAAUGGUCCGGAGGUAAAGAUUUAUAUAUGGGAAGUCCUGUUUCGGGCAUCGGGACAAGUUUCGGGGUUAUCGGUAUUGUACCGGGACCACCGGGUGGGGCCACCCAUCCCCGGGGGCCACAUGGGCUGUAGGGGGUGCGCCUUGGCCUACAUGGGCCAAGGGCACCAGCCCCACAAGGCCCAUGCGCCUAGGGUUUCCAAGGGGGAGGAGUCCUACUAGUGGAAGGCACCUCCUAGGUGCCUUGGGGGGGGAGGGAAUCCCCCCUUGGCCGCCGCACCCCCUAGGAGAUUUGAUCUCCUAGGGCCGGCCACCCCCCCUUGGCACCCCUAUAUAUAGUGGGGGGAGAGGAGGGACUUCAUACCUUGUGCCCUGGCCUUUGGUUGCCUCCUUCUCCCUCCCCAACACCUCCUCCAACUCCAUAGCGCUUAGCGAAGCUCUGCCGGAGUACUGCAGCUCCACCAACACCACGCCGUCGUGCUGCUGCUGGUGCCAUCUCCCUCAACCUCUCCUCCCUUCCUUGCUGGAUCAAGAAGGAGGAGACGUGGCUGUUUCCGUACAUGUGUUGAACGCGGAGGUGUCGUCCGUUCGGCGCAGGUCAUCGGUGAUUUGGAUCACGUCGAGUACGACUACAUCAUCACCUUGCAAGCUUCCGCACGCGAUCUACAAGUGGUAUGUAGAUGCAAACUCUCUCCCUAGACUCGUUGCUUAGAUGAACUCAUAGAUGGAUCUUGGUGAAACCGUAGGAAAAAUUUUAAUUUUCUGCAACGUUCCCCAACACAGUUGGUACACCGGGAUCUCCAAGUUUCUUUGGUAUUCCACUCUUAAAAGUAUAAUUAGCAAGCAUGAUGGAAAUUUUAGCUUCCAGUAUCUUUCUUUUAUUUGUAAUUAUAUCUUUCAUGUACUUAGCAUAAGGAUUGGUUUUGAGCAUAUCAGUUAAACACAUACGCAAAAAGAUAGGUCUAAUCAUUUCAGCAAAGCGCUCAAAAUCCUCAUCAUCCUUUUUCCUGGAUGGUUUGGGAGGAAAAGGCAUGGGUUUCUGAACCCAUGGUUCUCUUUCUUUACCAUGUUUCCUAGCAAUAAAGUAUUUCUUAUCAUAACAUUAAUUCUUUGAUUGUGGGUUAUCAAGAUAAAACAGCAGGUCCAAUUUCUAUGUCAUUAUCAUUACUACGUUGAGCAUCAUUAUGAACAUUAUCACUGGUUUCAGGUUCAUUACUAGAUUGAGUUUCAGCAUCAGAAAUAGAAAUAUCAUUUGGAUUCUCAGGUGUUUCAACAAUAGGAUCACUGGAAGCAUGCAAAGUCUUAUCAUUUUUCUUUUUCUUCUUUUUAGAAGAACUAGGUGCAUCUAUAUUAUUUCUCUGAGAAUCUUGCUCAAUUCUCUUAGGAUGGCCUUCAGGAUACAAAGGUUCCUGAGUCAUCUUACCACCUCUAGUCAUAACUCUAACAGCAUUAUCAUUAUCUUUACUAUUCAAUUCAUUGAACAAAUCAUUUUGAGCUUUAAGUACUUGUUCUGCUUGAGUGGUAACCAUAGAAGCAUGUUUACUAAUAAGUUUAAGUUCACCUUUCACAUUAGCCAUAUAAUCACCCAAGUGUUCAAGCAUAUUUGAAUUUUAUUUCAAUUGUCGACCAAAAUAAGCAUUAAAAUCUUCUUGCUUAGCCAUAAAUUUAUCAAACUCAUCUAAGCAUGGGCUAGCAAAUUUAGUAAAUGGGAUUACAGCUUUAUCAUAUCUAUAGAGAGAAUUUACCUUUACUACUUGUGUCGGGUUAUCAAGACCAUGAGUUUCUUCAAUAGAUAAUGAAUUAAGAUUAUAUGUUUCUUCAAUAGGCGGUAAAUUAAGACCAUGUAUUUCUUCAAUAGGAGGUAAAUUCUUAACAUCUUCAGCUUUACUACCUUUUUCUUUCAUAGAUUUCUUUACCUCUUGCAUAUCUUCAGGACUGAGAAAUAGAAUACCUCUCUUCUUCGGAGUUGGUUUAGGAAUAGGCUCAGGAAUUGGCUCUGGAGGUGUCCAAUUAUUUUCAUUUGUCAACAUAUUAUUCAAUAGAAUUUCAGCUUCAUCCGGUGUUCUUUCCCUGAAAACAGAACCAGCACAACUAUCCACGUAAUCUCUGGAGGCAUUGGUUAGUCCAUUAUAAAAGAUAUCAAGUAUUUAAUUUUUCUUAAGAGGAUGAUCAGACAAAGCAUUAAGUAAUUGGAGAAGCCUCCCCCAAGCUUGUCCCCCAAGCUUGUGGGAGACUCUCUUCUUCAAUUUGCACAAAAUUAUAUAUAUCCCUUAAAGCAGCUUGUUUCUUAUGAGCAGAGAAAUAUUUAGCAGAGAAGUAAUAAAUCAUAUCCUGGGGACUACGCACACAACCAGGAUCAAGAGAAUUAAACCAUAUCUUAGCAUCACCCUUUAAUGAGAACGGAAAUAUUUUAAGGAUGUAAAAGUAACGAGUUCUCUCAUCUUUAGUAAACAGGGUAACUAUAUCAUUCAAUUUAGUAAGAUGUGCCACAACAGUUUCAGACUCAUAACCAUGAAAAGGAUCGGAUUCAACCAAAGUAAUUAUAUCAGGAUCAACAGAGAAUUCAUAAUCCUUAUCAGUAACAAAGAUAGGUGAAGUAGCAAAAGCAGGGUCAGGUUUCAUUCUAACAUUUAGAGAUUGCUUACUCCAUUUAGCUAAUAACCUUUUGAGUUCAUUUAUAUUUUGGCAAGCUAAAAUAGCUAAAGAAGCUUCUUGAUCAAAAACAUAACCGUUAGGAAUAACAAGUGAUUCUUCAUCAUCACUUUCAUCAGUAUCAUCAGAUUCAAUAUUUUCAAUUUCUCUAGCCCUAGCAAGUUGUUCAUCAAGAAAAUCACUAAGUGGCAUAGUAGUAUCAGACAUAGAGGUAGUUUCAUCAUAAGUAUCAUGUAUAGCAGAAGUGGCAUCAUCAAUAACAUGUGACAUAUCAGAACGAAUAGCAAAAGCAGGUGUAGAUGUCGCAAACUUACUCAUAACAGAAGGUGAAUCAAGUGCAGAGCUAGAUGGCAGUAUCUUACCUCCCCUCGUAGUUAAGGCAUAGAUCUUGGUUUUUGGAUCUCUCAAGUUCUUCAUAAUGGUAAGCAGAUAUAAAUCCCAAGUGACUCAAAGAAUAGAGCUAUGCUCCCUCGCAACGGUGCCAGAAAAUAUUCUUGAUAACCCACAAGUAUAGGGGAUCGCAACAAUUUUCGAGGGUAGAGUAUUCAACCCAAAUUUAUUGAUUCGACACAAGGGGAGCCAAAGAAUACUCUCAAGUAUAAGUAGCUGAGUUGUCAAUUCAACCACACCUGGAAACUUAAUAUCUGCAGCAAAGUAUUUAGUAGCAAAGUAAUAUGAUAGUAGUGGUAACGGUAAUAAAUGGUAACGGUAGUAAAAUUAAUGUUUUUGGUAUUUUGUAGUGAUGAUAGCAAUAGCAACGGGGAAGUAAAUAAGCGAAGAACAAUAUAUGAAAAGCUCGUAGGCAAUGGAUCGGUGAUGGAGAAUUAUGCCGGGUGCGGUUCAUCAUGUAACACUCAUAACCUAGGGUGACACAGAACUAGCUUCAGUUCAUCAAUGUAAUGUAGACAUGUAUUCUGAAUAUAGUCAUACGUGCUUAUGGAAAAAAAACUUGCAUGACAUCUUUUGUCCUACCCUCCCAUGGCAGCGGAGUCCUUACGGAAACUAUGGGAUAUUAAGGCCUCCUUUUAAUAGAAAACUGAAACAAAGCAUUAACACAUAGUGAAUACAUGAACUCCUCAAACUACGGUCAUCACCGGUAAGUAUCCCGAUUAUUGUCACUUCGGGGUUAACGGAUCAUAACACAUAAUAGGUGACUAUAGACUUGCAAGAUCACUACAACAAAAUAGACAUGUAAAGACGUUUUUGAUUUGACGCUUUUAUCUACGUCUCAUUAUUGAAAAUCACUUGGCGUAUAGAGACGUCUUGUGAGGCGCAAUAGACAUCGUCGCUUGAUUCCCAUAAAAAAAAUCUAGACGCGUCAAAAUAUCUUGUUCAACCACCAUCAACCUUUAUCCCCCAUCGUGCAAUAUGGGCUAAGAAUUUUUUUUUCGAGGGUACGCAAAUUGCGUACCAUAGCUUUAUAGAAGGAGAGAAAAAUAGUACAUGACAUCUACCCCUCGCUGCAAACAACGAGCGUAGCACAACAACACAUCCGGCUAUCCUCAGGACAGCCACACACGACAUCACAACUACAACACGGAAAGACCUGCCCAAAACCGAAACACCUCGCCAGCCUCCAGCAGUAGCCUCGGGGUCUCAGGGACGCCAGCUUCCAGGCGGCGCCCAGCCCCACUCCGGCCGCCUCUACCGACAGCUCCGGCACACGGUGCGCUGCAGCUGGAAGGGAAGAUGACGGAUGGCGGGGUCGGCACAGAACUGCACAUCCCCAACUCCUCCUACUGAGUACUGACUCACCCCCGCCCCCAAGUUUUGCACUCCUGGUCGACCACCACCAUUAACGAGACAUGGUACUGAUCAGCUAGGCGCUCGUUUGUUUGUAUGUACACUGUCGGUGUCUAUCAGACUUUGAUUGAGAUUCAUCUUUCUGCACUACAACAAUGUUAUCACAGACAUCUUAAUUAGUUUAUGUGAUCCCCGGCACAGGGGGAGCUCUCGGUAGGGCGAGGACGGGCGCCCGCCCUACCUUGAUUUGCCGGGGAAGAAAAUUACGUAGGUACUCGCUCUGAUUCGUCGAUAGUUCCUGAAAAAAUCGUUGUCUUGUUGGAUCCUGAGUCAGUGAGCAGCGAUUCUGUCAUCUCCAAUGUUCCAGCCGUCCAACAUAGCAGGAAGCCAGCCGGAGCUUACCUAGCAGCACGGAGCGGCGCGCGGAGCCGGCGGACGGCUGCGGUCUGUGUGCGGGCCGGUGGACAGCGAGAGCAGCGAGGGCGGCGGUCAGCGUCCACACCCUGCCUGCAGCCCCCUCAUCGACUCUGUUCUUUUUCCAUCCAUGUUCUGUUUUCUCUUUUUCUAGUCGUGUGUGCACUAGUGGCUGGAGAUUCAUAACAUAUUGACGAAUUUUUCUAAUUAAAAACAGUGAGAAUGUGUGAUAUGUGAUAGUAAUUACUCAGUGCUUUACAUUCAUUUUUGUAUGUGCUUUAUGCUCUGUGAUAGAAAAUUUUCUUAAUAUUGAUGACAAAUUGACAAUUGCUGAUUAAAAACAGUGAGUGUGGGUGGUGCAGCGGCGUUGCCAACUUUGUGGGCGAAGGGGAAACAUGGAUAUGAAGGGGAAGGCCUAGCAAAGGCAAAGGGGAGGUGUGUAUUUUUUUUAUUUUAGUGGCAUUUUCAGCUAAAAGUAUUUGUGUGCACUACCAUUGUCUUUUGAUUUUUAUUUUUGUGCUUUAGAGUUCGCCCCACCUCAGAAAAAAUUCGUCCUCCACCACUGAUCCUCAGGGAAAAAAUGUCCGCCCCGGUGAACUGCCACCCUCUCUGUCUCUGAGAACCCUUCGUCUUGCAACCAAAAUUCAUCCAUGCGUCGUCUGCCAUGUGAAGCUUGUUGCCAUCAGGUAGACUGACCUCGUGCCCGCCACUAUCGACCAGCGGGAAGCUAGCGAGUGAUUUGGAGAACAUAAGUGACUUGCGCGAGCGCACAAGGCAGCCAAUUCAUCUAUAGGUGAGUUGAUCUACUUUUUUUAGUUUUAGUUGUUGUUCUAUGAAUUCAUUCCAAGUAAAAAAUUAGAGCCCCUGCCUUGAUGCGUACUUAAUUGUGGAGGAGAAUCUUGACAUCACAUUUACUUUAGGUUAUCUCUAUUACAAUAUGGGACAACAAUACUUUGUCUUUUUUUCUGAACUCUCAUAUUUUUACUGACUAAACUACUAGUUCAACUUAAAGUCGAUCUUACACUUGUUUGCUCCCAAAUUAUUGGUACACACGAAUGUUGGUGCUUGAUAAAAAGCCUGUGAGAAUAUCCUGAUAGAAUAAGAUGAUCAGUGUUAUUAACGAAAUUUUCAUUUUCAUGCAAUUAAUAAUUCUCGUGUAUCAACUAUCAAAUCACCUUCAUUUUCCCCCAUAACUGAUUAUAAGAACUUUGUGCCCACGUUCUAAUAAUUUUUUGAAUAAACAUGCCUUGUACUAUAAGAGGGAGAGAUCAACUCAUACAUGUGGUUUCUCAUCUGCAGAAACUUUUCUGAUGUUGUCUGAUAAAGAGCACCGUGGAUGGAUAUAUUAUCAUUUUUGGUAAAAUCUAAUCAUAUGUGAUUAUGUGAAACAUCUGGAUUAGAUGCGUUGCACUAUGUCUGAAGCAGCAAAAUGGCAUCAUGCUCGCUUUUGUGUUCGACUGAAGAGUAUUAAUGUGAACUAGCAUGAGAAUUCAGUUUUUUAUGGUAAAUGUCGUCUUAUAGUCUUAUGUGGAGAUUAUUAGUGUCGCAACCAUGAAAGUUCAGUCCCCGUAUGUUAACCUGAUGUUAUUUCUUUACAUAUUUUUUGUAAGGUAUAUCCAUCAACAACAACAUGAUGUUUCCUCCUUUUACAGUAUACGUAUCUAUACUUCGUAUGGUAACAUGACAUCAACCAGACUAGACUAAACUUCUGGAGGGCAUGUUUACUCGGUGUGGUACAUAAAUACCAUUCUCUAUUCUUAUGGUUGUAUGUUCAGCAAAGGAGAACUCGCUGGUAGAAGUUCCAAUGAUUUUUUUUUCAAAUCUCAUUUUGCUUUCUUUGCAGAAAACUUGUACGUGCGAAUUCUAAAGGUAGCCACCACAAGGAUAAACUACAGAAGUAGAGAAAGCAAGGAGCUAUUAUUCCACUAUCAGCAUGUACAAACUAGAAAUCAUAUACUCCCUCUGUUCCUAAAUAUAAGUCCUUUUAGAGAUUUCGAUGUGAACUAUACACGAAGCAAAAUCAGUGAAUCUAUGCUCUAAAGUACAUCUAUAUACAUUAGUAUGUAGUCCCAAUUAAAAUCUGUAAAAAAGACUUAUCUUCAGAAACGGAGGGAGUAGAUAUAUUUCAGCUAGUUUGUGAAAUACGUAAUUUUUUUAUUGAUGAUGUGUACAAUUGAGUUUGUAAAAUACUACUGCUCUAAUUAAUACAAUGCUAUUAUUUUGCGUGAUACCAUACAUUUUUUGAAUAUUUUCUGAUAUGUAAAUGGGAGUCAAACUGUUUAAUAUAAGAAAGUAAUUUUAUUAAGUGCAACUUAAUUAAGAAAUUAUACAACGAAAGAGAAUAUAUGCAGUUGCAUCUAGCAUAAAUUUAGCAAUGCGUCUCUAAGGGCAGGAGGACGCUCUUAAAACGUCUCAUCCAUGUAGACACGCUUUGUAAGGACGGUCUUAAAACGUCUCAUUUUCCUGUAGACACGCUCCCUAUGCGUCUCAGUGGUAUUUGAGACGGUGCGUGGGGAGACUGCCGGGGUUCUGAUCCACGAGCACCUAUGGGACCGGCGGACCGAGUCCCUUUCGGUUCGGCAGGGGCGGAGGUCGCACGAAGAGUGGAUCGAGGCGAAGCACACGAGCAGUUUACCCAGGUUUGGGCCGCACGGAUGCGUAAAACCCUACUCCUGCUUUGUGGUUUGUAUUGAGUUCUUGCUCGGGAGCGCGGAGUGCUACAGUACACUCCAGCAGCUAACGAGACCGAGCGUGAGUGUUCUCUUUCUUCUAACCAGCCAACUCACCCCCCUCUACGUUGCGCAUGGGCCUCCUUUUAUAUGCUCAAGGGGUCACCGACAGGUGGCAACGUAGACAAGGGUAAAAAUGGAAAGGUGCUGCGGUAGGUACAGCCACCUACUACAGUGUAUCAUACCUAACCCUGACGGCCGGGGACAAGGGCAUUAAAUGCCCGUCUGCGUCGUCUAAAUAGUGCAAAAGGGACUGUCAGGGACACCACCACUUGCCACGAUGGCAAUCUUGUCAGCGCCGCUUGCCACUGCGCACCCCUGGCUGCACAGCCUCCCGCCACGUACGCCUGGAAGGGUCCCAGAGCGACACGUUGAUGGAUGUGCUGGAGCGCGGGCACAGAGUGGUAGCUUGCCGCGGCAAGCGCCUUGCCGCGGUCGUUGUCUUGUCGUGUCCGGGAGCUUGUCGCUCAUCGGGCCUUGCCGGGACGCAUGGCGCGUCGCGGCAAGUUCCUUGAGGUGCCUUGGUUGGACUUCCCGGCAAGCUCCUCUUACCGGGGUCUUGAGAUGCCUUUGUUGGCCUUCCCGGCAAGCUCCUCUUGCCGGGGUCUUGUCUCCUUGGCUUGGAUACUUUGUUCUUGAAUGGCUCCAAAGGAACCACGGAGGACCUUGGCGGUCACCUGGCAAGCCUUGCCGCGGGAUGCUGCGACUGCCCGUGCACAAGUUCGGGAUACUAGGGUACCCCUAUUCUAGUACACCGACAGGAGCCCCCGGGCCUGGGCCAUACACGGUACCGAGCGCUGUUGGGCCAGGCCCACAACAGGGCACGGGCAUGCGCGGCCUAGGUUACGCCGUAUCUCUCCCCGUAUCCACCAUGCCCUCCCCGAACGGCACGUGUUGAAUGCGGCGUCGUGGGAGAGAUCGUGGGUGGUUUCUUUAUUUGGAAAUGCGGAACGUCCGUCCCCUCCCUCUUUAUAAGCAGAUGAAACAGGGGCAGUUCGCCCAUUCGCCGGUUGCAGCUUCAAUCCCGGAAAUCUCCGCCGCUCCCUCAUCUUCCCAAAGCCGAAAGAGAGCAGCGCCCCGCCCCCAUCGCCACCAGUGCCACCAACGCCGUCGGCCUCCUCCACCACUUCCGCCAUGGCUCCGAAAGCCGACAAGGGGAAGGUCGUGAAGUCGACCGAGGCGCAGCGGCUUGCGGCGCUGCGAAAGGAGCGGGCAGUCUUCCCCCCCAAGCUCGCCGCGAGGGAGCUGAGGGAGAACUACUACCUCUUCUGGUCGACGGAGACGCGAGCGCACCCGUGCACGAAGGUACUUCCAGCCGCCGCUUGGAAAACGGCUCCAAAUGGAUAUCCAUUCUUCGCCUUGUUCUUCUACUGCGGGCUCUGCCCGCCUUUCUCUGAAUUCUUCUGCGAUAUCAUGAACACCUACGGGUUCCACCUCCUUGAUUUCACCCCAACGCCGUUCUGACCAUGGCAGUUUUCGCACAUCUCUGCGAAAACUUUGUCGGAGUCCAUCCCAAUGUAGCCCUUUUCCGCCACUUCUUUAUACCCUGAGUAGAGAGGGGAGAGCCUUUAUCCGGCGGAAUCGCCUGGAUCUCGAGGGCCGGCAAGAAGGAAACUUAUUUGGAGGGAGAAUUCCGCGGCAAGUGGGAGGAGUGGAGAGCAGACUGGUGCCGGAUUGACGAGGAGAACCCGCAGCCAUUCACCACCCGGCGCCAAGCCCCAGUAGCACGCGGCAGCGGCUGGAGUGACGUGGCCCCGGAAGACGACAGGCUGAAGAUUGCUGUCACCCGGAUCCUGCGCCUCAAGCUUGCCGGGCUCACUGUGGGUGCUGUUGGCGCAGAUUUUCUUCGCCGCCGCAUCGCCCCCCUGCAGGAACGAGGGAGACCCGCCUGGGAGUUCAAGAAUGCGGCGGAUAUCAUGAGGUUGCGGCCGGGCCUCAACUUCAACUUCACUGUUCUGGAGCUCAACGCGAUGCUGCAGGAGCUGUUCAAGUAUGACCCCCAACAUCCCGAAGUGUUCAGGUUGCCGGGGGGCGUCGUUCCGCUGUGCAACAACUCCUCGCUUGACCGCAUCCGUGCAAUGAUGCCACUGUGCGACUCGCAUGGAAUUGUGCCAACUUGGCAAGGGCCUGCAGACGAUGCCGUGCAGCAGUUCUUCGAUGGCUUGGUAGAAGUGCCGAUCCGCCCCGACGAGAAGGACAGCCUCACCCACGACACCACCGAUGCGGAGAUGACACGCAUCGCCACUAGGCUGGAAGAGGCGGCGGCAGCCGCAGCCGCGGGCGAAUUAGGAUUCACCGUGGAGGAGGCAGAUGCAGCAGAGGCGGCAAGCCAUGCCGAGCGAGGGGAGCCCGCCGGGGAGAAAGAGCUUGCCGGGCGGAAAGGGCUUGCCAGGCAUGGCGUCGAGUCGAGCGAGCCCGCCGAGGAUGCGAGCGGCUCGCUGGAGAUUAACUCCUCUUCAUCUUCAUCUUCGGGCAGCUCGCCGCAAGCAGAGCCUCCAUCCCCACCAAGAAGGCGUCUCCGCAAGGCCGACGAAGUAGCGGAGCGGCAGGCGGGCCAACAGUCGCCGUGUCGCGUGACGCGCUCCACCGCGGCAAACACCGUUGCCGCGGGAGCGCCUCAUGCUGCGACGGCAACUGGAGCGGGGUCUAGCCGGACCACCGCUUCUGCUCCUACCGUUUCUCACGCCGCGACGGCAGCCGGAGCAGGGUCGCCUCAGACCACCGCCACCGUUCCCGCCAAGCGGCCAAGGGAAACUACUCCUCCGUCUUCCCGCGCCGGGCGUGACCCGGACUUCAACUUCUCCGCGUUCAGCUCCGACGAGGAAGAAGAAGAAGAGUAAGAUUCUCUUGUUGUACUUGUAGUUCUUCAAUCCUUGCUGUCUUGUCUUGUAUCUCAUUUGCUUUACUCUGAACUUAUUCCUUUUUAGGACUCUGGCCCAGAGAGCAGCGAAGAGAGCCAAGGUCCCGGUGAUCGUCAUCGAGGACGAGCCCACUGCGACAGCAGGGGGUGUGCCCGAGACAACCUUGCCGGACUCGGCAACUUUCCUCCAGAGCAGCCCCCAGCGUAAGUAUAUGAUUUGCUUUCCGCUGUGAGGUGCGCAUGGAUACUCUGUCUUUGCCGAUAUCUGUUUGUUGGUUUGUGUAGGAGCAGAGCAGCCCCACCAGGAGCCAAGGGAGAGUCCCCCGGCAAGGGAGAAGUCUCCGGCAAGGGAGAGUUCUCCGGCAAGGGACAGCACCAGCGGCCCCCCGACGGCGGAGACCACGACUGCAGAACCCGGGACAGGUAAUCCUUUCGCUGCAAGAUUUCCCUUGGGUUCUUCUUCUUGGGUUUUUAUUGGAUUUUGCUUGACUCUUCUCCCUUUUCCGGCUGUCAGACCCAUCUGCUACGGAGCCGAUGGAGACCGAGGUUGCCACCGACGAAGCAGCCGGUGUUGACGAUCCCGCCGGCGCAGAGGCCGCCAAGGCUGCCACCGCGGCAACUGGCGAGGGGUCCGGCGAUCGCACUGACGACCCUGAGGCCACAGGAGCGCCAGGCGCUGCGCCGACCGCCGACCCGUCUGCCGCUGCCGCAGCGCCAGGCUCCGAAGAGCCCCAGCCCGGCGUCUACUUGAAGGCCGGCGAUGACGUCUUCAUCAACCUCCCCUGGGCGUCAAGCUCCAGGGCGCCGGUCGAGGGAUAGAUCUUCGACGGGGAGGUGCUCGCCUCCGCUGGGCUGACGCUGGUUGACGCGCCAAGCAGCAGCAGCAACGAGCCUGAGGAGGAGCGGCUGUUGCGGAAGUUGUUGUCGCUCUACCGCGCGCGGCAAGCCAAGCUGGAAUCCCGCGAGGCACUUGUCGCGAAGGCGGGAGCGGACAUCGAGAAGCGCGCGGAGGAGCUCCGGGGUCUCCACCAGGAAGCUCUCCGGUCCUUGGCAGAGGAGCGGGAGCAACUUGCCGAAGCGCAGAAGGCCUUCCUCCUCGAGAAGGCUAAAAUCAGAAAGCAACAGCGGCUUGCCGCUGAGAAGCUGUCUGCACAGGAAGGCGAGCUGGCGCAGCGGAAGGUCAAUCUUGACGCCCACGAGGAGGAGCUUGCCGCGCGCGAGGAAAAAUUUGGCGGAGCCCUCAAGCAAGCGGAAGAUGCUGCCGCAGCCGCCGAGGCCGCCAAGAAGGAGCUGGAGAUGAAGGUGGCGCAGCUGGAGGCCGAUCUCGCCGAGAAGGGCAAAGAGCUCAGUGCCGCCAAGGUCUCCAACAUGGAUCUUGAGUUGAAGCUGACCACUUUGACCAAGACGCUGGACGGCGCCAAGGAGCAAGAAGCGGCCUUGAAACAGGAGAUCAGGGCCGACAAGGCGCUGCUGGAGAGUGCUGCCGCCACCCAGAAUGCUUUCAGGGAGACUGUGGAGCACUGGACGAAGAGUCUUGUGAGUGCUACCGUAGAUAUCGACAGGGAGCUGGCGCAGCUGGGGGUGGAGGAUCUCGGGUAUCCCUCCGACGAGAACCUCCAACCCAGCGCCAAGCUUGUCUUGUUCUUCAAAGGCGUGGCGACGGCCCUCCAGCGACUCCGGGAGAGGAUCCCAAAGCAGCUGGCCGACGAGUCGCGCAAGAUCUGCGCGGGAGCUCUUCAGAAAGUGUUGGUGAAGGUGGCCUUCCGCAAUCCGGGCCUCAACCUCACCAACGUCCUCAAGACCCUGCCGCUGGAUGCUGAUCUGGAGGCGCUCAAGACCCUUGUCGCACCCACUGUGGACAAGGUGAGCGGGAUCAAGAGGAUCGAGGGCGAUCGCGUAGACUAGGCCGCCCGCUUCUUCUUUUCUUGUCGCUGUUUGUCAUGUUAUGAAAACAAUCUGUUAGAGCCGCCAUAAGCUAUCUUUGUAAUAUGACUCUAUUUCGGGCAAUGAUUGCAAUGUUAUUCCCUUUACUUGAUUCCUCCCUUUGUAUGUUUUUGCCCUACGCUUUUAGGGAACUUGCCGGUGCAGGCACCUGAGCUGCGAGCACUGAGUGCGGGACGUCAGCAGCCUGCUAGCGGUGCCGCUACCGACAAGAAACCUUGUCGCAACUAGUUGCAGCUCACUUAAGUUGUUGAGCGGACUCGAAACAAAGUAAGGGCGCAACUAGCUACGAGUUGGUUCCUCCGCGCAUAGGUUUUCCAUACAAAGUGCAGUCGUUCAAGGGAGAUAACUUAAAAAAUUUUAAAAUCUGAUUGCUCAAACUUUGGCAACUUAGCUUUUCUGUUGUUUGCUUCCCGGUAAGGCGAAACUUUCUUGAAUGACGCCUGGUCCAUACCAUUAUCUUCUCCUCCCCCCCCGGCAAACUUUUGGGCAAGGGAACCUUCCUUUCCUUGAGAAAAAAGAAAGAAGAGAAAAUAAAGAUAUGGAGCCUUAAGGCUCGUUAUUGCUUACUGGGGAGUAGGUGCUGCACAAAGUGUCAGAUCACAUAUGCAAAAAAUAGAAAGCAUGAAAUCGACAAGAUGUGCGGAGCACAUGAGCUUUACUUAUGCACGGGGUCUGCGCCCAGCUUUGUACAAAGGAUUACAUGCAACAGCGGCAAGACUUGUACAAAAGGUGGUUGCUGGAACAGGUUCCGGCAACCGCGCCUUACGGGUAAAACUUACGAAGAUGCUCAAUGUUCCAGGAAUUGCUCACCGGAAUGCAAUCUUCGGUCUCAAGGCGGACAACACCAGGCCUAGUGACUCGUUUCACCCGGUAAGGGCGUUCCCACUUCGGCGUCAACUUGUUGGAAUUCUUGGCGGACUGAACGCGCCGAAGAACAAGGUCACCUUCCUCGAGAUUUCUGGCGUUAACUUUGCGGCUGUGGUAGCGGCGCAAAGCUUGCUGGUAGCGAGCAACUCGUACAGCAGCCUGAAGACGGUAUUCCUCAAGGAGCAGCGCAUCAUCUUGUCGCAGCUGCUCUUGCUCAAGCUCAUCAUAAGCGAGCACUCGAGGUGACCCGUAUACGAGUUCCUGCCUUUGCUCCAUAGAAUAGAGCGAAAGGUGUCUGGCCAGUGGCUCGAUUUGGCGUCGUCCUGAUCGACCAAAGAACCACCGGCAGCUCCUCGAUCCAGUUUCUUCCGCACUUGUGCAGCCUAUCGAAAGUUCUGGUCUUGAGCCCGUGCAGCACUUCAGCAUUUGCUCUCUCCGCUUGACCGUUGCUUCUUGGGUGAGCAACAGAAGCGAAGCAGACCUUGGCGCCAAGAUCUUGGACAUACUGCAUGAAGGUGCGGCUCGUAAAUUGCGUACCGUUGUCGGUGAUUAUCCUGUUAGGGAUCCCGAAGCGGCAAACAAUCGACCUGAAGAACUUGACUGCUGACUGUGCUGUCACCUUCCUCACUGGUUCCACUUCCGGCCACUUUGUGAACUUGUCGAUUGCAACGUACAAGUACUCAAAGCCCCCGACUGCUCGGGGAAAGGGGCCGAGGAUGUCGAGCCCCCAGACCGAAAAUGGCCAGGAUAAAGGGAUCGUCUGGAGAGCUUGAGCUGGUUGGUGUAUCUGCUUGGAAUGGAACUGGCACGCUUCACACUUGGUUACUUGUGCAGUUGCAUCCUGGAGGGCUGUCGGCCAAAAGAAACCUUGCCGGAAUGCUUUGUCGGCAAGUGCCCUUGUGCCAAUGUGGUGACCACAUAUGCCUCCAUGUAUCUCUGCCAACAGCUUUUGUCCGUCUUCCCGGUGAAUACACUUCAAUUUCACACCGUUGAGUCUUCUUCUGUACAGUGUCUUGUCGACAAACUGGUACAUACUUGACUGCCGGGCUACUCUUUCCGCUUCUUCUUGUUCUUCGGGAAGUUCUCCUGUCUGAAGGAAAUAGACAAUCCGUUGUGCCCAUGCUGGAGCUUGUGGCUCGACAACAAGGACUAAAGGCAAAUCUGCGGCUGCGGGAACAUCCGCUUCUAUGGCGAGAAUCUGUGGCUCUGCCGGAGCUUGAUGUUUCCCGGCAAGCUUGCCGGAGCAAAACUUUCCGGGAGCUUCUGCUUCAAUGGAACAAACCCUGGGGCUUGCCGGAGCAGACUGCUCCUCAGCGCUCUCGGCGUUGAUCUUGGGGACCUUCUUGGCGGCGGCUUCGGGAAGCUCUGCCAGCAAAUAGUCACCAGAAAUCAACUUCCUCUUGUUGCUCUAUCCAGUUGAUGUCGUUACAGACGGUUGAGUCAGCUUAAGCACAAAGAUCCCUGGUUCCACAAGUAAGUUAAGUGCGGCGCACUUUGACAGGCCAUCGGCAAUGGUGUUCUGAGCUCUUCGAACAUGCUCCAUCUGUAGGCCGUCAAAGUGCUCUUCUAGCUUUCUCACUUCGUCGACGUAGGCUUCCAUCAACGGACUCUGAUAGCUCUUGUUCACUUGGCGGACGACAAGCUGCGAGUCACCCCUGACAAUGAGCUUCUUGAUCCCAAGGUCUGCCGCUAUCCUGAGACCGGCAAGCAAGCUUUCAUACUCUGUAGUAUUGUUUGUCGCUUGCUCCUUGGGGAAGUGCAUCUGGACUACGUACUUGAGGUGCUCUCCGGUGGGUGCGAUAAGCAGCACGCCAGCGCCGGCGCCUUGCAGCGAAAAGGCACCAUCAAAGUACAUCAGCCACUCUUUGCUUGCUUCCUCGACGGGGAUGCUCGUUUCUGGAAUUUCUUCGUCUAGUGUUGGCGUCCAUUCUGCUAUGAAUUCUGCCAAUGCUCUGCUUUGGAUAGUUGAAGUACUCUCAAACUUGAGGCUAAAGCUUGACAGUUCCAGUGCCCACUCAACAAUCCUGCCUGUCGCUUCUGGAUUCUGUAGUAUCCUCUUCAGCGGAAAGCGAGUGACAACUGUGAUUUCAUGUGCUUGGAAGUAAUGGCGCAGCUUUCUCGAGGCCAUGAGAAGGCCGAAAAGCAAUUUCUGCACACCAGAGUACCUUGACCUAGCCCCCUGCAGAAGGGAACUGACAAAGUAAACUGGGCGCUGCACCAUUCUCUUCUGUAUCUCCUCGCGCGUCUGCGCAGAUCCAUCCUUGUCGGGACCAAGGCUUGCCGGGGAAGCCCCCUGCUUGUCGCUGGAUGCGUCUGCCGUGGUUGCUGGCUCGUCAUCUGCCCCCCUCUCCGCUACCAACGCAGCACUAACCACUUGAUUGGUUGCCGCUAUAUACAGCAGCAACUUCUCUUGUGGCUUAGGUGCGACAAGUAUUGGAGUGGAGGACAGGUAUCUCUUCAAGUCUUGCAGCGCAGCCUCCGCUUUCGGAGUCCAUUUCAUUGGACCUGCCUUUUUCAAUAUUUUGAAAAACGGUAGGGCGCGCUCUGCAGACCUAGAAAUAAACCUGCUGGGAGCAGCCAAGCAACCGGCAAGUCUUCGUACAUCCUUGACGCGCUUGGGUGCUUCAAUCUGCUCAAUGGCCUUGAUCUUGUCGGGAUUGGCUUCAAUUCCCCGCUGAGACACGAAGAACCCGAGAAGCUUGCUGGAGGGGACUCCAAACACACACUUCUCGGGGUUGAGUUUAAGGUUGAUCUUGCGCAGAUUUGCAAAGGUCUCGCCUAAAUCUUGAAUCAGAGUUGCCUUGUCCUUGCUCUUGACCACUAUGUCAUCCAUGUAGGCUUCCACAUUUCUGUGUACUUGUGGCUCAAGAGUGACAUGGACUACUCUUGCAAAUGUUGAACCAGCAUUUUUCAAACCAAAAGGCAUCCGUAUGAAACAGUACGUGCCACAUGGAGUGAUGAAUGCGGUCUUCUCCUCAUCCUCUUCUGCCAUGAAGAUCUGAUGGUAUCCUGAGUAUGCGUCAAGAAACGAAAGCAAAUCACAUCCGGCCGUGGAGUCAACAAUCUGGUCAAUGCGCGGCAAAGGAAAUGGGUCUUUGGGACAAGCUUUGUCAACAUCGGUAAAGUCGAUACAAAGUCUCCAUUUCCCGUUCGCCUUGCGCACGACUACAGGAUUGGCCAACCACGUAGGAUGGAGCACUCCUCUAACAAGGCCUGCUGCUUCCAACUUCUUGAUUUCUUCUGCGAUGAAUUCUUGGCGCUCCACUGCUUGCUUCCUGACCUUCUGCUUGACGGGCCGCGCAUGAGGACAAACGGCAAGAUGGUGCUCAAUUACUUUCCUGGGAACACCAGGGAUGUUAGACGGUUGCCACGCAAACACGUCGACGUUCGCCCGCAGGAAAGCAAUGAGCGCGCUUUCCUAUUUAGGGUUGAGAGUGGCACCGAUGGUGAAGGUACCACCAGUGCCGUCCUCCUUGGCGGACACCUUCUUGGUUUCUGGCGGAGCUGCCAUUGUCUUCUUACACUUGCCGGUGGAGCUCGAUGGUGCAUCCUCGACGGCAGCACAACACUCCGAAGAGGUACGUUUGCCGGAGUGGGCAUCAGAGCUUUUGCCGGACUUGGUCUUCUUCUUCCCCCCAGGAGCUUCAACGACAAGUGAUUUGUGAUCUGUUGCGGCUGCCGCUUCCCGGUAGAUCUUGUCGGUGCAGAUAAGAGCAUCUUUCUUGUCGCCAGGGACAGAGAUGACGCUUAUCGGGCCUGGCAUCUUUAGCAUAUUGUAUGCAUAGUGAGAGGCUGCCAUGAACUUGGCGAGUGCUGGACGGCCAAGUAUCCCAUUGUAAGGCAAUGGAAAAUCGGCAACGUCAAAAGUGACCCUCUCAGUCCUAAAGUUCAACUCGCUGCCAAAUGUCACUGGCAACGUGACCUUCCCCUUCGGCUUGCUCCUUCCCGGGUUGAUUCCUUGGAAUGUGCCGGUCUCUUCAAGCUCGCUGUCAGGGAUCUGGAGUUUCUGGAGUACAGCGGAGGAGAUCAAGUUCAAGCCGGCCCCACCGUCAACUAGCAUCUUAGUGACUUUGAGGUUGCGGAUAGUUGGUGAAACCAACAUCGGCAAGCACCCGAUCGCAGUUGUGCGAUCAGGGUGGUCCUCAAUAUCAAAGAUGAUAGGCGUGCUGGACCAUUUCAGAAGCUUGCGCGACUCGACAGGUGGUUCCGCCGCAUUGACUUCCCGCACCCACUGCUUUAGUUGGCGGUGUGAAGUAUGCAGAGAAGCACCGCCGUCAACGCACAAGACCUCUGUGGCUUUCUGGAACUCCUGCUCACUGGUCUCGACAUCAUCCAUGUCUUCGUCGUCGUCGUCAUCUUCAUCCUUGUCGCGACCACGGGGAGGUCUGUCUCCUUGCCGCUGCUUGGCCUUGCCGCGGCGUCCUCCCCGGCUAGCGCGCUUCUUGCCGGAUUCUCCAGCGCCUCCUUGGGCCCUCUCCUUGUCGCGUCGCUCGUACUCAGCCUUUUGUUGCUGGACAAGCUGCUCGACCUUCUUGCAGUUCUGGAGGUCAUGGCCCUUGGUGCGGUGGAUCUUGCAGUACUGCUUGUCGGUGCUGUCCUGCUUGUCGGUAAUCACCACAGACUGGCAGUUGGUGCAUGCGGCAAUCUCCUUGCCGGAGCUACCAGCUUUGGCUUUCUUGGCGCCACCUUCGUUGCCGGACUGGUCAACGACUAGCACAUCUUUGCCUUUCUUCUUACUGUUGUUCCGCCGUCGGUUUUUCUUUGCCGGGGCAGCAUCCUCGCUGUCAGAUCCUUCUGCUCCUGUAUUCUCUCCGGGGAGUUUCCUCCCUUCCUCAGCACGUGCACACUUGUCGGCCAGGGCAUACAGCUCACUGACAUCUCUGAUCUUGCACAUCGCCAUCUCCUCCCGCAUCCUGCAGUUAUGCACGUUCUGAUGGAACGCGCUGAUGACCGCGGCAGGGUGGACAUCUGGGAUGUUGUGCUGUACACGGCUGAACCUCUGAAUGUACUUGCGCAGGGGCUCUCCUUCCUUCUGGGCGAGCAGAUGAAGGUCACUCUCUUGGCCAUGAGGUUUGUGGCCGCCUGUAAAGGCGCCGACAAACUGAUGGCAUAAGUCUGCCCAGCAGGAUAUGGAGUUGUCCGGCAAGUGCAUGAGCCAGGACCUGACGUUGGGCUUGAGCACCAGCGGGAAGUAGUUGGCAAGGAUCUUGUCGUCCCGCCCCCCGGCAGCCUGUACCGCGAUGGUGUAGAUGCUGAGGAACUCCGACGGAUGCGACUUGCCGUCGUACUUCUCUAGUACGUCUGGCUUGAAAUUCUUCAUGCUAGGCCACUGGACUUGCCGCAGCUCACGAGUAAACACAGGACAACCUACCGCGUACGGCAAGCCGCCUGGUUCCCCUGGCGCAUGCAUGUCGACAGAGGGCCCAGCGCGCUGGUCCGACUGACGUCGCGCUUCUCUUCGGCGCUCGAUGCGAGUACGAGCGUCUUCUUGCUGUCGUUCGUGAAGAACUUGGCGCUGAUCGCGACGAGCUCGUGGAUCCGAUGACGCGGUGGAGUCGCUGUCGAGGUGGAUCCGGCGAGUCGGCGAUCUUGGCCUUCGGGGCGGAGAGUGCACAGUGGUUGCACCCCCACCGGUCUUGUCGCCACCGGCUCGUGCCUGGCUGACUUGCCGCGGCUGCGACGUGCUCGGCUGCCAUUGAGUGUCGCCGUUGGCGAAGCCGAUGAGACUCUGAAUGGUGGCCCUCCAGUCGUCGAUCUUGUCUGCCGUAGGAGGGUAGUCUAGGAGCAGUUGAGCUCGCGCCAAAGCUUCUGUUGGAGUGGCGGGUGGCGAUGGCGAACGGUGCGAGGAGCGGGAUAUGCUCGGACUCCUAACUAUGUUAGAAGGAGCAGUGUCCCGUCCAGGCGACCGUGCCUCGCUCGUGCCAGCAUGUUGGCGUGCAUGCUGGUCUUGAGCGCUCCGAGACCCACCAGCUCGAUCUUGGUCCAGCAGACGCAUGGUACUGAGAGCACCAUGACGUUGCCGGUCCCGCGCCUCCUGAGAUGGGCGCGGUGCAUGCACGGACGCCGAGGUCUUGGAGUGCGCCCGGUCAUUGUGGGAGCCGUUCUACGCCGCCGAUGGGCAGCGCAGCCUUGUCCUUGGACCUGGCAGCACCGUGAGCUCCCUCGUCGACGCCCGUUCUUCCGCCGGCGUCUGCCCCAUCAGCCGUUUGCUCCGGCGGCGGUGGGUUCGGCGCGGACGGAGCAGCCGCCUCCGAAGCCUUCUUCUUUGGCGGCAUGUCGAUGAAGAUGAUGAAGAUCUAGCGCGCGUGAACGCCGGAUCUAGUUCACACAACCUCGACGCCCCCUACCUGGCGCGCCAAAGAUGCCGGGGUUCUGAUCCACGAGCACCUAUGGGACCCGCGGACCGAGUCCCUUUCGGUUCGGCAGGGGCGGAGGUCGCACGAAGAGCGGAUCGAGGCAAAGCACACGAGCAGUUUACCCAGGUUCGAGCCGCAUGGAUGUGUAAAACCCUACUCCUGCUUUGUGGUUUGUAUUGAGUUCUUGCUCGGGAGCGCGGAGUGCUACAGUACACUCCAGCAGCUAACGAGACCGAGCGUGAGUGUUCUAUUUCUUCUAACCAGCCAACUCACCCCCCUCUACGUUGCGCACGGGCCUCCUUUUAUAUGCUCAAGGGGUCACCGACAGGUGGCAACGUAGACAAGGGUAAAAAUGGAAAGGUGCUGCGAUAGGUACAGCCACCUACUAUAGUGUAUCAUACCUAACCCUGACGGCCGGGGACAAGGGCAUUAAAUGCCCGUCUGCGUCGUCUAAAUAGUGCAAAAGGGACCGUCAGGGACGCCACCGCUUGCCAUGAUGGCAAUCUUGUCAGCGCCGCUUGCCACCGCGCACCCCUGGCUGCACAGCCUCCCUCCACGUACGCCUGGAAGGGUCCCAGAGCGACACGUUGAUGGAUGUGCUGGAGCGCGGGCACAGAGUGGUAGCUUGCCGCGGCAAGCGCCUUGCCGCGGUUGUUGUCUUGACGCGUCCGGGAGCUUGUCGCUCAUCGGGCCUUGCCGGGACGCGUGGCACGUCGCGGCAAGUUCCUUAAGGUGCCUUGGUUGGCCUUCCCGGCAAGCUCCUCUUGCCGGGGUCUUGAGAUGCCUUUGUUGGCCUUCCCGGCAAGCUCCUCUUGCCGGGGUCUUGUCUCCUUGGCUUGGAUACUUUGUUCUUGAAUGGCUCCAAAGGAACCACGGAGGACCUUGGUGGUCACCUGGCAAGCCUUGCCACGGGAUGCUGCGACUGCCAGUGCACAAGUUCAGGAUACUAGGGUACCCCUAUUCUAGUACACCGACAGAGAUGCUCCAAGGACGCUUUAAUGAGCGACUCUAAAAUCCGCUAGAGAUGAUUUAUUGCGCCUCUAGCACCUACAUUGAGCGCCUCUACAUGCCUAUUUUGUUGUAGUGGAUAGGAUCAAGAACACUCAUAUAUUGAUGAAAACAUAAUAGUUUCAGAUCUGAAAUCAUGGCACUCGGACCCUAGUGACAAGCAUUAAGCAUAGCAAAGUCAUAGCAACAUCAAUCUCAGAAUAUAGUGGACACUGGGGAUCAAAACCUAACAAAACUAACUCGAUUACAUGAUAGAUCCCACCCAACCCAUCACCGUCCAACGAGCCUACGAUGGAAUUACUCACUCACGGCGGUGAGCAUCAUGAAAUUGGUGAUGGAGGAUGGUUGAUGAUGACGAUGGCGACGGAUUCCCCUCUCCGGAGCCCCGAACGGACUCCAGAUCAGCCCUCCCGAGAGGUUUUAGGGCUUGGCGGCAUCUACGUAUCGUAAAACGCGAUGAUUUCUUCUCUCUGAUUUUGUUCUCCCCGAAACUCAAUAUAUGGAGGUGGAGUUGGAGUUGGAGAGGCAACAGGGGGCCCACGAGGUAGGGGGCGCGCCCUAGGGGGGCAGGCGCGCCCUCCACCCUCAUGGAAAGACGGUGGGCCCCCUGGCCUUCAUCUUUGGCAGGUAUUUUUCUUAUCUUCUGAAAAGUGGCUCUGUGAAGUUUCGGGUCAUUCCGAGAACAUUUGCUCCUGCACAUAAAUAACACCAUGGUAAUUUUGCUGAAAACAACGUCAGUCCGGGUUAGUUCCAUUCAAAUCAUGCAAGUUAGAGUCCAAAACAAGGGCAAAAGUGUUUGGAAAAGUAGAUACGUUGGAGAUGUAUCACACUUGUAGGACAUUGGUGAGCGUAGUGAGAUUCACUUGUUAUGCAUCUUUCUUCACUGGGAGAACCUCCUCCAGGCAGUACUGCAAUUCAAAAACACAUAAGGCAUCUGACAGUGAGGACUUCACAUCAUUUUUUUGACAUACAAUUCUAGUUGCUGGUACAAGUAUUAUGAUGAAAUUUUGCUCCUGCUAUGCAGUUCCAUCACACACACAAAGCGUAACUAGAAGACAAAAAAAUUUGGGGCUAUUUUUGUGGGGAAUUUUUGAAUUAGGGAAAAUCAACAAAAACAAGGCUAGAAACACAACGGGGAGGCUCCGAAAUCGUGAUCAACGUGGCUCUGAUACCAAGAUGAUGUAGGGUGGAACCCUAGAUGGUUGAUCUUUCAUGAAAGGAGAGGAUCCCUUGAUGGACACGAAGAACACGAGGGGAAUCAUGAGGGUAAACACGAGAGAAACACUAAAACCAACAAGAUUGAUCACACAUGUGAUAGAUCCUCGAAACACGAGAGGAGGUACAAGAUCCACGAUCAACAAAGGACGAUACACGGUAACCGGUUCUUCUCCAAAGGAGGUCUUGAUGGUCUUCUCCGCGAGGAGGUCUUGAAUCCAAAGGGAUCUUCUCCGAAGAGGGGCCGCGGUCUCUCUCAAGGAGUAGAUCCGAUGUGGAUGAGCAAAUCUCUAUCUCUAGAUGAGCUACUACUUUGCUAACCCUAAAUAGGAGGAAUAGAAGGUCUAAUUAUAGUCUUAGUGCAAAUGGGGCGAAGUGAGGGGGUAUAUGGGCCUCGGGGUGAAUCCUGUGCGCAGACAGGUACCGGACGUCCGUUGGGGACUAGUCGUCCGAUGGCUCAUCGGCGUCCGGACUUCCGCUGGUUCCAUUCUGUGAUGGAGGUGUCGGGCUUUCGCUAAUUUUGGCUCGGGCACGGUGGCGCUGGACGUCCGCUCGCUGGAGGGUGUGGCCAGUCGUCCGGUCUUGGCCGGACGUCCGCUCGCUGUAGCUCUUGGCUGGGGCUUCAGGCCCGGACGUCCGGUCCCGACCGGUCGUCCGGUGGCUGGGGCUUCUUCCGCAGCUCUUCUUCUUGUCCUUCACGGUUGGUGUUCUCGCUGUCUUGUCCAUUGGGUGUAGUUGCUCCGUGGCUCUCCUCCAAGUGCCUGAUCACGCAUAGUGUUUCCGCUUGAGGUAGUAGCCAUGUCUUAUGUAUAGAAAGUGGUAGUUCGGAGAGGAGCGAGUUCACCUUAUCUUUGAUAGCCUUUGCUCGUGCCCUUGUCAUUGGUCCAAGUGGUGUCGUGGGAGACGUAGGUAGGUCCAUGGGGAUGAUCUUCGGAUGCUCCGCAUCAGCUCCACUCCCUUGGUAAAGAUCCGACCUCUGAUCGAAUUCUUCAUCACCAUGGUAGGACGAUAGAUCCUUGACAUUGAAGAUGUCGCCCACGUUGUACUUGUCGUGAGGGAGGUCGAUCAUAUAAGCGUUGUUGUUGUAGAGUGCAAGCACCUUGAAGGGUCCAUCCGCUCGUGGUAGAAGUUUGGACUUGCGUUCGGUGUGGAAGUGGUCCUUGCCAAGGUGUAGCCACACAAGAUCACCAAUGUUGAAUACCAAGGGUUGCUUGUUGAUGUUGAGCUUGGUCGCAAGUCGUUGUACUUGGCGCUCGAUGGUGUGCCUUGUAUCUUCAUGCACCUUCUUGAGAUGGUUCACACAUGCACUUGUGUCCAUAUUGAUGCGCUCUUGGAGUGGUAGAGGAAUAAUGUCCAAUGGUGACAAUGGGUUGAAUCCGUAGACGCCCUCGAAGGGGGACUUGCCGGUAGUUGAGUGUCUUGCGCGGUUGUAGGCGAACUCGGCGAUAGGUAGACACUCCUCCCACUCCUUGAUGUUCUUCUUGAUGAGCACGUGAAGUAGAGCGGAGAGUGUGCGGUUGGUCACCUCUGUUUGGCCGUCGGUUUGUGGAUGGUACGCCGUGGAGAAGAGUAGCUUGAUUCCGAGCUUGGCGCAUAGGGUCUUCCAAAAGUAGCUUAGGAACUUGACGUCGCGGUCCGAGACUAUUGUCUUUGGUACUCCAUGUAGAUGCAAUAUUUCCCUACAAAAGAGAUUGGCAACAUGUGAAGCAUCGUCUAUCUUGUUGCAUGGUAUGAAAUGUGCCAUCUUAGAGAAUCGGUCCACAACAACAAAUACCGAAUCCUUUCCAUUUCUAGUCCUAGGCAAUCCAAGUACAAAAUCCAUGCUAAUAUCUUCCCAUGGUUGAUAUGGAAUUGGGAGAGGCAUGUAAAGGCCAUGGGAUUGAGCUUUAGACUUAGCUUUGCGACAUGUAGAUCAUCGGUUGGUGAAGAGGUUGACGUCACGAAACAUCUUGGGCCAAUAAUAGUUCUUGGAGAGCAUAGCGAAAGUCUUGUCUCAUCCGAAAUGUCCCAUUAGUCCGCCUCCAUGAGAUUCCUGCAAAAGCAACAAACAGAGAGAAGACUCGGGGAUGCAAAGCUUGUUAGCUCUCAUAAGAUAUCCAUUUUUGAUGUAAUAGCGUUCCCAAGAGGCAUGCGUCAAACAUUUGGCAUAAGGAAUAGCAAAGGUAGGAUCAUGCUCAUACAAGUUUUUUAUGUGCUCAAAGCCAAUGACAUCCAAUUCAAGUUGAGUAACAAGCAUGCAUAUGUGGGAAGAGCGUCCACCACAACAUUUUCCUUACCUUUUAUGUACUUGAUGACAUAAGGUAAAGACUCAAUGAAUUCGCUCCACUUAGCAUGACGCUUGUUCAACUUGGUUUAACCCUUAAGGUAUUUAAGCAUUUCAUGAUCGGUAUGAAUGAUUAAUUCAUGAGGGUGAAGAUAGUGUUCCCAUUCAUGCAAAACUCGCACUAAAGCAUAUAACUCUUUGUCAUAGAUGGGUUAAUUGAGUUGCGCUCCGGAAAGUUUUUCACUAAAGUAAGCUAUGGGGCGCUUCUCUUGCGUUAACACACCUCCUAUGCCAUUACCACUAGCAUCAAUGAAUCUCAAAGGGUUUGUCGAAGUUGGGUAAAGCAAGGACGGGAGCAUGAGUAAGCAAAUUCUUAAGCUCAUUGAAAGAGGUAUCUUGGGAUGGUCCCCAAACAAAAGGCGCAUUUUUCUUGCUCAAAGUAUGCAAAGGUGAAGCAAUGGUGCUAAAGUCCUUCACAAAUCUAUGGUAGAAACCGGCUAAACCAAGGAAGCUACGCACUUGAUGCAAGUUGGUUGGUUGUGGCCAAGUUUUAAUAGCAUUGAUCUUAGAGUCUUCAACAUGAACACCCUUAGAGGAAACAACAUCAAUGCCAAAAAGGCAUUUUUCCAUGUUAGCAUAUAGACGCUCUUUUUGAAGUGUUUGCAAGACAGUUCGAACAUGGGUGACAUGAUCUUGGAGAGAUUUGCUAUAAACAAGGAUAUCAUCGAAGUAUACCACAACAAAAUCACCAAUGUAAGGGCGAAACACAUAAUUCGUAAUACGCAUGAAAGUACCCAGUGCUUCUCAUAAACCCAUAGGCAUGACUAACCACUCAUACAAGCCAAACUUUGUUUUGAAAGCGGUUUUCCAUUCAUCACCCUCUUGUAUGCGGAUUUGAUAGUAACCACUUUUAAGAUCAAUUUUGGAAAAUAUAGUGGCACCACUAAGUUCAUCAAGCAUACCGUCAAGGCGUGGAAUGGGAUACCUAUAGCGAACGGUGAUAGCAUUGAUAGGUCUACAAUCGGAACACAUGUGAAAGCUACCGUCUCUUUUUGGCACAAGAAUGACCGGAACAGCACAAGGACUCAAACUUUCGUGCACAUGUCCAUGGUCUAUGAGAUGCUUUACUUGCCUUUGUAUUUCUUUGGUUUCUUUAGGGUUCACUACAAAAAAAUACACUUCCAUGAUGAUACUGUAGCGACCCGACCUCAGAUGGUCAAGUCUCUGUGCUUCAGUGUCAUCCCUGCAUCGGUAAUGCUGACACACACACACAGUACUCGAAGGAUUUAUAACAGAGUGGCAAUCACACACUUAUUACAUCGAAUGUCUCAAAAGAGAACUUAUUACAAUAAUAUGGCUUAAGUCCAUCUAAUACGAUAACAACGGAAUGCUUGGAAGAUAAAGUGAGUCCAUCAACUCCAACGGCAUAGCUGAGCUGCACGGCAACGACCUAACGAACCUUACUCCUCGUCUGAAAAGUCUGCAACAUAAUACGUUGCAGCCCGAAAACGGGUCAGCACAUGGAAUAUGCUAGCAACAUAACACAGUAGAGCAAGAACAAAAUAAUGCUAUCACUAUAUGCAUAUAUGGCUGGUGGAAAGCUCUAUGGUUUAUAGUUUUUGUGAAAAGCCAUUUUUUCCCUACAACAAAGGAAUAGAUUUUAAUUUUACUAUCAUGGUAGUUGAAACAUCAUUGAGAAGGUUCCUCCAACUCAAUCCCAAUUAAAGUGAUUAACAACCCAACAAUAUUAAUUAAACAUGAUGAGAUACAUGUGAUAACCCAUGUACUAGAUACUCAAGAAUUGUCCAUAACCGGGGACACGGCUAACCAUGAUUAGAUUGUACACUCUGCAGAGGUUUGCGCACUUUUCCCUGCAAGAAUCGAUCUCCUCCGUUGGAUUUCUCGCACUACAGGGUGUUUGAGAAACGGAUGACUGAGACACAGUCUUUCAGAAACAUUAACUCUCUACUCCGGAUAGACCAUACCAAACCUAUAUCCCACUACCUGCUGAUCUGCCUCUUCAAGAGCUUCACGUAACUUACUCAACUAUGCUAGAGCCCAUAAUAGCUUGUGGCUGCACACGAAAGUUUCUAGCAUGAAUCAUCUCAGUUCCCUUUGAGCUUGGGUGGCGGUCCAUAGGAAGAUCACACGGGUACUCCGGGAUUUCCAAAAAAUAUAGGCAACACUAGGUACUCCAGGUGCCUCGAUCCACCCAGUUGUUUGAUUAAGUUGCCACCUUAAGUUGAACCAUUAAUUUAACAAUCUCACAUCUGUCAUGGAUUUCACUCAAACCCAAACCAUGUCUACGAGCAUAGCAUAGCAUAGUAAUAUAAGCAACACGUAGAGUAACUCCCAAGGGUUUGAAUGUAACAGGGCAAUAGGUUCUACCUCAUCAACUACUUCCCAACCCACAAGUUAAUGACAUCCUAAUCAUGCAAUGUUUGAGGAUUGGAACUAAUGCAUAAAAACUGGGUGAUAAAGGGGUAUGAUCAAAGUGUUACUUGCCUUGCUGACGAUCUGCGAAACCUAGGGACUCGUAGUAGCACGCUUCGCACUCCGGGUGUUCUAUCGCAAGCAAACAAUAGCAUACAUAAGUAAUAAGCAACGAUGCACAAGCAAAACUCAAAUAAAAGAGGUUGACCAGAAAGUUCAAUUUAAGAACUCCGGUUCGCAAAAAGAAUCAAAUCAAACGGAGCAACGAAACUCAAAUUGCGAAAGAAAGAAACUUCGUUUACUAAUCUGAAACUAGGUCAAAUUUUAAAGUAGAGAAAACUUGUUUGAGUUGGUUAAACGGAAAGAGGGUUUCGAGAUGAAACUCUAGGCGCUUGAAUCGCCUGAUUCCGACUAACGAGCGAAAAGAUAAACAGAAACUAAGAUCAGAUCAGAAAUCACGAUCAGAGAAAAAUCGCGGAAUAAAUCCGAUAAAAGAAAACUGACGAACAGACUAACGAACGAGCGUUCAUUAGCUGUAUCUAACGGGCAAAGAACCGUUCAUUAAAACGAACGUUCGAACGAACCUCUGCUAACUAGAAGAACCGAGAAAAACCGGCGAAUCCAAAAAAAUGGAUCUAGGGUUUCUAAAAAAACCGAACAGUUUAAAACAAUAAUAAAAAAACCGGCGGAGGAGUCCGGCGACUACCUCCAGCGAGAGGUCCGGCGAGGCGAGGUGCGGCGGUGGAGCGGCGGCUCGCGGGGGCGGCGGCGGCGUUCGGCGGCGGCGGCUAGGCGCGGCGCGGCGGUGGCUGUGGGGGUGGGGNNNNNNNNNNNNNNNNNNNNNNNNNNNNNNNNNNNNNNNNNNNNNNNNNNNNNNNNNNNNNNNNNNNNNNNNNNNNNNNNNNNNNNNNNNNNNNNNNNNNNNNNNNNNNNNNNNNNNNNNNNNNNNNNNNNNNNNNNNNNNNNNNNNNNNNNNNNNNNNNNNNNNNNNNNNNNNNNNNNNNNNNNNNNNNNNNNNNNNNNNNNNNNNNNNNNNNNNNNNNNNNNNNNNNNNNNNNNNNNNNNNNNNNNNNNNNNNNNNNNNNNNNNNNNNNNNNNNNNNNNNNNNNNNNNNNNNNNNNNNNNNNNNNNNNNNNNNNNNNNNNNNNNNNNNNNNNNNNNNNNNNNNNNUAUAUAAAGGGGCAGGGCGGGGCAGCUUGGAGGAGGGGCCAAGGCGGCGGCGGCGCGCGCGCGGGGAAGGCGGCAGCCGCCUGGCUCGGCUGGGCCUUAGGCCUAGUCGGGCGCGGGAACUUUUUUAAAAAUAAAAUAAAAUAAUUUUGCCGACUGAAAUAAAAUCCUAGAAAAAUAAAUAAAAAUCUAAAAAUGCCAAAAUAAAUUUUCAUCGUCCAAAUAAAAUAUUUAGAACAAGAUGAACAUUUUCUUGGCCCUAAAAUGCAAUUUUGAAAACGUGCAAUUUUUCUAAUGCAAACAAAAUUGCAAUAAAAUCCAAAUAGAACAAAUAUUUGAUUUUAAUAUAUUUCCUCAAAUAUUUCUUUUAUUUUGGAGAAUUCAUAUUAUCUCCUCUCUUGUAUUUUAAUAUGAAAUAUUUUCGGAGAGAAAAAUAAUUAAAACCAAAAUCCUCGUUUCAAAAUUUGAUAAAAGAAUCAAAUAUGAAAACCGGGAAAUCCCCAACUCUCUCCGAGGGUCCUUGAGUUGCUUAGGAUUUCGAGUAUUACGGAACGGAAAAAGCAAUAGAACAUGAUAUGCAAUGAUGAUCUAAUGUAUAACAUUCCAAAUUAAAAAUUUGGGAUGUUACAAACCUACCCCCCCUUAAGAUGAAUCUCGCCCUCGAGAUUCGGGCUGGCUAGAAAAUAGGUGCGGGUGGUCUUUGCGGAGAUCAUCCUCUCGUUCCCAGGUGGCUUCAUCCUCGGUAUGGUGGCUCCACUAAACUUUACAAAACUUGAUAACCUUACUACGGGUGACUCUGCUGGCAAACUCAAGAAUCUUAACUGGUUUCUCCUCAUAAGUCAAAUCACUGUCCAACUGAAUCGCCUCUAGGGGUAUUGUAUCUCUUAGCGGUAUAUCUGCCAUCUCAGCAUGACACUUCUUCAGCUGUGAAACGUGAAACACGUCAUGAACUCCCGACAAUCCCUCGGGUAACUCCAACUUGUAGGCAACUUCUCCCAUCCGUUCCAAAAUACGAUAUGGUCCUACAAAUCUCGGGGCUAACUAUCCCUUAACUCCAAAAUGUUUCACUCCUCGCAAGGGUGAUACUCGCAUAUAUGCUCGGUCUCCAAUUUCAUAGGUUACCUCCUUGCAUUUUGAGUCAGCAUAACUCUUCUGCCUGGACUGAGAAAUCUUCAGUCUGUCAUGAAUCAAUUUAACCUUCUCCUCAGACUCCUUGAUCAAGUCUGGUCCAAACAACUGUCGGUCUCCUACCUCGUCCCACAUUAACGGUGUUCUGCAUCUUCGUCCAUACAUGGCUUCAAACGGUGCCAUCUUCAAACUGGCUUGAUAGCUAUUGUUGUAGGAAAACUCUGUGUAUGGCAAAUUGUCAUCCCAACUAGAUCCAUAAUCUAGCACACAGGCUCUCAACAUGUCCUCCAGAGUUUGGUUGACUCUCUCUGUUUGUCCAUUUGUCUGCGGGUGAAAUGUUGUACUAAACUCCAAUCUCAUUCCCAAGGUCUGGUGCAACUGGUGCCAAAACUUUGAGGUAAACUGUGUUCCUCGAUCUGAUACGAUGGUCCUCGGAACUCCAUGCAGACAUACGAUUCUGGACAUAUAUAUCUUAGCCAACUUUGCACUUGUAUAGGUGGUUUUCACUGGGAUGAAGUGAGCUACUUUGGUCAAGCGAUCAAGUACUACCCAUAUGGAAUCAUAUCCUGCUUUGGUCCUGGGCAAUCCGGUGAUAAAGUCCAUGCCCAGUUUAUCCCACUUCCAUUCGGGUAUCGGCAUAGGCUGUAACAGUCCUGCUGGCUUCUGAUGCUCUGCCUUCACGCGUUGACAUACAUCACAUACUGCUACAUACUCGGCAAUAUCCUUCUUCAUACCGGUCCACCAGAAAUGUUCCUUCAAAUCCAAAUACAUCUUGGUGUUUCCGGGGUGUAUCGAGUAUGGUGAGUCAUGGGCCUCUUGAAGUAUUAACUUCCUGAUCUCCUGGUUAUUGGGCACAUAGAUUUGGUCCUCAAACCAUAAGGCAUCAUGCUCAUCCUCAUGAAAACCUUUGGCCUUUCCUUUGCCCAUCUUCUCCUUUAUCUUGGCAAUCUCCUUAUCCUCCUUCUGAGCUUCCCGAAUCUUGUCCAGCAAUGUCGACUGGACCUCCAUUGUUGCAACGGAUCCUCUAGGAACAAUCUCCAAUCGAAGUUCCAUGAUAUUCUCUGCUAAUUCCUUUGGCAGUCCCUUACUUUCAAGGAUAUUAGCAUAACUCUUCCAGCUCAAAGCGUCUGCUACGACAUUGGCCUUUCCUGGAUGAUAGUGUAGCUUCAUGUCAUAAUCCUUUAUAAGUUCCAACCAUCUCCUCUGUCUAAGGUUCAGUUCCUUCUUGGUGAAAAUGUACUUCAAACUCUUAUGGUCCGUGUACACAUCACAACGGUUUCCAAUAAGGUAAUGUCUCCAGGUCUUCAAUGCAUGUACUACGGCUGCUAACUCUAAAUCAUGCGUGGCAUAGUUCAACUCAUGAGGUUUUAGUUAUCGUGAGGCAUACGAAACAACUCUCCCGUCCUGCAUAAGCACACAUCCGAGUCCUAAGCGUGAGGCAUCACAGUACACUUGGAACUCCUUAUGUAUAUCUAGCAGUGUUAGCACUGGUGCUGUAGUCAAACGUUUCUUCAAUUAUUGGAAACUUGCCUCGCAAUCUUCUGUCCAUUUAAACUUAGUAUCCUUCUUCAACAGUUCAGUCAUUGGCUUUGCAAUCUUGGAAAAAUUCUCAAUGAAUCUCCGGUAGUAUCCUCCGAGUCCAAGAAAACUGCGGAUCUCGCUAACUGAAGUGGGUGCCAACCAUUCAAUGACUUACUGAAUUUUGCUGGGGUCUACUACUAUACCUUCUCCCGAUAUAACAUGUCCAAGGAACCCGACUUCCUUCAACCAAAAUUCGCAUUUGCUAAACAUAGCAUACAACUGGUGUUCCCUGAGUUUCUCGAGAACUAAGCGCAAAUGCUCCUUGUGCUCCUCCUCGUUCUUUGAGUAUACCAUAAUAUCAUCUAUAAACACUACAACAAACUUGUCCAAAUACUCCAUGAACACCUUAUUCAUCAUGCUCAUGAAAUAGGCAGGGGUGUUAGUCAGUCCAAAUGACAUGACCGUGUACUCGUAUAAUCCAUAUCGUGUUGUGAACACUAUCUUCGGUACGUCCUUCUCUCGUAUCUUCAACUGAUGAUACCCCGAUCGCAAAUCGAUCUUCGAAAACACUUUAGCUCCUUGCAACUGAUCAAAUAGAUCGUUGAUCAUCGGCAGUGGGUACUUGUUCUUAAUCGUCACUUCAUUUAAUGCUCGAUAAUCAACAACCAUCCUCAGGGAUUUAUCCUUCUUCUCAACCAAAAGUACUGGGGCUCCCCAAGGUGAUGAACUUCUUCGGAUGUAUCCUUUCUCCAAUAACUCCUUGAUCUGCUUCUUAAUUUCUUCCAGAUCAUUUGCGGGCAUCUGAUAGGAUCUCUUGGAUAUUGGUCCUGUACCUGGCAACAACUCUAUCAAAAACUCAAUGUCUCUAUCCGGUGGCAUGCCUGGUAACUCCUGUGGAAAAACAUCCGGGUAAUCCUUCACUACAGGCACUUCCUCCUGAACAACUCCCGUAAGGGCAUUCACUUGACUCCUCCUAGGCACAUGCCUAGAUACAUACUUAAUCCUUUUUCCUUCCGGGAUGGUGAGAUAAAUCGACUUACUAGCAUAGUCAAUGCUUCCUCCAAACUUUGACAUCCAGUCCAUACCCAAUAUCACAUCCAGUCCUUGUGACUCCCAAGAUAAUUAGGUCGGACGGAAAAACAUGUGUACCAAUGGUUAAGGGUAUAUGGUCACACCAUCGGCUGGCCAUAUACUCUGCUCCGGGUGAACUUACUAAAAGAGGGGUCCUAAGGGUUUGCGUUGGUAGUUUAACCUUAUCCACGAAUCCCCUUGAUAUGUAUGAAUGUGAUGCACUAGUAUCGAAAAGAACAAGAGCGGUAAAUGACUUAACCAAAAACUUACCUAUUACCGCGUCCGGCUGCUCUUCAACCUCCUCCACGUUAACGUGGUUCACUUGUCCUUUGUUGAAUGGAUUUGGCUUCUUCCCAGUGCUCCCAUUUCUAUUUCCAUUCUUUCCUUCAGGGCACUUCGUGACGUAGUGUCCAGUCUUCCCGCACUUGAAACAAGUAACAUGACUUCAGUCUCUUUUGGCGGGUGUGGCUGGGCUGGGGCGGUUAUGAUUAUUGUUGGUUCCAUUUCCAUUCCCAUUCUUAGAACCAUUGUGGUUAUGCAAUCCUCCUCCAGUGUGGUUGUGACCUCCAUGGUUAUGAACAAGUCCUCCCGAGUUCGGGGUUAGGCGAGGUUUCUGCUGAGCUCCUGAGUUAUACUUCCCCUGUCCAUACUUCCUCUUGCGGCUCUCAAUCUGCUGCUGCUUCCCUUCAAUCAUAAGAGCCUUAUCUACCAACUCCUGGUAGUUGUUGAAGGUUGCUACCAUCAACUGCAUACUCAUCUCAUCAUUCAGCCCUUCCAUAAACUUCUCCUGCUUCGCGGCAUCUGUGGCCACAUCAUCAGGGGCGUAGCGAGAUAACUUGCUAAACUCAUCCACGUACUGAGCCACAGUACGGUUCCCCUGGCGUAGGUUGCAGAACUCCCGCUUCUUCAUUUGCAUAGCUCUAGUGGAGACAUGGGCUGUGCGGAAAGCUUGCUGAAACUGGUCCCAAGUGACAUUGGCUAUAGGAAAAGUGGCUGUGUAAUUCUCCCACCAUGAGGCUGCUGGUCCAUCCAAUUGAUGUGUGGCAAAGCGCACUCUCUCAGCAUCUGUGCAACCUGCGGUGGUCAACUCCCUUCCAAUAUGGCGUAGCCAAUCGUCCGCAACUAUGGGCUCGGUGCUACUGGAAAACACCGACGGCUGUAACCUUAGAAAACGGGCUAGGUUGUCCACGGGCGGCGGGUUGUUGUUGUUGCCCUGAUUCUGAACUAGCAAUUGCAUCAAUGUAUUCUGCUGUUGGAUCAAUUGGGUGAGCUCCGGUGGGAAGGCAAAACCGGUGUCACGUCUCGGAGGCAUCUGAGGGGUUUAGAUGGAAGAGAUUAGAAUAGAAAAGAGGUCUAAUGAGAAAUCACUACCCAUAUGCACAUGAGACAAACACAAUCAUUUCACUCAAUCAAUCAAGCAAGGGAAUACAACGAUCUAGAACUAUCGCAAGUGCUCAACUACUAGUAAAUACAUGGGGGAAUACUAGUGAUAUAUGGCAGUCAUCUAGAAAUUUUGAUCGGUGGAAGACUCCAUGAUGUCUGCUCCAGCUUCGUCUUCAUAGUCAUCAUCACUAGGAUCGGAAUCGGUGUCGUCGAUGAUGAUGUAGUUGUCCGGGCAAGUGGGAUCUUCGUCUUCGUCUCCCGGUGCUGGUCCUCCCAUGAAUACUCCGAUCUUCUUGACUAGGUCGUCAUUCUUCUCCAGUAGUGUCUUGAUUUCCUCCUCAUAUCCAUCGCGUGCAAACUUGAGUUCUUCCUCCAGUUUGAUGAUCCUAGUCUUUGCCUUCUUCAAGUCCAUCAUGUCCGCGCACAUCUGGUUUUCCUGACGUCGGAUGUGCUGGUUUAACUCCUGGAUGAAAGCUGCAAUGGAUCUUUCCUUCCUGGUGCUGAUUACUUCCCAUUGCUCGUCUCGGUGCCCACAUAUUUGGUAAAUAAUGUCCUUAAGCUCCCUGUUGUAAACUUCUCCAAUGCGUCCAAUGGUAAUGUGGGCUGCCAUGCUCUUUCCUAGACUCCAGGUGGGUGCUUCAAACCAAAACUCUAUGGGUUUAGAAGUUGGCGAGAACGUCCUUCCUGGAACUUGUACUUCAAUCAUCCAGCGCUCCUCUUCAGGUAAAGUGGCGUUGUACGUCCCGGUGAAGCUUGGUAUUCCAAUGUUCAAGUACCUAGAGACUUCCUUCAAGUGACGUCCAAAAGGUGUGUCUUCAUCCGGUUGUGCAAACUUGUUCUUCAUCUCCGUCAUCCUAAAGAGUAGAAAAUGGAGAGGAGUCAGAAAUGAGAAGAGAGGUGUGACCUAGGGUUUAUCUUAGUGGUCGUGUCCUACACUCAGCGUGUGCUCUGAUACCAUCUUGUAGCGACCCGACCUUAGAUGGUCAAGUCUCUGUGCUUCAGUGUCAUCCCUGGAUCGGUAAUGCUGACACACACAGUACUGGAAGGAUUUAUAACAGAGUGGAAAUCACACACUUAUUACAUCGAAUGUCUCAAAAGAAGACUUAUUACAAUAAUAUGGCUUAAGGCCAUCUAAUACGAUAAUAGCGGAAGGCUUGGAAGAUAAAGUGAGUCCAUCAACUCCAACGGCAUUGUCGAAUUUCGAGUUCCGGCAGACCCUUGAGGUUCGAACACUGGGGUGCGUGCGGAGAUUUCGCCUUCUACCUACCUGCACCCCUCCGCCUCGCUAAGAUCUAAGCUAUGGAAAGAACAGCACAAGAGACACAGGGUUUAUACUGGUUCGCGCCACCGUUGUGGUGUAAUACCCUACUCCAGUGUGUGGUGUGGUGGAUUGCCUCUUGGGCUGAUGAUGAUGAGCAAUACAAGGAAGAACAGCCUCGCGAGGGUCUGUUCUUGGCUAGGGGGAUGAACUACUAGGAGGAGUUCAGUCACCCUUCUCUCUCUCUCUCUCUUCUCGAUUCUCUCUCUGAUUUUCCUCUCAAUCUCUCUCUGAUCGAUCUCCAACUGAUCGAUCUCGAACUCCCUUACCCUGGGGGUGGCUAGUCCUAUUUAUAGGCAAAGGCCCUGGGCCUCUUCCCAAAUAUUGAGCGGGAAGGGCGCCGACAAUUGGCCAUUUUGAAGGGGAACAUCUGGUACACUUAUCCUGACUAAAGUUGGUCCUCGCCUGCCAAAGGCUCUGGUGGUGACGCUGGCUUGGGCUCCACAAUGACUUCCUCCCUGCCGUUGGACUGGUCUUGGUCUCGUUGCACCGAAACGGGUGCCUUUGCUUGAUGCUCUCGCCUGCUCUUGCUCCCUUUGCACCAAAGAGGAAAGGAGGACACUGCGCGGCUGGCGCCUGCCUGGCGCCUUUGGUCGUCAUGGCUUGCCUCACGGGCACCUCGUGAGGUACCCCGCCUUGAUCUCUCCGCCUCCUCGCGAGCCAGCCUGAUGAGGCCGUGCCUGAGGAAGCUCCGUGUCAUCCGCCCCGCGAGGCUUGGCCCCUCGCGAGGGUCGUGGGUCUGUGUUGAUGAAGAUGGGCCAUGCUGGGCCCACCUUUGAGCCACGCCGCAGGCCGCAGGCAGGCAAGUCUAGGGACCCCCGUUCCCAGAAUGCCGACAGUAGCCCCCGGGCCCAAGGCGCGCCCGGACUUGGCCGUGCAGGGAGGCGAAAGGGCAAGAGCGAAGCGCCGCGGGCCCUAACAGCCUACGGCCUUGGGCACCGCGUGGCGGUUGAUUGGACGUGGGUGUCUCUGCUUCCCCACGGUGCCUCGGCAACUGCACGGAUUGGACAAGUCCCUGUAUGCCAAGCGGGUCAUGAUUACCUGCGAUUGUGGGGGCCGACGGUUGGCCCUCGCCGGCUAUAAGUAUGGAUCGUCGCGCGCCCUUCCAGUUCAUCCCCCCUUGCUUCUCCUUCUUCUUCAUGGCCCCGUCGAGGAGGUUCUUGGCCGCAGAGAAGGGGAAGGCUCGCCAGGUUGAGCCUGCCUCUCCCCCGCCCAAGCGCGGCCGAGGGCACCCUCGCAAACAUCCUGUGGCCACCACGGCAGCUCCACGCGGCCGUGGAGACGAUUUCCAGCACGGUGACGGGCGGACUGCUGCGGCCGAGGGGCGCGCUUCGGUCGCACGUCCCCCUAGGCCGCGCUUUCGCGCUGUAGAGGUGCUGCCGGAGUUCGUUGUGUGGUCGGCGGAGCCGACUAGCACCCGGCUUCAACUUCCUCGCUUCCUCCUCGGCAAGCUCCCGGUCGGCGCUCCGGGCGGCCUCUGGCUUCAGGCAGACGGAUGCUGCAGUCGGGACUCAUGGGCUUCACUGGAGGUCUCCGCAGCCGGGAGCCUGACCUUGACCCGCGGUUGGCAGACGUUUGCCCGCGCGCGUGGCCUGAGCCGUCAGUGCACCCUGCACUUCAAGUUUGACGGCGAUGCCACCCUCUACGUGAGGGUGUUUGGGGAAGAUGGUCGCCACACAGGGAGCUGCCUUGAGGACGACAACCGUGGCUGGGAACCCAGCCCCGACGAUGAUGGAGAGGACAGCGCUCGCGUGAUUGGCGGCGCUCAGGGUUCCCCAAGCUUCACCGGUUCUUCUUCAGGCGACGACUCUUCUAGCGGUGGCCGCGGUCAGCCUCCACGCUGUCGCACCUGCUUGGGAGGUGGUAGCAUGUCUGCCCGCUGUCGCGCCUUGGUGAAGCGCGAGAGGGAGUCUGCUUGAGCCCCGGAGGCAGCUCGAGUCUUCCCUGCAGGCCGGUGUGAGGUGAGCUGCGCCUGAUUUGUUCUUUCUUUUCCUUUUUCCUGCGUACAAAGACAGUAGCGUGGAGCCCCGCGGGGGCGUGUUUGGGUUAUUGCUGUUAAUCAUCGCUUUGCUUCCGUUAUCGUGCCUUCCGGCUAUGUGCCCGCACGUGGAUAGUUCCCGGCCCCAGCCGUGGGGGGGGGGGACCGACCCAGGCCCUGUGUUCGUGUCGCGGUGCCUGUGGGGCAUGGACUGGAGGGGUGCUCCUGUAAUGGACCCAGGUCGCGAAACCUUUGAACGACUAGGACAGGAACACUCGCAAGGGCACUCGGCUGCCCCCCUCGUGAGGCCUUGCAUAAGAGAAAUCGAGGCAGGAGAGUGAAAAGUCGAAGAACCACAGGCCAAAGGUGGCAACAACUUCAAUAAAACUUCGAAUGAGAAUGAACAAGCCAACUGCGGAAAGCAAAUGAAAAAGCCGCGUCCGGCACCUAAUCUAGUCUUCGACGUCUUCUCACCAGCGCGGAGCUAAGUGCUGCCACUGGGCGUGGGAGGGAGCCCCAGGGCCUGAGGCCAGCGCUCCUGAGACUCCGGGGCGUGUAUAGCCCCAACUCAUUAUUACGUGAGAGUGUCAUGGGCGGCAAGCUUCACAGGCGUUGGCCUUCUUCACAGGCUCCGGGCCUUUUCCAAAAUGCGACAGCUUCACAGGCAUUCGCCUUCUUCACAAGCUCUGGGCCUUUUCCAAAACGUGACAGCUUCACAGGCAUUCCCCUUCUUCACAGGCUCUGGGCCUUUUCCAAAACGCGACAGCUUCACAGGCAUCCGCCUUAUUCACAGGCUCUGGGCCUUUUCGAAAAAGGAUAGUCUUCAUAGGCAUUCGCCUUCUUCACAAGCUCUGGGCCUUUUUAGGGGUAGAACCUCCAGAGGUGCUGGAUGUUCCAUGCGUUUUGGACCGGCACCCCCUCCUGAGUCUCCAAGCGUGCGGAGCCGGGCCUGGAAACAUGAACAACCUUGAACGGGCCCUCCCACAUGGGAAAGAGCUUGUGCAGUCCUUCCCUGGAGAGAACCCGCCUGAGCACGAGGUCUCCUACCUCGAGAGUUCUGGGGCGGAUGUUGCGGCAGUGAUAUCGUCGCAGUGCUUGUUGGUACCUCGCCACUCGUAGUGCAGCUUCUCGGUGACGUUCCUCCCCCAGCACGAGGUCCAUCCCCCGCAUGGUGUCCUGUUGCGCCUCAUCAAAUGCCAGGACCCGCGCGGAGCGAUGUUUGACCUCGUGAGGGAGGACCGCUUCGGCUCCGUAGACCAGGAAGAACGGGGUCCCUCCAGUCGGCUUGGUCGCGGUUGUGCGGAUGGACCACAACAUGGACUGAAGCUCGUCGUACCAACCUGUGCCGCAGGCCUCCAGCUUCUUCUUGAACGUCCUGGUCUUGAGGCCCCUCAGGACCUCUACGUUGGCUCGCUCGGCCUGGCCGUUGCUUCGGGGGUGCGCCACCGAAGCGUAGCAUAUCUGCGUUCCAAGGUUAGCACAGUAUGUUUUGAAGAGGUUACUGGUGAACUGUGAACCGUUGUCUGUGAUGAUGCGGUUUGGCACCCCGAACCGGCUCACGAUGCCCCUGAUGAACUUGACCGCAGAACACGCGGGGAUGGUGCGGAUGGCCUCUACUUCAGCCCACUUGGUGAACUUGUCCACGACGACGUAGAGGUAGCAGUAGCCCCCUGGCGCCCGAGGAAACGGGCCCAGGAUGUCCAGCCCCCAGACUGCGAAUGGCCACGAAAGGGGUAUAGUCUGCAGGCCUCCCGCCGGCUGAUGGAUCUGCUUGACGUGGAACUGGCAGGCCUUACAAGCUUUCACCAGUUCAACGGUGUCAUUGAGUGCGGUGGGCCAACAAAACCCACUACGGAACGCCUUGCCGACGAGGGUCCGUGACGAUGAAUGACGUCCACAGUCUCCGCCGUGUAUAUCUUCCAGCAGUUCCUUUCCUUGCUCCCUAGAGAUGCAGUGCAGGGAUAUAUUGUUUGGUCGCUUCCGAUAGAGCUCUCCAUCCUUGAUGCAGUAUGCCGUGGCCUGCCGUGCCACACGCUCCGCUUCCUCCUCCUUCUCCGGCAGGGUCCCUUGUGUUAAGUAACUCCGGAGCUCCGUGAUCUAGCACCCCUCCUGAGGUUCCAUCAUCAGGAGCAGGCGUGCUCCUGAGGCCGGGCCACAGACCGGGGCUCCUGAGGCAGGUGGCUAGGGGAGCUCCUCCUGAGGCUGAGCUGUGUUUGACAAUGACGGCAGGGAUGAGGGCUUGAAGAGCCGCUCCUCGAAGACGCCAGGCUCCUGAGGUAACCGCCUGGACGCCCGUUUGGCGAUGUCGUCGGCCUCCUGAUUGGUGCCACGGGGCACAUGCUGUAACUCCAACCCCCAGAACUGCUUCUCCAUCCUGUGGACCUCCGCAAGGUAGGCUUCCAUGUGCUCAUCUUUCGGCUCGUACAACUUGUUGGAGAAAUUGACAAGGAGCUGUGAAUCGCCCUUGAUGGUGAGGCGUUUCACCCCUAGGGCAGCUGCGGCCUUCAAGCCCACUAUUAAACCUUCAUACUCCGCUAUGUUGUUGGAGACCUUUUCACCUUGCUGGAAACAGAGCUGUACAGCGUAGUAGAGCUUGUCCCGAGUGGGUGAUAUAAGCACCGCCCCAGCCCCAGCGCCAUGCCCGGAGAAUGCCCCAUCGAAGUACAUGACCCAACCUUCUGGCGCCUCGCUUCCCGGGGAGAGGGACCGAUCCUCGUCGGCCUUGAGGCCUGGUGCAUCCGUCCAUUCUGCCACAAAAUCCGCUAAUGCUACUCCCUUGAUGACUCUGGUCAUGCUGAAUUCGAGCUGAAACGCUUGCAGUUCUAUGUUCCACUCGGCGACCCUUCCAGCUGAGUUAGGGCUCCUGAGCACUCUCUCCAGGGGGUAUGCCGAGACGACCUUGAUGGGGUGACCCUAAAAAUAGUGCCGUAGCUUGCGCGAGGCCACCAGUAGCGCGAGGAGGAGCUUCUGAGGCAUGGGCUACCGUGCCCUCGCGUCCCGCAACACCGUGCUGACGAACUACACUGGGUGCUCAACGAGGUUGGGUGCACCAGUGCUGGUGGCGCCCUCCGGAGACCAUGGCGCCUCCUGAGGCGAUGAGGCCUCCUGAGGAUGGCCAUCUGGGAGAGGGGCCUCUUCCGCCUCCGGUGCACUCCUCUGUGGCGGCUGAUCCUCCUCAGCCGCGGUGGCGGUUUCUGUGGGCCUUCCUUGUUCCUGUUUUGCCUUGUCUCGGGCUGCUGCUGUGGUUUUGAUUCGACGCUCCUCCCUAACCGCCACCAGGGCUGCGCUGGCGGAGUAGGGAGUUGCGGCGAGGUAAAGCACCAGGGGCUCUUGAGGGCGCGGAGCCACCAUGACCGGAGGGCUGGUCAGGUAUCUCUUCAGUCCAUUCAAAGGGCCCUUUUUUCUUCAUUACUUGGAAGAAAGGCAGCGCUCGCUCCCCCAACUUGGAGAUGAAGCGCCCUAGCGCGGUCACGCGCCCAGUGAGCUUCUGCAUUUCUCUGAGGGUAUUUGGCGGGCUCAUGUCCUCAACCUCCUUGACCUUUUCCGGAUUAGCCUUGAUGCCUCGGUGGGACACGAGGAAACCCAAGAGCUUGCCCGAGGGGACUCCGAACACACACUUCUCUAGGUUGAGCCGCAGGUUCACUGCGUUGAGGCUCGCGAAGGUUUCCUCCAGGUCUUGUAUCAGGGUCCUGGCCUCCCGAGACUUCACCACAAUGUCAUCGACGUAAGCCUCAACAUUCUUCCCGAGCUGCGGGCCCAAGGUGAUGUGCAUCAGCCGCUGAAAGGUUGCCCCUGCGUUACGCAGCCCGAAUGGCAUGCAUGUGUAGCAGUACACCCCACACGGGGUUAGGAAGGAUGUCUUUUUGACGUCUUCUACCGCCAUCUUGAUCUGGUGAUACCCAGAGAAGGCAUCCAAGAAGCAUAGCAGGUCGCAUUCUGCGGUGGAAUUGACGAUCUGGUCGAUGCGGGGGAGCGGGAACGGAUCUUGCGGGCAUGCCUUGUUGAGGUUGGUGAAGUCGACACACAUGCGCUCCUUCCCUCCCUUCUUUGGCACAACGACAGGGUUGGCCAACCAAUCCAGGUAUCGGACCUCGCGAAUGACCCCAGCGGCUUCUAGUUUGCGGGUCUCUUUGACGAUGAAGGCCUGCUUUUCUGUGGACUGCCACCUUGCCUUCUGCUUCACAGAGCGCACGUUGGGGCACACGUUGAGGUGAUGCUCGAUUAGGCUCCUAGGGAUCCCCGCCAAUUGGUCAGGCUCCCAAGUGAAUACCUUCUUGUUUGCAUGCAGGAACCUGACCAGGGCCUCCUCCUGCUCGGGUUCGAGGUUGGCGCCUAUGGUGAAAGUGGCGUUGGUGGACCCGUCCUCAUCGAUGGGUAUCUGCUUGGUUUCUGCCUUGUCUUGGGUGAACAACUGUUUCUUCUUGGCGGGUGCAGCCCCCUUGGGCUCGGGGGUCUCCGAGUCGGCGGGCUGUGCCGACGCCGCCGUCUUGAAGGCGGGCUUCAGCACUCGCAGCGCGUCUCCGGUGUCCCCGUACAUGGUGAGGACACCGAUGCUCCCGGGCAUCUUCAUGAGGUUGUACGCCGGGUGCGUCGCGGCCAUGAACUGGGCCAGCGCUGGGUAGCCGAGGAUGGUGUUGUAGGGGAGGCCGAUGGGGGCGAUGUCGAAGUCAACCAGCUCCGUGCGGAAGUUGUUGUAGGUGCCGAAGGUUACAGGGAGCCGAAUCUGUCCCAAGGGGCUGGAUGAUCCACCCCAACGCCUGAGAAGGGCCGGCUGGGUUGCAGCCGUUCCAGGGGUAUGCAGAGGAGGUUGAAGGCCUCAACCGAGAGCACACUCAGGCCCGCACCGCCAUCGAUUAGAGUUCUGGUGACGACCACCUGGCAGAUGGUGGGGGUGCACAACAUGGGGAGCGCACCCGAGCAGGCCGAGUUGGAGGGGUGGUCCUCCGAGCUGAAGGUCAGGCCGGCCUUGGGCGCCGCCCGGUCCGAGGGAGCCCCCUGCCGCGUGGAAGCGGCGCUGACCCGGCGGAUGAACGGCUUGACGUGGUGACUCGUAGGCGGCGCCUGCGAGCCGCCCAGGAGGGCCGCGACGACCGGGGGUGUUGGUGUAGCGUGGUGGGAGGGGAAGAGGCAACGGAGCUCUUCCCAAGAGGCCACGGAGGCUGCUGGCAGGUGGAGCAGACAUGCGCGCGGAGCGCCGGUGAGGGCCAUGGGGAGCCAGUUGGCCAUGACCCUAUUGUCACUUCCAGCUUCGAGGAUGGCCUCCUCGUACGCCAGCAAGAAGGCCAGUGGAUCAGUCGCACCGCCGUAGCACGGCGGCGUCAUUGGCUUGAACUUGUCCGGCCACCGUACCCAUUGCAGGGCUAGGGCCAGGGCUCGGAGCCCCCUGGCCCCCGUGCUAGCGCUGGCGGCCGGAGCGGGCGACGCGCUACUCAUCGCGAGGCAGGUCGUGGCGGUGGCGGAAGGGAAAACUCCGGUGCACCCCUACCUGGCGCGCCAAAUGUCGGAUUUCGGGUUCCGGCAGACCCUUGAGGUUCGAACACUGGGGUGCGCGCGGAGAUUUUGCCUUCUACCUACCUGCACCCCUCCGCCUCGCUAAGAUCUAAGCUAUGGAAAGAACAGCACAAGAGACACAGGGUUUAUACUGGUUCGGGCCACCGUUGUGGUGUAAUACCCUACUCCAGUGUGUGGUGUGGUGGAUUGCCUCUUGGGCUGAUGAUGAUGAGCAAUACAAGGAAGAACAUCCUCGCGAGGGUCUGUUCUUGGCUGGGGGGAUGAACUGCUAGGAGGAGUUCAGUCACCCUUCUCUCUCUCUCUCUCUCUUCUCGAUUCUCUCUCUGAUUUUCCUCUCGAUCUCUCUCUGAUCGAUCUCCAACUGAUCGAUCUUGAACUCCCCUACCCUGGGGGUGGCUAGUCCUAUUUAUAGGCAAAGGCCCCGGGCCUCUUCCCAAAUAUUGAGCGGGAAGGGCGCCAACAAUUGGCCAUUUUGAAGGGGAACAUCUGGUACACUUAUCCUGACUAAAGUUGGUCCUCGCCUGCCAAAGGCUCUGGUGGUGACGCUGGCUUGGGCUCCACAAUGACUUCCUCCCUGCCGUUGGACUGGUCUUAGUCUCGUUGCACCGAAAUGGGUGCCUUUGCUUCAUGCUCUCGCCUGUGCUUGCUCCCCUUGCACCAAAGAGGAAAGGAGGACACUACACGGCUGGCGCCCGCCUGGCGCCUUUGAUCGUCAUGGCUUGCGUCACGGGCACCUCGUGAGGUACCCCGCCUUGAUCUCUCUGCCUCCUCAUGAGCCAGCCUGAUGAUGCCGUGCCUGAGGAAGCUCCGUGUCGUCCGCCCGGCGAGGCUUGGCCCCUCGCGAGGGUCUUGGGUCUGUGUUGAUGAAGAUGGGCCGUGCUGGGCCCCCCUUUGAGCCACGCCGCAGACCGCAGGCAGGCAAGUCUGGGGCCCCCCGUUCCCAGAAUGCCGACAGGCAUAGCUGAGCUGCACGACAACGACCUAACGAACCUUACUCCUCGUCUGAAAAGUCUGCAACAUAAUACGUUGCAGCCCGAAAACGGGUCAGCACAUGGAAUAUGCUCGCAACAUAACACAGUAGAGCAAGAACAAAAUAAUGCUACAACUAUAUGCAUAUAUGGCUGGUGGAAAGCUCUAUGGUUUAUAGUUUCUGCGAAAAGCCAAUUUUUCCCUAUAACAAAGGAAUAUAUUUUAAUUUUACUAUCAUGGUAGUUGAAACAUCAUUGAGAAGGUUCCUCCAACUCAAUCCCAAUUAAAGUGAUUAACAACCCAACAAUAUUAAUUAAACAUGAUGAGAUACAUGUGAUAACCCAAGUACUAGAUACUCAAGAAUUGUCCAUAACCGGGGACACGGCUAACCAUGAUUAGAUUGUACACUCUGCAGAGGUUUGCGCACUUUUCCCCACAAGACUCGAUCUCCUCCGUUGGAUUUCUCGCACUACAGGGUGUUUGAGAAACGGAUGACCGAGACACAGUCUUUCAGAAACAUUAACUCUCUACUCCGGAUGGACCAUAGAAAACCUACAUCCCACUACUUGUUGAUCUGCCUCUUCAAGAGCUUCACGUAACUUACUCAAGUAUGCUAGAGCCCAUAAUAGCCUGUGGAUGCACACGAAAGUUUCUAGCAUGAAUCAUCUCAGUUCCCUUUGAGCCUGGGUGGCGGUCCAUAGGAAGGUCACACGGGUACUCCGGGAUUUCCAAAAAAUACAGGCAAUACUGGGUACUCCAGGUGCCUCAAUCCACCCAGUUGUUUGAUUAAGUUGCCACCUUAAGUUGAACCAUUAAUUUAACAAUCUCACAUUUCUCAUGGAUUUCACUCAAACCCAAACCACGUCUACGAGCAUAGCAUAUCAUAGUAAUAUAAGCAACACGUAGAGUAACUCCCAAGGGUUUGAAUGUAACAAGGCAAUAGGUUCUACCUCAUCAACUACUUCCCAACCCACAAGUUAAUGACAUCCUAAUCAUCCAUAAUAGGUUCUAUCUCACGUUUGAUUUUAAUAUUUUUCCUCCAAUAUUUCAUUUAUUUUGGAGAAUUCAUAUUAUCUCCUCUCUUGUAUUUUAAUAUGUAAUAUUUUCGGAGAGAAAAAUAAUUAAAACCAAAAUCCUCGUUCCAAAAUUUGAUAAAAGGAUCAAAUAUGAAAACCGGGAAAUCCCCAACUCUCUCCGAGGGUCCUUGAGUUGCUUAGGAUUUCGAGGAUUACGGAACGGAAAAGCAAUAAAACAUGAUAUGCAAUGAUGAUCUAAUGUAUAACAUUCCAAAUUGAAAAUUUGGGAUGUUACAGAUACAUGUUUGUCACAGUAGGUCGCUUUUUUUGUCAUGCAUGUACAUCCAUGAUAAAUUUAUGACAGAAUCAAGAUAGUCAUACAUGUGCUGUCGUAGAAGUGUUCCAUGACAUUACCAAAAUUAUUGUCACGAAAGUGUCCACUUCCAUGACAAUAAAUCGCGCGUCACAGAAGUGCUUUCGUCAAGGGUGACCGACAUGUGGCAUCCACCGUAACGGAACGCCGUUAAGCUAUCGGGUCAGGUUUUGGAUCCGAUAACCCGUUAACAGCCCCGACCAAUGGGGAUUUUCCACGUGUAAAAUCAUCAUUGGCUAGAGGAAACACAUGUUGGCUCAUUGUUGGGACAGAUGUCAUCCACUCACUGGACAGAAGGCGCCUAUGAUACGUCGACACGUGGCACGGCCCAACAGUGGGCCAUUCCUGUGAAAAGGCCGGCCCAUUUGACUUGGUCAAAAUCUGGCGGGCCGGCCCAUGGAAAGCCUGUUAACGGCGUGUUCGCAUAUAGCCCAUUUACAGCCUGCUAACCCAAGACCCGUUACACCCUAUCCGAAUUAGGCCCAGUAGCGUCAUCUGGGCCGUCCAAUAGAUUCCAGCCCGUUUUCACUUCUGGCCCAUGUAUAGCCCAUGAAGUCUUUCGGCCCAUAUGAGGGCCUUUGUAACUCUUGGCCCAUUAGCGGCCCAUGCAGAAAUUGGCCCAUAAUGAACAGUGUAUCACUUUAUACCCAUUAACGGCCCGUGGUGAAACUGGCCCGUAAUGAACAGUGUAUCACUUUAUACCCAUUAACAGCCCGUUAUUCCGUUGGGCCGUCUCCACCCCCUCUUAUCUUUCGGCCUUCUCAGAGCCCAUUUAUUCUUGGGCUCAUUUCCAGCAUUCGUUUACUUACGGCCCGUUACUGUCAUUUUCUGCUUGUGGGCCAAAUUCAACCCGUGGUUACAGUCCGCCCGUUUGUGGUUUGUUAAUAUGUUGAGCCGUUUCCAUAGCGUCAUGAAAUAUAGCCUAUUAACGAUGGCCCGUUAUGGUUGGCCCAUGAACGGACGAUUCCAACUCUAGCCCAUUUACGGCCAGAAUGCGGUCUGUUUGGCCCAUGUUUGGCCAAUCGAUCAUACGGCCCGUAUAAGACCCAUUGACGAUACGGCCCGUAGAAGGCCCAUUGAUGAUAUGGCCCAUAGAAGGCCCAUUGUUUCUAUGGCUCGUAGAAUGCCCACUGUUUCUAUGGCCCGUAGAAGGCCCACUGUUUCUACGGCCCGUAGCAGGCCCAGUGUCACUACAGUAAAUAUUAGCCCAUGGUUAUUGUGGCCUCGUUUUAAAAAAUAGGUUAUUGCAGCCACUAGCAAACCGUAGAAAAAGAACUGCACUGACUACAAGCAAACAAAUAAACAAGACAACAAGGAAAUAAAUAAGCAAGCAACUUACACUAGGCUAUCACGGCUAUUACACAUAUUACAUCCACUGGGCAUCAAAGUUCGCCACCAGUGCAAAUAUAAGGAACACAGCAGCAUAUAAACGCCACAGCAAAACAAGUCCAGAACUGAAACUACUUCAGAAGAGCUCAAGAAACAAUAUCCUGGGUACCCAUAAUGCUGUCAUGAUGCUUAGCAAGCUUAUUAAGUUUCUCUUGUUUGGCGCUUAAGUCCUCCAGCGCUUGCCGUUGCACCAGAAAGUAUGCAUCUGAAUUCUGUAGGGACUUCCUCAGUCCUUCGGCUUCCUGUCGCAUAACAUCUGAUCGAUGUCUUUCAACUUGAAGUUGAGACUCAAGAAGACGAACUAAUUCAGGCAAUGAGUUCGAAGAGCUGGUGCCAGCAGUGGUAGCCAGUAACUCGAACACUACAUCAAGAAAGGACUUUGGGGUUGUCUCAGUGUCUUCUAUAUAGUUUUUAUCAGCUUUCUUGGAGACCAACAUGGAUGUCUCACUAUCUUGAACCUUAUCUGCAUUACUUCCUUUACCAUUGCAUAACAGGGUACUCUUCUCCAAUAUUUUAUCCGCGUUCUAAAAGAGAAACAAACAAACACAUCUCAGGUUUACAAUGUAGUAUAUGAAACUCAUUUUGGUAAACCAGUUCAGUAGUAAGGGGGACAGGAUAACAGCAUGAAACAAACAUAUAUCUAUGUAGUAUGGUCACUGUAUGGUCUAUAUCAUUCUAGUUUAUGUUGCCAAAUCAAGAUAGAUACAGUUUGAAUCAUAUCUAUUUAAGACAAAGCAGCAUAGGUAGAAUAUAAUUGUGGGAAACUACACAGCAAUAACAACACUUGUAAUGUGCAUGGCAUGAGAACAUAACUGUUUAUUCAAUUGAAACUGGAAUCAACAUAGAGCAAGUUACAACAGCAAACAGCCAAACACGUUGAAGAAACAUGUUUAAAACAUACCUGUUGCGCCAUUGGAGUUUCAAUUGCAUCCUUCAAAUUUGAAAUUAGUUGGUAUCAGUAAAUACAGUGAUGCAAGAGCAAAGUAGUAUGAACCAUAGCUACGGAACCUGACCUGAGAAUAGUUCUUCUUCUGGUUUAAGUGUUGACUUCGGGUUCGGAGUGGUGGUCCUCGUGAUUUGGGCACUGCAGUUGCCUUACUAACUGCUCGUGUUUGGGUGCUCUGUGGUGGAGACGGUGCUGUGUCAACGGGAACUGGGUGUCUAUCUGCUGGGGUUGGGGUUAGAAGGGGUGUAGCUGGUUCUCUGUCCAACUGGGUAGGGGUACAAUCUGCAUGAGUGUGGGUUAUGUUUGGUGGGGCUGGUUCUUGGGCAAGUACAACCGUGGUUCUAUCUACAUCAACAAGUAGCACGAUCUUUUCUAAAGACCGUGUUUUUACUCCCACAGAUACUGCCAUCACUACCUCCAAUUGAAAUGGCUGAUAAACAAGAAAAGUAAUUGAAUGUAAUUACAUUGUAAGAUAGACAGGUGCAAUGGAUAGUAGGGAAGAAAACAGGGCAUGAAAUAAUUCACAUUUAUGUUGUCUAAGCAAACAUAAUAGCAGGACAUAAUUUCACAUACAUGAUGGCUAAUUAAACAGGAUAGCAUGACACAAUUUCACAUGUAUGAUGGCUAACUAAACAGGAUAGAAUGACAUACUUCAAAAUACGAUGACUAUGUAAACAGGAUGACAUGAUAUAACUAUACUAUGUGUCUAUUAAAGUGGUUGGCAUGCCAUAAAUCACAAACAUGUCGUCGAUGGAAACAUGAUGGCAUGAUAUAAUUCACGGAUAGAAUGACAUAAUUUAAAUAUGAUGACUAUGUAAACAGGAUGAGAUGAUAUAACUAUAUUAUGUCUUUAGAAAAUGGGUUGGCAUGCCAUAAUUCAGAUACAUGCUGUCUAUGUAAACAUCAUGGCAUGACAUAAUUCAAAUAUAUGAUUUAUAUACUAAGUAAGUGAGCAGAGGGCAAUCGCAUAUAUGAUGUGUCAACUAAGGAGAUGGCAUUCAAUAUUGUGUAUAUGAUGUAAAAACUAAGCAUUGCAAUACAACAUAUGCAUUAUAUGAGUAAUAUACCCUGCCAAGUUUGAGCAUACACCUCAGGGGGAUAAUAGGACUAGUCAUCUGCUUCUGAAUCCUCCUCUGAAGAGCUAUCUGUAACCAACAAGAUAUCUGCUUCAGCAGGUAGCAUUGUCUGCUCUGAAGACCUUGUUUUCACUCCAGAUUUCUCCAUCACCAAUUCAAAUGGCUGAUGCACAGGAAGAGCAGUUGAAUAUACAAACAUUGUCGACAAAAGCAAUGAGAAAUACAAAAAAGGACGGCAUGAUAUAAUUCACAUAUAUGAUGCUUGCCUAAACAGCAUGGCAUUGCAUAAUUCACAUACAUAAUGCCUUGCAACAAGAUAACAUUGCAUAAUUCACAUAUAUAAUGUCUUGCAACAAGAUGGCAUUGCAUAAUUCACAUAUCUGGUAAUUAGACACUAAAUAGGUGGCAUUCACACAAAGCAUGUCUAAACUAAGCAAAUGACAUAGCAAUGCAAGAUACCAUACGCACGAUAUGAGCAACAUAACCCUGCCAAGUUAGGGCAUGCACCUCGGGGGGGGGGGGGAUAUGACUGGUCAUCUGUCUCUGAAUCCUCNNNNNNNNNNNNNNNNNNNNNNNNNNNNNNNNNNNNNNNNNNNNNNNNNNNNNNNNNNNNNNNNNNNNNNNNNNNNNNNNNNNNNNNNNNNNNNNNNNNNNNNNNNNNNNNNNNNNNNNNNNNNNNNNNNNNNNNNNNNNNNNNNNNNNNNNNNNNNNNNNNNNNNNNNNNNNNNNNNNNNNNNNNNNNNNNNNNNNNNNNNNNNNNNNNNNNNNNNNNNNNNNNNNNNNNNNNNNNNNCUCUAAGGAGCUAUCGGUAACCAGCAAGACAUGCGCUUCGUCAGAUAGCAUUGUCUGCUCUGAAGACCUUGUUUCCACUCCAGAUUUUUCCAUGACCGUGCCAAAUGGCUGAUGCACAGGAAGAGUAAUUGAAUGUACUAAAAUUCUUGACAAAUUUAACACGUAAUAAAAAAAUGAUAGCAUGAUAUAAUUCACAUAUAAGAUGACUGGCUAACCAGGGUGGCAUUGCAAAAUUCACAUAUAUGAUGCCUGGCUAGACAAGAUGGCAUUGCAUGAUUCACAUAUAUGAUAAAGAAACCAAAUAGAUGGCAUUGACACAAAGCAUGUCUAAACUAAGCAGAUGACAUCUUUAAUGUAUACAGUAAGCAAUGCAAGGCACCAUAUGCAUGAUAUUACCAACAUUAGCAUGCCAAGUUAGAGCGAAGACCUCAUGGGGUAAAUAGGAGUGGUCUUCUCCUUCUGAAUCCCCCUCAUAACAAUUAUCUUCCUCUUGAUUACGAUCCAAAAUGGGUGGAGGGGGGCUGCCUUUGCGCCCACCAUGGAACAACGUCUGCAUGAAAUUUUAUUGCCACGCAAGGCUUGUCUCUUUUGCUCUACAUGAUCAGUUCCAUUGUGUACAAUAACUGGCAUGCAUAGGAAUAAAACAUAGUGAGAUUAUGUAAGGAGUGCAUGCACAAAUCCAGAGUGAUGGUAGCAAACUGUGGAUAGACCCAAAACCAAUGAUAGCAGGCAGAUAAUAGCUUUAGUUAAAAAAUACAGAUAAUGGCUCCUUUAAUGUUUAUUUGCACCCAACAUGAAACUCAUAGUAGACACCAGAGAUUAACCAGAUAGUAGACAGAUAGUACUGAUUGCUGCCCCAAUAUGUACCCCACAACCAUUUAAAAACUCAAGUUUCAGCAUUAGUUUGGACCUGACUCAGAGUCUAAUAGGUGAACACGACGAUAAUGUAGCAUGUAAUCAUAUUAAGCGACGCAUAACGUAAGUAGACACGGAAGAGUGCAACUUCUCUUGCGUACCCGUGUAGUCCUCAAGGUCAUCUGCUCAGUUGAUGAUGGUAAUGCAGUUGCCGUGGCUACCGGCGGCGGGGAAGAAGAUCUGAGGCGGCGAAAGACAGUCUAGAGAGCGGAUCCCUGCUGUGGUGAACCCUUCUGUCGUUGGAGCAGCUGAGCUGGGGUGGAACACUGCGCCGCAGGAGCAGGACAAACCACACAAGGUUUUCUUUGACACAUAUCUGUAACAGAAGUAAUUGAGUAAGGGCUUGUUUGAAUUUGAGGAUUCUAACAAUGCAGAGAUAGGAAAUAGACGGGAAUAGGAUAGGAAUGCACGUGCAAAACAGAGAAUUUAAAAACAUAGGAUUUCUGCCAAUCUGGGUGUUUGAUUCACAACAAUUGGAAGAUCACAGGAUGCAAAAAAGCAUGGUGAGAUUAAGUCAAACCACAAGAAAAUGUACGGUUAUAAUGCUAUUAUGCUACUAUCUCUUAGUCUUGUGCUUGAUGAAUAGGAAUAUGAAAAGGAGGAGAAGUGGAAAUUAGAAUUCCUACGGUUUUUCUUUCAAGGAGACACUAAAGGAACAAAUCCUACAGUUUUCCUUUGCUCCAUUCCUUUGCACCAAAUUCAUGAAAAGUAGUACCAUAGGAAACUUUCCAAUUCCGAUGUUUUUCAUUCACUUUUCCUUUCAAGAACUGGCGAUUCUAGUAGGCAGGCUUGAGCAAGGAAAAUACUACACUAAAAAAAUGUUUUUGUGCUACUUCUAUUACUUUGGACCCAGGCCACUACCAUACUAGCUCAACUCCCAGGCCCAUCGACAAAUGCACAGCUCAAACGCGCAGUGAUAAAUAAUGAUGGCAUUCAAGAGAGUCCAUCACGGAUAGCUAAGUUGCCCGGUACCUCACUGCUUGUCAUAUAGUAGGAUAAAAUAAUCGUAUUUCCCGUUACUACGAGUGCUCAGUGGACAAUAUAUAUAACAUAUAGAGUAAAAAAAGAGAUGCAACAAGUGUACAACCUCUUUGGCGAAGCCAUGUCGAUUUCAGCGUGAUUGGGUUGGCCGGUGAGGAUGCUCCGGCUGACUUGGCUGUCGGAGGAGGGGAAUAAGAUCUUAGGCGUCUGGAGAUGGAGCCCGAGGUACUGCUCCGCUGUGAUGGAGGGUUUCAUCAUUGGAGCAACUCUGGUGAGUUGUACGACGCCGAGGCUGAAACAGGACAAGAGAGACAAUGAACAACGUUAACCGGAGUGGAAUUCUAAUAGCAUCUCCAAUACAUGACGUAAAAUACAUAAACACAAAGUGCUAGAUGUAAAAUACAUCAGCCGCUCAUCUCUGAACUUAACUGUCGGAACUGAAUUUAACUGUCGAAACUGAACUUAACUAUCGAAACUGAACUUAACUAUCGAAACUGAAUUUUGCUGUCGAAACUGAAUUUUGCUGUCGAAACUGAACGCACUAGAGGUGAGGCUACACGUCGGCCGACUGACUUUUUCAUCUCUGGUCAGUCGAUUUUGCAGCCGUUGGAUACGAAAUCAAGGGCCUGCGGUUCAUCUUCAACCUCCACCCCCCUGAGCCGGCCAAAGAGCAGCCCCCCGCCGCCCGCGGCCGGCGAUGCGCCGCCCCGCCCGCCCUGAAAACACUCCCCACCGUCGGUCCGCCGCCGCCCCAGCCAUCCCUCUAGCCCUCCCCCCCCCUCCCGUGCUGAGCUUUUUCUCCGACGAUCCCCACGCCACCGCCCCGCCACCGCCCCGCCACCGCCGGCGACCACCGCCCCCAUCCUGAACCCUAAGAUAGAUAGUGGGGUACCUCUCCGGCAAGCCCCCCUCCCCGUUGUGGCUGGUUCUUCCUUCACCCCGGCGGCAUCGGAGUGAAGUGCAGCUAAAUCGGAGCAGCAUCGCAAGCAAGAGAAAGAGCGAGAGCAGCAGCGCGAGCAAGAGCAAUAGCAAGAGCAGACCAAGCAGGGGACCGAGAGCAAGAGCGGAGGAGCAGCGCGAGCGACAGCUAAAGCAGCAAUAGGUCCUACUGAUGUGGACAUCGCCAUCGAGGGAGCGACGCCGUGGAGGAAGUGGCCGGCGAUGCCGCCGUGGAUGGAGCCGCGCCGUGUCGGCUCGGGACCGAGCGCCGGCAGCACCGUGAGAUCGAAUCAAGAAGAAAAUGCGGCGAUUAGUGUACAAACUCUUUGGUGGCGCCGAUUAGGCCGCAACUUCAUCCGAGGAAAUGGUGAUGAUGAUGCUCUUCUAGUGGUGCGGGUGAAGACGGUGGUGUGGGAAUGGAGGUGGCGUGAAUGACGAGGGGAACGUCGGGGCAGCUCCUUGGAGGUGGAGGACGGUGUGGCUGAACCGGCGGGACAAUGAGAUCGACGAUGGAUCCUCAUCUGGUACGGUGGAUGAGGGACGUCGAGGUGUUGCUGUGGACGAUGUCGUUGGGGAAGAGGCUCCGGCUGGGUGGCGGACGGAGCAAGGUGUGGGGUUUCAUCGCGGGUUUUCGCGUCCUCGGUGUACGAAUGGGUGGGCGGAUGGGAUGGCAGUGGGGAACCAUGGCUUAGAGACGCGCUUGUCUGAAAUGUGGGGUAAGUUACGAAAGUACCCCCACCGAUUUGAGGCGGUUCUUUCAGUUCAGGGGUACCACGGGCAUUUCACGUGUCGGGAUUUCACAGGAGGUGGGAGUUUUCGCGCGCGUUGUAAUUUCGGAAUAGCAAGGCGCGGGUAGAGAUGGAGGGAGUUGUCGGAGCACAAUGAGACAAAGAUAUAUCUUAAAUAUUUCGGGCUAACAAGGCGCGGGUUGAAGAGGCGGGAGUUUCCCAGCACGAUAGAAAGAGACGCUAGCUUGAAUUUUCGGCAUAACAAGGCGCAGCUUGAAAUUUCAGAAGAACAACCUUAACGUGUACCCAAAAAAGACAAUUUGCACCUAAACACGCACAACACACACACAAACACCAUUUAGACUAGAGUAAGGUACAUGUGCAUUGCACACAUGAGAUUUGGCAACCAAAUUAUGAAUAAAUACCACAUUAUAGCAUGCAAGAUUUGAGUCAUAUAUGCAUGAUGUAGAUGUUCGUUUAAUUCUUAUAGUUCAUUUCAAUCAAAAUCAUCUUGUUUUUAUAAGAAAGCUAAUCUAUUUUAAGAUUCAUGGAAUUGUGCGUCGUAAGACAUAAAGUAAAAACAAAUAAUGGCAAAUCAUGUAGAAAAACAUUUGGGCAACUCUGAUACAGAAGAUUCUAGAACAAAUAAGAAGUGCUUGUGUUUUGAUGUUUGUGCAUUAUGCUUAAGUUCAACCAUGGAGUCUUCUAGAUUAUACAUGUGGCGAAAUCUGGUGGAAUCUAGAUGAUAUCCAGCGGCCAGUAGUGCUCAAAUUUGCCAUCUUUGGACCAUCAGAUUCGCCUCAUCCAACGACCAUCUUUCAAAGUUAAAGUUACCCGCACACAAUAUAAAAAAUAUAUAUAAUAUAAUAUAUAUAGGGGUAUAGAUAUAGAUAUGUGAUGCAAAAGCCGCCCAUCAUCUCCAAUUAGAAUAGUGUGUCCAUGCACGGAUGCGACAUGGCCAAAUGAUGUCUGCCAUCGGUAUCUCAAAUUCAAAUCAGUCUGACCUUGUUCAAUGUGUAUACAUUACAACAUGCUCGUUUCCAAACCACACCGCGUGGAUCUCCGUUAUAUUCAUGCAUGCAUGGGUUUCAAACAUCAGGAUCUCUUAUUCAAAUAUUUGAAUUCAACUUUACAUUGAUUGUGACCUCACCUAUUCAGCUAUUCUUUUACACCCACACAGUAGUCUUCUCUUUAUAAUUGUACCACUAACCUUCUCUCAUGCAUGCAUGCACACACACUACCAGUCGGCAUUAUCCAUCGCACGCAUGCAAUCUUUUUCUUCAGGUCGGUCUCCCAUGAAGGCACACACCAACACACAUCCCCCUCUCCAUCAUAUCGGGCAUUCUUUAUCUCUCACGCGUGCAUGCGCAAUGAUCGAUGUUCCUCUAUGUAUGUGUGUAUAUAGCUAGGUCUUUCAUAGUUUUCCACACAAACCGAUCAAUCGAUAUAUCCAGUGAGGUCUCACCCUCUUUCCCACGUCCACAUCAAUCAAUCUAUACCUCUCUAUAUAGGAUUAACAUAUAUAGCUAAUACAUCCACAUUAAUUAUGUAUCCAACGUCCCCCUCUCAUCAUCCAUGCCUUCCGCUUCAUCUCUCAGAUGCGUGCACAAUGGCGAAGACAGGGGGCAGUAAGGGCCCUGCCCCCUCCCCCCUAACAUCACUAUAUAUCAAGGCUAAUAUGAAUGUGAUCAUUAGACAAUUACUGCUAAAAAUGGUUUAAGUUCAUGAAUUGACCCUCCUCGUAAAGGAUUAGCAAUGCUUGGCCCCUAGCUCAUUUAUUUUUCAUGGCUCCGCCACUGCGCGCAUCAGCGCACGUGUUCGCCCUCUCUCUCUCUCUAAAUAUCGAUCUCGCACUUGUGCAUCCCUUCAUAGUCUCCCUCCACUCGGUCCCUUGCACGAUCUUCUAGCCCCCCACCGGAUUUUACCACAUGUACAAUCUAGCAGACUCCAUGCUUGAACUUAAGCAUAAUGCACAAACCUGAAAACAACAGUGGUUCUCUUUUGUUCUAGAAUCUUCCGUAUCAUAACUGUCCAAACUUUUUUCUAGUUGAAUUGCCAUUAUUUUUUUUACUUCAUGCUUUACAACGCACAAUUCCAUGAAUCAUAAAAUAGAUUAAGGGCUUCUUUGAUUCAAAGGAUUCUCAAAGGAAUUUUGGAGGAUUCUAAUCAUUAGGAAUUUUUCCUAUCUUGGUUGUUUGAUUCGUAGGAUUGUAAACCAUAGAAAUUUUUCCAUAUGAUUCAUUUGCACUAGAUUUCAUAGGAAACAUCCCAUCCACUCAAACCUCUUUGAAAGAAUUCUGCAUUUUUUCUAUGCACAAUCAAACACUCGUACAAUCCUGUAGGAUUCAAGACGACAUUCCACUAUAAUCCCAUGUUUUUCCUAUUCCAGCGUUCUUAGCUUUUUUAUAAAAACUAAUUGAUUUUGAAUGAGAUGAACUAUAAGAAUUAAACGAAGGGCUACAUCAGGCAUAUAUGACUCAGAGCUUACAUGCUAUAGUUUGGUAUUUAUUCAUAAUUUGGUUGCAAAAUCUGAUGCAUGCAAUGCACGUGUACCUUACUAGUACUUCGAGUAUGUGCAAAACACGUAAAUUAGAAUACAAAUGGCACGCUACACAGUGUCUCUCUUACAGUUCAUGAAGCCACAUGCCACAUGUGUAGGCGUUGUCGCUACCUCCUUGCAUGGAUUGAUCACAGUGACGUGCUGCUGGUUCCAGAAGAAUGUACUCGUCCUCCCUGAGCCAUACUGGCGGUACAUGCACGAAGCGAAUAUGUGCAUGCACGCCAUGCACGCACUCAUUCCUCGCACGCACACAUGGGUACAUGGGCGGACACAGUUUUGUACCAAGAUCCACCCCAUGUGAUAAUUUGACGCGUGUAAAGUUGUUCACUUCAUUGAUGGUCAAUUAAUACAGCGCAUGCAAAUUGAGUGGAUGUGAGGGUGGAAGAAAGACAUUAUUACUCCACUGCGCACAUGCGAGUAGUUAAAUCGUGGGUUGCUAGUAGUACUUCCAUCGGUCUCCUUUGUAUUUUGUGCCAAUUUUUGACAUUAAAAUAAUAUUUACGCAUUUGAGCAGUGUAGUAGUACUUGAAAUUUAUGUUCCGCUAAACUCAUCGGGAGCCGUUUCGGGCCUCGAAACCAAAGCCAUCAAUUAAUCUUUACCUUGUUCCCAUCACAUUCGAAAGCCUGCUCACACCUACUACUAGUACGUACCAAACCUGAACGUGUUCCCACUAUGCAGGUAUUAGUACUAGUGCUAGUACUUAGGUUAUAAAAAUGGGAACUACCUAACCGAAAAUCACUCUACCUUUCCUCCUCAUAAGUGCUUCUUCUUCAUCCGUCGUUGCCAUGGCCGGUGAGCAGAGCUCUAGGUCGAGAACUACUCGUAACAAGGGAGCGGCAACAAAGGCUACAGAAAAAAAGAGAGGGCUUGCCGCCACGCAGAGACCUUGAAAGAUCCCUCACGGGCAGGCGACGACUCCCAGGAGCGCCCUAGCCGCGGAGGCGAACAUGCCGAACCGGCGGAGCUGGAGUCGUUAUCCCUCGACGGCAUGCCCGAUCAGCUCAAUAAGCAGAAGGAGUUCAUCCAAGGCUUGAUGGAGUUGUUGAAGGAGAGCCUCGACGACAUGCCCGCUGAGCUCAAUUAGCAGGGGGAGUUGACCGCCGGCUUGGUGAUGCUGCCGAAUAAGAGCAUUGCCUCGGAGAAGAAGGCGACCGGCGAAAUCCUGCGACUUCGGGAGGAUAAUGCGAAGCUCUGCCACGAGAUCGACCUAUUGAAGGAGAAGAACGCCGGCUGGUAGAAGCUGCAUGAGAAUAGUAGUUCCUCGAUGAAGAUUCCGCAGGCCCUCGCCAUGGAACAGAAGGAAUAGUUGGCGAAGCUCCGCAUCGAGCACCCGGCUGCUGUCAAGGUACAUAAUAUGGCCGUGGAACAGAUGAUGAAGGCUCGCGUCGAGAAAUGCCGCAUCAUGGACACAUUGAUGAAGAUGGCGGAGGAGACGCGCAAGGAGAUGGAUGUCGUGGAGGCGAUGAAGAAGCAGUUACGACUCCGUGGUGAAUUAGAUCAUUUGGAGUGAUAAUCUUCCUUCUUCUUUUGCUCCUUUGUUUCAUCUUUUGCUUCGGGUGUUUCGCCGCACGUGUCACGUUCUCUGCGAGGCAUGAAUAGAACAAUGUUUUUUAGGGAAUGAAUGGAACAAUGCUAACAAUGAGAUGACUAGCAAAUUAGAUCAUUUUUUAUCGCCAUAUGGCACUGGGCUGCCGUGUUUCGUGCUCCUCCGUCGCAGUACUACUCCAGUGGAAAACUUGAGUAUAGCGCACGGUUCUUUGCUCCUCCUUGAUCAGGUCGUCCGCGCAUUUAUGCGAGCAGUCAAAUCACAAGGCCCCGCCUUCCAGCAGUAAUGAGCCGUCAAAUCACAAAGGCCCUCGCCUCUCGUGAAACCGACCAAGCUAGACUGCCCCGCCCUCUAGCCUUUCAAAAAAUGUAUACUUUUGUACAGUAGUAGUAUCGAUGGAUUGCGCCAUGGAGAAAGACUUGAAAUUAAAAAAAGGUGGUACAUAUAGAGAGCGCUCGUCGCCAAAUUUGCAUAUAGUACUAUUAAAAAGGCUAGUCACAAUAAUGGUGUCCAGCACAACCCACCCCUCAAAUAAAACUAAGAGGGUGCUUGGAUACGUUUUAGUCCCAUGACUAAAAGUAGUGGGACUAAAACAUGCUAGCCUCACCCAUGCUUGAAUCCAAAUACUAAAAAGGCUAAAAUCAAGUUAAUGAGCAUUUAUUAUCCUCCAAACCCCCCAAUCUAGAACUCGCCUGUGUUAAAGGAGAGGAGUUAGAUGAGUAGAGAGAGGACUAAUCCACAUUUUUGUAGGGGUACCCCUGACUAAAAAAUUUUAGUCUCAAGACUAGUUUUAGCCCCUCUUUAGUCAGGGGUGCUUGGAACUUUAGCCUCUUAAAGAGACUAUUUUUAGUCAGACUAAAAUAAGUCCCUUGGAUCCAAGCACCCUCUAAGCAUCCUGGAAUUCUUUGACAAAACUAAGCACCCUGAAAUUCUUUGACAACUAAACUGCUGGCUAUAUGAUGUUGGCCAUAUAUAUUAUACGUAUAUAAUGUGAAGAAACGAGUGGUAGUACUAUACCAACUAAAAGAUGACAUGUAAGAAAUACUAGUAUGUACGUACUGAAGAGUUAAAGUAACAAGAAGAAACAUAACAUAGUUCUGCCUGGGGCUCAGCGCAACACACCCCUCAAAUUAAAUUAAGCACACCUGAAAUUAAACUUUGCAACUAUUCUGGUAGACACUGCAUUAGAACCACCAUGAGAAAUGACACUGCCACCUUACUCGGAGUCCUCGUCCACGUCCUCGACUUCGUCCUUGUCCCUCUUCCUCUUGGCCGAUACUUCUUUGCUUGAACCGCACACUUGGCUGUUGCUCUUCAUCCAACCCUUGUAGAUAUUGAAGCAAAGGUAGCCAUCCAUUACAGCAUAGUGGAUGUGGUCUAUAUCUAGUACAUUCCGCUGCCAUGCAUGAUGAUGAAACGUGUAUGGAGGUUUCUCCAGUUUACCUACGAAGGACGAACCAUGGCUCCUGCCAGGGUCAGCAUUGAAGGCUGACGAGCGGACACCAGCCGAUUCUUCUGGAGGUCGAAGGUGUUGCCUACAACGAGGCCUAUCUAAUGUAGGACGUCUUUGUCGUUACCAAAGUCUACAGUAACGAAUUUGACUAGGUUGCUCUCGAGGAAGUCCUUAAAAUCCUGGCACUCAACGUCGACAUGGCAUAUGUGGUAGACCAAGCAUAAGUCAUGCACGCAAACCUGGAUCACGACGGGCUUCUUCCUCUCUUCGUCCUUUAGAUCCUUCUCUCGUCCCAGGACUGUGGUGUACUCAACAUCUAGCCCAGCGACCCACUCAUCAUCUGAGUCUUCGAACAUGCGUCUGAAGCGAGAAAGGCAUCCUUUCACCGUCGCAGAAGAAUGGGUGUAGAUGACAUCGAACUCAUCGCCGGUGAUGGUUCUAACCUUGUACUCACCGCCGAUCGUGGAGAUUUGGGAUGCCAUGGAUUUGGGAGGAGGGUUAGGAUUAGUGGAACUGUCAUAAUGUGAAUGGACGAGACGACUAGGAGCGAACCGUCGUAGUAUUGAAGGAUGUGCGGGGACGAGUAGGAGCGAACUGCCAGCGUGCGAACGGCAGGGUAGUGGCUUUCCAUUCUCCCAUGAUACGGGCUCCCGAGAGCCCUUGGAUCUGAGAUCGAACGGUUGCAUGGCGUGAUUCUAGACCUAUGGGUGAAUAUCCUAUCCUGGAGGGUUAUUCUGCAAAUUUUCAGCAACUUAGCAUGCGACCGUUUGAUCUCAGAUCCAAGGGAUGCCAGCAGCCCGUAUCAUGGUCGCGCCUACCAUGACCAUCGUGUCGCUCGCGAGGUCGCGCCCUUGGAGAUUUAACACGGUGCGUUAGGCUAUCUGAUGUUGGCAUGUCAUACAUAGUCAUCACUUAGUCACUCAUACUACAACAAGGUUGGCUAUAAGUGUAUUUUUUUACUCCUCUCUAUCUCUUUCUUCGUACUCAAGGAAGAAGCGGUGCUAAGCGCGUGUAUUUAUUGCAUUUGCCAAGGAGUGACCUCUUCCAAUGAAAUGGUCUUGCUAAGUUUGCUUCAUUUAAUUAGCUGUAGACUCAAAAUUGUCUUUUCACCUAGGUACACGCACUUAGCACCGUUUCUUCCUUGGGUCACCAAACUAGUCUCUCUCUUCUUGAUUAACUUGCCAGAUCAGACUUUAUGCUUAUGUGGCAAGCUUAAGCACCUGUAGGAGCAAGUAAAAGUAAGUACAAUAGUGCGCUUUACAUGGCAUUUUUGCAUAUGUGGAGGAAAGAGAGGCAAGGAAAAAGUGGAGAAGUGGGCUCUCAUGCAAGAGCCAGCCUCUACUACAUGGUGGAGCAUUGGGAGAGGUACCUGUAUGGAGGUGGUCAGGAAUCUGGGAGACUCAUGCCGGUCGUAGCGCCACAAUUAAAAUGAUAAUGGCAAGUCAAAUCACGAGGCCCCACCGGUCCAGCAGUAACUCGCUGUCAAAUCACACAGCCCUACGUUUGCAGCAGUCUACUCCCUCGUCUUCUUGCGUCUCUGUCGAACCGACUAGGCGGAACUGCCCCGCCGCCUACCGCGCAGGAAAAGCCCCGCCCUCGACUUUUAAAUAGUAUACAGUAUACUAAUUUUGUAUCCAUGGAUUGCGCCCGCGCCAUGGAGCAAAGCGUCUAGAAAACGGAGGAGAGACAGUGGUAUUGCAAUAGAGAAGAGGGAGAGGCGAGACGGUGGUUUUGGAAUGGAGAUGAUGGAGAGGAGAGGAGGUGGUUUUGCAAUGGAGAAGAGGGAGAGGAGCGUGCGACAGCGAUUUAGGAUUGGACGAGAGGGUCGGUGCGCUCUGACUGGAUCAAAAUCAAAAUCAAUUUGGUGACAUGCAUUCACAUUUUGCUUGUCAAAUACAGUACGUGGUCAAACUUUGACCCAAAAUACGCGAAACAACAAAAAAUACUUCCAAGACCAGCGCCGCUCUUCCGCUCUUCUCCUCUUAAACCAUCGACACUCCUCUCCUGUUCCAAUCUAAAUGCAGCACCGCUCCUCUCCUCUUCCAUUUCAAAACCACCGCCCCUCCUCUCCCGUUCCAGUCCAAAACUAGCGUCGCUCCUCUCCCGUUCUAAUCCAAAACCAGCGCUGCUCCUCUCCUCUUCCAUUCAAAAACCACCGCCGGCGAGUGAAGGUGCUGUGGAGAAGUAGAUCGAUGGAGGAGUACAACCGAUAUGUGAGGAUCGCAGACGGCGACCCUAUGAAGCUAGCUCGGAUGUUGGAGAUACAGUCUUGGUUUGACAACAAGGACCAACUAGCAGCGACAGCGACAUCCAUGGCCAAAGAUCUGCAACAGAGCGAAAAGGCGGCGAUACUCCCGGAGAGAGUCGCGCCGGAGUACAUAGAGCUGCUCCUCUGGGCCAUGGAGCAAACAGAUUCACUGAAUCCAAUUGUGAGGGAGCGGUGGUGGGAGUAUCGAUCCCAGAUGGAGCAUCCACCAGAGAUUGAAGGAUCGAGCAUCUACAGGGUGCCGUUUGUGAGGGUGUCCUGCCAGAGCGAGCCGGUGGAGUCUUCGUCGACCGAACCCAACUGCAAGAGGAGAAAAGCAAUUGGCCCGACGACACUUCCCCGCCAUCGUCUCCCUCGCCAUUCACAUCGUCUCACGGGGCGGCUGUCUGCUGCCGAGGAAUAGGAGGGGGCUGCCCCCACAGCCCAAUAGUCGGCUAGGUUGUGAAUUGUCAGGAGGAGCUUAGGAUUGUUAGUAUUUGCAGGUUGUGAAUUGUGUUUUGUGUUGUGUAUUUUGAGAGUACUUUCAGAUAUGAAUGUCCUUUGAAUUUCAGAUUUGUAGUAUUGAGCAUAUGAAGUAUUUAUGAAUUCUAGAUAUCUAUUUUUAGCACUUAAAAAAAUGUAGUUUCAUAGGAGUAUAAAAGUGCAGACAAUGUGAUUCUCAGAGAAGAAACUGCAAGUUUCAGUUUCAGAUAAGAAACCGCAAGUUCAGUUUCAGAUAAGAAACUGCAACUUUUAGAGGCAGAGCAUUUAUAUUAACACGGCCUUUUCAAACAAGGUUAACAUCAUGUUGGAAGUUUUAUUCAUGGUCGAAAAUGGAACUACCAGCUAGUUAACAUCAUGCUGAUCAACAUUCAUGCAUAGCACAUCUUCAUAUGAUGCACAGUCAAAAUGCCCACACAAUGUCGAGUGUGCGAAACACAGAGAAAAUGAGGGACGAAGUUUUGGCAAGUGUUGGACGUGGUUUUGGGCUGCCCCGUCUAGGCUUUCAUUUUUAACAUGCGCAGCCCACGUUCUCGGAUGGGAGGUCCAUAGGCCUGUUUGUAUUUUCUUAGGGCCGUCAUGUAUCGACCGGCCUAUGGACCUCCCAUCCGAGGUUUUAUUUUUGAAGAAAACGCAGAGGUUUGUUCUAUUUUUAUAUAAGAAUAGGAACGCUAGGUCCAACUUAUGUCUCCCUUCUAACUAUAUUGUAUAUAUUUAAAUUAUUUUAUAUGUUGACUAUUUAGUUCACAUAAUUGGCAAAUAGAUGACCGCUCUCGCGAUCCCCUUCACCCCCGCCACCACCUCCACCCUCGCCGCCGCCCCUGCCACCACCUCCACCCUCGCCGCCGCCAUAGAUCUCGCCGCCACCCCCCGCCUCCUGACUCCGGGCGCGCUUGCCCCCCCUCAGCAAGUCCGCUCGCGCGCCCCAUGGAGUCGCCGGCCAUAUCCACGAGAGAAUGGCUGGAAGACGGGCAUAUGUACAAGAUGCAUCUCCCACAUGUCUACAAAGCCUUCCCGCGGAUGCUCCAGCCGCUCAACUCCGUCGCGCCGGCGGUGCUGUGGGAGACUCGAGGGAGGAGAUGGAGGGAGCGGGCGAUGCGGAUCCGCGACGACGCUCUCUCCUGGACCCAGUGCACGCGCAAAUGGAGGGAAGCAGAGGAGCAUGCUGCGAGGGAGGAAGCCAAGGAGGGACCGCAUCCGUUCUCUCACUCGCGCAGGUAUGCUCGGAUGUGCAAGGAUCAUGUGGAUUGGGAGUUGCUGAAUCUAGCCCUGCGGAUCUACUUCGAAGGAGAUUUCUUGGAGAAGCACAGGAUGCCCCACCCCGGUGAGCCGCCGAUUGCAUUCGUUCGAUGGGAGAAAGGAGAAGUGAAUUCAGGAGAUCCACGUUGUGCUGCGAGAUGGUAAUGCUUGACUAGACUCCUGCCCACCAGCACACCACCGGAGCCAGAGCAGGUGGAUCCCCUACCUUACCUCUCCCCCAAACCUGCAGAAGAUUGAAAUUAGGCUUGCAAUCUGCUUCAAUUCAGCUGUCUGGUGGUUAUUUCUGCUUCCUGAGAGACAACAUCUGGCUGGAGGAUGAGAAGGAACCAGGAACUCCGAUGGAUUUCCCCUAUCACAAUGGGGGGAGCGCCGGUUGGGCAGUGGUACGGCCCACCUCCGCCCCAAAUGAGGGCACAAUCUGGGCAGGCUCCUGUAAUUGCCCAAGAUCAAUGUGCUGGUGGUUCUGACUCUUAGAUCAGUGGGAAAUCUCAAGGCAAGAAUCAGCAAAAGAAGAGACAUGACAUCCAGAAAACUGCUCCUGCCCCUGCUUCGGGCCUUAUGGCAUACUCUGAGGUGAUUUACUACAACUGUGGGGAACUAGGGCAUCAUUUGGAUAAAUGUGUCAAGCCCAAGAGUUGUUUUAUCUGCAAAAUGGUUACCCAUAAAGUUGAGAAUUGCCAUGUCAGAAGGAAAACCCACAGUUCUGCUAGAUAUGUUGGAAGUGCUGCUCCAGGAUUAUGUCCACCAUUGACAGAUUUUCUGUGACAUAGAAUUAGAUAGUUUUUUCCCUUUCUAGUUGUAGAGCUCUGCCCAGAUGUGGUAGUGACCACACUCCUUUGCUCUGGGACUCUGGUCUUAACCAAACUCCAAAGAGCAAUAGUUUUAAAUUUGAAAAGUGGUGGUUGCUUAGAGAAGAUUUCACUGAGCUAGUCAGGAAAAUCUGGAAUGAGCCUACUGGGAGCAGCUGCCCCCUAGAAAAUUGGCAGAUCAAAAUCAGGAGAUUAGAAGAACUACCAAAGGGUGGAACUCCAAUGAGGAAGUUAAUCUUAGAAGAUACAAAAGGCUUAUCCUCCUUGAGUUUGAUUCUCUAGAUAUUAAGGCAGAAACCACUAACCUCUCUGAGGCUGAGACUAAUAGAUUAAACUUUGUCCAUGGAGAGCUCAAGAAAAUUUGGCUUCAAGAAGAAAUCAAAGACAAACAAAGGCCUAGAGAUAGGAACAUUAAGGAGGGUGAUAGAAAUACUACUUACUUCCAUGCAGUAGCUAACCAGAGGAGGAGGAAAACCCUCAUUCACUCCCUUGAUGGCCCUAAUGGCCCUGUUGCUGAGGUAGAUGAGAUGCUAAAAGUGGCUAGUGACUUCUACAAAGACCUGAUUAAGUAAGAAAACCCUUCUGGGUUCUCUCUACAAAACAUUUUUUUCUCUGCUUCUGAAAAAGUCUCUCCUGCUGAAAAUGAGCUGCUAGAAGCCCCCUUUUCAGAGACAGAGGUGAAGGAAGCCAUUUUUAGCUCUUAUCCUGAUGGGGCUCUUCGUCCUGAUGGGAUUCCCUUCUUGUUUUACCAGCAUUUUUGGGACUUGGUGAAAAAUGAUCUCUUAGAUCUUUUCCAAGCCUUUCAUAGAGGAGAGUUGGAUCCAGCAACUUACUAAUGGUGGGUCUGUUGGGGUCAAGUUAAAUAACUGUGAAAGUGAUUUUUUUCCUUGCUAGUAAAGGCCUUAGGCAAGGUGACCCCAUCUCCCCGCUUUUGUUUAAUUUAGUAGUGGAUGUUCUUACUAAAAUGCUGAGCAAAGCUGCUGAUCAUAGUCUGAUUGCAGGGCUCUGUCCUGAGGUCUGCCCUGGUGGCAUCAUCUGCCUUCAAUAUGCAGAUGAUACCAUCCUUUUCUUAGACAAUGACUCCACACAUGCUAGCAAUCUGAAAACUGUUCUAACUUGGUUUGAACAAGUCUCAGGCAUGAGAAUCAACUACUCUAAAAGUGAACUCAUCCCUAUCAACAUAGAUGAUCAAGAGUUAGCUUACUUCCUCUCUAUUCUAGUCUGUAAUAAAGGUAACUUCCCCAUUAAGUACCUAGGUAUCCCUCUCCACUAUGAUAAACUGAGGAGAGAGGAUAUCCAACCCCUUCUGGAUAAAAUCAUUAAAAGGAUUGUUGGGUGGAGGGGCAAACUUCUCUCUUACAGAGGUAGAUUGAUCCUCAUACAAGCUUGUUUGACUAGCAUUCCAGUGUAUCUCCUCUCCUUCUUCAAGUUCCCUAAAUGGGCAGUGAACCUCAUCAAUUCUCAGAUGUCUCAUUGCUUGUGGAAUGAUUUUGAGGGAAAUAGGAAGCUACACCUUACUAAUUGGGCCCUAGUCUCUAUGAAAAAAGAUUUUGGAGGCCUAGGCAUACCUAACCUCCAAGAAAUUAACAUCUGUCUUCUAGGGUCUUGGAUUAAAAGAUUCUAUGAGGAAGACCUGAAACCCUGGAAGCUUCUUAUUGCCCAUAAAUACCUAGGAAAUAAACCUAAUAUUUUUGUCCCUUCCUCCAACCCUAAGACCUCUAGAUUCUGGAAAGGAUUAAAAUCUAUUAUGCAUGCUGUGAAAUUUGGCUAUAGAUGGAACAUAGGGGAUGGGAGCAGAACCAGGUUCUGGGAAGAUACUUGGUUUGGCACAUCCCCCUAGCAGUCCAAUUUUGGCCUAUUUACUCUGUCCGUAAUGAGCUUAACAAAAGUGUCAAUAAAGUUUGGGAUGGUCAAUGCCUAAAACUCUCUUUUAGAAGGAAUUUUAGUGAUAGUCUCAUGGAAUAAUGGUUCCAGUUGGAGGAAAUUGCCAAAAGCAUUACCUUUACUGAUGAGCCGAAUGGCCUGAUUUGGCAGCUGGACAAUAAGGGGAAGUAUUCCUCCAGCUCCCUCUAUCAUGUUAUCAACUUUAGAGGGGUUCAACCCGUGUUUAUCCCUGCUGUCUGGAAAUUGAGAGUUCCCCCUAAAAUUCAUGUAUUUCUCUGGCUUCUCUCCAAAAACAAAUUGAUGACUAGGGAUAACCUUAGGAAGAGACACAUCAUCAAACCCCUUGAUUGUGUUUACUGCUUGGAACAAGAGUCUUGUUCUCACCUAUUUUUGAAUGUAUAGUUGCUAAACAUAUCUAGGACCACAUUGAGGAAUAUUUCUCUAGUCAGAUUGGCUCAUCCUUUGAAUCUAUCGCCAGAUUCUGGAUUGCUACCAAAAAGUGCUCAGUUUUAAACAUUGUUAGCUCAGCUGUCCUUUGGUGCCUCUAGAAAUAUAGAAAUGCUAUGAUUUUUAGUAACACCUCCUAGAUUUCCAUUCCGCGGGUCUUGAGGUUCAUCAGGAACAUGGUGAGGAACUGGGUGAUUCUCUCCUCCGGAUCGGACAAGGACAAGUUGAUGAGCUUCGUGGAAACCCUAACAUGAUCCCUCCAGAAAUCGUUGGCGAUCACUUGUGGCUGAACAAGGCUCGACCUGCUCUGGGGCUGGACCCGUGGGCUCGUCUCAAGAUCUCUGAUGAAGAUGAUGGGCACCUGGCGUCGAAAAAGAGGGACAUCCACCAUGCUACGCCUUCCAGCCCGGUGUCUCCGCUUUCUUACUGGUCGCCGCAGGCUGACACGGCCCCUCGGCUGAAGACCAUGAAGGUUUCGCUGGACCCUCAUUGUAUCAUUUGAGUGCUUUAUCCGCUCUGCCUUUGGCACCGCUCGGGUGAUUUGUGUUAUUCAGAGAACUUGUUCAUCCACCCCCUAGUUUGUAGCUUUUCUAUCUUUGCUUUCGAACUGCUCUUUGAGCUGCUGUAUCAAAAUAUGUUGUGGUUUCGUUCUCAGCAAUGGAACCGGGGAGAUGCUCCCUGUUUUUCUAAAAAAAUUUAUUUUAUAUGUUAUUAUAUAAAGCUUGGUAAGACUGUAAAUUUAAGGACGAAUGUAAUAAUAUCACUUAUUAUUUAAAUAUAUUUAUAACAAAAUCCUCAGCCCCUUUUUAUUUUUUGAUAACAUUGCUGGCCCAACCCAACAUUAUAAUUAGAAUCAGCCCAGCAAAAUCAUGUAUUUCGAGAAAGUGCAAAUGGGCUGUAAUUUUUUAGGAAAUAAAAUAAACAGGCCGCAUGGACACUACAUUAUUUGUUCACCCAGCCCAGCUAAUGGCUGUAAUUCAAAAAAAAGAUCAAAUUGACUGUAAAUUCUACCGCGCAAAAAAAAGACUGUAAAUUCUGAAAAAAUGGGUUGAAUAUGUGCCACAUUUUUGGAGGCUGAAAUGUGGGCCAAUAGGUCGAAGCCAAUGCAAGUCGUUGUCAAUUUAGUCAACAAAUGAUUCUGACAUGUUAGCCGUUGGAUUUACAUCCAACGACCGGCAUCCAUCUUCAAUCUCUCGUCUACUCCUCCAGCGCCGCCGGGAUCACCUCCAGCCUCCUGCUGCUAGCAGCUCUGCUUAGCACGCUUUGCUAUGAAGCGCUACUCCACCGUUGGCCAGGCCAUCCCUCCAUCCCUCCACACCUCCUGUUCUUCUCCACCGACUGCCGAACCACACCGCACUAGAACCAGUUAACCCUCGUACACCUCUCUGUCUGCGACUCUACUCCCGCGUCUUCCCAUCUCCGGUUUGUUGCUGUCCGGGGCCUCGCCGUCGUCCACCACCUUGGAUGCGCUCGGCGUGGCGUGGUCAACGUGGUCAACGAACGACACCAUCGGAAGUAGACUGUGCGUGGAGAGGCUGACAGCUGGGUCCACAGCCGCAGACAAGGAAAUGCCUCCUUAUUACGCGCAAAAUAAUGAUUCCUCCACCUGAAUCUGGGACCAACCGGAAGGGCCUCUGUAUUUCGCAAAAUAAAGUGCCCCCCGUUGACAUGUCAGACCCACCAGCUAUCUUCACACGCAAGGAAGUGCCUCCUUAUUACGCACGAAAAAAAUGAAUAUUCCCCCUGCCAUCUGGAACCCAGCAUAGUGGGAGGCUGAAUUGUGGGCCAACCAAGUUGACGGGGACGGAGGGCUCCGUCAACUUAGUCAAUACAAACGAUUCUAGCUCCUGUUACCAUACGAUAUUCAUCCAACGGACGUAGUGCUUCUUCAACCUCUGGUCUUCUUGCUCCAGCCGCCCAAACUAGCGCCGGUCGUGCCGCGUGUUCCUGCCUCCCGUGGUCGGCUGUGAUGCCGCGGAGGCCUCACCGCCCCCUACUAUUCCCACCGCUGGCCAGGCCAUCCCUCUACUCACCCACACCCCCUUUUAUUCUACGGCGACAGCAGCCUCACACCGCAGCCGAACCAGUGAACCCUCGUACUCCUCUUCGCGUGGGCAUCCACUGCUGCGUCUUCCCCAGCUCUGAGUCGUCCCCUUCCUAGUCCUCGUCGUCGUCCACCGCCCUAGUGCUCUCGGCGCGGCGUGGUCAACAUGGUCAACGACCGACUUCCAUCGGAAGAGUACUGUACGUGGAGAGGUUGACAGCUGGGUCCACGGCAGCCGCAAGGAAGUGCCUCCUUAUUACGCGGAAAAUAAUUUUUCCUCCACCUAAAAGCGGGGACCCACCGGACGGGCCACCAGUAUUUUGCGAAAAAAAGNNNNNNNNNNNNNNNNNNNNNNNNNNNNNNNNNNNNNNNNNNNNNNNNNNNNNNNNNNNNNNNNNNNNNNNNNNNNNNNNNNNNNNNNNNNNNNNNNNNNNNNNNNNNNNNNNNNNNNNNNNNNNNNNNNNNNNNNNNNNNNNNNNNNNNNNNNNNNNNNNNNNNNNNNNNNNNNNNNNNNNNNNNNNNNNNNNNNNNNNNNNNNNNNNNNNNNNNNNNNNNNNNNNNNNNNNNNNNNNNNNNNNNNNNNNNNNNNNNNNNNNNNNNNNNNNNNNNNNNNNNNNNNNNNNNNNNNNNNNNNNNNNNNNNNNNNNNNNNNGAAGUGCCUCCUUAUUAUGCACAAAAAAUGAAUACUCUCCCGGCUAGCUGGGAUCCACCUUGCUGGGGGACUGACUUGUGGGCCUACUAAGUUGACGAGGACGAAGGGCUUUGUCAACUUAGUCAAUAUGAACGAUUCUAGCUCCAGUGACCGUACGAUGUCCAUCUAACGGCCGUAGUGCUUCUUCAACCUCUAGUCUUCUUGCUCCAGCCGCCCAAAGCAGCGCCGGUCGUGUUGCAUGCUCCUGCCUCCCGUGGCCAGCUGUUCUACCGCAGAGGCCUCACCGCCCCCUACUAUUCCCACCGCUAGCCAGGCCCUGCGGCGACGGUAGCCUCACACCAUAGCUGAACCAGUGAACCCUCGUAGUCCUCUCCGCGCGGGCUUCCACUAUCGCGUCGUCCCCUUCCUAGGCCUCGUCGUCGUCCACCGCCGUGGUGCUCUCCGCGUGGCGUGAUCAAUGUGGUCAAGGAAUGACUUCCAUCGGAAGAGUACUGUACGUGGAGAGGCUGACAGCUGGGUCCACGGCCACAACCCAGUUUUUUUGUGAUUUGCUAAGUAAGUCUCUUUGUCAGGCCUAUUGGGCUGCAAAUCUUUCAAGACGAGGAGAGCUUUCAUUCGGCUGGCCAAGAAAAUGGCCCAUCAGUAAUGAGCAAUGAGUUGUACAUUUUUAAAACACAUCAAACCGGAAAUUGGUUUCAAAUAUCAUUUUUUUCGUUUCAAUAUUUUAAAUUACAUUAAUUUUUAUGCGUGGAGAAUUUGUUGGAUUUUAUAUUGAUAUACAUUUAUUUUUAAAAUCAGUUUGAAUGUGGGUCAAAAUUUCAGGAUUAAAAACAGUUCAGACCCACAGAAAUAUGCAAAAUUUCGUAUAAUUUUUUAACCGUUGCCACAAUAUGGGUUGUAAUGCUAACAAAAAGAAUAUGGGCUCCAAAAAACCUUAAGAAUUAGCAAAUGGGCUGUAAAUUAUUAGAAAUAAUGGCAGAUGGGUUGUAUGCUAUUUUCCACAGAUUUGAGGCUUUCCUAAAAAAGGUUGACACACAAGCACUGACUGUUGGAUGUCCAUCCAACGGUCGUCGUGCUUCUUCAAUCUCUGCUCUUCCUGCUCCAGCCGCUCAAACAAGCGUCGGCGGGACUGCCUGCUCCCUCCUCCUUGCGGCCAGCUAUGCUACCGCGCAGGCCUCACCGCACGACCGUACUCCCAUCGCUGGCCUAGCCAUCCCUCUACUCACCCACACCUGCUGUUUUUCUCCGGCGAUGGCAGACGAACCAGUAAACCCUCGUACAAUCGUACUCCCCUCCGCGUGGGAAACAACUGCCGAGUCUUCCCUGCCUCCAUGUCGUCCCCUUCCUAGGCCUCGCCGUCAUCCACCGCCCUGGUGCUCUCGGCGUGGCGUGAUCAACAUGGUCAAGGAACGACUUCCAUCAGACAUGGAUUGUACAUGGAGAGGCUGACAGCUGGGUCCACGGCCGCAGCAAGGAAGUGCCUCCUUAUUACGCGGAAAAUAAUGAUUCCUCCACCUGAUAGCUGGGACCCACCAGACGGGCCACUGUAUUUCGCGAAAAAAACGUUUCCCCCUGAUUGCUGGGACCCACCAGCUACAUCUUCGCACGCAAGGAAGUGCGUCCGGGCAAAAAGAACGAUUCGCCCCCUGACUGCUGGGACCCACCAGCUACAUCUUCGCAGGCAAGGAAGUGCCUGACAGUCGGGACCCACCUGGUCGAAGCGUACGUAUCGUUGUCAUUCUGGUCGCGAACGUGUACGUACAUACUGGUCGAUGUAGAGGCGCGCACGUUUCGUAGUAGAGGCGCGCACGUAGCAUUUACACGUACGUAUAGCGGCCAAGGUGCAAGAAAGAAAAUACGGCCACGUAUGUGUACAUAUGGGCGGGGUCUCGAACGCCUACUCGCGCAUACGUACGGCCAGGGCUCGUGUACAUGGCUGGGUCAGAACGGAGAAACAGUGUCGUCGUCGUGUUCAUGGGGAGGCAAUGGAAUGCGUCGUGUUCAUGGGGAGGCAACGAAAUGUGUCGUGUUCAUCGGGAGGGCCUGGACGGAACAGGCGAUGGAAACGAGGCUUGGCGUACCGCAGAACGAAGGAAACGGCCUUGUGUUCGACCGGCCACGUUCGAAACGGGAUCCUGUUCAUCGGGAGGGGUCUGGCGUAUCGCAAAACGGAGGAAACGGACCUCCUAUGGUCGAAACGGGGGUCCUGUUGAUCGGGAGGGGUGUGGCGUACCGCAAAACGGACGAAGCGGACUUGUGUUGGAGCGCUACGGUCGAAACGGGGGUCCUGUUCAUCGGGAGGGGUGUGGCGUACCGCAAAACGGGACUCCACGGGAUACUUUUCAUCUCCACCGUCGACCCCCUCCAGCCUCCACAAGCUACUGUUCAUCCACCAUCGACCUCCUCCAGCCUCCACCUGCGACUGUUCAUCCACGGGCUCCUGUUCAUCCAGCCUCCACCGCGCGCUACUCCACUGGCUACUGUUCANNNNNNNNNNNNNNNNNNNNNNNNNNNNNNNNNNNNNNNNNNNNNNNNNNNNNNNNNNNNNNNNNNNNNNNNNNNNNNNNNNNNNNNNNNNNNNNNNNNNNNNNNNNNNNNNNNNNNNNNNNNNNNNNNNNNNNNNNNNNNNNNNNNNNNNNNNNNNNNNNNNNNNNNNNNNNNNNNNNNNNNNNNNNNNNNNNNNNNNNNNNNNNNNNNNNNNNNNNNNNNNNNNNNNNNNNNNNNNNNNNNNNNNNNNNNNNNNNNNNNNNNNNNNNNNNNNNNNNNNNNNNNNNNNNNNNNNNNNNNNNNNNNNNNNNNNNNNNNNNNNNNNNNNNNNNNNNNNNNNNNNNNNNNNNNNNNNNNNNNNNNNNNNNNNNNNNNNNNNNNNNNNNNNNNNNNNNNNNNNNNNNNNNNNNNNNNNNNNNNNNNNNNNNNNNNNNNGAGGCAGCAUCGAUCGGCUUCAGUUAGCAGAAGUAGCGAAGGAAUCGCUCGAUCGGGUUCAGUUAACAGCCAUCGAUCAAUCGCUCAGGUUCAGUAACGUGUAGCCUGCAGUGCAAUCGCUCAGGUUCAAUUAGAGCCCAAUGCCUCGCUCGAGUUCAGUUAGAGCCAAUGCCUCGCACACAUGCGCGUACGUGUACAAGAGAAACACGCAUCGCUCGGCCCCCGACCUCCCACCAUAACCGGGAACUCUCCGAGAUUUUCCUCCCCCUUGCUUUUACCAUGGUUUUUCCGUCAUGGACGGCCCAAAGAAUGUCAUGCAGCUGCGUCUCCGGCGCGCCCAGGAUAAAAAGCCCAUUUUCUGUCAUGAUUUUUUGUCAUAGAAGUAGGAGCCCACCACAUCUAUGAUGAUACCGGGUUUUGUCACAAUUAUCGUCAUAGAAGUGUCAUAUGUAUGACAGAAAAAAUUCGUUUGGCCCAAAAUGUCACGGAUGUGUCUUUUUUGUAUUGGUUGAUGCGGUAGGGAGCUUUGUUCAGAAGUGGUGCUCCGGGGAUGAGGUCGAUGCGGUGCUCGGUACCUCGUAGUGGAGGUAGUCCCGGAGGUAGCUCGUCGGGGAAAACAUCUUGGAGUUCCUGCAAAUGAGAAGAUAACACUAAAGGUAGAGUGAGAGAGGUGUUAGCUUUUGGUGCCUCGUCCUUGCACAAAAGGAUGUAGUGUAUCACACUAGAUGGGUUCUCACACACUUCUCUUAUCUCAUGUUUGGUGGAAAAUAGAACGAAGUUCUUCUUUUCUCUCAUCGUGGAGGCACUCAAUUUGGGCUUGUGGCGCUCACUCUCUUUUUGGUGGUUCGCUCUCUCACCAUUCUCUCCAUGAUGGGUGGCUUGCUUGUCGGCGAUCACUUGGCUUGGAGACAUGGGGCGAAGUACGUACUCCUUUCCUUUCAUAUUGAAGAUGUAGUGAUUCGUUCGGCCGUUGUGGAUGACACCUCUACCAAAUUGCCAUGGUCGACCAAGAAGAAGGUGGCAAACGGUCAUUGGAACGACAUCACACUCCAAAGUGUCUUCGUAAGCUCCGAUUUUGAAGGAGACUUGCACUCUAUGCUCGACUUGAAUAGUGCCGGAGUCGCUUAGCCAUUGAACUUUGUAGCGAUGUGGGUGCUUCGUCUUGGGCAAUUGGAUCUUGGAGCAAAGUUCUUCACUUGCUAGGUUAUGACAACUCCCUCCAUCGAUGAUGACCUUGACAGACCUUCCAUUGAUGCCGGCCUUGGUAUGGAAUAUGUGGCAUCUUUGGUCUUCUUUUUGGUGAUGUUGAAGGGUCAGGACCUUGGAGACAACUAGAGCGGGACUUGAAUCUUCAUCACAAAAUACUUGUUCCUCUUCAUCGUUCACUUGCUGAUGCAUGGCAACUUGCUCAAGUGCUUCCGUUUCUCCUUCACUCAUGGAGUCAUAUGUACCAUCGUCGUUGAGGAUCAUGGUCCGCUUGUUGGUACACUCAAAGGACUUGUGGCCUCAGCCUCCGCAUGUGAAGCAUUUGAAGGAACUUGCCUUGAUGGUCUCAUCGGUUGGGGUAGAUGAUGAUGAAGCUCUCGGCUUGAAGUUGCUCAUUGUAGGAGGAUGACUUGGGGUUGUCGAAGCUUUCUUGUAACUCGACUUGUCGACAUUGCUUGUAGAAGGCUUUGUUGAUGUAGAUGGUGUUGGAGUGGUUGAAGCUUGGGUGUUGGAGAAGCCAUAGGACUUAGAUGAGAACUUGGCAUACUUGAAGUCAUCUUGAACUUGACGUUCCGCUUUGGUAGCUUGAUGCACUAGCUCGAUGGGGUUCGAGUAUGGUUGGAAGUCGGCGAUCUCCUUGAUAGGGUGAUUGAGUCCAUUCAAGAAACGUGCCAUAGUUUGCUCAUCAUCUUCCGUGACAUUGGCUCGUAUCAUUGCAAUCUCCAUUUCCUUGUAGUACUCUUCAACGCUCUUGGUUCCUUGCUUGAGUAGUUGGAGUUUCUUGAAGAGAUCGCGGUUGUAGUAGGUAGGCACAAAGCAUGCUCUCAUGACAUCCUUCAUUUGCGCCCAAGUAGUGAUGGGUGGUUCACCUUUUGCCUCUCGGCGCUCAAUUACUUGUUCCCACCAAAUGAGGACAUAGUCUUGGAACUCAAGGGGUGCCAUCGCGAUCUUCUUCUCUUCUUCAUAGUUGUGCAAGUGGAAGAUUUUGUCGGCCUUCAAUGCCCAUGAAAGGUACUCUUCGGGAUCGUUGCUUCCAUUGAACUUGGGCAUGGUGAACUUUUGCUUGCCGUAGCGUUGCUCUUCAUUGUGCUCGGGCCGGGGAUGAUGACGUCCUUGACAAGGAGGAUCGUCUCUCACAACUUGCUCUUGCGAUGGAGGAUUUCCAUUGUCUUCUUGCUCUUGUUGAACUUGAUGUUCUUGGCAAGCUUGUGGAGGAACUUGUCGAUCUUGACGUUGCAUGCGAGCUUGAUAUAUUCAUUCAUGAACUUCUUCACGAAGUGAUUCUUCAUGUUCACGAACUUGUUGGCCUCGGUUGGCUACGACUCGACUUGAUUCUCGGAGGGCACGUUGCGCCUCAAGUGCUUGAGCAUCUUGCAAUUGUUCCUCUUGAUGUUGUGCCUCGACAUCUUGUGCUCCUUGGUGAAGACGCGGUUUCUCUUCCUCUUCGUGUUGGAGUUGUUGUUGCUGUUCUCGUGCUUGUGUGAAGGUAGCUUGGUUUUGACGAUGUCGUUGUUCUUGAGAGUUGUAGUCGUGUAGAGGGUUGUUGUUGGCUUGACGAUCUUGGCGCGCAGCACGACGAAGAGUAUUUGAUGUCGGUGUACUUGAGCCGGAGAUGGUGUAGUCCGAGUGUCGACUUGAGCGGCUCCGUCUUGAUGAGGAUGAAGUGGAAGAAGAGUGGAUGAGCAACAAAGCACGAAUCCCAUCCAUUCUUGAAUCGUUCUCUUGCUUGUGGUCGUCAAGCUUGUGGUUGAAGUAAUCUCUUGUACGUUGCUCAGAGAGUCGCAAGUCGGUGGUGAGGUUGUCGAUGCGUUCACUCAUUGCUUGUUGCUCUUGAUGCAAAGCACAUUGUGCACCAAAGAGGUGGCUCUUUGUGACGUAGGAGUUCAUGUCGUCGUCUUGCCCGAUGAAGAGUGGGUUCGUAGAAGUACUUGGCAUAUCCAUCAUUCCAAGAGAAAUAUGUGAGUGGGAGAAAGAUAAGAACGUAUACCAAAUGUACCUUGACCGAUGUUGAAGGUGGAUCAAAGAUCACUCCAAUGUGGAACAAGGAAAUAGCACAAUUGGUACCAAUUCUUGUCGGUUUCUCACACCUACACAAGUAAAAGCUUAUGGUGGAUCUCGGUUAGGAUGGUGGCACAAAAUUUGAUGCAAUUGUUAGUGAGCUUCAAUAAUGUCGGAAAAGAUUCGCAAGUUUGCAAUGCAACAAAUAGACCAAGCAAAAUAAGGUACACAGAAACACGCACGCAAAGAGAUAAGUGGGGUCGUGCAACCAAGGAUGAGCCAAAAUGUGGAAUCCACGAAAAUGCUCUUGUUGCACAACACUAGAGAGACGCUAGCACGAUUGCACAAUAGGUGGAUACGAAGACUUGUGCACAACCUACUAAGCAAAAAUGUGACGACUUCUAUCCCAAGUAUGCUCUAUGUAUGGUGUUCCGAUGAUAUGAUCCAGGAUGAUCUAGUAUGACAAUCUUAAUGUUGUAUGAUGCUAUGGUUCUUGCUUAAAAGCUCUUUGCUUAUCUUUCCCUUUUUCUUAAAAGCUUGUUUGGCUCUUUGUUGUUGGAGCUCUUUUCUCAUGCAAUGCUUCACGAACCAAGAUAGCAAUUGAGUAUGCGAUGACACUUUGUGACACAAGAGAUGAUAUGCACCAAUGCUAUAUAUGGACGCUAUGGGAAGUAUGAUCACUAAUGUGCACAAGUCACGUUGCUGGCAAUACUCAAAGGCUCGUCCCGAUGGGUAAGCAACACAAAAGAGUAAGGCUAUGAUGGCUAUCAAUGUAAUGGCAAGAAUGAUGUAGCACGAUACCAAGAUGAGUUUACCGCUCUUGCUUAUGGUAUGGUGUCAAAAUGGUGUAGUGGUUGUUGUCGAUGACACGUCCGUGGCGAAGAUGAGCGGCGGUGAUGUUGAUGUCGAACUGUACCUAAAUAGCCGAAACACAAUAGGACACGGAACCACAACUCAAAUUCUCAAAGAACAAAAUGGCAAAACAUAUCGGAGUGCGAAGCAAGUAAGCAAUGGUGGUUGUGGAAAGUGGUGGAGGUAUAGAGGUAUGGGGGUGCGUAUGCGGAGGUGGAGGUGGAGCAGUGGUGGUGACCGAACUGAAGUUUUUUAGUUUCGUCAGGGAACGCCGAACGUCCGGUGGAGGAGCAGUCGUCCGUUCAUUGGACGUUCGGUGGUGGGCGGACGUCCGGUGCCUGGGCAACUUCGGGCACGGGAUGAAUGGCAAGGAUUCAUGAUGGGGAGGACGAAAUUCGUCGAAUCCGGGCAAUUUCGUGGAUGGAAAAGGUGGAGACGAAGCGGAAAAGCUAGAUCCGCUCAAGGCAAAGCAAAUUCACAGAUCAAAUCCAACAAAAUUUCAUCACACCAACAAAUCAAAAAAAAUUGGGGCUAUUUUGUGGGGAAUUUUUGAAUUAGGGACAAAAUCAACAAAAACAAGGCUAGAAACACAAUGGGGAGGCUCCGAAAUUGUGAUCAACGUGGUUCUGAUACCAAGAUGAUGUAGGGUGGAACCCUAGAUGGCUGAUCUUUCACGAAAGGAGCGGAUCCCACAAGAUGGACACGAAGAACACGAGGGGAAUCAUGAGGGUAAACACGAGGAGAAACACGAGAAAAACACUAAAACCAACAAGAUUGAUCACACAUAUGAUAGAUCCUCGAAACACGAGAGGAGGUACAAGAUCCACGAUCAACAAAGGACAAUACACGGUAAUCGGUUCUUCUCCAAAGGAGGUCUUGAUGGUCUUCUCCGCGAGGAGGUCUUGAAUCCAAAGGGAUCUUCUCCGAAGAGGGGCCACAGUCUCUCUCAAGGAGUAGAUCCGAUGUGGAUGAGCAAAGCUCUAUCUCUAAAUGAGCUACUACUUUGCUAACCCUAGAUAGGAGGAAUAUGAGGUCUAUUUAUAGUCUUAGCACAAAUGGGGGCAAAGUGAGGGGGUACAUGAGCCUCGGGGCCAAAUCCUGUGCGCGGACAGGUAGCAGACGUCUGCUGGGGACUGGUCGUCUGGUGGCUCAUGGGCAUCCGAACGUCCGGUGGCUUCCGGAAUUUCGCUGGUUCCGUUCUGUGAUGGAGGUGUCGGACGUCCGGUCACUUCGGACUUCCGCUAAUUUUGGCUCGGGUGCGCUGGCGCCGGAUGUCCGCUCGCUGGAGGGUGGGGCCCGUCAUCCGGUCCUGGCCGGACGUUCGCUCGUUGUAGCUCUCGGUUGGGGCUUCAGGCUGCAGACGUCCGGUCCCGACCGGUCCUCCGGUGGUUGGGGCUUCUUCCGCAGCUCUUCUUCUUGUCCUUCACGGUUGGUGUUCUCGCCAUCUUGUCCAUUAGGUGUAGUUGCUCCGUGGCUCUCCUCCAAGUGCCUGAUCACGCAUAGUGUUUUCGCUUGAGGUAGUAGCCAUGUCUCAUGUAUAGAAAGUGGUAGUUCGGAGAGGAGCGAGUUCACCUUAUCUUCGAUAGCCUUUGCUCGUGCCCUUGUCAUUGGUCCAAGUGGUGUCGUGGGAGACGUAGGUAGGUCCAUGGGGAUGAUCUUGGUAUGCUCCGCAUCAUAGUUGGAGUCGGAAAAUUAGACUGAGUUGGCAAGAUAACUAAGAAAAUUGGUUAUAUUCUCACUGUUCGCAAACUUCUGCUCAGUUUGACUCUCCUGGAAAAGCCACUCCUGAUAGUCAUUGCAACAAAAUUUAUAACAUAAGUACGCAACACAGUUUAUUGUUGAGAAGUUAAUGCAAACCCACCUUACUGACAGUUUUUGUUUUUGCUCCAUACAUUCCAGUAUAAAGCCCACAAAAGCCUGGACAAAUUACAAUAUUAUUAAUUAUUAUAUAUAACUUAAGUGCACUUGGCGUUCAAAACUAAAAAUUUGGAGGAUGAAACAAUGCAGGAAGCCUUACAUCACGAAGAUUUGAAUAUGAAUCGGGCAAAUGAAGCCUUUGGAACUUCUCCCACAUAGGUUCAAGUGCACCAACUAAACGUACCUCCUCCUCGUGAGAUACUUUCACAAGCGGCUCCUAUAGACCCAAGGGACAAAAUAUAAGCAUCACCAAGCCCCAAGAACUUUAAGGUGCAGAACUGGAAGAAAUUUGGCAACAAGAUAUUGUGUACCAGGUAUGAGUAUAUGAACAAUUUGUAAAAGCAACUCCCAUCCACACCUAACCCUAGCCGUGACCCCUUCCCCACCUAGCCCCUCCCGCGACCCCCAUGUCGCCUCCCCCGGGGGCGGCGAGGGAACACUAGCUGCGCCGCCGCGGCCCCCUCCCCACCUCACCCCACCUCCUCGCCGCUGCCUGAGGCAGCCGCCGGGCAAGCCCGGGGUGCCAAGGAUGGUGGUGGUGGGGCCUCGGCUGCCCUGACUCUGCGUGGGGAGUCCCAGAUCUGGAGCGGUGGCUCCUUUGGCGAGGCACGACAGGUUCUGGCGAGCAGCCGUGCGGGCGGUGGAUCUGGCGUCCUGGCCGUGCGGGCGGCGGGAUCCUGGUGGUCGUUGGCGGCUGGCUGCGGCUUCUGCGGUGGUUGGUGCAUGCGAUCUGGAGCCUCCCUUGUUCGGCAUGCGGGCCAGCCUGGUCGGGUCGUGCUUCCCUUGGUCGCCGGUUAUGUACAGGAGGCGCUGCUAGUGGCGGGGAUCUAGUUCGGGCGAAAUCCCUGGUCGGACAUGAUCGGUCGCGCCGACGACGAUGCCUGAGGGUGAUGUUCCCCUCCUUGGAGGCAUCUGUAUGGACUGAUAUCCUCACUUCCCCUUCCCCUAGGUCUCCCGGGCGAAAGCCCUAACUUUGUUGGGUGGCGGCGGCGCUCAUGGCGUCAUUCCCUUCUUGAAGGCGCCGCUUUGGGAACCGUGGGGUUGGGUGGCGCUUGUCGGUGGUGGGCGACGGCGGUGGUGCGGACCUAUCCUAGCAUGGAUCUAUGUCUGUUGCUUGGAGAUGGACUCGCGGAGGUGGAGGUCGUCGUUUGGCAUCAUGGUGGCAUCCAUGGCGGAGGACCUUCCAAGGCUCGCGUAGCUGGAGGUCGUCGUUUGGCGUCGUGGUGGCGUCGAUGGCAGAGGACCUGCCAAGGUUGACACCUCAAUCUGCUCUGAAGAUGGACCGGUGGAAGAUGGCGGCGACGACACAUGUUAGUGCAUCGGACCGGUUUGUGCCCCAGACCCAGUAGAUGGCUCGGUCGGGGCCUCCGGCUUUAGAUGUCAGGCUUAAAUGAGAGGUCUGGGUAUGUGGCCCAGCUUGCACCCCUUCAUCAUAUGGAUAGGAGUAGCGGCAUAUGUUGCCAAGAUGGUGGAUUCAGGCAUAUUGUUGUUCUAAUGUGUAGAGUCCUCGAGAAUAAUCAAUAAAAUGGCAGCAUGCAUCUCCCAGAUGCAGAGGCCAGGGGUCAGCCUCCUUUUCUGAAAAAAGCAACUCCCGUCUCCAGGUACUUUCCGAUAUUCAGAGUAAUUAGCCGAAAGCUUAUGCAGAAACGCACGCAAUAGAUGAGAAUAUGUAGCAAACAAGUGAGGACUCAAAUCAAGUAGAAAUAUAACAGCUCACAAGUCAUAUUACUUUUGCCUUGCCUUUCAUAAUUUUGUUUUCAAACUCAUGCGGUAGAGAUGGUAAAGGUUCCUGCACCGAAACAAGAUUUCAAUUAGUAAAACCAAUGUUAUUUCCCCAAAUUGACAUCUCUAGCCUCAAUGAUAAAAUUAGAGAAUAUCCUAUUAAAGUUAACCUUUUGAAGAAUUUUUUUGCAGCCAUUUUGUGAUGUCUGCAAAACCAUAGAAAAUUGAAGGUGCAGACAGGUUAUGAAAGGAAUGUUGAAUAGUUAAUUAAACUAAGCAAUUGAAAAGCAACCCUUACAUAAUCACAAGCCUCGUACUCGUCUCUCCAAGAAGCCCUCACAACAUCACAUGACUCGUGACUCUAAAAAGGACCUUCCAGAAUCUGAAAACAUAACAAACGCAAAAUUUUAGUUUAUUUAAGGAAGAGUUGUGAACAGCUUGCAAGAUGUCUUUUCAAUCCGAGUUAGGAUUGUAGUCACUGUUUACAUUUGCAGCCCGGCAUGCGGGCGGUUUCGCGUGGAAAAUAAAGGAUGUGGGCCCCAACACUAGACGUCGCACCCGUUCUGCCUCCUGCCGCCACCUCUGUCGGGGAAAAAGUCCAAAAUAAACCCAGAACUCAUAGACCCUAGCUAAAUCGAACCCUCAACUCCUAAUCCUGGUAAUCAGCACUCUCAACUCUCUAAUCCCGGUCCAAAAUGAACCCUGCAGUCGAUUUGGGCAGGAAAACACUGACGUGGCAUAGUCAACCGGGAUUCUUCUGUCAGGUGGGCCAGCUGAUCAGUGCGCGUGUGGGUGGGAUAUAUCCCGAUCCAAAUCGAUUGGGGAAUUCCUCAGCACAACUAGGGUUAGCUCGGCGGUGGCCAGGGAGAGAGGAGUGGGCGAUUUGUGCGGCGGCGCCGGCGGCGCCGGCGGACACUGCGAUGUCGUGGUCAUCAGGCGGUUCUUCUGCUCCUGGAUUCCGGCGAGCGUCGGGAAGGAGGGACACAGAUGCGAGGUCAUCGGUGCGCUACCGUGAGCAGCCUAUGGCGUACGAGCCGGUGAAGUUAUGCCACUGCAAUCCACGGCGGAAAGCACCGAGAUGGAUUUCUUGGAGCCAUCAGAACCCGGGGAGGAGGUAUUACGCGUGCGUCAAUGCAAUGGUUAGCCCCAAUUUUUCUGCUCAUUCUUCUGUUCUUCCUCAUCCCCUCAAUCUGAUUUAUUUCUUUUGUUCAAUUGCGUAGCAUGGUGGUUGUGGGUAUGCUGAAUGGCAUGAUGAUCCGUUGCCAAAGUUUUUUAGUGACUUAAUUGGAGAUUUGAGAGAUGAGGUGUGGAGGUUGAAGGGUGGAGGUACUGUUGCUCGAACUGAAGAUGCAUUCAGAGUUGUGGCUAUGAGUGAAUAUGAAGCAAGAGGUGAAAUGCUGGUUGUGUCUCUGCAAGAGCAGUUGAGGUUAAAGAAUGCAGAAAUGGAUGCAAUGAAGAGCAAGUAUAUGAAUGUGAUAUUUGUCCUGAUUGUCUUUGUGCUUGGUUUAGUGCUAAGGAAAUUUGUAGUGAACUGAAUGUCAAGUUCAUGUGAUCUCACAAGUGUAUGCAUGUGCGAAUUGUAUGGAUCUUGUAUGCAACGCAAUUAUCUGUCAUUCCAAUUAUCUGUAUGGAUCAUUCCAAUUAUCUGUCAAGUUGUGGAACUCUGUUUGAAAUGCAAUGUAUGGAAUGAAAUUUGUGAUCUGGCAGUCAAUUGCAACCAAGUUAUAUAUUACUUCUCUGAUCAUUGAAAUGUACACAAUAUAAGAUAGCAUUUGCAUUUGCUGCCAAUUGUAAUAAGAAAAUUAUAGCAAAUAUCAUUUACCCUGAGCAUUUGCAAACAACAUCAUAAGAAAAUUAUAGCAAAUAUCUCUGACAUUAUAAGUAGAUAGAAUCUGCAACAUCAAAUCCAUAUUUGCAAAUAGAUUACAAAAGCUAGGACCAUAGCCUGAAUAUGUCUGGCAUUGCAAAAUAUUUAUGUUGCAACACAACCUUAAUGUUUGCAACAAAUGAAACUAGACAAGAUUACACAUUGCCACUAGCAGUAAAGUACUUGAAGCUGGGAAUAGAUGAUGCAGGAGCUCUCUUUCUCUUAUAACCAGUAGAUGGCCCAGGUUGUGCACUUGUUUGGCCAGCUCUUGCUCUUGGGGGCUUAAAUGCAGAUGCUCUUGCUUGGUCAGUGGCUGGUGCAGAUGCUCUUGCUGGGGCAGUGGCUGCUGCAGAUGCUCUUGCUUGGCCAGUGGCUGGUGUAGAGGCUCUUGCUUGGGAAGUAGCUAUUGCAAAAGUUCUUGCUAGGGCAGUAGCUGGUGCAAAUGUUGUUCCUGGGCCAGUAGCAAGUGCAGAUGCUCUUCUUAGGGCAGUAGCUGGUGCAGAUGAUGUAGGUGCACUAGCUCCAGUUUGCUACAUGUCAAAAUAUUUGAAGUGAUUUUAACUUAGAUAAUUUAAAUUACAGAGAACCGACUUAAAUCAUUUAAAUUUCAGGAAAUCAUCUAAAACUAAUAAAUGACAUCUAAAAUCCCUACAAAACAUGUUAAAUGCAGAGAAAUGCAUGAAAAAAAAUAAAACUCACCUUUAACGUGUCCCUUUUUUGAUAGUCUUCUUAAGGUGUGCAUUCUUCUUCUUGCCUCUCUCUGGGUUUUGCUUGCAACCUGUUUUGUUGUGUCCAGCAGUGCCACACAUUGAGCAAAUAAUUACAGUGCCAUGCUUGGUCAUUUUUUUGCUAGGCUUAGGUUUCUCACUUUCUUCUCUCCUUCUAUCAUUAUUCUUAGGCCUGCCUGGCAUGCUAUCUGGUAUGGUUGCAUAUGCUGGAGCUUGAGGCCUAGGUUUCUCAAAAACUGGCCACAUUUCCUCACCUUCCACAGGUAUCAAACAAUGUUCAUAAAUUUUGUUGAAAACAUCAACAAAAUAGCAAGGGGCAAUGAAAUCUUCCACUUUUUUCCACACUUGUAGAUAGUCGUUAUUGCAUGAGAACAAGGUAGACCUGGUAGCUAGAAGUAGCCACAUGAACAUGCCUAGUUGUCAAGACUCACUGUGUACUGGCUUUUUCCCCAGUGACAAGUUUCACUUCAAAUUCAUCUUUGCCAUUCCAAAGUAUUUCCAUGAAUUGGGUCCUUGCUAUGCUGCUCUUCAAUUUCUUGAAUGCACUUAGACAUAUUUUUCCAUGGAAGUUCUGACAUUUUUCCCUUUGUUCCUGAAUUCUAACCAUAACCUUUUUCCUUAUUUUUUCUUGUAUUGAAAUUAUUGGAUAAAACCUUGCUUCAACAAUUGCAUGAUUGAAGGAUUCACACAAAUUAUUAUCAACUGACUCACAAUUGGAUCCCACUGGAAAAAAGCCCUUACCCAGUGCACUAGCUCUGUUCUCAUGAUGUCUUUUGCACCUUCUGUAGUUUCUUGGGCAAGCUUUGCUUUAUAGUAGUUGAAGUCCUGCUUGUUUGCUGCUUUGGCAACUGCCCAAAACUUCUUCUGCCACUGAUGUUCCCUAUGCUUCUUCCUCCAGUUGGCAUAGAUAUGCCUAGCACACAUUAUGUGCUCUGCAUUUGGCAAAUAAUCCUUCAUUGCAUUUAUCAGUCCCUUCUGCUGAUCUGAAAUGAACACCCAGCCAGCUCCAUUGUCAUUAAUCUCAAGAUCUUUAAUAAGUAGGGCAAUGAACCACUUCCAUGUAUCAUUAGUUUCCCUCUCAACAACUGCCCAUGCCACUAGAUACAUUUGAUUGUUUGCAUCUCUUGCAACAUCACACAAUAGCUCUCCUUUGACAGCACCUUUAAGAAAACAACCAUCUAAACCAAUCACUUUCCUGCAACCAGCCUUAAACCCAACUUCAGUGCAUUAAAGCAGACAUAGAAACUCUGAAAUAUGUUCUGUUCCAUGUUUGUUGGAUCCAAACAGACUGCAACAGUGCUUCCAGGAUUACUUCUAAGUAGCUCCAGCUGAUAAUCAAAAACCCUGGUGUAUUCAUUCUUCAUUCCAGCCCUUAACUUGUCCAUGACAAGCUUGUUUGCAUGCUUGCACUUAGAAGUUGAUACAUCAGCAAACAUGUCCUAAAGAACUGUUGCUUUCAUGCUCUCAAUUUUCCACAUUGGAUUAGCUAAAAUGAAGUGCUCAUAUCUUUCAGCAAUAACCUUAGCUGUCACAAGUCUGUUCUCCCUGUUUUGUGCACAGUGGUGCUCAUCAUUAAAUGUUAUGAUUUGAAACAUGCUUGUUCUUCAGGUUUUGGCUCCAUAAAUAAGCCAAGGGUAGCCAGGCCAUCCACACUUAGCCCUAAGUCUGUUACUCUCUGACUUCAAGAACACAAUGCUUUUUUUUGGUCACAAUUCCCUAUUUCUUCGAUGCUUUCACAAGCUGAUUCUUGCUCCUGAAUACCAUUGUCAAUGCAAAGUGUGGAAUUUCUGAGUCAUUAUUGUAUCUUGGAUACUGGCUCUUCCUCCUCACCAUGUGCCCAUCAGAAUCUUCAUCGUAAGAAUAAUCCUCAUCAAAUGAGUCAUAGCCCCACUGUUUCUCCUCUCCCUAUAAUUGAUCUUCCAUAUUUGCAAUUAAGUCAAUAGAAAUAGGAGCUGUUGAAUCACCUGCAAGCCAACUCUUUGUAUCUCUCAUCCUCUUCUUAAAUUUUCUAGCAUGCCUUCUGAGCUCAACAACCUCUGAAUUUUCUCCACUAUCCUCACUGUGUGGUAUGUACUCUGUAUCUUCUUCAGAAUCACUAGCUGAAACUGCAUUGUUGCUCUCAACAUUCACUUGAUCUGGUGGAUUGUUGCUCUGAACCUUCACUUUCUCUGUCCUCACAUUCCUCUGAAAGUUCACUUCAUCUGUCCUCAAAUUGCUCUGAAAAUGCACUGCAUCUGGCACUUCAUCUAGACUGCAUAUUUGAGAAAAUACCAACUGAGUUCCUGCCACUUCAUCAACCUCAGUUGCCACUGUGGUUUUGCUUGCCCUAGGCUGCUCAAAUUGGAUGUUGUUCAUUUGAGUGAGCACACCAUUAUCAUCUAGUUCUGCAGUAAUGACCAUGUCAGGUUCUUCAGCUUCAUCAUCAUCCAUAUCAACAUCAACAAUCUCAUUCUCAUAGUCACUAGCACUGCUUCUACUCUCACUGUCCUGCUCCCCAUGGUAUUCCACAUAAAUAUCAGCUACAUUUCCAACACAAAUGUAGUCUGACAUGCUAGCACAACCACUGUCAUCAAACAAAAACCUCAAACCAUCAGCUAGUUCUUUCCCAGGCACAUGAAAAUACAACUUCAUCGAUUCCUUGAACUCCAGAUGGUCUUUCAAAUGCCCUUGAACUUCAAACAAUGACAACUUGUCCCUCUCAAUCGAUGAAAUUGCUUCAUCUCCCCCCACAUAAUCCAAAACAGGACCAAUGUGGAUGAACUGGCCCCCAAAAUGAAAUCUGACAUUCAAAAUCUCACUAGGGUCCAUGAUUGAGCAGCAACAAACAAGAGUAUAUCACUACAUUGUGCUAAUCCGAGCAAUUGGACUGACAAAAACGAACAGAAAAUUGCUGAAAACCCUAACUCUGUAAUCACAGAAAAGCCCCAAUUUUUCUCUUUGAAACCCUAACAGUAACAAUGCAGUCAGAGCUUCAAUUGCAGCCAUAGGAGGAGGAGAAGGUCGGAGACCGUACCUUUGACGCCGCUCGUCGUCAAGCCGUCACGAUCGCUGUCGUCGGAGCCGAUCACCCGCCCGUCACCAUUGCAGCCGCUCGAGCAGGGGAAUUUCAAGGGACGCCAUGAGUGGGGAUGGACUUCCCCUUGCGUGGGCUAGCUCUGAUUAAGAGCAGGGAUGCGCUCUGGGCCUUAUGGGCCGGCCCAACUUCUCUCCGCAACGCGCCCAACACCCACCGAUCCCAGCUUUGGUCUGCCACCUCAUCAAUCCCUGUUUGGAAGUGGGCUCAGGGUUCAUUUUGGACCGAGAUUAGAGAGUUGAGAGUGCUGAUUACCGGGAUUAGGAGUUGAGGGUUCGAUUUAGCUAGGGUCUACGAGUUCAGGGUUUAUUUUGGACUUUUUCCUCUGUCGGGACGCUGCGGCCUGAUUGGUUCCACCCGCGCGAGAUCCACCGGAUCGCACGGCUGAGUCGCGUGCGCUUGCGAUCGCAAAAUCGUGCAGCUACACGAUUGAGCAUUCGGGUUUUUUAUUUUAUUUUUUGUUCAUGGCAUUUUUAUCCCAAGGAUGACAUAUUUUAAAGUAGCUCCGAAAAAAACCCGACUAGAAUACUGCUCCACGAGAUACAUGCGUACCUACCAAUCACAACCAGCGCUCCCACCCACCCCAUCGACAACAACUAGCCUGCGCGUAUGUGUGCAUGGCAAAGUUGCUGGUGCGUUGAUGUCUAGCACUUGCAUGUGCUAGCUUGCUGUUUUUUGCUUUGCUAUGCCUUCUUGAAUCGUGUGUGAUUGCUCGUGAUUCCGUACCUGUCGCCAAUACCUCGUCGACCUAAUCGUCCUCAUAAAGUAUCGAGCGCUAUCUCGUCGUCCAAUCUGCCCGCAUGCCACCUAGCAUACUGCUCAUUGGCACCAUUGGCCUGGAGCCGGAACGACCGAUCUGACGGCCCUGACGCAGGACUAUGUCUAUCAUGUCCGUUUUUUUCCGGACGUGUAUUGAAUCACGUUCAUCGCGACCUCCUCUACAAUGAACACUACCUAAGCCUUGCAUCCCUCUCACACAUGUGUCCCUUCUCCCAGCGUCGAGCACACCGAUUUAAAGCAACUAUCAUGUGUGCUAUAAGCAAGCAACUUUGUCUAUGCAAAAAUAUAAGAAGCUUGUUCAAUGCAAAAUAUGAACAAACUUUGUCCACACAAACUUAUGAACCGUUUUUUGUUUUACAAAAAAAAUGUAAAGAAAAUGAUUAUGUCCUACCACUUUAAAAUAAGCAACUUCCUUCUAGUUUCGUUGGGUGCACGUGAUCCCGAUGAUAUGAUUAGCGGGCAACUCUAUGGAGUUUUCUAAAGGACUCUAAUGUUUUCCUCGGACGACUAGGUAGUGGUAUAGAAGAAAACACACACGGUAAAUGCAGCCAAGCCCCCCUCCCCAGUUUUGCUUAUGCCUGUGAUCCCGAUGAUGUGAUUUAGCGGGCAACUCUAUGGAGUAUUCCGAACAACUCCAUUGUUUUUCUUGGGCAACUACCACAUAUCUCCAGCUAUGACACCUGGAAAAGGAAUAAAGAAUAUGCACAUGUACAUUUUUGGAGGGGUUCAGAGAAAAAAUUAACCCACUAAAUCAUUCGCCCAUAGAUUUAGCUGCGCCCUCUUCCCCUUCUACGAUCAUUUGCCAAGUAUUUAUGAUCACAACAAGGGAUCCCACCCGAGGAGAAUAAAUUAUUGACGCGUCCCUAUGACACAAACCCUGAUCGAAAGGUAUCUAAAACCUUUAGGUAUUGACCGAAAUAUGGUAUUGGUAAUGUUUCUGCUCAUGUUUUAGACAACCGGAUACAUGGUUUUAGGCAACUAUGUGGUUGAUUGUGAGCAACUAUGACACCUAAAAUGGGAUAAAGAACAUAUACAUGUUCAUUUCUGGAGGGGUUGAAAAAAAUUAAUCCCCUAAAAACACUUUGUGGUUUUGGUUAUAUCCCCAUGUCUAGCUCCACCCCCUCCCCCUCUACGAUCAUUCACCAAGUAUUUACGAUCGCACCAAGGAUCCCAUCACGAGGAAAAUAAAUUCUUGGCACAUCUCUAUGACACAAACCUAAUUGAAAGAUAUCUAAACCUUUAUAUAUUUGCCAAAAGAUGGUCAUGGCAAUGUUUCUGCUCAUGAGGAUCGGGCAACAUGAUACAUGGUUUUAGGCAAAUGCAUGGUUGAUUGCGGGCAACUAUGACACCUGAAAAAAGGGAUAAAGAACAUACACAUGUUCGUUUUUUGAGGGGUUCAAAAAAAAACUUAAUCCCCUAAAACCACUUUGUGGCUUUUGUUAUGCCCCAUGUCUAGCUCCACCCCUCCCCACUACGAUCAUUCGUCAAGUAUUUACGAUCGCACCAAGGAUCCCACGCCUAGGAAAAUAAAUUCUUGGCACAUCUCUAUGACACAAACCUAAUUGAACUAAAACCUUUAGAUAUUUGCAAAAUAUGGUCUUGUAAUGUUUCUGCUCAUGAGGAUCGGGCAACUGGAUACAUGGUUUUAGGCACCUGUAUGGUUGAUUGUGGGCAACUAUGACACCUGAAAAAAGGGAUAAAGAACAUACACAUGUUCAUUUUUGGAGAGAUUCAUAGAAAAACUUAAUCCCCUAAAAUACUUCCUGAUUUUAGUUAUGUCCCCAUGACCAACUCCACCCCUCCCCCCUUUACAAUCAUUCACCAAGUAUUUACGACCGCACCAAGGGAUCAUAACCCAUGGAGAAGAAAUUCCGUACACACCUUACUUGAUUGAAAGGUAUCCCAAGGAGAAGAAAUUCCGUACGCAUCUCUACUAUUAUGUAAAUCCUCAUAAACAGAAACAUUACAAGGCCAAAAUAUGGUCUUGUAAUGUUUCUGUUCAUGAGGAUUAGGAAACUGGAUACAUGGUUCUAGGCAACUGUAUAGCUGAUUAUGGUCAACUGGAUACAUGGUUUUAGACAACGGUAUAGUUGAUUGUGGGCAACUGGAUGCAUGAUUUUAGGCAACAUUAUGGUUGAUUGUAGGCAACUAUGACACCUAAAAAGGAUAAAGAACAUACACAUAUUCAUUGUUGGAGGGGGUCAAAAAUAAACUUAAUCCCCUAAACACAAUUCAUGGUUUUAGUUAUGUCCCCAUGAACAGCUCCACACCACUCUCCCUCUAUGAUCAUUCACCUAGUAUUUACGACCAUUCCAAGGGAUCCAACUCCAAGGAAAUGAAAUUCUUGAUGCAUCUCUAUGACACAAUAUUAAUUGAAAGGUAUCUAAAACCUUUACAUAUAAUUCAAAUUACGGUCUUGGUAAUGUUUCUGUUCAUGAGGGUUGGGCAACUAGAUACAUGGUUCUAGGCAAAUGUAUAGCUAAUUAUGGGCAACUGAUGCAUGGUUUUAGACAACAGUAGGUUGAUUGUGGGCAACUGGAUACAUGGUUUUAGGCAACAUUAUGGUUGAUUGUAGGCAACUAUGACACCUAAAGGAAUAAAGAACAUACACAUGUUUGCUCUUUAGGGUUUCAUAGAUAAACUUAACCUCACAAUAAACUUCAUGCUUUUAGUUAUGUCCCCAUGACGAGCUCUACCCCGCCACCCUCUAUGAUCAGUCACCAAGUGUUUACUAAUAUACCAAGGGAUCCCACCCAAAGAGAAGAAAUUCUUGACACACCACUAUGGCACAAACUUAAUUGGAAGGGUAUUUAAAAACUUUAGAUGUUGGCCAAAUCAUGGUCUUGGUAAUGUUUUUGUUCAUGAGGAUUGGGCAAAAUGAGAUACAUGGUUUUAGGCAACUGUAUGGUUAAUUAUGGACAACUAUGUUAUCUUUCAUGUAUUGUGCAUAAAAAAGAUGCAAACUAUGUAGGGCAAUUAUGGUAUCUUUUUCUGUGUGUUUUUGUUGGCUGAUAGUUUUGCCGAAAUCACACAAUGUUCUACGUAUUCCAUCAAAAUAUCGAAAUCAGCAUGCAAUUCCAUCAAAAACAGUUUCUGUGCGUGUGUGUGUUGAGAAGAUCUAAAUUACAAAUUCAAAUGAUAAUCUACUGAACUUGCGUUUCAGCAAUGUUAGCUGACCAAAGGAAGCAACUAUUACACCAAGUAAUCCACUAGAUGACGAAUUUCUGCAAGAAAUAUGAAAGAGUGAACUCUUAGCUUCAGCCAGCACUAACACUUAUGACACUAAUUAGCGUAGACUAAUUAGCUGACCAAAGGAAGCAUCUUACAUCAACCAACCCACUGGAAGGAACUGAACUCGUAGCUUCAGCCACCACUGCCAGGGGCAAAUUUUCGUGUUUUGACCCUUUUCUGAAAUCUGUUCGAGAUUUGACCCUAGUUUGAAUUUUUUUUGAAAUCUGACCCUUUUGCUACCGCCCCUACCGUCAGGGACUUUGGCGGUAGGAAACAUCGCUACCGCCAACCGGGCUGGCGGUAACCUGCACAACCCUACCGCCAACGUGCUUGGCGGUAGGCAUGAGCACGCACUGUGUUCAAUACUUAGGAGGUUUUUGGCGGUAGGACAUGCAACCAUAUCGCCAGGGACCUUGGCGGUAGGCUGUUAUACCCUACCGCCAUGGUCCUGGCGGUAGCAAAAAGAUCAAAUAUCGAAAAAAAAUUAAGCUAGGGUCAAAUCUUGAAUAGGUUUCAGAAAAGAGUCAAAACAUGAAAAUUAGCCACUACCAGGUACUCUGGCACAAAAUCGUCUGGGAGUCGUAACUCAGCAGCAGUUCUGCUACUCUAUCUCGCCGGCUCCUGAGGAAAAGGGAUCGGGAUAUUCGGGAGAGACAUAAUGAAGCGUUGGUUAGGGAUCUGAGUUUUCCUGUCGUGUCGUUUAGCGCAUGCGCUCGGCACGAUCAAAUUGUGUAGCUGCACGAUGUAGAAUUCGGGUUUAAAGUAGCUCAAAAAAAAGUUGAAUAGGCCUCUGGACCAAACCCAGGGUCGCUAGGCAGGUUUAGGCGUGUUGUUGCAACAUUUAUUUUAGCAAACAAGUCUAAACCUUUUGUUUUUACCUAAUUGGACGUCGCACGUAGGAUAUUUUGGAUAUGGUAUAUGGUCUGAUACACUAAGGAUCCGACCCGACUAAGGACGCGGAAAUUAGCUCCGAGUCGCACGUAGCCCCCCGAAUCCGAUCUGAAGUGGAAUUGGACGCACCUGCCUAGCGAUGGAAAGGAAACACCAUCAACAUAUAAAUAGCAACGACGUGCCAUACAAAAAAAGUCGCACAAACAAGGCUCGACGACUGAUCGACCAGACGAGACACGUUGAUGGCAGGUGAAGCGAUCACAGCGAUGUCCGCUGAGGCGAAGCGAGCGGAAUUCGAGUCUGGCACGGCGGCCGACCCGGGGAACGGCGAGCUGUGGCGCCGCUUCGUCAGGUUCGAGCUGGAGGAGGGCGGCGGAAUCGAGGCCGCUCGUGCCGUCUACGAGCGACUUCUCGCCGCAAUUCCCGAUGGAGAGACUUACAUGUGGGACUGGUUCUGGAGGGAGCGAUGGGCGCGGUGGGCGCAGGCCCAAGGAGGCGGCUUCCUCAGGUCCAAGUCAGGCUGGAGUACUUACUUGAAGUUCGAGAUCAACAACGGCGGCGGGGUGGAGCGCGUCCGGGGCGUCGGCGAGGCGCUCCUCGCGACCUUUUCCAUGGAUCCACAUGCGUACGCGAUCUACAUCAGCCAUCAGGGCUCUAGCCGCUCUGUCCCGGCACGUUGAAGCCCAAGCCCUGGCAAGCCGUGGCGUCAAGGAGCUGUCCGCGUUCUGUCGCGGGCAUGUUGAAUUCAUUUGGAGGUUUAUGGCUGUGUAUCUGAAGAGGCUCAGGGAGAGGCGGAGCACCGCGUGGGA
Molecule: long non-coding RNA, 271930 nt
Filed under: Triticum aestivum (bread wheat)
Lineage: Eukaryota; Viridiplantae; Streptophyta; Magnoliopsida; Poales; Poaceae
Description: long non-coding RNA (TAES_LNC014912)
Source: RNAcentral